This 226354-nucleotide long non-coding RNA is filed under the name Hordeum vulgare. RNAcentral's name for it is "long non-coding RNA (HVUL_LNC017179)". The record is from RNAcentral. Lineage: Eukaryota; Viridiplantae; Streptophyta; Magnoliopsida; Poales; Poaceae.
AAUUAGUAAAACGAUGGAUGAGCUGUUGACUUUUGUCAGGUGUAGAGGAGCAGCAAGCUGUGGUGUCGUGGAGCAAUACCAUUGAUGUGAUAGGUCGGGAGCUCUUCAUCCGUUGCCUCCACCUUGUGCCCAGGCGGGACUACGGCGCCUCCAUCGCCUCCCUCAACCGUGAAUUCAAUUCGGUGGUUCGCAACGGGGACAUCUACCGCCUUCGUCGGAAGAAUGGGGUCGCAGAGCACUGGCUCUACCUCUGCUGCGGUAAUAAUAAUAAUCCUCCAGAGUGGGACGCUUAUGAUCCGUCCACUGGGCGCUGGAUCCACGUGCCCAAGAUGCCACCGUCUGGAUCCUACUUCUGGGAUUCCCUCGCUGUAGGAACCGAGCUGCUGCUGUUUGGGGAGACAGGUGUUGCCUUGAGAUAUAGCAUCCUUACCAAUUCAUGGACAGGGCUGCCUGAUGCUGAUGCGAUCAACACCCCGCGCUACUUGUUUGGGGCAGCGAGUGGUGGUGAGAAGGCGUACGUCGCGGGAGGCCUUGAUUCUUCUCGUACUAAUGCAUUGAGCUCUGCAGAGAUGUAUGACUCGGAGACACAUACUUGGACACCCCUUCCCAGCAUGAAUAGGGCCAGGUACGGAUGCUCUGGCGCCUUCAUGGACGGCAAGUUCUAUGUGAUCGGUGGUGUUAGCAGUACCAGUAGCCGCGAGCCGUUGACUUGCGGUGAGGAGUAUGACUUGAACCUGCGGUCAUGGAGAGUCAUCGACAACAUGUCUCAGGGGCUCAACGAGACAGUCGAUGGAGCUCCUCCGCUCAUUGCGGUUGUGAACAACGAGCUUUAUGGUGCUGAUUACAGUGAGAAUAAUGAUUUGAAGCAGUAUGAUAAGCUGGACAACAAGUGGAUCACUCUUGGGAAAUUGCCUGUACAGUCGAAGAACAAAGAUGCCUUUGACAUGGGUUUCCGAGCGUGUGGUGACCGGCUGAUUGUUAUUGGGCGUCCAAACAAUUCUACUGAUGAAAAGGUGGUUGAGCUUCAUUCAUGGAUCCCGGAUGGGCAACCGCCUGUGUGGAAUUUCGUUGCCACAAGGCCAUACCGGGGCAACGGGAUUCUGUGCGCCGCGAUGGGUUGCUGAGUUGGUCAACUAAAUAAACCUUGGAUACACGCAAGAUAUGAGUAAGUUACUUACCAUGUACUGCUUGCUUUGUAUAAAAAAAUUAUUUAUCCUGUUUGCUCCAAGAUUAGAAUGACAUGGAGUUUCUCUUCAUAUUUCCAUGCAGUGCUGGCUGUGCCUCAUUCUGAAUUUCUGAAUUUCCUGGGAGCGCUCCGCUGAUGAUACAAAAAAGACAAGACAUGAAUGAGUUCCGGAGAAAGUGGCUUCAGAAACAUCAAGAGUUUUAGUCACUAGCUGUUAUUUCCAGUUGCAAUUUGUGUUCCAAUAAUGUUUUAACGCUUCCUACGGGCGUUUUGAUGAUCUUGAUCUCCAUCAUCCAACUUUAUCUUUACAGUACAACAGAACUCUCAGUUACUUUUCGAACAUCGAAUGCAGUCUCUAGCUUUCCCUCUAUUUUUGUUCAAGAUUUUUCGAACUCGGAAUAAAAAACAAUCUGGACUCUUCGUUAUUCAGUCAGCUGUUCUGAAAAUGUAUUUUAACUGCUACUGACAUACAUGUUUUUAACUGCUUAUUUUUACAGAUAAAUAAUGUUUACAGAUAAAUGGCAAACACUUAUUUCAUUGUGAAUAUAUCAUGAUUGUUUAUUACAAAAAGUACUUGCACAUUUUAACUGCUUAUUUAUACAAAAUUUAAAACUUUUUGAUAAAUUAAAAUUUUUAUACAUGAUGUUCCAAAAUAUAUGGUGAACAUAUUAAUACACUUGGGAUAUUUUACAAAUACACUAUGAUUAUUUAUGAAUUCAUGAUGAAUUUUACAAAUACACUAUGAUUAUUUAUGAAUUCAUGAUGAAUUUUAAAAUACAUGAAAUUUAUUUUUAAAAUACAAGAUGGACGUUUUUUAGUUACCAAUUGAUAUAUAUUUUUACAAAGCAUUUUUUAAAAAAAAAAUUAUUCAUGUUGAACAAUUAUUUUUACAAAAUGAAUAUUUAUUUAUUAUAAAUGAGGAGUUGUGAAUACACGAUGAUCAUUUUUUAUAAAUACACAAUGAAUUGUCUUUCAUGCAAGAUGAACAAUAUUUAAAUAAAACAUGAUUAUUGUUAACAUGAUACAGGUGCGCCUCGCCCGACUCUCUCACGCCACGCCUGCCAAGGACGAGAGCCACGUCGCCGCCGACCUCCGCGGCGGCCGCGCUCGCCAAGAUGCCCGCCGUGUACGGGCCCUCCACGCCAACGUCCUGCUGGCCGAUCUCAACGCUCCCGUCAGGCUGCGUCACAUGCAUUGUUGCUCCCGUCAGGCUGCUGAAACCUGCGAGAUGAAGGAGGCUUUGAUGGCCCCGUCCACAUAUUAUUCACACCUACUUGUUAUGUUUUUUAUUUAACCCUUGUCAGAGGCCUUGAUUACUACUCGUCCGUUUAAGUUUUUUUAAAAGUUUCACUAACGUGCUACAUACAGAUGACAUACUUUAGAACGUAGAUUCACUCAUUUUGCUCUGUAUGUAUUAGUAAAAUUUAUAAAAAAGACUUAUAUUUAGGAACAGAUGGAGUAUACUGGUCUGAGUGUGAUAUAGUAUGAAGCUGUGUUCUUCAAGGGUGCCUGCCACACAGGUUGGAGUUUCUUAUUAUUCACAUAUUUCCGCGUUAGCUUUUCUAUAGUAUUUACUACUCACAUUGAUGUAUCUCAUAGUUUUAAAUAGCCGGCUAUAGCCUUUUCAGCAGGCUUCCGCUAAAUGAUAUCAUGUACAAAUAAGCCGCCUAUAGCUCGCUAUAGCUGAUUUAGAGGCCCUCCGCUAUUUAUAACAUAGAUUUAUCCUGAAAUCUAACCUUUUCUUUAUCAUCUCAAACCGUACCCCAAAUCAUCUUUCUAAUCUCCAACACAGGUAAGAGACACUUUCAUUACAUUCAUCUUGUGCUAACUCAUUUUUUUUUGCUACAGGUCGGGUCCAUUGUGACCAAUGUUUUAAAACGCGGGCUAUGACAUUUAGCGGCGGCUCGGCCAGAAGCUAUGAAAGGCUAUAGCGGAGCUAUGCCUCAUUUAGCGUUUCUCUUAAAUCAUGAAAUAUUAAAACAAUAAGUAUAUAAUCAGGCAUCAUAUAUGAUAUAUUGCAUAUACUUUACAUAUACACAUGUUCGUACAUCAAAACGCGAGUACUAAUCAGACAUCCUGAUUCAGUAACCAAGUUUGACAUCCAUGCAUCAUACAUAUCCUAAACAAGAACAAAAAAUAAUUCAGAAGUAUGGUUUUGUAUAGUGGCUUAACGGGCUAAAUGACUCCAAAUUUAAUGCUAUACCGGGAAAUAGCGGGCUAUUAGCGUCAUUUUCAAUUUAGCCCUAAAAAUGCAUAGCUUUAGCGGGAGAGCUCCCAAAGGCUAUAUCUAAUAUGAUUGAUUGUGACUGGUGGCCAUUACAUCGACAACCUUGUGGGUAGCAUCGUUGCUGGCAAGAAAAGUCCCUGCUGUUGGCGUCAGCCUUGGAAUCGAAGGAGUCUUCACGGUCAUGCAGGAGAAAAAGAAGAAUCAGGUACUAACUAAAUUCCUUCAGAGAAGAUGUACAAAUACUGAGACAGAUAUAUACUUACAAUGCUGGUCUUUAAUAUUUAUUUCACGGUUAUUUUCUCCAAGUAGGAGGAAUUUUUAGUUUUUUUAAUUUGGUAGUUAAUUGACAAACACUAACUACAAAGCAACAUUUAAUCUUUUACUUUAUGACCAAUCAAAAUGUUACUCCAUGUCUUUGUGCAAUUUGUUCUCUCUCCUGUCUCUCAUGUUUCAAUGUGUUGGUGGAUAUAUUUUUUUCAUCUAUCUUUGUAUCCAGAUGUUUCAAUGGAAGGCACACGUGGAGAGGUGGAGGCCCCCUUCAGUGUUUCACUGGGCGCCAUUGGACCCAUUCUUAACAAGCUCGACAUGAUGCUAGGUCCUCAAGGAUGCAAGCUGCCCAAGGGGCUCCAUGACAGAUUUCACCUGCUAAAAGAUAAUGUUGAAGAAAUAAGUGCAUACCUUGAAGAUCUGUUAGAGGUGGAGGACCCUCCCAUGGCGGUGAAGUGUUGGAUGAAAGAGGCACAAGAGUUAUCCUAUGACAUCCUUGAUUAUAUUGACAGCCGUGUAUCCCUUGAGCUUCUGGAAUGCAGAUCUGUCCGCAAGAUGGGUCUUAUUAAGAUUGCCAAGAAGCUCAAGUGGCAGAAACAAAUUGAGUAUGCAACUCCUCAUGUGCCAGAACAUGUUAUCCCCAAAACCAUUUGUGUUGAUGUCAUUCGUGCUCCCAGGAGGCUCAAGUGGUACCAGCAGAUGAUUGAAAAGGUAUCAGAAUUCAGGAUCUAUGCCCUGGAGGCUAUUCAACGGUAUGAGAGGUACCAAGUCCUUUGUUGUAGUACCUCGACGGCAUGUAGAUUUUCUGCCAUUGGGCCUUUAAUGCCAAUGCCUCCACCGCCUUGUGAGAAAACUUGUUCUGGCCUAGUAAUUGAUGGUCGGAUGAGCAAGCUUAUCAACUCACAGCUGGCUAAUGAUGAGAAUGAGCAGCUCAAGGUGGUGUCUAUUCAUGGAUCUGGAUGUCUUGGUAAAACAAUGCUUGCCAAAGUGUUGUAUAAUAAAAUUGGGAGAAAAUUCGAUUGCCGAGCUUUCAUCCAGGUGUCCAAAAAGCCUGAUAUAAAGAAGCUUUUGAAUGACAUGCUAUCACAAAUCCAUAGGAAGCAGCCCCAAGCAAGCCAAAAGGCUUCUGAUGAACUUCGCAUAACUGCUGACAAUAUCAGGAAUUAUCUACAUGGGAAGAGGUACUUAUUUUCCUCAUGAAAAUAGUAUGUACUAGUUGUAUCCAUGAAUGUCCAGAAUCACAAGUAUUACGUAAAUUCCUUAUAGGUUCCUACUUUGUUUUUCACAAAAAAUAAGGCAUGAUGAUGUUAUUCAGACAAGCUUUACAGUGAGCUAGAAAAGAAUUUACUUAUUUUCCACAUGGUCUAGAAUCGCAUGUACUACAUUAAAUCGCUACAGGUUGAUCUGUUGUUUUUUUCAAAAAAAAAAAAAGGCAUGAUGAUAUAUAGUCAAUUUCUGAAAAGAUGUUUUUCAGACAAGCUUUACAGUGAGCUAGCAAAUGAUGCUGGCAGUAACAUUUAAUUUCAGGCUGGUACCAUAAAUCCAUGCAUUUUUUGGUACCAUAUAAAUCCGUGCAUGGACUAAAUACUCAUUCUUUUCUAGCUUAUCUCAGUGCUGUUGCCAUUUGCCUGGCACAUAGAUGUGACAUGUGUGGACUUUCUUGGCGUGCAGGUAUCUAAUUAUUGUUGAUGAUUUAUGGGAUACAUCGGCAUGGGACGUUAUUAAUCAGGUUUUCCCCAAGGGUAGUCAAGGUAGCAGAAUAAUAACAACUACACAGAUUGAAGAUGUUGCAUUAGCAUGUAGCUGCGAUCACCCAGAACAAGUUUUUGAGAUGAAACCUUUGGAUGAUGGUCACUCAAGGAAGCUAUUCUUUGGCAGGAUUUUUGGCUCUGAAAGUGACUGUCCUGAAGAAUUCAAACUAAUUUCGAGCCAACUUGUAGAAAUAUGUGCUGGAUUGCCACUAGCGACCAUCAGCAUAGCAAGUCUUUUAGCAAACCAGCCUUCUGUAUCAGUGGAUUUAUUGACACACAUACAUGAUUCAUUAGUGUCUUGUUUGUCAUCAAAUUCAACUUCAGAAAGAACGAGACAUGUACUGAACCUCAGCUACAACAACCUUCCUCAUUACCUCAAGACAUGCUUGCUCUAUUUUAGUAUGUAUCCAGUGGGAUCCAUAAUCUUCAAACUUGACCUGGCCAGGCAAUGGGUGGCCGAAGGGUUUAUUGCUGCAAGUGAAGGGCAAGACACAGAGGAAGUUGCAGGAAUGUAUUUCGAUGAACUUGUUGAUAGAAGAUUCAGCCAACCUGUGUCUAUCAACUUCAACAAUGAGGUGGUGUCCUGCACAGUUCAUGCCGUGGUGCAUGAUCUUAUUGUACACAAGUCUGCUGAAAAGAAUUUCCUUGUGGUAGUAGAUUGCAAUCGAAAAAAUUUGACGCUUUCUCAUAAGGUCCGUCGACUAUCUCUGCAACUUGGUGAUGCAAAAUGUGCCAAGAUACCAGCAAACAUCAGAAAGUCACAAGUACGGUCACUUGGAUUUUUUGGAUUGGCAGAGUGCAUGCCUUGUAUUGGAGAGUUCAAGCUUGUUCGUGUUCUCAACCUUCAGCUAUCCGGUCUUCGUCAUGGUAACAAAGACCUGUCCAUAGACCUCUCUAGAGUAUCAGAACUGUUCCAUCUGAGAUAUCUGAAGAUUGCUUGUGAUGUCUGCAUAAAACUUCCGAAGCGGAUGAGAGGGCUGCAGUGUUUGGAAACACUGGAUGUUAUGGAUACACCAAGAGGCACUUAUGUUCCAUGGGACAUUAUAUAUCUCCCACGCUUGUUGCACCUCAGUCUUCCUCCUNUCGAGGUGAAAUUAGUGGAUUCCGGUUCCCAUGGCGAUAAAAGGUAGUACUUUUGUUGCUGUUGAGUUAUUCAAUUAAACCUUAUUUGAGUAUUCAUGCUCUAAAUGGUUGUUGUAACCUGCAGGAUAUCACCAGAGUCCUCUUCGCGCCUGAAUCCUGCAGGUAUGCUUUUCAGUUGUAAUUGAGACGUUUCGUCAUGAGGUGAUAAAUUACUCGUAGAAAUUAGUAAGACAUGGAUGAAGUGUUGGCUUUUGGCAGGUGUAGAGGAGGGUGGAAAGGAGCAGGCUGUGGUCUCGUGGAGCAAUACCAUUGAUGUGAUAGGUCGGGAACUCUUCUUCCGUUGCCUGCACCUUGUGCCCAGGCGGGACUACGGCACCAUCGCCUCCCUCAACCGUGAAUUCAAUUCGGUGGUUCGCGACGGGGACAUCUACCGCCUGCGUCGCAAGAAUGGGGUGGCGGAGCACUGGCUCUACCUCUCUUGCGGUAACGAUUUUCUGGAUUGGGACGCUUAUGACCCGUCCACUGGGCGCUGGAUCCAAGUGCCCAAGAUGCCACCGGCUGGAAGCUCCUUCUGGGACGCGCUCGCUGUCGGAACCGAGCUGCUGGUGUUUGGGGCCUGCGGAGGGGCUACCUUGAGAUAUAGCAUCCUUACCAAUUCAUGGACAGGGCUGGCUGACGCUGAUGCGAUCAACACCCCGCGGUACCAAUUUGGGUCAGCGAGUGUCGGUGAAAAGGCGUAUGUCGCAGGAGGCUUUGAUUCUUCUUUUAUUAAUGUAUUGAGCUCGGCAGAGAUGUAUGACUCGGAGACAUACACCCCUUCCCAGCAUGCAUAGGGCCAGGUACAGAUGCUCUGGCGCCUUCAUGGACGGCAAGUUCUAUGUCAUCGGUGGUCUUAGCAGUACCAGUAGCGACGAGGUGUUGACUUGCGGUGAGGAGUAUGACUUGAACCUGCGGUCAUGGAGAGUCAUCGACAACAUGUCUCUGGGGCUCAGCCAGACAGUCCUGGGAGCUCCUCCGCACCUUGCAGUUGUCAACAACGAGCUUUAUGCCGCUGAUUACAGUGAGAAUAAUGAUUUGAAGCAGUAUGAUAAGCUGGACAACAAGUGGACCACUCUUGGGAAAUUGCCUGUACAGACUAAGAACAAUUUGUGUGGUUGGGGCAAGGACAUGGGUGUCCGAGCGUGUGGUGACCGGCUGAUUGUCAUUGGGCCUCCAAACAAUUCUAUUGAUGAAAAGGUGGUUGAGCUUCAUUCAUGGACCCCGGAUGGGCAACCGCCUGUGUGGAAUUUGGUUGCCACAAGGCCAUACGAGGGCGGCCAGAUUCUGUGCGCCGUGAUGGCUUGCUGAGUAAAGGUUGGAUGCAUGCAUGCAAGAUAUGAGUAGGUUACUUACCGUACUACUCGCUUUGUAUAAUCUUCCAGUUUGCUCCAUGAUUGUCUCUAUUUUUUCAGUCUGAAUUUCCUGGGAGCGCUCUGCUGAUGAUACAAAAAGAGAAGACAUGAAUGAGUUGCAGAGAAACUGCCUGCAGAAACAUACGAGUUUUAGUCACUAGCUGUUAUUUCCAGUUGCAAUUUGUGUACCAAUAAUGUUUUAAUUAACACUUUUUAUGGUGUUCUGAUGAUCUUCACCUCCAUCACCCAACUCUAUCUUUACAGUAAAACAAAACUGUCAAAGUCUCAGUUACUUUUGGAACAUCGAAUUCAGUCUCUAGCUUGCCCUCUUUUCUUGUUCAAGAUUUUUCAAAAUCUGAAUAAAAAACAAUUUGGACCCGACGAUUUAAUAGUAAUUGCUUUGAAGGGACCCAACAAUGCGCUCCUCUUGUAUCUAGUAGAGUAGGUUUAAUCAUGCACUUAAUUGUUACCAAUACUCUCUUGUAAUUAUGUAAUAAUAAUAAAUGAAACGGUUUUUCCUUUUGUAAUCGAAAUCACAGAUUAUUUAUACCUAGCCAACGCUCAAGCAGAGAUUAUAUUAUACUCGGUAAUAUUAAAUCAUAUACUUCCUCCGUUCCUAAAUAUAAGUCUUUUUAAAGGUUUCAUUAAUGGACUGCAUACGGAUGUAUAUAGACAUAAUUUAGAGUAUAAAUUCAUUCAUUUUGCUUUGUAUGUAGACACCUAGUGAAAUAUCUUAAAAGACUUAUAUUUAGGUACGGAGGAAGUAGAUCACUAAGUAGCUAGGGGAUGUAUGUACUAAUAAGCGUAAGCAGGUGGACUUAAUUAGACAAAGAGUAUACCCGUCUACAUAUUAUACUCUCUCUCUGCAAACUAAUAUAAAAGUGUUUAUAGAUAACUAAACUAGUGAUCUAAAUAUUUUUAUAUUAAUUUACGGAGGGAGUACAUUUCUUUUUAUUUUCUCUAUUCCGUUACUACUUUAAGUUAACAACUCCACCGACUAACAUCGACCAUUGUACGGCAGGUCCAACAGAAAUGUUAAGAAUAUUACACUUUUUAUACUACAUGCAACCAUAUUAUCCACUGGUAAAAGCAAGUCACAUCACAGUUUCUAAAUUAUGCCGGAAGAAGGAAGCAACCUUUCAAUUUAAUACAUGCUCUACAUAUAUAGCUGCCCUUAGGAUUUCUCUUCUUCUUCCAUUGUAAUGGGAAGGCCCUUACUAAAAUAAUUACGUAUUCUACUAACCCGGAUUAUUAUACUAAAACAACAACCCAACAACAACCCGGAUUGUAAUGGGGAUUGACCAACAGAAAGAUGGAAAGCUAGCUGCAACUGUUUCAACCUUCUUAAAAAAAAUUAUACACCAACAAACUAAUAUCAACAUCAGGGAGGACGCGUCCUCCCGAUCUACUUGAAAUUGGUAAGAUCUAAAUGAAUGCCAGAUAAGUUUUUCCAGUGUCCCCAAAUAAUAUCAGCAACACAACACGAAGAAGAAGAUGCAUUUAAACAACUAGCAUAAACGUCAACACCACAGGAUUGUCAUGAGGCUGUACCGCAUGGACGGCGCGCCGCCAACGGCGACUGUUUUUGUUAUUGUUUACUACUCGCUCCGUCUCAUAAUUACUGUCUUAGUUUUGUCUAGAAAUAAAUGUAUCUAAAUACUAAAACUUGACUAGAUACAUUCAUAUCUAAACAAAUUUAAGACAAGAAUUUUGGGACGGAGGGAGUUUGUUACAAAGCCCUUUCUUCUGCCCAGCAUACGAACUCAUCAAAUCAUCUGCGCCACAUCGCGACAACACAGUCCGUUCCGUUUUAUCUGGUCUUAUUUUUAGGGAGUGUACUAGUUUAUUUUUCAAAAUAGCAGUUAUCCUGCUUCGUUAAGAAGAAAAUAGAUGCUCAGUUAACUAGGAAAAACCAAACGAAAACCAGAUUAUUCAGUUAAUUAUGGAAAAUCGGACAAAAACCCGUUACAAUAGUUGAGCAGCACACAAAAAGAGCCCACACACGCCACUCCAAAAGGGUCUCGGCGAGACAGCACACAGGCGUCAUUGUCAUCACUCCUCCCCUAAAGGCGUCAUCGCCAUCCCUACACUCUGAGCAAACGACUCUGACUCCGCCGUAGGCGAUCGCCGAUUCAACCCGUAGGCGAUCGCCGAUUCAACCCAUACUGAAGAGGGCACGUGAAGCUGCAUGAAGAUCUAUGCCAAAAACUCAACCACACGCGCCCAAACGACGCAACUCCGACUCUAGCGAAGAGUUCUGCAGGACAAAACCAGGCACGACUGGCGUCACGGGAAAUCGCCGAACUAUCCACCUGCAGCCAGUCAUCGUAUACCGCAGGGCCCCGCCGCUGCAACUUGGCUCCAUAGCAACAAUAAACCGAGACAAGACCGUGGACACACCGAAGAAGAGCCGACUACCGCAACCAUUGCCGCAUCGCCCACAUCACUCCCACCAUCAUCGUUGCACAGAAGCCUGGACGCCACGCCCGCCACCAGCCGCCAUCCACCGGCCCCACUCGCCGACGCCAAGCUCCCAAGACGAAGCCCUCAACAGGGAAUACGACACCAAGGUGCCGCCAUCGUCCGAUCACAUAUCAAGGUUUUCCUCGAAGAGGCCAAACUGACCAGAUCCGCACAGGAGGGGUGGGAAAACAAAGCAACGAUACCUCCAAAAAGGUCAACGACGGCCACAGCCGCCACCAUCACUGGUCAAGGCAUAAGGCCAAGAUAUGGUUUUUACCCAGCUCCACACCACCUCAACCGCACAUCAUCCCGCAUUGACAUCGACAAGCCCACCAAAUAUCACCACCAUCGAAGUUGUCCAUCGACGACGACGCACCAAGAUCCGUCACAGUCACCCGCACCACGCGAAGACCACCGACAGCCGGAGACCAGAUCUACAUGAUGCGCCGCCUGAGCGCACAUCCUCAUAAUCAUGGGCCUCCGAUCCGCGCACCCCAAAGACGUCCACGCGAUGCCAGACCGCACACACACGCACCGGCCGCGCCCCUCGCGGCUAAAGCCGCUACUCGAGCACCAAGCAGGCCGCUCAAGCCCCUCCACCUGCAGUCCUCCACGACGCCGGGCUGCUACGCUGACGGAGCAGCAGCAACCCUCCCUCACGCCGCCACACGAGCUCACGGCUACACACCACCAUGCUAGCAGCCACGUCGGACCAUCAAGGCUGACCAGAGCCCCAGCACUGCCGCUGCCUUGGCGCCUUCGAACCCCGCGCACACGCUGCGCACCUCCACCACCUCCCGUGCAGCGGCGCCGCACAGCACCGCCGCGAGCCUGCCGCUGCCCAGCGCCUCCCUUCGGACCAUCAGAGCCUCGCCGGCCAACACCGAAGCCCUGCCCGCUAUUUUCGAACAUCGAAUGCAGUCUCUAGCUUGCCCUCUAUUUUUGUUCAAGAUUUUUCGAACUCUGAAUAAAAAGCAAUUUGGACCCGACGAUAUUUAGUCAUGCUGUUCCCAAAAUGUAUUUACUCCUACUUAAUUUGGUAUAGAUUAAUCUGCUCUAAGAGUGUAAAAUCAUGAUUUUUCUUUUCAGUUGUUUAUUUUUCUUUACAGUCGUUUGAACAACGUUCAACCGGGAAUAAGGAAAGGCUGAACGUGAUUUUCCUGCUUUUACUGCACUUGCAAUAUUUCUCAUGAUUGUAAACCAACUUUGUUCGAUUAUAAAAGGUGAAUUACAUAAGCACGUGUAGUCAUGAUAAGAGAUAGGAACGUCAUGAGGAGGCGUCCUGUUUAUGCUCUGAUUUCUUCAUCCCGUGCGUCCCAAGCAAGAGAUCAUCAAUGAUUCACUUGAGGGUGAAGAUGCUAUGGUGAUUUUGUUGCCUGAAUGCCAUAGCGUUUCUGGAGGAAUGGAGUACCAAAUGGCCGGAGAGAUGCAACCCGCGGCGCGCGCUCAUCAUGAGGAAGUGAGCCGUGGCGGGCGGCGGAGGAGGAGCACGUGUACAACUCAUCUUCCCAAGCUAUCAAUGGCAAGUGAUAGAGCAGUCCUUAUAAAGGAGUCUUACUCUUAUUAUUGUAGCAGUAUGAUACUAAACUUUCCAUCAUUUGCCGUACACUCACAUGGGCAUAGAGAUUAACUAGGGAUUAUCGUCUUAUAUGGGUCUAAGCCCAUCUAUAAUCCAACAGUAGGGAGGUCCAACAGUAGGGCGAGUGUCGGAAAUGGGCUAUCCCUGCGGCGCUGAACAUUGACACCACCAAGCUCCAGGCUGGGGCCAUUGUGAAAUUUUGUUUGGCGAUUUAAGUGGAAGAAGUACCAGAAUAAGGGAACUGAGGGCUCCAUCCGCAAGUAAGCCUCACAAAACACCUGGAACUGGCAUAGAUUGCUUAUCGAGUUGGGCCCUAGAUCUUGGAGGCAUGGCAUCUCUAAGGAAUUUCGAUCCAGGCGGCUUAAAGCCCCGCUCAAGGUGUUCAACAAAAACAACUAUUUCCCCUUGCUUGGGAUUGGGGAUUUCUUCUCCUAACCGGUGCGCCAACCAAUAACCUCCUGAGGGUCCAAAUUUCCCGUUUUCACAUAAUCAUCUAGUAUAGCAUCAUUAACCUUGGCGGGGAGCCAGUCGCUUUUGAAAACGGCGCCCAUGCUACAAAGGGAUAAAAUUACGGGUGAAUUGACACACCAAACAUCUACUAAAAAUGGUGAAACAAUUUCAUUUGACUCGCCAAAUAAUUUGUCCGGGUCAGGUUGCCAGGGGCGACUUAUGAAAUUCUUGCUACUUAAAGGAACGAUGUUUCGGAGCAUCAGUGGUACUUGUCAAAAAUGGUGAACUAUGAGGCUACAAACAGAUUUCAUUUGACAAGCAAUAGAUUAUGGAUCUACCAGGCAAACGAAAAAUGACUGGAUAUAGUAACCUGCGACUAAGGUGGGACAGUACUGUUAAUUUGGUGAAGCCCUACUCUAAGUAUGCAAGUAGAGGCCGAACAAAUAAAGGUAUGAAAGACAUCGAUUUUCUCGUUAUCAUCGCCGCCAACUAAUCGGGAACAAAUAAAGCUAUUUGGGAAGCGCCAAGAACGCGACAGUGAUGAACUUCAAAAAGGAACUUGGAUUUGCUCUUGAAUGACAGAAACCUAACCUGAUGGAUUUGGCUAGAGACGGUCGACGGCGACGAACUGCUCGGCCGCGACGAAGAGUGCGGACGGCGAUGAAGGUCUCCGACGGGUGCGAAAACCUCGGGCGGUGACGAAGUGUUCAGCGGUGACGAGGUGCUCGACGACGGCGAGACGGUCGACGGCGGCGAACUACUCGGCCACGGCGAAGUGCUUGGCAGCGACGAAAGUCCUCGGGCGGCACCGAAGCUUUCGGAUGGCGACGAGGUCCUCGGGUGGUGGCGGAGCUCUCGAAAGACGAUGAGGGUUUUUCGCUGUGAAUAGUGGGGAAGAGAAGGGCGACAAGACUGGUAGGUGGAAUACGCCCAGUCCCUUCCUCCCGCCUCUUUAUCAGGACAAGCGCUAGGAUCGAGGCGCCACGAGCGGGAACCACCAAAAGAUAAAGAUUCGCCAUGAUGGCGCCCCGAGAUUUUGGGGAUAACGAUACCGAAGGAUCCGUUGGGGAUUACGUCAUUAUCUUUUCCGGGAUUCAAAGGAUAAGGAGGUACCAACGAGAAAUGGUUUGGCGACUCAAGUUUUUCCGCAACAGAUGGCGGGUUAAGUUUAUGGCGUAUAAAAGAGGUGAAGAUGAAUCGCCUUUAAUUGAGUAAGGAUAUUGGCGUCAAGAAAAUUCAAGUCAAUCUGGGGCCUAAUGUUGGGGAUAUUAUCUGUUGAUAAUCCGCCCUAGUUGGGCUGGGUCACCAGAGCUGGCGAUUCAUCUAAAGUAUGGUUCGGGCCUUGGCCUGGUAAGACUGAAGGUUGUAUGGCGGUUUACGACUUCCGGAAGGAGUCCAUAAUAGAGAAGGCCUCUAAGAUUUGGAAAGGUGGCGACUUAGAGAUCGUAAGAGUCACGGUUUGUAGAAAGGAAAGGACCCUUGUAAACCCUAGGGACUCGACCUGUAGAUAAAGGGGAGUCCCAGGGAACAAGAGGGCAGGUUAGAAAUCAUCGAGUGCUAGGUCUUGCGAGUUACGCCCUCCUUAUAAUCGAAACUCCAUCAAUACAACACAAAGCAGGACGUAGGCUUUUACCUCCUCACGAGGGGCCGAACCUGGGUAAAUCGCCGUCUCACUCCCGUUCAACCCCUUUGAGUCGCCACCAAGGUGUGAUGGCUCCAAUACUAAGUCCUUUCACGAGGACAUUCGCCGUGACAAAACCACGACAGGUACUUCCUUGCCUUCAGGUACGACGACAACGCCACAUUCCCCGUGAAGGUGUUCGACACGACUAUGUGUCGGAGGCGCUACCAGGACGACGACGAUGCCAGUACGCUCUGUCUCUUCUUCCUAUCCAUUAGGCUAUGUCUCACACCCAUUUUUUUAAAAAACUUUUUGCAUUUGGCAAGGCAAUGGGAGCAGGAGCAGUGAGUACCGCGACAUGUGCUAUGUCUACGGCAGCAGCGACUCUGGCUAUAGCAAAAGUAGUAGCGACUCUGGCUACAGCAAAAGUAGCAUCGACGAUGGCCUCGCGAUGGUGAUCCCAUAGCUGGGCGACAAGGCCAUGCGAAUUCUGGUAGAGGAGUACAUCCCACAGCCUGGCCUGGGGCUUCGCCGCUCUAAGCGCAUCAGGAUGAUGAAGGAGAAUGUGAAGAAGCAGGAGUGAAGAUCUUAAGAACCUGAUGAAGCUUUAAUCUUUAUAGUGUAAACCUUUUAAGUACAAUAGUGUUGAACUGCUACUGCACUUUUAAGUAUGAUGGUGGUGUGCGUGAUGAAAUUUUGUGCAUGCUCAUGGAUGCUCAUUGAUGAAAGAUAAAAUUAUUUAUUUUUGUGCUUGCUCANNNNNNNNNNNNNNNNNNNNNNNNNNNNNNNNNNNNNNNNNNNNNNNNNNNNNNNNNNNNNNNNNNNNNNNNNNNNNNNNNNNNNNNNNNNNNNNNNNNNUUUACACAAGCUAAUAGCAUCGAUCAUCAUCAAUCCGAUACAAACGCAUAUCACCACAGCGCACACAUCCAAGACAGGAUACAAAGGCGCUGAGCGCAGCAACAUCACCCUAGCACUAUGAAGGUAACCAGGGAUUUCAACCGUAAACACGCCACCGUGAAGAGAUGAAGCCGCCUACGGUGAACUCUGGGCUCGAGGCGACACCUUCAGGAAGGUUACGAUGCCGUAACGCCGCCGCCGCCCGAUUUAAGAAUCAGAGUUUCCCCUGAAGCCACACGACGGGCACUGAUAGCUGCGACAAUGCAUUCAAGAAGGGAACGAUCUUCGCCGCCGCCGAUCCAUCGAAGAUAGAACAUGUUUUCNNNNNNNNNNNNNNNNNNNNNNNNNNNNNNNNNNNNNNNNNNNNNNNNNNNNNNNNNNNNNNNNNNNNNNNNNNNNNNNNNNNNNNNNNNNNNNNNNNNNNNNNNNNNNNNNNNNNNNNNNNNNNNNNNNNNNNNNNNNNNNNNNNNNNNNNNNNNNNNNNNNNNNNNNNNNNNNNNNNNNNNNNNNNNNNNNNNCCACGUCGCCCACAUGACCAUGGCCACCGGGCAGCACCAAGUCACAGCCUCCGCCAAAGAGCACCACGCUACCGCCACUAGAGCCGCCACCCCGACAUCCAAGACGUCUGGACACCACCUCACCAGAGACACGUCGCAACUCCCAACCAAAGAGACGGGCGAAAUGUCCCACCUUUCGCACCCCUGGGAGACCCCAGCGCCGAGACCCAUUAGGUCGGCCAGCGCUGGCCCCCAUCGACCCGUCCUGUAGCCCGGAGCACAAGACGAGCUCAAUCCUGCUGCAACAUCAGGGGGACGAGGUCAUUCCUNNNNNNNNNNNNNNNNNNNNNNNNNNNNNNNNNNNNNNNNNNNNNNNNNNNNNNNNNNNNNNNNNNNNNNNNNNNNNNNNNNNNNNNNNNNNNNNNNNNNUUUCGGACCGUCCAGACCGUCCACACGAGGACACCAAUAACCAGCAAUCUAAUGUGCCCUCACGAAGAAGGGGAGGCCUGGAUCUCGGUACAUAGGUCGGGGAAGUUGGUGUUAUACCAGAGGUCCCCAAUGGUCUCACGGAUGCAGGACCAGAGGAAUUGCGCGGAAACACGCGAGAAGAAGAUGUGGUUGGAGUCCUCUGCAAUCCCGCAAAGGGGGCACUGUCCGUCUCCCGGGCCGUGUCGCUUGAGCACCUCCAAUCCGGAUGGGACCCGUCCGCGGAUACACUGCCACCUGAAGAUUCUAAUCUUCAGGCGGAGCCCGAUCUUCCAAAUCAGCUCAAAGGGCUUCGGAGCGGGAUUGGCAACGAUGGCCCGGUAUAAAGACUUUGCAGAGAACUUGCCCGAAGGCUAUAGAUGCCACAAAGUGCGAUCGGCAGACUGGUCGAUGUCCGGUUCGUGCAAGGAGUUUGUGACAUGCGACGGUGUCGGGGGCCCAAAUGGAUUAUGGAAAGUCAAUCACCCUAAGUCAAUAAGGGCUGCCCUGACGGAAAUCGGUGGGUCUACUGCGAUGGCAAACAUGUCGAGGAAGCGGGCAACAAAGGGGGUCUUGCCCGCCCAUCGGUCGAACAAGAAUAUACUGGAGGUCCAGGAGCCCACCUCAAUGGAGGUCCUGAUGCGGAGAACCGGGAGUAGUUGGAUGACUGACUGUGAGGACUGUGAACCUUCGACAAAAUGCGAGCGACCGGCCGCAUAGGUAUUUAUUUUGAAGGAGCUGGAGCGAGAGGCCACCUCAAGCUCAAGUGCAACGUAUUAAUAUCAAGAUGAUACACCCGGCCCCGGGUGGAUCUACCUCCUCUGUGCCCUCGAAGUUGCUUGAAUGGUGUGCGGCGUGACUCCUUGAGGCAUCUCCAACGGCAACCCACCUUUUUUUCCGCAUCAGUCCACGGACAAGGGUACUAGUCCGUGGAAACGGAUGCAGGAGACAACCAUCCAACCGUAGCCGCAUACAUCCGGCCUUCUUCAUUUUCUUUUAAUUAUGUGUGAUUAAAUUGCCGCAUAAAAAGUGUACGUAAUGUUCAAAUAGUUGCAUGCAACACUAGUUCAAAUUAAAAAAAUCAAAUAUUACAUCCAAACAUUGUUUUCACCGGCCACUCAUGGUCAAUUAGAUCUUACUUCACCUGCUCAUGAGUUGGUCGCUGCCAAUUUUUUUGAUACAUUUGAAUAAACUCUUCAAAUGUGCCCAAAAUUCUGGUCCGGAGAUUGGAUAUAAUCACCCAUGUUCUUAAAUUCUAGAGUUGCGGCAGCAUUGUCACCCUCAUGCUCAACAAUCAUGUUGUACAUGAUCACACAACAUGCCAACACCUCCCACAAGGUUUCCGGAUCCUGUUGUUUAGAAAAUCCACAAACAACCACAAAACGGCCCUACAUAACUUCAAAUACCCUCUCGACAUCCUUUCUAGUUGCUGCUUGUCUUUGGACAACGUGAGAUAUUUUUUGGUCAAUUGGGUUUGAGAUGGUGCUGAUAAAGGUAGCCUAUGGAGGAUAGAUACUAACAACCAGAGAGUAACCCUUGUUGCACUCAUGUCCAUUGACAAUAUAGUGGCAAGGAGGAACUUUUCCUUCAGUCAGCCUCGCAAACAACGGUGAUCGUUGCAGCACAAUGAUGUCAUUGUGAAACCUGGGCAUGCCAAACAAAGCGUGUCAAAUCCAAAGAUCUUGAGAUGCAACUUCUUCAAGAAUGGUGGUGGUAUUCUUAAUAUGCCCCCCGUAUUUCCCUUGUAAAGCGUUUGAACAGUUCUUCCAUUUCCAAUUAAUGCAGUCAAGAGAUCCAAGCAAACCUAGCCACCCUCUUGCUUCUGAGACUGCCAAGAGCCUCUCGACGUCUCCCACAGUUAGUUCUCUCAAGUACUCAGGUCCGAACACCUCGACCACGGCAGUAGAGAACCUGAAUAUGGCAUUUCGGCAUGUGCUCUCAGACAUCUAAAGGUACUCCGUACUUGUCUCACGAAUCAGCGGCCGUGCACUUCUGGUAACCAGAGAACCCAAUCAUCCCCACAACGUCCUUAUUUGGGAUGAAGUAGUCAUUGGAGGACCGGACGUCAUGGUACAAACGAUCAUAGACGCCCUUACUUAUCUGAAAAACUCCGACAAUAAUGUCAGUGCACUGGGGGUAGAGUAGUCGGCCAUCAGUGUCAAAUGGGCGCGCGCACUAUUGCGGUUGAGCACUCAGUUGUUGGAAUUAUGCCNNNNNNNNNNNNNNNNNNNNNNNNNNNNNNNNNNNNNNNNNNNNNNNNNNNNNNNNNNNNNNNNNNNNNNNNNNNNNNNNNNNNNNNNNNNNNNNNNNNNNNNNNNNNNNNNNNNNNNNNNNNNNNNNNNNNNNNNNNNNNNNNNNNNNNNNNNNNNNNNNNNNNNNNNNNNNNNNNNNNNNNNNNNNNNNNNNNNNNNNNNNNNNNNNNNNNNNNNNNNNNNNNNNNNNNNNNNNNNNNNNNNNNNNNNNNNNNNNNNNNNNNNNNNNNNNNNNNNNNNNNNNNNNNNNNNNNNNNNNNNNNNNNNNNNNNNNNNNNNNNNNNNNNNNNNNNNNNNNNNNNNNNNNNNNNNNNNNNNNNNNNNNNNNNNNNNNNNNNNNNNNNNNNNNNNNNNNNNNNNNNNNNNNNNNNNNNNNNNNNNNNNNNNNNNNNNNNNNNNNNNNNNNNNNNNNNNNNNNNNNNNNNNNNNNNNNNNNNNNNNNNNNNNNNNNNNNNNNNNNNNNNNNNNNNNNNNNNNNNNNNNNNNNNNNNNNNNNNNNNNNNNNNNNNNNNNNNNNNNNNNNNNNNNNNNNNNNNNNNNNNNNNNNNNNNNNNNNNNNNNNNNNNNNNNNNNNNNNNNNNNNNNNNNNNNNNNNNNNNNNNNNNNNNNNNNNNNNNNNNNNNNNNNNNNNNNNNNNNNNNNNNNNNNNNNNNNNNNNNNNNNNNNNNNNNNNNNNNNNNNNNNNNNNNNNNNNNNNNNNNNNNNNNNNNNNNNNNNNNNNNNNNNNNNNNNNNNNNNNNNNNNNNNNNNNNNNNNNNNNNNNNNNNNNNNNNNNNNNNNNNNNNNNNNNNNNNNNNNNNNNNNNNNNNNNNNNNNNNNNNNNNNNNNNNNNNNNNNNNNNNNNNNNNNNNNNNNNNNNNNNNNNNNNNNNNNNNNNNNNNNNNNNNNNNNNNNNNNNNNNNNNNNNNNNNNNNNNNNNNNNNNNNNNNNNNNNNNNNNNNNNNNNNNNNNNNNNNNNNNNNNNNNNNNNNNNNNNNNNNNNNNNNNNNNNNNNNNNNNNNNNNNNNNNNNNNNNNNNNNNNNNNNNNNNNNNNNNNNNNNNNNNNNNNNNNNNNNNNNNNNNNNNNNNNNNNNNNNNNNNNNNNNNNNNNNNNNNNNNNNNNNNNNNNNNNNNNNNNNNNNNNNNNNNNNNNNNNNNNNNNNNNNNNNNNNNNNNNNNNNNNNNNNNNNNNNNNNNNNNNNNNNNNNNNNNNNNNNNNNNNNNNNNNNNNNNNNNNNNNNNNNNNNNNNNNNNNNNNNNNNNNNNNNNNNNNNNNNNNNNNNNNNNNNNNNNNNNNNNNNNNNNNNNNNNNNNNNNNNNNNNNNNNNNNNNNNNNNNNNNNNNNNNNNNNNNNNNNNNNNNNNNNNNNNNNNNNNNNNNNNNNNNNNNNNNNNNNNNNNNNNNNNNNNNNNNNNNNNNNNNNNNNNNNNNNNNNNNNNNNNNNNNNNNNNNNNNNNNNNNNNNNNNNNNNNNNNNNNNNNNNNNNNNNNNNNNNNNNNNNNNNNNNNNNNNNNNNNNNNNNNNNNNNNNNNNNNNNNNNNNNNNNNNNNNNNNNNNNNNNNNNNNNNNNNNNNNNNNNNNNNNNNNNNNNNNNNNNNNNNNNNNNNNNNNNNNNNNNNNNNNNNNNNNNNNNNNNNNNNNNNNNNNNNNNNNNNNNNNNNNNNNNNNNNNNNNNNNNNNNNNNNNNNNNNNNNNNNNNNNNNNNNNNNNNNNNNNNNNNNNNNNNNNNNNNNNNNNNNNNNNNNNNNNNNNNNNNNNNNNNNNNNNNNNNNNNNNNNNNNNNNNNNNNNNNNNNNNNNNNNNNNNNNNNNNNNNNNNNNNNNNNNNNNNNNNNNNNNNNNNNNNNNNNNNNNNNNNNNNNNNNNNNNNNNNNNNNNNNNNNNNNNNNNNNNNNNNNNNNNNNNNNNNNNNNNNNNNNNNNNNNNNNNNNNNNNNNNNNNNNNNNNNNNNNNNNNNNNNNNNNNNNNNNNNNNNNNNNNNNNNNNNNNNNNNNNNNNNNNNNNNNNNNNNNNNNNNNNNNNNNNNNNNNNNNNNNNNNNNNNNNNNNNNNNNNNNNNNNNNNNNNNNNNNNNNNNNNNNNNNNNNNNNNNNNNNNNNNNNNNNNNNNNNNNNNNNNNNNNNNNNNNNNNNNNNNNNNNNNNNNNNNNNNNNNNNNNNNNNNNNNNNNNNNNNNNNNNNNNNNNNNNNNNNNNNNNNNNNNNNNNNNNNNNNNNNNNNNNNNNNNNNNNNNNNNNNNNNNNNNNNNNNNNNNNNNNNNNNNNNNNNNNNNNNNNNNNNNNNNNNNNNNNNNNNNNNNNNNNNNNNNNNNNNNNNNNNNNNNNNNNNNNNNNNNNNNNNNNNNNNNNNNNNNNNNNNNNNNNNNNNNNNNNNNNNNNNNNNNNNNNNNNNNNNNNNNNNNNNNNNNNNNNNNNNNNNNNNNNNNNNNNNNNNNNNNNNNNNNNNNNNNNNNNNNNNNNNNNNNNNNNNNNNNNNNNNNNNNNNNNNNNNNNNNNNNNNNNNNNNNNNNNNNNNNNNNNNNNNNNNNNNNNNNNNNNNNNNNNNNNNNNNNNNNNNNNNNNNNNNNNNNNNNNNNNNNNNNNNNNNNNNNNNNNNNNNNNNNNNNNNNNNNNNNNNNNNNNNNNNNNNNNNNNNNNNNNNNNNNNNNNNNNNNNNNNNNNNNNNNNNNNNNNNNNNNNNNNNNNNNNNNNNNNNNNNNNNNNNNNNNNNNNNNNNNNNNNNNNNNNNNNNNNNNNNNNNNNNNNNNNNNNNNNNNNNNNNNNNNNNNNNNNNNNNNNNNNNNNNNNNNNNNNNNNNNNNNNNNNNNNNNNNNNNNNNNNNNNNNNNNNNNNNNNNNNNNNNNNNNNNNNNNNNNNNNNNNNNNNNNNNNNNNNNNNNNNNNNNNNNNNNNNNNNNNNNNNNNNNNNNNNNNNNNNNNNNNNNNNNNNNNNNNNNNNNNNNNNNNNNNNNNNNNNNNNNNNNNNNNNNNNNNNNNNNNNNNNNNNNNNNNNNNNNNNNNNNNNNNNNNNNNNNNNNNNNNNNNNNNNNNNNNNNNNNNNNNNNNNNNNNNNNNNNNNNNNNNNNNNNNNNNNNNNNNNNNNNNNNNNNNNNNNNNNNNNNNNNNNNNNNNNNNNNNNNNNNNNNNNNNNNNNNNNNNNNNNNNNNNNNNNNNNNNNNNNNNNNNNNNNNNNNNNNNNNNNNNNNNNNNNNNNNNNNNNNNNNNNNNNNNNNNNNNNNNNNNNNNNNNNNNNNNNNNNNNNNNNNNNNNNNNNNNNNNNNNNNNNNNNNNNNNNNNNNNNNNNNNNNNNNNNNNNNNNNNNNNNNNNNNNNNNNNNNNNNNNNNNNNNNNNNNNNNNNNNNNNNNNNNNNNNNNNNNNNNNNNNNNNNNNNNNNNNNNNNNNNNNNNNNNNNNNNNNNNNNNNNNNNNNNNNNNNNNNNNNNNNNNNNNNNNNNNNNNNNNNNNNNNNNNNNNNNNNNNNNNNNNNNNNNNNNNNNNNNNNNNNNNNNNNNNNNNNNNNNNNNNNNNNNNNNNNNNNNNNNNNNNNNNNNNNNNNNNNNNNNNNNNNNNNNNNNNNNNNNNNNNNNNNNNNNNNNNNNNNNNNNNNNNNNNNNNNNNNNNNNNNNNNNNNNNNNNNNNNNNNNNNNNNNNNNNNNNNNNNNNNNNNNNNNNNNNNNNNNNNNNNNNNNNNNNNNNNNNNNNNNNNNNNNNNNNNNNNNNNNNNNNNNNNNNNNNNNNNNNNNNNNNNNNNNNNNNNNNNNNNNNNNNNNNNNNNNNNNNNNNNNNNNNNNNNNNNNNNNNNNNNNNNNNNNNNNNNNNNNNNNNNNNNNNNNNNNNNNNNNNNNNNNNNNNNNNNNNNNNNNNNNNNNNNNNNNNNNNNNNNNNNNNNNNNNNNNNNNNNNNNNNNNNNNNNNNNNNNNNNNNNNNNNNNNNNNNNNNNNNNNNNNNNNNNNNNNNNNNNNNNNNNNNNNNNNNNNNNNNNNNNNNNNNNNNNNNNNNNNNNNNNNNNNNNNNNNNNNNNNNNNNNNNNNNNNNNNNNNNNNNNNNNNNNNNNNNNNNNNNNNNNNNNNNNNNNNNNNNNNNNNNNNNNNNNNNNNNNNNNNNNNNNNNNNNNNNNNNNNNNNNNNNNNNNNNNNNNNNNNNNNNNNNNNNNNNNNNNNNNNNNNNNNNNNNNNNNNNNNNNNNNNNNNNNNNNNNNNNNNNNNNNNNNNNNNNNNNNNNNNNNNNNNNNNNNNNNNNNNNNNNNNNNNNNNNNNNNNNNNNNNNNNNNNNNNNNNNNNNNNNNNNNNNNNNNNNNNNNNNNNNNNNNNNNNNNNNNNNNNNNNNNNNNNNNNNNNNNNNNNNNNNNNNNNNNNNNNNNNNNNNNNNNNNNNNNNNNNNNNNNNNNNNNNNNNNNNNNNNNNNNNNNNNNNNNNNNNNNNNNNNNNNNNNNNNNNNNNNNNNNNNNNNNNNNNNNNNNNNNNNNNNNNNNNNNNNNNNNNNNNNNNNNNNNNNNNNNNNNNNNNNNNNNNNNNNNNNNNNNNNNNNNNNNNNNNNNNNNNNNNNNNNNNNNNNNNNNNNNNNNNNNNNNNNNNNNNNNNNNNNNNNNNNNNNNNNNNNNNNNNNNNNNNNNNNNNNNNNNNNNNNNNNNNNNNNNNNNNNNNNNNNNNNNNNNNNNNNNNNNNNNNNNNNNNNNNNNNNNNNNNNNNNNNNNNNNNNNNNNNNNNNNNNNNNNNNNNNNNNNNNNNNNNNNNNNNNNNNNNNNNNNNNNNNNNNNNNNNNNNNNNNNNNNNNNNNNNNNNNNNNNNNNNNNNNNNNNNNNNNNNNNNNNNNNNNNNNNNNNNNNNNNNNNNNNNNNNNNNNNNNNNNNNNNNNNNNNNNNNNNNNNNNNNNNNNNNNNNNNNNNNNNNNNNNNNNNNNNNNNNNNNNNNNNNNNNNNNNNNNNNNNNNNNNNNNNNNNNNNNNNNNNNNNNNNNNNNNNNNNNNNNNNNNNNNNNNNNNNNNNNNNNNNNNNNNNNNNNNNNNNNNNNNNNNNNNNNNNNNNNNNNNNNNNNNNNNNNNNNNNNNNNNNNNNNNNNNNNNNNNNNNNNNNNNNNNNNNNNNNNNNNNNNNNNNNNNNNNNNNNNNNNNNNNNNNNNNNNNNNNNNNNNNNNNNNNNNNNNNNNNNNNNNNNNNNNNNNNNNNNNNNNNNNNNNNNNNNNNNNNNNNNNNNNNNNNNNNNNNNNNNNNNNNNNNNNNNNNNNNNNNNNNNNNNNNNNNNNNNNNNNNNNNNNNNNNNNNNNNNNNNNNNNNNNNNNNNNNNNNNNNNNNNNNNNNNNNNNNNNNNNNNNNNNNNNNNNNNNNNNNNNNNNNNNNNNNNNNNNNNNNNNNNNNNNNNNNNNNNNNNNNNNNNNNNNNNNNNNNNNNNNNNNNNNNNNNNNNNNNNNNNNNNNNNNNNNNNNNNNNNNNNNNNNNNNNNNNNNNNNNNNNNNNNNNNNNNNNNNNNNNNNNNNNNNNNNNNNNNNNNNNNNNNNNNNNNNNNNNNNNNNNNNNNNNNNNNNNNNNNNNNNNNNNNNNNNNNNNNNNNNNNNNNNNNNNNNNNNNNNNNNNNNNNNNNNNNNNNNNNNNNNNNNNNNNNNNNNNNNNNNNNNNNNNNNNNNNNNNNNNNNNNNNNNNNNNNNNNNNNNNNNNNNNNNNNNNNNNNNNNNNNNNNNNNNNNNNNNNNNNNNNNNNNNNNNNNNNNNNNNNNNNNNNNNNNNNNNNNNNNNNNNNNNNNNNNNNNNNNNNNNNNNNNNNNNNNNNNNNNNNNNNNNNNNNNNNNNNNNNNNNNNNNNNNNNNNNNNNNNNNNNNNNNNACGUUCCCCAACAGUGACGUACCUCCUCCUUCGGGGCCGGCAGCCUCAGCACCGAAAGUGGCCCAUGCGACCACCAUCGAAGAAGCUCCAGGUCGAUGACGGGAACCCGGUUCCUCACCAAGCUGCGCCCCCCGGAAGGUAGCACCUCCCAGUGCCAGCCCAGUGGAGGCCGGUCCCGGACAUGGCGCCUGUCAAGCAGGUUGUCGCCAGCGAGUCAACGACGAGGAUGCGGGUCGGGCAUCAUCGACGUUGAGAACAAAUUCCACAACUAUUUAAAUUCCUACUGUUUUGAAAUGAGUGAAAAAUUAAACAUGACACAAUGUAACAAUGUUGGAGGUAAAUGCGGAAAACUUUGAAGGCCUCUUUAAAAAAAGGUAGGAAUAUGAAUAACACAAAAUUAGAAUGUCAUUUCCAUUCAAAUCACACAUGAUUCGACUUUGUUUGUUUGCAUCAUAGGAAAAAGGUUCUUUCCCCCAUGAGGUUGGACUAGAUGCAAGAUUUCCUAUAUAUGAAAUGUUAUACAAAUAAUUCCUGAGGAAAUAAUCAUUUCCUUAUUGAUUCUUGAGGCUAUUUCUUCAACAUUGUUAACUAAGAAAUGUUUCCUCUCUAAAGGCAGUAACAUAAUUAACGAAGAAACAUUGGGGCUAUUUCAACAUUGUUUCCUCAACAUCGUUAUCUCUUCAACAUUGUUUCCUCUCUUGGGGCUAUUUCUUCAACAUUGUUAACUAAGAAAUGUAAACUAAGCAUGUGGUUAAAUCUCUACAAAGACAAAUAUUUAGGAAUGGAGGGAGUACAAAUCAAAUGACCGAGUAGCAGGCCGUGACAAAUAUUUAGGAAUGACAAAUUUUCACCGGCCACUCAUGGUCAAUUAGAUCUUACUUCACCUGCUCGUGAGUUGGUCGCUGCCAAUUUUUUUGAUGCAUUCGGAUAAACUCUUCAAAUGUGGCCAAAAUUCUGGUCCGGAGAUUGGAUAUAAUCACCCAUGUUUUUAAAUUCUAGAGUUGCGGCAGCAUUGUCACCCUCAUGCUCAACAAUCAUGUUAUGCAUGAUCACACAACAUGCCAACACCUCCCACAAGGUUUUCGGAUCCUGUUGUUUAGAAAAUCCACAAACAACCACAAAACGGCCCUACAUAACUCCAAAUACCCUCUCGACAUCCUUUCUAGUUGCUUCUUGUCUUUGGACAACGUGAGGCAUUUUUUGGUCAAUUGGGUUUGAGAUGGUGCUGAUAAAGGUAACCUAUGGAGGAUAGAUACUGACAACCAGAUAGUAACCCUUGUUGUACUCAUGUCCAUUGACAAUAUAGUGGCAAGGAGGAGCUUUUCCUUCAGUCAGCCUCGCAAACAACGGUGAUCGUUGCAGCACAAUGAUGUCAUUGUGAAACCUGGGCAUGCCAAACAAAGUGUGUCAAAUCCAAAGAUCUUGAGAUGCAACUUCUUCAAGAAUGGUGGUGGUAUUCUUAAUAUGCCCCCCCCCCCAUAUUGCCCUUGUAAAGCGUUCAAACAGUUCUUCCAUUUCCAAUUAAUGCAGUCAAGAGAUCCAAGCAAACCUAGCCACCCUCUUGCUUCUGAGACUGCCAAGANCCCUUACUUAUCUGAAAACGCCGACAAUAAUGUCAGUGCACUGGGGGUAGAGUAGUCGGCCAUCAGUGUCAAAUGGGUGCGCGCACUAUUGCGGUUGAGCACUCAGUGACCCUUGAUCAAGCCAUUGAAAUUGAGAACAUCCUCCCCCCGCACACUCCACAUCCUCAAGGAGCGCAUGCAUCAUCACCAUCUUAUUGGAGUACUCCUCGUCCGACGGCUCAAUAUUGCUCGUAUAUGUACUCCAAAUCAGAAUUCAUUGCUAAAAAGUAGGAGGGACAAGUGUUUUUAGCUCCGGUGAUUUAUCGAACAGUGGUCGAGCAUGGCGGGAAUAGCAGUAGCGGAUGGAACCUGGCGGGGCGACUGGAGAACAGGGGUUGAACCGAGACGGAGCAGAAGAGGGGAUGGAGCCUUGCUGGAGCGCUGGAGGUGACGGAGACAUAGAGUUUGGGUGGGGAUGUGGCAUGAUGGGGGGUGGAGCGCCUGCAAAGGCAAGAAAGAAAGAAGGAACAAGAGAAAAUUGGGAGGAUGAAGUCGCGGGUACGGAAAGGGUUUUGGGUGGGUCAGGGGUGUCAGAUUCCUAUGUUUCCCAAGUUCGACUCCCGCAAAGCUCCCCCACUUUUGUGUCCGGUUUGCGGAAGAAAUCGUGUCCGGAUCGUCUCGUGGACCGAUAUAGACCUGCGUUGAAUAACUCCCGCGGUCCGGAUGCGGAUGCGGGCGGUUUGGGGGUCUAUCUUGAUGACACCCUUAGCUGAUUAUUAAUAAUGAUGUUUUCCUAAAAAUAGCAUUUGUGGAAACAUUAAUUUGUUGUUUGCCGGAUCUUUGAAUUUUGAAUAGUUUACAUGACUCUUGUAAUAGCGAUGUGAAGAUCUAGACAAGGCAUCGAGCAUGAAUAAAUUCAAGUUAUUAAUAAAGGCAGAAUAAAAGAUAUGGCACCUAACAAGCGAUCAGCAGCAUGCCGCAAGAAUUAAUAAUGCCAACCGUCAAAAAGAGUCACGGGCAAAUUAACUCCGAGCAACCUUUUCGCCAUGGUGUUGGCAUGGAUCGUCCCACCAACGAUCGUAACGACUCUUUGUCAUGUGCAUGCGACAUGUUGUGAUGAAGGUGAGGGUACACGGAGGAGCGACCGUGCCAUAUUGUGCCAUAUUGUCUCAUUCCAUGCAUGCGUGGGCCGGCUGACCUAGAAUCUCUUUGAAAACAAUAAUCAAUUGGUGCAUGUGUAAUUUAAGUUUUAAUAUAAUUUUAUAUGAAAGAUAGUAUAAAGUUGUGACAGUUAUUUUUGAGACAAAGAGAGUAGUUAGCAAAGUACUUUUCUUUCAAAUCGGGAGCAGAGAAGAAUCCAAUAAGAGUGUCCAAUCAGAUUUCAGUAUUUAGAAGUAAUCAGCACUGGCAAGGUAACGCAGCACUGGCAAUCGACAAAGAGGCAUGGCGUCCGAGGAAUUUGUUACUAAAAUAAACACAGGGCAGCAGGCACGGCAGUAGAGGCGAUGCAUGUGACAAUGUAAGGAGAUGAAAAGUAGAGUAGGCACCACUAGCUUGUUCCCUUCUCAAUCAUCUGCUUCCGCUCUCCUCUCGCCACUACGCUCUACUUCGCCGAUGAGGCCGCCGGACGGCAGCUCUUCGUCGUCCGGGCCGCACGGCAAGCAUGAGCUGCAGCCGGAGGUGGUUCUCUACACGGCGUCUGCGUCGGCGUCGCGCCGCAGAGGGCAAACCUCGGCCGACCGCUGCUACGCCUUGCGCGCCCUGCUGCGUGGCUACGGCCUGACCAUGGACGAGCGCGACGUCUCCACCAGCAGAGCACACCACAGCGAGCUCAAGUCGUUGCUUGCGGCUCGGGGGUGCGCCUUCUCCCUGCCGCAGCUCCUCGUGGGUGGACGGCCCGUGGGCGGCCCUGACCAUGUGAGGAAGCUGCACCAGACCGGCGGGCUGCGGCACCUCCUCGACGCCGCCCCAAGGCCGUGCCGCGCCUUCGUGUGCCAAGCCUGUAAGAGGGUGGGAUCCGCGCCCUGCCCAAAGUGCAGCCAGGCCCGCAACAAGAUGCUGGAUCAUGGCGUUAUGGAGGAGGAGCAGGAGGAGGAGAGGGUCGUCCUUUUUUAUCCAACCCAAGGUAAACACUUUUCUUCGUUUCUCUCCUUCCUUUUAACCAGUAGGUAAAAAGUUCAGUUGCACUUUAUUACUCUUUCUCAUCUACAUAUAACAUAUAUAGUCGGAUGCUGCAUUAUUUUCUUGACAAUUUUAUCAAGGACAUAACUCGUGCUGAACCUGAAACUACUGGCAGUAAUACAUCUACACUACUGUCCAUUUUUGGCAAGCAAUAGUUCAUGUGCUACGUAAGAAAACUCGUUGGAUGGAAACUACCUUUCUUAUCUUAUACUUGCUCUCUUCAUUAAUAUAAGUUUUUUUUAGAGAUUUCACUAUAGUUUACAUACAGAUGUAUAUAGACAUAUCCGUAUAUAGUCCGUAAGGCCCUGCUCACAUCCAUGCAAUAGAGAUCCGCCUCCUCCUUCCCUAACCUAGCCGCUCGAGCGGGUCUCGCGAGGGUUGCUGGUCCUUCGCGGAGGAAGGAAGGAACGGGGAUCUAGCGCCGCCGCCGGGGCUGCUGCGGGCUCCGUUCGCGUCCGUUGCCAGCCGCCGGGAUAUGAGGCAAGUGAGAUAAUUAAGACUGGAAGGGACAUCGCCGGCUCCCGAUCUGCCCGGCCCACGCUCCUCUAGUCCGGCGGCUCGCGAGCACGUCGUCGGCGCGCAUACUCUUCGCGUAGAGACACGCACCGCGCAGCCAUCGGACCCCUCUCCACCCCUCUCCCGCUUCGCCGCUGCCGGAGGGGGCGCCGGCGAAGCCGCGCGCGCUCCGUGGAUGGCGGCGGCGGGGCCCCUCGCGUCGGCCUUCGGGCUCUAACGGUGGCGCCCCGCGUCAGCGGUCGCGGGAUCCGGUGUGAUCUCGCCAAUAGGCGGCGGUGGAGGGCGGAUCCGGGGCUCCAUGGCCGGAUCUAGCGGGGCGCUCGGCCCUGGUGGUAGGGAGAGGCAGCCAGGCGUGGCUGCACUGGUCGGCUGGGCAUGAGCAGUGUCCAGGGCGCGCGGUGCAGUGGCCUUGGCUGGGGGUCGUGAUGGUGCGUGGCGGCCAUGCUCAGCGGUCAGUGGCGGUGGAUAUCCAGCGCAGCUCCGGGAAAAAUCCUUGCUCUGGUCUUUAUCGGAGCCGCGACGGCGACGCCCGCGGGUGCCGCUAUCUUUCUUGGAAGCGUCGUUGUGGAGGUGUGCUGUUCCCCUUCGUCGGCCACUGCUCGGACCGUCACCUGCGCCCCCCAGGUCCUGAUCGGUGGGCCUCUCUCCUGCGGAUUCUUGGCGGUGCCGGCGUGGUUGCCGGGGCCCUUCCUGUGGGUGAAGUCAGUGGAGGAGAUUCGGAUUGGGGGAAACCCCUUGGUUGGCCCAGGCCGGCCGCGCCGACGACGACGCUCAAGGGCGCCGUUAUUCUUUUUGGAGACGUCGGUAUACAUCUGCUCCUCUGCUCCCCUUCCUUGCCUCUCGGGUGAAAACCCUAACUCCAUUGGGCGGCGGCGGCGUCCUUGACGUCGUGACCUUCCUUAAGGCGUCGCCUUGAGGGUUGAGUGGUGGUGGGCACUGUGUGGGUCCUGAACGGUUGUUGGUGGUGGGCACUGCUUCGCGGGAAACUCUAGGAUCUGGUCUUCCAGUUAGGACGAUGGCGGUACUGUGGUGCCGUUUCUCCCUUGGGAGCGUCGUUUGUGAGCAGUGCUGGCAGACUGAGGCAGGAGGUGGAGCGGCUUCGUCUUGCACGGUAUUUCGGUGGAGCUGUCAAGUCAUGCCUGGUCGACAGGUGCUACGCUGAGUCAUGCCUGGUUGGCAGGUGCUACGCACGACAGAUCUCCCGGAAUCUUCGCAUCUGGACGGAUGAGCGCAGGGCGGUGGCGCCGUUGGGCGCCGUGGUGGUGUCGACGGAUGAUUGGACUGGCAAGGAUGAUGCGGAUCUCUUUCCUGAAGAUGGGUCAGUGGUUCGAGGAUGAUGGCGGCUGGUAAAACGUGCGCGUGAGGUGUGCGUUUUAGGUGUGCUGCACCGGCUAUUGUUCCCGAUACGUUAUGUGGAUGAAUUGGAAACAACACCGGUCUUAGAUAUGUGGAAUGAGAACACUCCACAUUAUCGAAUUUGUAGGUGUGAGUGGUGACUUUGGGUGGAUUGAUGUAUACUUUUAAUAGACCUUUGUGAAAUAACUAAUUAGAUGGCCGCAUGCAUCGAUUGAUGCAGAGGCUGGAGGUUUAACCUCCUUCUCAAAAAAAAAAAUAUAGCCCGUAAUAAAAAAAUUAAAAAAUAUAUAUUUAAAAACGAAGGGAGUAUAUAAGAAUGAAGGCCUCUUCUGAGAAAUUGUGCGGUGGGGUCCGUAACUUCAUCUCUUGACGUGAGGUCGCUACAAAAAUCUAUGACGAAGGUGGACUCCAUAAGUGUGACCCACUAGCCCCUAUACUUUUAACAUUGUGGUGGAUGUGGAUACUCUGCUCGAACUCACAAAGGUUUUGGGCGAGAUUGUUGAAGUGAUGUCAUAUAUUGUGGAUGGUGGCCUUUCAAUACUAACAACGAUAUGGUAUCGUACAAGAUUUUUCCGUGCACGAUCUCCCUUGCAAGUUAAUUUCUCUAUCCCCUCUUGACGACACGAGGGUGAAACCUAGCGCUGCCACUACCCUCUCCCCUCCUAUUACCUCACCUUGCCACUGCUUGAGGUUGUCGUCAGGCUCGUUCGCAUGGCUGAGAGAGAGUCUCCAUCUUGGGAGCGGGUGGCUACCAUGGAUGCUAUUAACAGAUCCCCUCGGCUACGCGGGCGGCGACAUGCGUAGUUCUUGGCGCAUGGGCUACCCCGAUGGCCCUUCGUGUGGGAUUUGAAGAUGAUAUCCUCUAAUGCACUCCUCAUCCGGUCCGCUGACCAGGAUCUCAGCCGCCUAUGCUUUUGCCGAAUCCGGUGGCUGGUUGGGGUGGCUGGGGAUGGGGAUCUGUAUCGGGGAAAACUCUUUACCUGUGGUAGCGAUCAUGAUGACACUAAGAGCAUCUCGUUCUCCUUCCAGUAGGCGACAACGAGGUACAUCCCCUUCUCUCCUCCUCCGUGUCCUAUGUGAAAACUCAAAUUUCGUGGCUUGGGUGGCACCGAAACCCCGACAUUAUGUUCUUCUGGAAGAUGUCGCCUUGGGACAAGGUGGUGGUGGUCGGGACUUCAGCAUGGGUGGUGGGCAGACGGUGGUGGUUUCUUUAGAAUGUGUCUUUAGUGGUGAUCCCGUUCGGUAGCUUGCCAUGUGUGGUAGGCUAUAUGAAAAAGUUUGCUUUGUGAGGUGAGGUCGUCGUGCUUGUCCUAUUCUCCCUCGCAACAUUGUCCUUCUCAUGCGUGCUCAGGGGUGAGCCGCAGUAACACCCUAGACUGGCUACCGAGUAUAAGGUCAUUAUGCCUGACUACCGUGCAGGACAUAAACGGCCAACAUACCAACAUUAGUAUUUCAUGCGCACUUUAUACUUACCCGCGCACACUGAGAAUUAACUUUCUAGUUGGUCACCCAUCCUGAGAUUGCUCCAAGCCAUGUAUGACAAUUCAUCAAUACUCCUGAAAGGCUACACUGGACAAGGGGAUAUGAAACAUAGAACCGGUAUCCUCCUCGGCAAGACGCAUGUCACAAACGGCAAUCGGCCAUCUUUAGCAAAAUAACUUAUCUUUGGGAAUUUUAGCAAUCAAGGACUCAUCUGACAGAAGAUCAUGGUAUAAAAGAACUGAAAACCCAACACUAACUUCAUAAUAACACGUAACAGUAAGGAGCCAAUAGGACCACAACAUAUGGACGCAAUAAUAGUCGUAAGAAUUCCAAAAAACCAAUGAAGAGUGUAUUUUAUUCACUCAAAAUGAAGCGGUAAGGGAAUACAUAUACAAUCAGCGCACACCCGACGUUUGCAUAAAUAGGAUACUCUCGAAAGCACACACAUAGAUAAAAUGUUGGCAAAUAGCAAAGUCAUAAAAGACCAAAGCAAUGAGAAUCGGUUGGCAAAAAAGGAUCCUCCCAAUAAGGAUAAAUUGGAUCGGCGAUCUCUUGCCUCCGACCACCAAGUCUUCCCUCGGAGUCACUGGCAUGUUUUUCUCCAAUGCAGCAGCGCCUAGAGACUACGGUCACGGUGACUACCAUGCAGCUGGCGGUGCAAGCUUGUACGAGAGUGGAAGAUAACAACGGAUUGGCUAUAGCGACCAUCUCCGCGACUUCUUCAUGCGAGGUGAUGGCCGCGACGUACACGUGUGAGGCCAAACUGUGAACUAUGACCGACUCUAGGGGUUAGUCUAGUAGGAUUCUCUCAUACAUUGGGGCUCGACACGACCACUAUGGAAGGGGGGAGACUACAACGUCGGCGACAUUAAUCCUACCCCAACCUCUUGUGGUAGUAGCGCGCCAGUGAUCACAGUGGUAUUUGCGGCUGGCCCCAUUGCCAUUGGCAUGAAAGGUCUCAACAAGGAUAGAGAAUUGAAGAAGAAAAUGUGCUCAUAGAUGAUGUUGACAACGUAGAAGAAGUCAUCGAGGUCGUGCGAAAACCUCCCAUGACAGUGCAUGACAUGCCAUGAGGGAUGCCUCUACCUCUAAUCCGUCGGCUUAUGUGAGUUUUCGCGGAGGUGCGCACUAUGGCUAUAUAUAUAGCGGCCAUGGUGAUGGUGACGUCUUCUUCAAUUCACUUGCCUUCUCGAUCUAUCAGUGGUGGUUUCAGACAUGAGAACUUAUGACGGUAGAUAGUGUGGCGGUGUCACCGGACUGCAUGCUGCAGAUGAUGAUGCGGCGACCUUGGGCGGCUGCGAGUGAUAGGUCGGAUAGCGCACCAUGUUAUAUCUGUGGUGCAUGUAGAGGACACUGGUGCAGUGGUCCCGGGGGUCGUGGUGAAUGUUACUACCCACCCACUGCCUGCCUUCCUGGAAUGGCAUGGAGUACAUGCUAACUUCCAAAAGAUCCGUCUUCGAGAUGAUGAUUGGAACAUCGCUUCAUGUCCGAGGUGUAAACUCUUGCUUUUGUCUUUAUUGGUUGGGAUCAGUAGUGACGAACUUGUGUCACUACCUUGUUAAAUGCGUAGUCUCCAUGCUGAUGCGCUAGCCUUUGGUGGUUAGUGUCGACAAGUAGGAUGAAAAUCCAUGUCCUAGUCUUCUUCGGCCCGACGUGAAGACGGUGGCACGAGGGCGCUUAAUCCUUCUUGAAGGCGUUGGCAUAUGUGGCGGUGGCCUUCGCAUCAGUGUGAUGCACACAACCAUUUUUAUUAAUUAUUGAGCAAAAUAAGUAUAUAGGCAGUCAUGGCCAAAUUGUUAGAGAUAUGAGAUAAAAACGUAAGUCAACAUCUUUUUCUGCCCCGGAAGUGGGGUGCCUUUCUGUGGGAGCAAGGGACAACACUUCCCUGGCGGGAGACCAGCGUCCAUGCACCUUCGACCAAAUCUACAUCUAAAGUGGGGCUCCUAUAUGACGCCCUACCCAUGGCACAAUUUAUAAAAUUAAGUUUUGUAUCAUAUCUAAAUAAUAUAUAUUUACUUCAAUUUUUGUGGUACAACUAUUUCAUUGUAUCUGGCCUUGGACCACACCAAACACACAAACCAAGUAAGCACUAAAAUCUGCAAAAGGCAAAUGUGAACUGACCAUAAAAGUUUUGUCGAAUAAUUAUAGUAUUAAAAUAAAGCAAAAACAGAAAAAUAUAUAACCAUUAUUUUGCAGGAACCAGUGUUCCUUAGUUCAUUGAGGAUGUGGUGGAAUGUCCGACCCCAAGUGUGCCUGAACCUGGACGUACAUCUCACUUCUUCUACAAAUGAAUAGACAAAGUCCGAAAGAUUUUAUCGCUAGUUCUAUAUCUGAAAGUAACACGUGUGCGGGUAAUUAGUUUGAAAACACACAUAAAGGUUUUAUGUAUAUUGGUUAGGCUGGUUCAUUUACAAUUUUCAGUGCAUACUUGGGACGGGAUUACAAAUUGGAAUAACCAUAUUGUACGUCUCUUAAUAUAGUUUUCUCUCCCACUAAUGGUCUCUAAAUAACCAAAAAUGUAUUUGUUUAGCAAGUCAGCCAUUAUCUCCUAACCAUUUUGUUCAAAGAAGCUCCAAAAUUUUCAUAUUACUAUUGGAGACAUGCAAUACUUCCUGAUUUGUCCUGGAUUUCUGAGGGAAAUCAAAUUUUGAACGAAAAAAUUGGUAUUGCCAGGGUCAGUUCUUUGAGUGGCUUUUUUGAGCUUCUAGAAUAAGCUGCCCCUAUCCAGCUUAUUCUAGAAGCUCAAUCAAAAGUAUAUUUUUAAAAACCUACCAGUUAAGACUUAAUGAGUAGAUUUAUAAAAAAUAAAUUUGAUUAGGCUUUUAGAAUAAGCUGGGUAGGGGUAGCUUAUUCCAGCUUAUUCUAGAAGCCAUCAAAAGAACUGGUCCUUAAAGGGGCAUUUGUUAAGCAUGUGCACAAAAUAACAAUUAAAUUAUGCAUGCCCAUAUUCUUUCUCUUCAUUUUCUAUAUCUGCAAAAUAAGUUGUGUUGGACAUCGCUCAUGAAAUAGAUAGAGUAUUGGUACUACUACUUAGCAAAUAUUUUGAGGAUUUCAUAUAUACUCCGUACUUUGGAUUUCCUUUUCUCGAGUGACCAAUGCCAACCGCGGGUGGUUGGCUCGUGGGCGCAUGCCUGGCCAUCUCCUGCUUUCUGCUUGGUUGCUGCCCAACCGCCGCUAGCAGCAGUAGGGUCGGCCUUGCUGACGGGCGCCGUAGUCCCCAUGCCGGCGUGUGCACUCCCCUCCGGCGAGGCCAACUAGUGGCACCACCUCACUGGUCGUCGGCUUCAGCAUAUAUACCAUCCAUCUCCUGGCAAGCCUUGGAGGCUUGGAGCUUCAUGGUUUGAUUGGCGUGUGUGGCGGCGUGUUCGCUCCUCCUGAACAUGUCUAGGCCAUAUACAAGAAAAUAUUAGUUUCAAACAUUAUGAUGCCAAGACUCGAACCUCAACAUGGAGCUUAUAUUUUUCUUAAUUAUAAAAAUACUAUCGUAGUCUGAAAACAUGAAGAGUUCCAUUGUGUCAUGAUAUGAUCCCUACAGGCCAUGGUAAAAAUUUGUGAAGGUUUAGCAAAAGUUUAAAUGAAUGAUGCUUAGAAACCGGACUAUCUUUGAGAAAUAAACUAGAUUUCGAGAUAAAAAAAGUGUCAUGCUUGAAGGCAAAGGGACCACUCAUUGGUUUACUUUAAAAAGGUAUAUGCUUAACAUACACCAUUACAUAGUUAAUUUCAAUAUUUGACAUUUUUGGGUUCAGUUGCUAUAGCUAAGUCGUUAAAUGCAUAUAUAGGCAUUUAAUAGAUGUAAUUCAAAUUUGAAAUGCACAUGUAUAACUUUUUUUUAGAAAAAAUGGGUCAAAAAAUAAUGUUUGUGUUAAUGAGUCUAUGUUUAAAGCUUAUACUUUCAAAAAAGGAAGGAAAAAAAUUUGAAGUUGAGUGUUUGCAUUGCAAGCAAGGUAACACACAAUUAGGGGUGGGGACUAUAAAACCGAAAACCGAAAAACCAAACCGAACUGAACCGUAUUAACUGAUUUCUCGGUUUAUUUGGUGGUUUGAUUUUUGGUUUGGUGGGAAAUUUUAGGGUUGUUCGGUGUUUUGUUUUUGUUCGGAUUUUGGUGCCCGGAAAUCGAAUAGACAGAACAAACCGAUAUGUGGGAUACCCCAUGGAAUACCUUGUUUCUGAAAAUGCAACAGUAUGGAGGCAUCACACAUUUCUCCGCACAUAAUACAUUUCACGUUCCAUGUGCUUUUUCUACUUAACUAUGGUUACUAGUUUGCUUGGCCGAAUAAACCAUAGAAUGAUAUUAAGGUUGCCAGAACUUGUGAUUAUCCUUUUGCAUAUUAUACAAAGCAAAUCAAUGCUCUCGAGUCAUUACACUUAUACUAACAAGUGCAUGAAUUUUGGUUUUUCGGUUAACCGAACAAACCGAACCGAUAUAUUGUGGUUAAUAUGGUUCGGUUUCUAAAUUUUGAAUGAUUAUUUCGGUUUCUAUUUUUCCAAAACCGAAAUUAUAUAGAACCGAAUAAACCGAACCGUAUUAACCAUAUAAACCGAACGCCCAGCCCUACACACAAUCCAUGUUCUUCAUUCUCAUGGGCCGAGAGCCGAGAGGAAGCAGAGUGGAUCGAUAAUGUGGCACCAUCCUCACCAAAAAAUCUCCAUGCAUUUGUCUCCCUCGUCUCCUUUUCCAAUCAUCCUAUCCCAUCCCAUGCAUCUCCUCUCCAUCUCCCUCCCCCCUUCUCUUCCUCGACCGCAUGCAGCAGCCGCAAGCAUCGCUGGAACCAACAAUAAGUAGCAUAUAACAGUGGCCGCAACAGCGAACAAGGCUAGAAUAUCUAACAUCAGGCAUGAGCAAGCAUAAGCCCCACGAACUGCCGAUGCUCCUCUCCCCAAGCCACGGUAGUAGCACGAGCACAAAAGGAGCACCAGCGGUGCAGUGGCAUGCCGCGGUGGCCAGGCACAAUGCGGCAGCCAUGAGGCGGCAAUGUUUUAUCUGGUUUUGACACUCGGCAAAGAGUUUGCCUAGUGCACCACAAAAAAAACUUGACAAAGAGCACUUUGCCUAAAGGGUGUAUGUCGAGUCCAUUUUGCCGAGUGCAACACUUGGCUAAGACUUUAUUGAGUAUGUUUUGCCGAGUGAACUUAGCGGUAGGAAAACAACGGUUUCUAGUAGUGUUAAGGAGUUGAGGAGAGAAGUGGAAAGGAAAUUAAGGAGUUGACGAGAGAAGGGGAAAGGAACCUAGUACUCCCACAUAACUAUUCCAUACCCUCCUCUAUUAAUUCACAUGGAAAGUUACUUCCUCUGAAAUUUCGCCCACUAAUUUUAACCACACACUAAACAUGGGCUUGGGACGAAAACUCGAUUUAAAAUGCCCGAAAGUGUAAUAAAUAUCAACUAGCCAAACAUGCUGGGGCGAAGCCCGUACUAGCUCCUACGAAGGUGGAGGUGCUCCCCAUCUCAUGAGGAGCUCCUAUUUGACGCGUUCUGCGUCGAAUUGGGGUCGCGGCGCAUACAGCAAGCCCCGAAUGGGCUGGCCCAUUAGCGUGCUCGCGCGUUCGCCCCGCUCGUACUGUGUCCUAAACUCACAAUGUAAAAAAAUCAAAAUAACAAGCUCCCUCACCAGGAAUGCAACCACAUACCAUCGGGUUUCAAUGUGCUCGCACUAACCAAGGCACUGGACGAUAAUACGUUGGUAAAAAGCAGCGCUAAACUUUAAAUACUAACCAUAGCGCCAGAUAUAACACCUUUUCAAAUUCUAGAACAUUUUUUGAAAAUCCGAAACAUUUUUAUAAAAAUUCUGGAACAUUUUUCCAAAUUCUGGAACAAAAAUCAAAUUCCAGAACAUUUUAUUGAAAAUACGGAAAAAAAUAUAAAAUUUCGGAACAUCUUUUCUAAUUUCGGAACAUUUUCCAAACAUUUUUUAACUUCUGAAACAUUUUUCCAAAUUCUGGAACAUUUUUUAAAACUCCGAAACAUUUUUGAAACAGAAACAAAAAAAACUGAAAAGAAUAAAUAAAAAAGAAAACGAAAAAAAACGGUUCAGGGGAUCUUUUAGAAAGUUCCCAAAAACGGAAAAAAAACGGUUGGGGAAAGUCUAAAACGUUCCCAAAACCGGCAUCCCACGCAACCGUUAAUGGGCCGACCCAGAUCAUCCUCACUCUCUUUUCUCCUGUGCGUUUGCCCGACAUUUUGACGCAAAGAGCGUCAAAUAGGAUAUUCCCAUCUCAUGGGGGCAUUGUGUGUUCCAUCCACUAGGUGUUUCCAUAGUGAAGACUCCUCAAGGUAUUGUUAUUGUGAAUCUAGGUUUGUCCUGGGGCCGGGGUUCGGGCCCAAUACUAGCCUUGCAAGGCCUAUGACGAGGUAGGCUUCCUGUGGAGGGGGGCAUGUGGGCCCAAUCCUGGCCUUGCAGGGCCUAUUGCGCGGAUAGGCAUGCGGUAGGAGUGCAUGGCAUAGUUGGUGAGCGAACAACCCGAUAUGGAGCCUGGCAAGGCUACAAUGUCGGUGUGUCUUGGUAGUGGCUCCCUUUGGUCCAAUUGGGUCGUACGGGCCAUGGCCAUUCUGUGGUACGACAUACAGUUUCUGCAGUUGGCACGACGGCUCCUCCUGAUUGUUGUGGUUGUAGAGCCACAUGUUGUGUUGUAGCUUAAGAGAGCCGUCAUAGUAGUGGUGGUGUUCGUGGUGCCAUCGCUGACCCAUGAUGUGGUGGCCAUCACAUCUUUUUGUUCCUCCUGGUCUAGUUUGCUGUUUUCGCAUUUUUGCGGAAGUAAGGUUCAUAGCAGCAUGGCGUCAACCAACGUCAAAGGUGGCGAGACAUAAGACUUUGGCCGAAAGCCUUGUUCUUUGAUGGAGGGCGAGGGGGUCUUUGCCAUUGAUGUUGCCGCCCGUGUGCGUUCUCCUCCGUCGAGGCAUUGUGGAAGAAUACAUAUAUGGUUGUGGCCGGUUUGAAUGGAAGUGGUGUGGAGAUUGUUGGAUAGGUUGAGCCAUUUUUGUGGCUCGGUGGGGUAGUCGUGCGAGGGUCUCGGAGAAAGAUUUGAGGUCCAGGUGGUCGGUGGCUGAUGCUGGUGACAGCGACAUACUCGGACGUUGUUUUUCUUUUUGAAAGUGUUGAUGAAGAUCUUGCAUUCAACCUCUCUGGAAAGCUUGCAUGCUAGGUGGUUGUAGUCUGCUUGGGUUGUCGUUGGUGAUUUUUCUUUUUUUCUGUUCUUUCGUAGUUGUUCUGUUUUGUAGUCUGCUAGGUGGUUGUACUCUGCUUGGGUAGCCUAGUUCCCUUAUAAACACGGCCACUCUGUGAAAUCGGCAAAGCUCCUGCCUUGCACGUCAAAGAAAAAAAAACAUGUUGUGAGUUCCCUGGCCCCUUCAGCUGCAGAACUAGGCAUGUGUUCAAUAUUUAUUUCACGGUUAUUUUCUCCAAGUAGGAGGAAUUUUUAGUUUUUUUAAUUUGGUAGUUAAUUGACAAACACUAANNNNNNNNNNNNNNNNNNNNNNNNNNNNNNNNNNNNNNNNNNNNNNNNNNNNNNNNNNNNNNNNNNNNNNNNNNNNNNNNNNNNNNNNNNNNNNNNNNNNGGGCAUAAUUCCAACAGUCUCCCACUUGCACUAGAGUCAAUAAUCUAGCUUUCACAUCACCAUGUGAAUUUACAUUGUAAUAAAUCUAACACCCAUACAGUUCUGCUGUCGAUCAUGUUUUGGCCGUGGAAGAGGUUUAGUCAGCGGGUCUGCUACAUUCAGAUCCGUGUGCACCUUGCAUAUAUUUACGUCCUCCUCCUCGACGUAGUCGCGGAUGAGGUUGAAGCGUCGUUUGAUGUGUCUGGUCUUCUUGUGAAACCGUGGUUCCUUUGCUAAGGCAAUGGCACCAGUGUUGUCACAGAACAAGGUUAUUGGAUCCAGUGCACUUGGCACCACUCCAAGAUCCGUCAUGAACUGCUUCAUCCAGACACCCUCCUUAGCCGCCUCCGAGGCGGCCAUGUACUCCGCUUCACAUGUAGAAUCUGCUACGACGCUUUGCUUGGAACUGCACCAGCUUACUGCACCCCCAUUAAGAAUAAAUACCUAUCCGGUUUGCGACUUAGAGUCGUCCGGAUCUGUGUCAAAGCUUGCAUCAACGUAACCUUUUACGGCGAGCUCUUCGUCACCUCCAUACACGAGAAACAUCUCCUUAGUCCUUUUCAGGUACUUCAGGAUAUUCUUGACCGCUGUCCAGUGAUCCACUCCUGGAUUACUCUAGAACCUACCUGCCAUACUUAUGGCCAGGCUAACAUCCGGUCUAGUGCACAACAUUGCAUACAUGAUAGAGCCUAUGGCUGAAGCAUAGGGGACGGAGCGCAUAUGCUCUCUAUCUUCAUCAGUUGCUGGGCACUGAGUCUUACUCAAUCUCGUACCUUGUAACACUGGCAAGAACCCUUUCUUGGACUGUUCCAUUUUGAACCUCUUCAAAACUUUAUCAAGGUAUGUGCUUUGUGAAAGUCCUAUCAGGCGCUUUGAUCUAUCCCUAUAGAUCUUAAUGCCUAGAAUGUAAGCAGCUUCUUCUAGGUCCUUCAUAGAGAAACUUUUAUUCAAGUAACCUUUUAUGCUCUCCAAAAGCUCUACGUUGUUUCCAAUCAGUAAUAUGUCAUCCACAUAUAAUAUUAGAAACGCCACAGAGCUCCCACUCACUUUCUUGUAAAUACAAGAUUCUCCAACCACUUGUAUAAACCCAAAUGCUUUGAUCACCUCAUCAAAGCGUUUGUUCCAACUCCGAGAUGCUUGCACCAGUCCAUAAAUGGAUCGCUGGAGCUUGCACACCUUGUCAGCAUUUUUAGGAUCGACAAAACCUCCGGGUUGCAUCAUAUACAACUCUUCAUAAUCGAAAAAUGCAGCUAUUGCUAACAUGAUUCUGACGGAUUUAAGCAUCGCUACGGGUGAGAAGGUCUCAUCGUAGUCAACUCCUGGAACUUGUGAAGAACCCUUUGCCACAAGUCGAGCUUUAUAAACGGUCACAUUACCGUCAGCGUCCGUCUUCUUCUUAAAGAUCCAUUUGUUCUGAAUAGCCUUGCGGCCCUCAGGUAGUAUCUCCAAAGUCUACACUUUGUUCUCAUACAUGGAUCCUAUCUCGGAUUUCAUGGCUUCUAGCCAUUUGUUGGAAUCUGGGCCCACCAUUGCUUCUUCAUAAUUUGCAGGUUCAUUGUUGUCCAACAACAUGAUUGAUAAGACGGGAUUACCGUACCACUCUGGAGCAGCGCGUGAUCUCGUCGACCUGCGUGGUUCAACAGAAACUUGAACUAGAGUUUCAUGAUCAUCAUCAUUAACUUCCUCCUCAACCGGCAUCGCAACGACAGAGGUUUCCCCUUGCCCUGCGCCACCAUCCAGAGGGAUGAGAGGUUCGACAACCUCGUCAAGUUCUAUCUUCCUCCCACUCAAUUCUCUCGAGAGAAACUCCUUCUCGAGAAAAGUUCCGUUUUUAGCAACAAACACUUUGCCCUCGGAUUUGAGAUAGAAGGUGUACCCAACUGUCUCUUUUGGGUAACCUAUGAAGACGCACUUUUCCGCUUUGGGUUCCAGCUUUUCAGGCUGAAGCUUUUUGACAUAAGCAUCACAUCCCCAAACUUUAAGAAACGACAACUUUGGCCUUUUGCCAUACCACAGUUCGUAUGGUGUCGUCUCAACGGAUUUCGAUGGUGCCCUAUUUAAAGUGAAUGCAGCUGUUUCUAAUGCAUAACCCCAAAAUGAUAACGGCAAAUCAGUAAGAGACAUCAUAGAUCGCACCAUCUCUAACAAAGUACGAUUACGACGUUCGGACACACCAUUACGCUGUGGUGUUCCAGGCGGUGUUAACUGCGAAACAAUUCCACAUUGUCUUAAGUGAGUACCAAACUCGAAACUCAGAUAUUCACCCCCACGAUCAGACCGUAGGAACUUGAUCUUCUUGUUACGAUGGUUUUCCACUUCACUCUGAAAUUGCUUGAACUUUUCAAAUGUUUCAGACUUGUGCUUCAUCAAGUAGACAUAACCAUAUCUACCUAAAUCGUCAGUGAAGGUGAAAGAAUAACGAUAUCCGCCGCGUGCCUCCACGCUCAUUGGACCACACACAUCGGUAUGUAUGAUUUCCAACAAGUCACUUGCACGCUCCAUUGUUCCGGAGAAUGGAGUCUUAGUCAUCUUGCCCAUGAGGCAUGGUUCGCACGUGUCAAGUGAAUCAAAGUCAAGUGACUCCAAAAGUCCAUCAGCAUGGAGUUUCUUCAUGCGCUUUACACCAAUAUGACCCAAGCGGCAGUGCCACAAAAAUAUGGCGCUAUCAUUGUUUACUCUAACUCUUUUGGUCUUAAUGUUAUGUAUAUGUGUAUCGCUAUCAAGAUUUAAUAUGAACAAUCCUCUCACAUUCGGUGCAUGACCAUAAAAGAUGUUACUCAUAGAAAUAGAACAACCAUUAUUCUCUGACUUAAAAGAGUAACCGUCUCGCAAUAAACAAGAUCCAGAUAUAAUGUUCAUGCUCAACGCAGGCACUAAAUAACAAUGAUUUAAGUUCAUCACUAAUCCCGAUGGUAGUUGAAGUGACACUGUGCCGACGGCGAUUGCAUCAACCUUGGAACCGUUUCCUACGCGCAUCGUCACUUCGUCUUUCGCCAGCCUUCGUCUAUUCCGCAGUUCCUGCUUCGAUUUGCAAAUGUGAGCAACAGAACCGGUAUCGAAUACCCAGGCACUACUACGAGAGCCGGUUAAGUACACAUCAAUAACAUGUAUAUCAAAUAUACCUGAUUUUUCUUUGCCCGCCUUCUUAUCUGCCAGAUACUUGGGGCAAUUGCGCUUCCAGUGACCCAUACCCUUGCAAUAGAAGCACUCUGUUUCAGGCUUAGGUCCAGCCUUGGGUUUCUUCGGCGGAUUGGCAACAGGCUUGCCGCUCUUCUUCGAAUUGCCCUUCUUGCCUUUGCCGUUUCUCUUGAAACUAGUGGUCUUGCUCACCAUCAACACUUGAUGCUCUUUACGGAGUUCAGACUCUGCGACUUUCAGCAUCGCAAACAACUCGCCGGGAGACUUGUUCAUCCCUUGCAUGUUGUAGUUCAACACAAAGCCUUUAUAGCUUGGCGGCAGUGAUUUGAAGGAUUCUGUCAGUGAUAGCUUCUUGCGGGAGUUCAAUCCCCAGUUCUGCUAGACGGUUUGAGUACCCAGACAUUUUGAGCACAUGUUCACUGACAGACGAGUUUUCCUCCAUCUUGCAAGCAUAGAAUUUAUCGGAGGUCUCAUACCUCUCGAUCCGGGCGUUCUUCUGAAAGAUAAACUUCAACUCCUGGAACAUCUCAAAUGCUCCAUGACGCUCAAAGCGACGUUGAAGUCCCGGUUCUAAGCCAUACAAGACUUCACAUUGAACUAUUGAGUAGUCCUCCUUACGUGCUAACCAAGCGUUCUUAACAUCCUGAUCAGCCGUAGCGGGUGGUUCAUCUCCUAGCGCAGCAUUAAGGACAUAAUCCUUCUUUCCAGCUUGUAAGAUUAGCUUAAGAUUACGAGCCCAGUCUACAAAGUUGCUUCCAUCAUCUUUCAACAUAGCUUUCUCUAGGAACGUAUUAAAAUUCAGGAUGACACUUGCGUGAGCCAUGAUCUACAACACAAAUAUAUUCAAAGUGGACUUAGACUAUGUUCAAGAUAAUUAGAGUUCAACUUUAAUCAAAUUAUAUGCUAAACUCCCACUCAAAAAGUACAUCUCUCUAGUCAUUUGAGUGGUUCAUGAUCCACUUACACUAUCCCAAGUCCGAUCAUCACNNNNNNNNNNNNNNNNNNNNNNNNNNNNNNNNNNNNNNNNNNNNNNNNNNNNNNNNNNNNNNNNNNNNNNNNNNNNNNNNNNNNNNNNNNNNNNNNNNNNNNNNNNNNNNNNNNNNNNNNNNNNNNNNNNNNNNNNNNNNNNNNNNNNNNNNNNNNNNNNNNCGAUCAUCACGUGAGUUGAGUAUAGUUUCAGUGGUAAGCAUCUCUAUGCUAAUCAUAUCAACUAUAUGAUUCAUGAUCGACCUUUCGGUCUCAUGUGUUCCGAGGCCAUGUCUGCACAUGCUAGGCUCGUCAAGCUUAACCCGAGUGUUCCGCGUGCGCAACUGUUUUGCACCCGUUGUAUGUGAACGUUGAGUCUAUCACACCCGAUCAUCACGUGGUGUCUCGAAACGACGAACUGUAGCAACGGUGCACAGUCGGGGAGAACACAAUUUCGUCUUGAAAUUUUAGUGAGAGAUCACCUCAUAAUGCUACCGUCGUUCUAAGCAAAAUAAGGUGCAUAAAAGGAUUAACAUCACAUGCAAUUCAUAAGUGACAUGAUAUGGCCAUCAUCUCGUGCUUCUUGAUCUCCAUCAUCAAAGCACCGGCACGAUCUGCUUGUCACCGGCGCCACACCAUGAUCAUCCAUCAACGUGUUGCCAUUGGGGUUGUCGUGCUACUUAUGCUAUUACUACUAAAACUACAUCCUAGCAAAAUAGUAAACGCAUCUGCAAGCACAUAUGUUAGUAUAAAGACAACCCUAUGGCUCCUGCCGGUUGCCGUACCAUCGACGUGCAAGUCGAUAUUUCUAUUACAACAUGAUCAUCUCAUACAUCCAAUAUAUCACAUCACAUCGUUGGCCAUAUCACAUCACAAUCAUACCCUGCAAAAACAAGUUAGACGUCCUCUAAUUUUGUUGUUGCAUGUUUUACGUGGUGACCAAGGGUAUCUAGUAGGAUCGCAUCUUACUUACGCAAACACCACAACGGAGAUAUAUGAGUUGCUAUUUAACCUCAUCCAAGGACCUCCUCGGUCAAAUCCGAUUCAACUAAAGUUGGAGAAACCGUCACUUGCCAGUCAUCUUUGAGCAAAGGGGGUUACUCGUAACGAUGAAACCAGUCUCUCGUAAGCGUACGAGUAAUGUCGGUCCAAGCCGCUUCAAUCCAACAAUACCGCGGAAUCAAGAAAAGACUAAGGAGGGNNNNNNNNNNNNNNNNNNNNNNNNNNNNNNNNNNNNNNNNNNNNNNNNNNNNNNNNNNNNNNNNNNNNNNNNNNNNNNNNNNNNNNNNNNNNNNNNNNNNUGUUGGAAUUAUGCCCUAGAGGCAAUAAUAAAUGUAUAGUUAUUAUUAUAAUUCCUGUAUCAAGAUAAUAGUUUAUUAUCCAUGCUAUAAUUGUAUUGAAUGAAGACUCAUUUACAUGUGUGGAUACAUAGACAAAACACCGUCCCUAGCAUGCCUCUAGUUGGCUAGCCAGUUGAUCGAUGAUAGUCAGUGUCUUCUGAUUAUGAACAAGGUGUUGUUGCUUGAUAACUGGAUCACGUCAUUGGGAGAAUCACGUGAUGGACUAGACCCAAACUAAUAGACGUAGCAUGUUGAUCGUGUCAUUUUGUUGCUACUGUUUUCUGCGUGUCAAGUAUUUAUUCCUAUGACCAUGAGAUCAUAUAACUCACUGACACCGGAGGAAUGCUUUGUGUGUAUCAAACGUCGCAACGUAACUGGGUGACUAUAAAGAUGCUCUACAGGUAUCUCCGAAGGUGUUAGUUGAGUUAGUAUGGAUCAAGACUGGGAUUUGUCACUCCGUGUGACGGAGAGGUAUCUCGGGGCCCACUCGGUAAUACAACAUCACACACAAGCCUUGCAAGCAAUGUAACUUAGUGUAAGUUGCGGGAUCUUGUAUUACGGAACGAGUAAAGAGACUUGCCGGUAAACGAGAUUGAAAUAGGUAUGCGGAUACUGACGAUCGAAUCUCGGGCAAGUAACAUACCGAAGGACAAAAGGAAUGACAUACGGGAUUAUAUGAAUCCUUGGCACUGAGGUUCAAACGAUAAGAUCUUCGUAGAAUAUGUAGGAUCCAAUAUGGGCAUCCAGGUCCCGCUAUUGGAUAUUGACCGAGGAGUCUCUCGGGUCAUGUCUACAUAGUUCUCGAACCCGCAGGGUCUGCACACUUAAGGUUCGACGUUGUUUUAUGCGUAUUUGAGUUAUAUGGUUGGUUACCGAAUGUUGUUCGGAGUCCCGGAUGAGAUCACGGACGUCACGAGGGUUUCCGGAAUGGUCCGGAAACGAAGAUUGAUAUAUAGGAUGACUUCAUUUGAUUACCGGAAGGUUUUCGGAGUUACCGGGAAUGUACCGGGAAUGACGAAUGGGUUCCGGGAGUUCACCGGGGGGGCAACCCACCCCGGGGAAGCCCAUAGGCUUUGGGGAGACACACCAGCCCUUAGUGGGCUGGUGGGACAGCCCCAAGGGGGCCUAUGCGCCAAGAGAAGGAAAUCAAAGGAAAAGAAAAAAAANNNNNNNNNNNNNNNNNNNNNNNNNNNNNNNNNNNNNNNNNNNNNNNNNNNNNNNNNNNNNNNNNNNNNNNNNNNNNNNNNNNNNNNNNNNNNNNNNNNNNNNNNNNNNNNNNNNNNNNNNNNNNNNNNNNNNNNNNNNNNNNNNNNNNNNNNNNNNNNNNNNNNNNNNNNNNNNNNNNNNNNNNNNNNNNNNNNNNNNNNNNNNNNNNNNNNNNNNNNNNNNNNNNGGGGGGGGAGUCCUCCCCCCCUUGGCUCGGCCGACCCCUUGAGGGUCCCUUGGACCCCAAGGCAAGGUCCCCCUCCCUCCUCCUAUAUAUAUGGAGCUUUUAGGGCAGAUUUGAUACGACUUUCUCACGGCUGCCCGACCACAUAUCUCCAUAGUUUUUGCUCUAAUCGUGUUUCUGCGGAGCUCGGGCGGAGCCCUGCUGAGACGAGAUCAUCACCAACCUCCGGAGCGCCGUCACGCUGCCGGAGAACUCUUCUACCUCUCCGUCUCUCUUGCUGGAUCAAGAAGGCCGAGAUCAUCGUCGAGCUGUACGUGUGCUGAACGCGGAGGUGCCGUCCGUUCGGUACUAGAUCGUGGGACUGAUCGCGGGAUUGUUCGCGGGGCGGAUCGAGGGACGUGAGGACGUUCCACUACAUCAACCGCGUUCUCUAACGCUUCUGCUGUACGAUCUACAAGGGUACGUAGAUCACUCAUCCCCUCUCGUAGAUGGACAUCACCAUGAUAGGUCUUCGUGCGCGUAGGAAAAUUUUUGUUUCCCAUGCGACNNNNNNNNNNNNNNNNNNNNNNNNNNNNNNNNNNNNNNNNNNNNNNNNNNNNNNNNNNNNNNNNNNNNNNNNNNNNNNNNNNNNNNNNNNNNNNNNNNNNUACCAUGUCGAUAUUGCUUCCACUGGUCACGCUUAGAAUAAAGUUCAAGUCGUUGGUCCAUUUGGGGGAUGGCGUCGAAAACAAGCCUGAGCUUCCAGAGAUUAGGCAUUGCGUCCGCCUCAAAUCUUAGCCAAGCUAUUCCACUCAUGAACCUCAGCUUCAAGUACUUGAGAGCUGUGAAUCCAGCAGCCGUGCCAAAGAUUAUCUUAACAUUAGGUGACUUGUCCACAUACAAUGACAGGGCAGUGAGGGCAGGAAACCCACUAAGAACAUCAACGUCAUUUACUGACAGUCCAGCCACUGCAAUCUUCAGAAUGCAUAGGUUGCCAAGUUGGAUAUUCCACCUAUGCAUGUCGCAAAAUACGACGGGGCUGUGUGGUGAGACCUCGAGUCUCUGGAGAUGAUGGAUAGGUCUAUCCAAGAACCACAAAACUCUUGCUUCUGAAGCGUCACCAUAGCUAACCGAGGAUCCGUGAGCCACCAGUUUUACAGUUUUCAGGCUGUCAUGUUCAUACAUUAAAUAAUCCAGAGCAUACAUGCUUCUCUGCGGUUGGUCGGGAUCUGAAGAAGGCGGUGUCGAAAUGCAAAGAUCCUGCAGGUGGUUCGGCUUGCAAAGGCACAUAUCAUCACCGACAGACCAAUCCAGCAAAUUUGUGUGAGGAGGAAGACUGAGGNNNNNNNNNNNNNNNNNNNNNNNNNNNNNNNNNNNNNNNNNNNNNNNNNNNNNNNNNNNNNNNNNNNNNNNNNNNNNNNNNNNNNNNNNNNNNNNNNNNNUACCAUGUCGAUAUUGUCUCCACUGGUCACACACCGAAUAAAGUUCAAGUCGUUGGUCCAUUUGAGGGAUGGCGUCGAAAACAAGCCUGAGCUUCCAGAGAUUAGGCAUUGCGUCCGCCUCAAAUCUUAGCCAGGCUAUUCCAAUCAUGAACCUCAGCUUCAAGUACUUGAGAGCUGUGAAUCCAGCACCCGUGCCAAAUAUUAUCUUAACAUUAGGUGACUUCUCCACAUACAACGACAGGGCAGUGAGGGCAGUCAACCCUCUAAGAAUAUCAACAUUAUGUACCGACAGUUCACUCAAUGCAAUCUUCAGAAUGCACAGGUUGCCAAGUUGGAUCCUCCACCUAUGCAUUUGGCAAAAUACGACGGGGCUGUGUGGUGAGACCUCAGAUCUCUGGAUAUGGUGGGUAGGUUUAUUUAAAAUCCAGCCAACUCUUGCUCUUGAAGCGUCACCAUAGCUAACCGAGGACCCGCAAGUCACCAGUUUUACAGUUUUCAGGCUGUCAUGUUCAUACAUUAAAUAACCCAGAGCAUACAUGCUUCUCUCCAGUUGGUCGGAAUCUGAAGAAGGCGGUGUCGAAAUGCAAAGAUCCUGCAGGUGGUUCGGCCUGCAAAGGCUCAUCUCAUCGUCGACAGACCAAUCCAGCAAAUUUGUGUCAGGAGGAAGACUGAGGNNNNNNNNNNNNNNNNNNNNNNNNNNNNNNNNNNNNNNNNNNNNNNNNNNNNNNNNNNNNNNNNNNNNNNNNNNNNNNNNNNNNNNNNNNNNNNNNNNNNAGUACGUAUACUACGUAGUAUAUAUAUAUAUAUAUAUAUAUAUAUAUAUAUAUAUAUAUAUACAUAUAAUAUAUUAUAAAACAAUUCACAGUUAUGCAAAUAUAGUAUCCCAGCGUCAGACAGAACACGAGUAUUGCAAGUGCAGUAAAAGCAGGAAAAACACGUUCAACCUUGCCUUAUUUCCUUAUUUCCGGUUGAUCGUUGUACAAACGACUUUAAGAAAAAUAAACAACUGGAAAGUAAAAUCAUGAUUUUACACUCUUAGAGCAGAUUAAUCUAAAUACCAAACUAGGAGUAAAUACAUUUUCAGAACAACUGACUGAAUAUCGAAGGGUCCAAAUUGUUUUUUAUUCAGAGUUUGAAAAAUCUUGAACAAAAAAUAGAGGGAAAGCUAGAGACUGCAUUGGAAGUAACUGAGAGUUCUGUUUUACUGUAAAGAUAAAGUUGGGUGAUGGAGAUGAAGAUCGUUAGAACACCAUAUGAAAACAUUAUUGGAACACAAAUUGCAACUGGAAAUAACAGCUAGUGACUAAAACUCGGAUGUUUCUGCAGGCACUUUCUCUGGAGCUCAUUCAUGUCUUCUCUUUUUGUAUGAUCAGCAGAGCGCUCCCAGGAAAUUCAGACUGAGAAUGAGGCACAGCCAGCACUGCAUGGAAAUAUGAAGAGAAACGCUGUGUCAUUGAAAUCAUGGAGCAAACUUGAUAAAGAAAAAUAAUAUACAAAGCGAGUACGUACAAGGUAAGUAACUUACUCAUAUCUUGCAUGCAUGCAUCCAACCUUUUAUUCAGUCGACCGACUCAGCAGCCCAUCACGGCGCACACAAUCCAACUUACUCAUAUAUUGUAUGCAUGCAUUCUUUAUUCAGUUGACCGACUCAGCAACCCAUCACUGCGCACACAAUCCGCUCGCCCCGGUAUGGCCGUGUGGCAAACAAAUCCCAGACAGGCGGUUCCCCAUCCGGGGUCCAUGAAUGAAGCUCAACCACCUUUUCAUCUGUUGAAUCGUUUGGACGCCCGAUAACAAUCAGCCGGUCACCACACGCUCGGAAACCCAUGUCCCAGCCAUCUUUGUCCUUAGACUGCACGGGCAAUUUUCCAAGAGUGGUCCACUUGUUGUCCAGCUUAUCAUACAGCUUCAAAUCAUUAUUCUCACUGUAAUCAGCAGCAUAAAGCUCGUUGUUCACAACCGCAAGGAGCGGAGGAGCUCCCGCGAAUGUCUCGUUGAGCCCCUGAGACAUGUUGUCGAUGACCCUCCAUGACCGCAGGUUCAAGUCAUACUCCUCACCGCAAGUCAACACCUGGUGGCUACUGGAAUAACCACCGAUGACAUAGAACUUGCCGUCCAUGAAGGCGCCAGAGCAUCCGUACCUGGCCCUAUUCAUGCUGGGAAGGGGUGUCCAAGUAUGUGUCUCCGAGUCAUACAUCUCUGCCGUGCUCAAUACAUUAGUACCAGAAGGAUCAAGGCCUCCCGCGACGUACGCCUUCUCACCUACACUGGCUGACCCAAACCAGGCCCGCGGGGUGUUGAUCGCAUCAGCAUCAGCAUCAGGCAGCCCUGUCCAUGAAUUGGUAAGGAUGCUAUAUCUCAAGGAAACCCCUGCGGACCCAAACACCAGCAGCUCGGUUCCUACAGCCAGUGACUCCCAGAAUCUGCUUUGAGCCGGUGGCAUCUUGGGCACUUUGAUCCAGCGCCCGGUGGACGGGUCAUAAGCAUCCCACUCCGGAGGAUUAUUAUUACCGCAGGAGAGGUAGAUCCAGUGCUCUGCCACCCCAUUCUUGCGACGAAGGCGGUAGAUGUCCCCGUCGCGAACCACCGAAUUGAAUUCACGGUUGAGGGAGGCGAUGGAGGCGCCGUAGUCCCGCCUGGACACAAGGUGGAGGCAACGGAUGAAGAGCUCCCGACCUAUCACAUCAAUGGUAUUGCUCCACGACACCACGGUCUGCUGCGCUCCACCUGACAAAAGCCAACAGCUCAUCCAUCGUCUUACUAAUUUCUACGAGUAAUUAAUAGCUAUUGGAACUCCUGUUGACUGAAUAGCAUACCUGGAGGAUUCAGGCGUGAACAGGACUCUGGUGACCUCGAUGAUACCCUGCAGGUUACAACUACCAUUUAGAGCAUGAGCAUGAAUAGUCAAAUCAGGUUUAAUCGAAUAACUCAACAUCAACAAAAGUAGUUUACAACAGCAACAAAAGUAGUACCUUUUAUCGCCAUGGGAACCGGAAUCCACUAAUUUCACCUCGAUUAUAGGAUUGCUCAGAUGAUUGCUAACAACACCGAUCCUCGCGACAUACUGCAGAUCAACAGCCGCACCCCCAAAUUUAGCGGAGACCUCUCUAAGGCCCGUCAUAUGCUCGAUGCUGAUUAGUGCAUUACCAUGUCGAUAUUGUCUCCACUGGUCACGCUUAGAAUAAAGUUCAAGUCGUUGGUCCAUUUGAGGGAUGGCGUCGAAAACAAGCCUGAGCUUCCAGAGAUUAGGCAUUGCGUCCGCCUCAAAUCUUAGCCAAGCUAUUCCACUCAUGAACCUCAGCUUCAAGUACUUGAGAGCUGUGAAUCCAGCAGCCGUGCCAAAGAUUAUCUUAACAUUAGGUGACUUGUCCACAUACAAUGACAGGGCAGUGAGGGCAGGAAACCCACUAAGAAUAUCAACGUCAUUUACUGACAGUCCAUCCACUGCAAUCUUCAGAAUGCAUAGGUUGCCAAGUUGGAUCUUCCACCUAUGCAUUUCGCAAAAUACGACGGGGCUGUGUGGUGAGACCUCGAAUCUCUGGAGAUGGUGGAUAGGUCUAUCCAAGACCCACAAAACUCUUGCUUCUGAAGCGUCACCAUAGCUAACCGAGGAUCCAUGAGCCACCAGUUUUACAGUUUUCAGGCUGUCAUGUUCAUACAUUAAAUAAUCCAGAACAUACAUGUUUCUCUUCAAAUGGUCGGAAUCUGAAGAAGGCGAUGUAGAAAUGCAAAGAUCCUGCAGGUGGCUCGGCUUGCAAAGGCACAUAUCAUCACCGACAGACCAAUCCAGCAAAUUUGUGUCAGGAGGAAGACUGAGGUGCAACAAGCGUGGGAGAUAUAUAAUGUCCCAUGGAACAUAAGUCCCCCUUGGUGUAUCCAUAACAUCAAGUGUUUCCAAACACUGCAGCCCUCUCAUCCGGUUCGGAAGUUUUAUGCAUAUAUCACAAACAAUCUUCAGAUAUCUAAGAUGGAACAGUUCGCAUAUCCCAGUGAGGUCUUGGUCGCCAUUAUGAUGGCCAGAUAGAUGAAGGUUCAGAACACGAACAAGCUUGAACUCUUCAAUGCAAGGCAUGCUCUCCGAUAAUCAUAAAACUCCAAGUGAACGUACUUGUGACUUUCUGAUGUUUGCUGGUAUCUUGGCAUAUUUUGCAUCACCAAGCUGGAGAGAUAGUCGACGGACCUUAUGAGAAAGCGUCAAAUUCUUUCGAUUGCAAUCUACUACCACAAGAAAAUUCUCUUCAGCAGACUUGUGUACAAUAAGAUCAUGCACCACGGCAUGAACUGUGCAGGACACCACCUCAUUGUUGAAGUUGAUAGACACAGGUUGGAUGAAUCUUCUAUCAACAAGUUCAUCGAAAUACGUUCCUGCAACUUCCUCUGUGUCUUGCCCUUCACUUGCAGCAAUAAACCCUUCGGCCACCCAUUGCCUGGCCAGGUCAAGUUUGAAGAUUAUGGAGCCCACUGGAUACAUACUAAAAUAGAGCAAGCAUGUCUUGAGGUAAUGAGGAAGGUUGUUGUAGCUGAGGUUCAGUACAUGUCUCGUUCUUUCUGAAGUUGAAUUUGAUGACAAACAAGACACUAAUGAAUCAUGUAUGUGUGUGAAUAAAUCCACUGAUACAGAAGGAUGGUUUGCUAAAACACUUGCUAUGCUGAUGGUCGCUAGUGGCAAUCCAGCACAUAUUUCUACAAUUUGGCUUGAAAUUAGUUUGAAUUCUUCAGGACAGUCACUUUCAGAGCCAAAAAUCCUGCCAAAGAAUAGUUUCCUUGAGUGACCAUCAUCCAAAGGUUUCAUCUCAAAAACUUGUUCUGGGUGACCGCAGCAACAUGCUAAUGCAACAUCUUCAAUCUGUGUAGUAGUUAUUAUUCUGCUGCCUUGACUACCCUUGGGGAAAACCUGAUUAAUAACGUCCCAUGCCGAUGUAUCCCAUAAAUCAUCAACAAUAAUUAGAUACCUGCAUGCCAAGAAAGUCCACACAUGUCACAUCUAUGUGCCAGGCAAAUGGCAACAACACUGAGAUAUUUACUAUUUAGUCCGUGCUGACUUGAAGAGUAAAACUAAUGUCGCUAGUUGACAUGCCUUUUUUUGAAAAAAAAGAUCAACCUGUAGGGAUUUAAUGUAGUACAUGCGAUUCUAGACCAUGUGAAAAAUAAGUACAUUCUUUUCUAGCUCACUAUAAAGCUUGCCUUUAAAAGAUUGACUAUAUAUCAUCAUGCCUUAUUUUUUUUGUGAAAAACAAAGGAGGAACCUGUAGGGAAUUUAUGUAAUACUCCCUUUGUAAACUAGAAUAGUGAUCUAAAUGCUCUUAUAUUAGUUUACGGAGGGAGUACUUGUGAUUCUGGACAUUCAUGGAUACAACUAGUACAUACUAUUUGCAUGUGGAAAAUAAGUACCUCUUCCCAUGUAGAUAAUUCCUGAUAUUGUCAGCAGUAAUGCGAAGUUCAUCAGAAGCCUUUUGGCUUGCUUGGGGCUGCUUCCUAUGGAUUUGUGAUAGCAUGUCAUUCAAAAGCUUCUUUAUAUCAGGCUUUUUGGACACCUGGAUGAAAGCUCGGCAAUCAAAUUUUCUCCUAAUUUUAUUGUACAGGACUUUCGCAAGCAUUGUUUUACCAAGACAUCCAGAUCCAUGAAUAGACACCACCUUGAGCUGCUCAUUCUCAUCAUUAGCCAGCUGUGAGUUGAUAAACUUGUUCAUCCGACCAUCAAUUACUAGGCCAGAACAAGUUUUCUCACAAGGCGGUGGAGGCAUUGGCAUUAUAGGCCCAAUGGCAGAAAAUCUACAUGCCGUCGAGGUACUACAAUAGAGGACUUGGUACCUCUCGUACCGUCGGAUAGCAUCCAGGGCAUAGAUCCUGAAUUCUGAUAACUUUCCAAUCAUCUGCUGGUACCACUUGAGCCUUCUGGGAGCACAAAUGACAUCAACACAAAUGAUUUUGGGGAUAACGUGUUCUAGCACAUGAGGAAUGACAUACUCAAUUUUCUUCUGCCACUUGAGCUUCUUGGCAAUCUUAAUAAGACCCAUCUUGCGAACAGAUCUGCAUUCCAUAAGCUCAAGGGAUACACGGUUGUCAAUAUAAUCAAGGAUAUCAUAGGAUAACUCGUGUGCCUCUUUCAUCCAACACCUCACCGCCAUGGGAGGGUCCUCCACCUCUAACAGAUCUUCAAGGUAUGCACUUAUUUCUUCAACAUUAUCUUUUAGGAGGUGAAAUCUGUCAUGGAGCCCCUUGGCUAGCUUGCAUCCUUUUGGACCUAGCAUAAUGUCGAGCUUGUUAAGGAGGGAUCCCAUGGCGCCCAUUGAAACACUGAAGGGGGCCUCCACGUCUCCGUGUUUGCCUUCCAUUGACACAUCUGGAUGAAAGAUAGACGAAAAAGAAAAAAAUUAUGUCGCCAGCACAUUGAAACAGGAGAAACACGAGAGAGAACAAAUUGCAAAAAGACAUAGAGUAACACUUUGAUUGGUCAUAAAGUAAAAGAUUAAAUGUUGCUUUGGAGUUGGUGUUUGUCAAUUAACUACCAAAUUGAAGAACUAAAACUUCCUCCUACUUGGAGGAAAUAACCGUGUAAAUAACAACAGAGCACACGCCUAGCUCUGCAGCUGAAGGGGCCAAGGAUCUCAUAGCGUGUUUUUUUCCUUUGACGUGCAAGGCAGGAGCUCUGCCGAUUUCAAAAAGAGAGGAAAAAAUAUUCAGAGUGACCGGGUUUAUAAGGGAACUAGGCCGGCAAAGACAACAACUAUGAAAGAAAAGAGAAAAGAACAACCACGAACGACAACCCAAGCAGACCACGACCACCUAGUAUGCAAGCUUUUGAGAGAGGUCGAAUGCAAGAUCGUCAUCAACACCUUCAAAAAGAAAAACAACGUCUGAGUAUGUCGCUGUCACCGGCAUCACCCAACCUAGACGACAAAUCUUUCUCCUACACCCUUGCAUAACUACCCCACUGAACCACGGAAAUGGCUCACCCUAUCCAACAACCUCCACACCACUUCUGGCGUUGGUUGACGCCAGGCCGCUGUGAACCUUACUUCUGCAAAAAUGCGACAACAACAAACCAGACCAGGAGGAAUAGAAAGAUGUAAUGGCCACCACAAACACCACCACUACUAUGACAGCUUUGUUAAGCUACAACACAACUCGUGGCUCUACAACCGUGCACCAACACUCCACACAACAAUCAGGAGGAGUCGUCGUGCCAACUGCAGAAAAUGUAUGUCGUCCCACACAAUGGCCAUGGCCCGUACAACCCAAUUGGAGCUGCAACCAAGAAACACUGAUGAUGCAGCCUUGCCAGGCUCCAUAUCAGGCUGUUCGCUCACCAACUAUGUUAUGCUCUGCUACCGCAUGCUUGUCCUGCAAGGCCAGGAAUGGGCCCACAUGCCCUCCUCCACAGGAAGCCUGCCGCGCCAUAGGCCCUGCAAGGCCAGGAUUGGACCCCAACCACAGGCCCCAGGUCAAGCCUGGAUCACAAUGGGAACUCCAUGAGGAGUCUUCACUGCCGAAAUCACUAGUUGAAGAGUAGACCUUUCAACGAUUAUUCCCACCUCCCUAGAUUGGCAAGUGACGCACUGCAUGCGUGUCACUUGUCGCAACCGGGGAGUUUCUCCUUUUUUCGUAGAUCUGUAUUUUCAAAACGUUUUAUCUCCUAAACCAUGCGUUCAAAUCUUGAACUGUUUUCACCGUUGGGUUUUCGAGAUCUUCAAAAUUAGAUCCCAUGUUGAUAGGUUUUAACAAACUUUUUUUUCAUGAAAAAAACCGGACGCACAAAUCGACGUUUUUUCCCCUUUCCGAGAGGCACAGCCGUGCCUCUCGCGAUAAUGAAACCGUGCCUCUUGCGGAAAAAAGAGAGUAGAAAACGCGGAAAAAAGAGAGAGCAGAAAACACGUUUUCCCCUUUCCGAGAGGCACCUCUCGUGAUAGAAAAACCGUGCCUCUCGCAGAAGCAAAACUGUCCCUCUCGCGAAAAAAGAGAGAACAAAAAACGUGUUUUUCCCCUUUCCGAGAGGCACGGCCGUGCCUCUCGCGAUAGCAAAAACCGUGCCUCUCAGGGAAGCAAAACCGUGCAUCUCGCAGAAAAAAAGAGAGAGCAGAAAACACGUUGUUCUCCCUUUCUGAGAGCCACGGCCAUGCCUCUCGCGAUUGCAAAACCGUUUCUCUCGCGGAAGCAAAACCAUGCCUCACACGAAAAAAAUAGAGCAGAAAACACGUUUUUCCCUUUUCGAGAGGCACGGCCGUAGGAAAAAAACACGAAAAAACCACUCCAAAAAGUAGAAAACACGUGCGAAAAAAUAAAAAAAGCAAAAUACAAAAUAACGCUCAGAACCAGGGCCGGGCCGGCAAAAUCUGAGGCCCUGUGCGAAACUAAAAAAAUAAGGCCCUAUCUCACUUAGAAAAUGAGUUAACGAGCAACUAUAGAAAUCAGACUAAUGUUUUUCAUUAUAAUGCAAAUCUGUAUUACCGAAACACAAUAUAAAAAGCUAAAUUUGAUAAAAUUAAAUUAUAAAGUAGCAUAUAUUAAUUGAAUAUCAUGCGUCAAUGUUUGGAUAUUAGACAAUCCGUUUAACUUACCUAAUUUUGGGUCAUGUCCUGUUGAACUGCUACACUAUAAUCUUUAACUGAGGAGGUAAAUACCAAUUUCUACGAAGUAACGAUCCUUGUCAAAAGUUAACUAGAAAAUUCGAAACUAGGAAUAGGAACAUAAGUUAAUCGAAAAGCGAGACUCGCUAAGCACUUGAAGGAUAGAGUCGGUCACAGAUAGACCUGACGAGGCAACGAAUUUAAAAUUCGGGAGAGAAAAGUACGAAGGCAACAACGACAACAGUCUAAAUUCAAUUGAUCUGAUGAGACGAAAGCGACCAAACGAUCAUGUUCCCUAUAGCGACCGUACCUUUUUUAGACUGACAUUAGCGCUUCCAUAUUAUCGAUCGAGCGGUUUCCUUUUUUUUAAAGAAAUAUCGAUGAAGCACCUGUGCUUGAUGGCUUGACUCGGGCCCAACUCUAGCUUUUGAUCGACUAAGUCCCAAUUCCAACGAGUAUGCUUUUUUUUGUGUGUGAAAUAUUGCUUGUUUUAUAUACAAAAUUUGGGGCCCUUCGAAAUUGUGGGCCCUGUGCAGGUGGCACAUUUGGCACCACAGUUGGCUCGGCCCUGCUCAGAACACGACACGUAGCGUCGAUUGAGAACACGCCAAAUGACGGCGCGCGGGAGUUUUCACUGGAAGACUUCCGAAAAAGUGCUCGCUAACUAGUUGCUCCCCUUUGCUAGGAAAACACCUAAUGGAUGGGACACGCAAUACUGUUGGAAAUAACCACGACACGUUUCGUGUCCGGUUUGUACACGCUCAAUCUCCUAGUUGUAGUUGUAGUAGGAUGAGAUUUUCUAGCCGAGUUUGAUUAGAUCGGAUCGGUUCUCGUUGCUGCUAUAUAUACAUCUGUAUACCCUUGUAUUUUGUACUACCAUCAGAUCAAAUCAGUACAAAGAAAAAUCAGGACCGAUACGGUCCUGUGGCCAUAAGUCGACGACUUCGCGUAUUGUGUUCUGGCGACUUGAUAUGUGCUAGAUAGCUAGACACGAUAAUCCAUCCACCAAGGUGCUUGCUCUUGCUUGUUUACUAUGGUACAUACACGUCUCCGCUGAAGCAGUCGGACAUAAUCGGCUGCAGCUUGUGCGUGCGCAAUCUGUUGGAAGAACCCGACAUCUGUGUUGUCAAGAUUCGGGAUCUAUGCUAACAAUUGGUUUCACAGCAGGGUCAUGUCGAACGACGAGGAGAACAAGCAGCUCGCGGCGUAUUUGGGUGCGGCUAAAAUAUUUGUUGCUCGGGUAAGUUCGUAGUACCCACGAUUUGAUUGUAAGAACUUCAGGGUCUAGAAGGCCCUCAUGAAGUGUGGUAUCCGUGCAAACGAGUUUUGGAACACAGUCGAUCUAGGAGGCGAAGCUUUCAAAAAGGAGGGAGCCGAGCAUCGGAAGGAUCGACAGAUGGCGUCGGUGAUUUACUCGAUGAUGCCGAUGGAUUUCCUCCACCAACACUUAAUUGUCAAAGAAACAACAAAAGAGGCAUGGGAUACCUUGAUUCUCACGUGAAGGACACACCCGUGUCAAGCAAGUCAAUCUCCAAACUCUCUUAAAGAAUUAUGAGCCCAGCUCCCGAUAGAAUCCUCGGGCAAGCUGUUUAACUAGUGCCGCGCCGGUCCUUUUAGCUUGAGAGGUAGGUACUUGAUGGCGUGGAAAUCAUCCCCUCUUGCCAUAUGAAUGUGGAGAAGAAAAUCUUGUAUCCACACGGCGGGGUCUGUAGUCUCGUCAUAUUGUUCUAUAUUUACGGGUUUAAACCCUUUCGGGAAUUGGUGCUGCAUUACCUCGUUUGUGAACCAUAGUGGGUGUGCGACGUCCUUGACCCGUGCUAUGUUGUUUCGGAGAUCGGCCAUGGGUUGUGCCGGGUACGGUUCCCGGUAUCUGUUGUUGUAGGUAAUCCGAGGAGAUCGGCCAUGGGUUGUGCCGGGUACGGUUCCCGGUAUCUGUUGUUGUAGGUAAUCCGAGCGGUUCUCCAUUCCAUCAACUCGGGGAGUACCUCUUGGAUCCGUUCUAUUAUCCAGGUCGUCGCAGGUCCUGACCACCCCUAGGGCGCACUUGUUCCUUUCCUUUUCUGCAAGGAGGCUCGGGUUUAUACUCGGUUUCUCCAGCCGCUCUGUCGCGCCAUCGAGGUAGGCGAUCAGGCUCGUCGUAGUCCGUGCGUUUUGGAGACGUGGGCUCUGGGGCCUCAUCGUCGAAUUGUGGCAGCAGGCGCCGACGUGGGUAGCUCUUCUUCUGAUCCGGCUAUCCAUGACCGUAUUCUUCUUCGACGGCCAAUACCUUGGUCCACCUGUUGUUUAUGGUAUCAUGUUCGGUCGGGGGUUGUCGUUGCUUCCCUUUUAAGCUUCAGGCGGUAGCUAUGAGAAGCUGCCUAAACUCUUCCUGACCUCCAAGGUCCUCGGGAAUUGCAAAGUCUUCCUUUUUUGGGUCGUCGUCCGAUUUGUUGAGGUCAUCGGGGUCGUUCUGUGCUUCGGGCUUGUCCGGGUCUUCUUGUGGCUGUUCUGGAACCUUGAGGUUAUCACGGUCCUCUGGGGUUGUAUUUUCUCGAGUGCCCUGUGCAGAAAUCUUUCCCUUGCUUGCCUUGGCACGCUUACGCUGCCUUCGGCGCUUUGGUGGCUACUCCCUGAAAUUGUCACCGUUUGGUUUGGGGGUAAGGUCGCCGUUGUUAUCGGGCGUGUCUACCAUGUAGACAUCAUAAGUGGAUGUUGCUGUCCAUCGCCCUGUAUUUAUAGGAAUGGGGUCAUCAUCCUCGUCGUCCAUAUCUUCCAACUCCUCGGAGGCAUAAUACAACGCGUCGGUUAAAUCUUUGACGGUGGCUACCAACUGGGUGGUGGGUGGGCCGUAAAAGUCCCCAUAUUCUGCCUCUGAGCCAAAUUGUGAACAGGUCGGGCACUGGCUGGUUGAGAUGCGUAGCGAUUGGAUCUGACUGAUCAUCUCGUUUAACACUGAGGGCUCGUCCUGAUCCAGCGUUGGGUGUUUUCUGAAGUUGACUUCCACGGCCUUCGUGAGGGAGGCGCGUUUGUCAAACGCCGUUUGCUGUAGUCUCGGCACUGAGGCCUUGUCCGAGCUAAAAGCUGACUCUUCGGCGAAGAGGGGUUCGAGGCCAUGGACGGAUGUGGGACCCGAAGUUAAGACUUCGGGGUUUUGGAUCUCAUUGACCGAAGCCGGGAUCUUGGCGGGGAUCAGAUCGGCCCGGUUGAGAAUCCAAGAUUCCUAAACCUUAUCUGCUGAUCGGGGACAAAACCUCCGAUCUGGCCAGACCGCUGGUCAAGUCUGAGCGCAGCGUGACACUGCCGAACGAGAAAACCUGCCCGGGGACGAAGAUGUCCCCAUUGCUGAUUCGAUCGCUGACGAUUAGGCGAGCCAUCGAUCUCUCGGUCAAUCAAACAACGAAACUCUCAUUGGAAGGACCAAUGUCGGUGUCAAAACCACCAGAUCUAGGGUAGGGGGUCCCGAACUGUGGACCUUGGAUCGAUGGGUUGCAGGAGGAGGGGGAGACAGUAUUUACCCAGGUUCGGGCCCUCUUAAUGAGGUAAAACCCUACGUCCUACUUGAUUAUAUUGAUGUGGAUGAUGAUUACAGAGUUGAUGUACCUCGAUAUCAUAUAAGCUAAACCCUAGAUGAGUCAACCUGUCUACAUGGACGAGGACCCCCCGGUUUAUAUACUCAUCGGGGGAUCUAGGGUUACAUACAACCGACCUAGUCUACUGUACUUCGACGUCACGCCUGUCUUCGAAUGUUCCUUCCUGAGUACGAGGUCGUCAUAUAGUCCAGCCUUUAAUAACACGGCCCACCGAGUCGGCCCACAAGAAAUGAACCGGCUGCCCGAGUUACCCCUUAAUCCCAGACUCCCUCGGCCGCUAAGGCUGCCUGUAAUGGGAGUAUGAUAGGUAGUAUUAUGCAUGCCAACUAGGCAAUUUUGAUGAGAUGGCAUAGAAUUACAUGAAGAAAAAGAGGAUUAUGUAUCAUAUCAUGAUAGCGUAUCAUAUUAAAUAUGAUGUGCUAUUAUGUGUCUUGCAUGGCAAAAAAAUAAACUACCCUAUGAUACUAUACAUUACGGAUAUGAUAUCAUAGAUACUAGUACUACCUCCGUCACAGUUUAAAAGGCACGCACGUGUAUCUAGGUCGCCAAUUUAAUUUAUAUAAAAUCUAUUGUUUAAUAUAAAAAUUAUAUCAUUAGAAAAUAAAACAUCUAAAGUUUUUAAUGGUAUAUUGUAAUAUAUGUUUAUCAUUAAGUUGGUCAAAUUAACGACUUAGGUACAUGUGCCGGACUUAUAAAUUAAGAUGAAGGAAGUAUAUGAUACUAUCGAUUACAACCAACCUAACAGAAAACAAUGAAUGCAUGAAAAUAGCAAUUAAAUCCCAGUUUCCUCUUUUCUUUAGUGCCAGAUGCAUUCGGAACUUCUUGUUUUAAUUCCUUAGUAGAAUUCGUAAAAUAGAAGUACUAACGAAUAGCGAGUAGAUAGCAUAGAUACACCAUAUUUGGGGAAUUUGAGGUUUUACAUCACAUGGCGGCCAAGGGGGUCUGCCAACAGCACCCACUGUAGUCACCCGCUGCAAAGAUGAAGACACUCUCGCAGACGACAACCUCAAGCAGUGGCAAGGUGAGGUAAUAGGAGGGGAGAGGGUAGUGGCAGCGCUAGGUUUCACCCUCGUGUCGUCAAGAGGGGAUAGAGAAAUUAACUUGCAAGGGAGAUCGUGCACGGAAAAAUCUUGUACGAUACCAUAUCGUUGUUAGUAUUGAAAGGCCACCAUCCACAAUAUAUGACAUCACUUCAACAAUCUCGCCCAAAACCUUUGUGAGUUCGAGCAGAGUAUCCACAUCCACCACAAUGUUAAAAGUAUAGGGGCUAGUGGGUCACACUUAUGGAGUCCACCUUCGUCAUAGAUUUUUGUAGCGACCUCACGUCAAGAGAUGAAGUUACGGACCCCACCGCACAAUUUCUCGGAAGAGGCCUUCAUUCUUAUAUACUCCCUUCGUUUUUAAAUAUAAUUUUUUAUUUUUUUAUUACAGGCUAUUUUUUUUAGAGAAGGAGGUUAAACCUCCGGCCUCUGCAUCAAUCGAUGCAUGCAGCCACCUUAUUAAUUAUUCCACAAAAGUCUAACAAGAGUAUACAUCAAUCCAUCCAAAGCCACCAUUCACACCUACAAACUCGAUAAUAUGGAGUGCUCUCACUCCAACCGGUGUUGUUUCCAAUCCAUCCACAUAACGUAUCGGGAACAACAGUCGGUGCAGCACACCUAAAACGCACACCUCACGCACACGUUUUACCAGCCGCCAUCAUCCUCGAACCACUGACCCAUCAUCCUUGCCAGUCCAAUCAUCCGUCGACACUACCAUGGCGCCCAACGACGCCACCGCCCUGCGCUCAUCCGUCCAGAUGCGAAGACUCCGGGAGACCUGUCGUGCGUAGCACCUGCCAACCAGGCAUGACUCAGCGUAGCACCUGUCGGCCAAGCAUGACUUGACAGCUCCACCGAAAUACCGUGCAAGACGAAGCCGCUCCACCUUCUGCCUCAGUCUGCCAGCGCUGCUCCACAAACGAUGCUCCCAAGGGAGAAACGGCACCGCAGUACCGCCAUCGUCCGAACUGGAAGACCAGAUCCUAGAGUUUCCCGCGAAGUAGUGCCCACCACCAGCAACCGUUCAGGACCCACACAGUGCCCACCACCACUCAGCCCUCAAGGCGACGCCUUUAGGAAGGUCACGACGUCAAGGACGCCGCCGCCGCCCAACGGAGUUAGGGUUUUCACCCGAGAGGCAAGGAAGGGGAGCAGAGGAGCAGAUGUAUACCGUCGUCUCCAAAAAGAAUAACGGCGCCCUUAAGCGUCGUCGUUGGCGCGGCCGACCUGGGCCAACCAAGGGGUUUCCCCCAAUCCGAAUCUCCUCCACCAACUUCACCCACAGGAAGGGCCCCGGCAACCAUGUCGGCACCGCCAAGAAUCCACAGGAGAGAGGCCCACCGAUCAGGACCUGGGGGGCGCAGGUGACGGUGCGAGCAGCGACCGACGAAGGGGAACAACACACCUUCACAACGACGCUUCCAAGAAAGAUAGCGGCACCCGCGGGUGUCGCCGUCGCGGCUCCGAUAAAGACCCGAGCAAGGAUUUUUCCUGGAGCUGCGCUGGAUAUCCACCGCCACCGACCGCUGAGCAUGGCAGCCACGCACCAUCACGACCCCCAGCCAAGGCCACUGCACCGCGCGCCCUGGACACUGCUCAUGCCCAGCCGACCAGCGCAGCCACGCCUGGCUGCCGCUCCCUACCACCAGGGCCGAGCGCCCAGCUAGAUCCGGCCAUGGAGGCCCGGAUCCGCCCUCCACCGCCGCCGAUUGGCGAGAUCACACCGGAUCCCGCAACCGCCGACGCGGGGCGCCGUCGUCAGAGCCCGAAGGCCGACGCGAGGGGCCCCGCCGCCGCCAUCCCCGGAGCGCUCGCGGCUUCGCCGACGCCCCCUCCGGCAACGGCGAAGCGGGAGAGAGGCAGAGAGGGGUCCGAUGGCUGCGCGGUGCGUGUCUCUACGCGAAGAGGAUGCGCGCCGGCGACGUGCUCGCGAGCCGCCGGACUAGAGGAGCGUGGGCCGGGCAGAUCGGGAGCCGGCGAUGUCCCUUCCACUCUUAUCUCACUUGCCUCAUAUCCUGGCGGCUGGCAACGGACACGAACGGAGCCCGCAGCAGCCCCGGCGGCGGCGCUAGAUCCCCGUUCCUUCCUUCCUCCGCGAAGGACCGGCAACCCUCGCAAGACCCGCUUGAGCGACUAGGUUAGGGAAGGAGGAGGCGGAUCUCUAUUGCAUGGAUGUGAGCAGGGCCUUAUGGACUAUAUACGGAGCAAAAUGAGUGAAUCUACGCUCUACUGUAUGUCUAUAUGCAUCCGUAUGUAAACUAUAGUGGAAUCUUUAAAAAAAACUUAUAUUCAUGAACAGAGCAAGUAUAAGAUAAGAAAGGUACUAGUUUCCAUCCAGCGAGUUUUCUUACGUAGCACAUGAACUAUUGCUUGCCAAAAAUGGACAGUAGUGUAGAUGUAUUACUGCCAGUAGUUUCAGGUUCAGCACGAGUUAUGUCCUUGAUAAAAUUGUCAAGAAAAUAAUGCAGCAUCCGACUAUAUAUGUUAUAUGUAGAUGAGAAAGAGUAAUAAAGUGCAACUGAACUUUUUACGUACUGGUUACGGAAAAUAUAAAAGAAAGGAGAGAAACAAAGAAAAGUGUUUACCUUGGGUUGGAUAAAAAAGGACGACCCUCUCCUCCUCCUGCUCCAUAACGCCAUGAUCCAGCAUCUUGUUGCGGGCCUCGCUGCACUCUGAGCAGGGCUCGGAGCCGACUCUCUUACAGGCUUGGCACACGAAGGCGCGGCACGGCCUUGGGGAACCGUCGAGGAGGGGCCGCAGCCCGCCGGACUGGUGCAGCUUCCUGACAUCGUCAGGGCCGCCCACGGGCCGUCCACCGACGAGGAGCUGCGGGAGGGAGAAGGCGCACCCCCGAGCCGCAAGCAACGACUUGAGCUCGCUGCGGUGCGCCUUGCUCGUGGACACGUCGCGUUCGUCCAUGGUCAGGCCGUACCCCUGCAGCAGGGCGCGCAAGGCGUAGAGGUCGGCCGAGGCGCGCCCUCUGCGGCGAGACGCCGACGCAGACGCCGUGUAGAGAACCACCUCCGGCUGCAGCAGCUCAUGCUUGCCGUGCGGCCCGGACGACGAAGAGCUGCCGUCCGGCGGCCUCAUCGAUCCGAAGUAGAGCGUAGUGGCGAGAGGAGAGCGGAAGCAGAUGACUGAGAAGGGAACAAGUGAUGCCUACUCUUGUAGUAGUACAAGCAAAGGAAUUUAUUAGGACGUAAUGCCUUUUACUGCCGUGCCUGCUUCCUUGCGUUUAUAUAUAUUAGUAUCAAAUUCCUCGGACGCAAUGCCUUUUUGUCGAUUGCCAGUGGUGCGUUACCUUUUUUUAGGGAAUCCUUUGCCUCUCCGGCUCACGCUGAUUACUUCAAAAUACUAGAAUCUGAUUGAACAGUUUUAUUGGAUUCUUCUCUGCUCCGGAUUUGAAAGACAAGUAUUCCCUCCGUCCGUUAAAGAAUGUACAAUUAGCUCAUUGGGGUUGAGUAAUUACACAGAAGAGAGAUGAUGGCUUGCACCUUUUCAAUGUAUUUUUGUACUCUACUUCAUAAUUUGUCUUGAAAUAUCUAUAUGUGCAUUUAUUACCGGACGGAGGGAGUACUCUAUGCCAAAUAGAGAUGUUCCACUCAACCACUACGAAAUAAAAAGGCUACACAAUCGACGACAAAAACUUUUGCUGGAAAUGGCAGAGUAUUUUGCUGCAACCGUCGUUAUUUUUUGCCACUACCGUCUUUCUGUUUGCUACAUCCACUCAUUUUUGCUGCAAGGACGGACAUUUUUGCUGCAACAGGCUCAUUUUUUGCUACUACUGUCUUUUGUAUUUGCUACGUCCACUCAUGAGGUCAUGGUGCUUUUUUAUGACCGAGAUGCGACCGGCGACGAUGAGGACGACAUUUUUUGUUGCAACUGCCUCGCUUUUUUGCUACUACAAAACGACGUGUUUUGCUGCAUCCAUUCACGAGGCCAUGAUGCUUCAAGCGCAACGGUGAUCACGAAAACAAGAUGCUGGUGUGGGGUUGUCGCGAAUCCUGGCGAUGAGAACUAGCAUGGAGCAGGAGGGGAGGGGAGGGGCGGUGCUGCGACCAGAGGAAGGUGUGCAGUAGGGCGUAACGCGUGCCCCGACGAGUUGUCCGAGAUGCGGGGAGGAAGGGGGCACGUGUGCGAGAUGCAGGGGAGGAGAUGAGGGCGUUGCGCGAGGAAGAAGAGAGCUCUGAACAAAUCGCUUUUAUCUAAAUCUGACGGUCUACGCGACCUGGAUCUGACGGCCCGCGCUCGACCGGUCAAAUCUUUGGGCCGACGCACCGGCACCUAUCAGUCCCCACUGAUUAUUGUUUUCAAGGAGACUCUGUGUCAGCCGGCCCACGCGUGCAUGGGAUGAGACAAUAUGGCACGAUCAGCCUCACCUUCACCACACAUGUGGCAUGCACAUGAGACUACUCACAAUGGGAGUAACAUAGAGUAGUAACAUGCAUGUGUUACUAGUCUAAGUUAAUACCUCCAUAAUGGAUAGUAACAUAUUGAUAGUAACAUUGAGACAUGCAUUUAUUAUUUUAUAGACUCAUCUUAUCUUGGUAUGGGCUAUGUUACUCCUUGUAUGAGUAACUAUCUAAAUUACUCAAUUUCUUUUUCUUUUUAUUAAUUAGUUGCCACAUCAUAUUUUUUAUUUAGGCGGAAUUUAUGAUACUACUUUUAUUAUGGGUAGUCUGACAAAGACUCAUGCAUGGGAGUAGCACUUGACAAACCAUGCCGGAAAGGUUGCCCAGAAUUAAUGUUUUGAUUGUCGUGACAUGCUGCUGAUCGCUAGUUAGGUGUCAUAUCUUUUAUUUUGUUUUUGUUGAUAACCUGAAUUUGUACAUGCUCGGUGUCCUGUCUAGAUUUUCACACCGUUAUUAUAGAAGCCAUGUGCAUUUUAGACCCUAAAACUAUUCAAAAUUCAAAGAUCCGACAACGAAAAAAUUACUUCCUUCGUCACGGUUUAGAAGGCGUGUUUCGAAAUUCUCUGUAACCUAGGUGAUUAUUGAUUGGUUGUGAGAUGAGUUAAAAAAUAGCAUUCACACUAUACCUGCAUAUAGAAGUAGUACAACGGAGUAUUAAUUAGCUGCUAAGAGUAAAUGCAAUGCGCCCUAAACCUUGUUUAUUAUGAAAAUGCACGUAAAUUUAACUGUGGCUUCUAAACUGUGAUAGAGAUAGUAAUAUUUUCUUUUUAGGGAAACAUCACUAUAAAUAAUCUAGGUAAAGGCGUCAUCAAGGCGGACCCGCAAACCGCUCGCAUCCGUCCGGACCAUGAAAGCCAUUCAACGGGGGUCUAUAUCGGUCCGCGAAGCAAUUCAGACACGAUUUCUUCACAAACCGAAGACAAAAGCGGGGGACUUUGCGGGAGUCCGGACAUAGCAAACGUAUGAAUUUGACACUCCUGGCCCACCCGAAACCAUUUCCGGACCUGCAACUUCAUCCUCCCCAUUUUCUCUUGUUCCUUCUUUCUUUCUUGCCUUCGUAGCCGCUCCACCCCCCUCCCGCCCCCACAACCACCAUGCCAAACCCCCGCCCGAACAUCUAUGUUUUCGUCACCUUUGAUGCUCUAGCAGGGCUCCAUCCCUGCUUCUCCUCCAUCUCCGUUCAACCCCUGUCCUCUAACCGCCCUGCCAUGUACCAUCCACUACUGCUAUUCAUGCCUUGCUCAACAACAGUUCGAUAAAUUGCCGGAGCGAAAAACACUUGUCCCUUCUUCUUUCUAGCAACGAAUUCCGAUUUGGAGUACAUACAAGAGCAAUAUGUUGAGUCGUCCGACGGCUCGUCGGACGAGGAGUACUCUCAUAAGAGGGUGAUGAUGCAGGCGCUCCAUGAGUAUGUGGAUUGUGCAAAGGAGGAUGUUCUCAAUUUCAAUGGCUCGAUCAAGGGUCACUGAGUGCUCAACCGCAACCGUGCGCGCGAACAUCUGACACUGAUGGCCGACUAAUCUACCCCCAAUGCACUCCCAUUAUCGUCGGCGUUUUCAGAUGAGCAAAGGUGUCUACGAUCGUUUGUACCAUGACGUCCUGUCCUCCAAUGACUACUUAAUCCCAAAGAAGGAUGAUGUGGGAACAAUUGGGUUCUCUGGUUACCAGAAGUGCACGACCGCUGAUUCAUGAGACGAUUACGGAGUAGCUAUGGAUGUCUGAGAGCAUAUGCCGAGAUGCCAUGUUUAGGUUUUCUACUGCCGUGGUCGAGGUGUUCGGGCCUCAGUACCUGGGAGAACCAACUGUGGGAGGCGCCGAGAGGCUCUUGGCAGUCUCAGAAGCAAGAGGGUGGCUAGGUUUGCUUGGAUCUCUUGAGUGCAUUCAUUGAAAAUGGAAGAAUUGUUCGAACACUUUACAAGGGCAAUAUGGGGGCCAUAUUAAGAAUCCCACGAUCAUUCUUAAAGCAGUUGCAUCACAAGAUUUUUGGAUUUGAAACACUUUAUUUGGCAUGCCCAGGUUUCGCAAUGACAUCAUUGUGCUGCAACGAUCACUGUUGUUUGCGAGGCUGACUGAAGGAAAAGCUCCUCCUUGCCGCUAUACUGUUAAUGGACAUGAGUACAACAAGGGUUACUAUCUGGUGGUCAGUAGCUAUCCUCCAUAGGCUACCUUUAUCAGCACCAUCUCAAACCCAAUUGGCCAAAAAAUGGCCCACGCUGUCCAAAGACAAGAAGCAACUAGAAAGGAUGUCGAGAGGGUAAUUUAGAGUUAUGUAGGCCCGUUUUGUGGUUGUUUGUGGAUUUUCUAAACAAUAGGAUCCGGAGACCUUGUGGGAGGUGAUGGAAUGUUGUGUGAUCAUGCACAACAUGAUUGUCGAGCAUCAGGGUGACAAUGCUGCCGCAACUCUAGAAUUUAAGAACAUGGGUGAUCAUAUCCAAUCUCCGGACCCCCCAUUUAAAGAGUUUAUCCAAAUGCAUCAACUAAUUCAGCAGCGACCAACUCACGAGCAGGUGAAGUAAGAUCUAAUUGACCAUCUUUGGCUGGUGAAAACAAUGUUUGGAUGUAAUAUUUGUUUUUUUAAUUUGAACAAGUGUUGCAUGCAACUAUUUGAACAUUAUGUACAAUUUUUAUGCGACUAUUUAAUCGCAUAGAAUUAAAAGAAAACGAGGAAGGCCGGAUGUAUGUGGCUACGGUUAGAUGGUUGUCUCCCGCAUCCGUUUCCACGGAUUAGUACCCCUGUCCGCGGACUGAUGUAAAAACAAUGCGGGUUGCCAUUUGAGAUGCCCUAAGGAGUCACGACGUAGACCAUUCAAGCAACUUCCAGCGCAGAGAGGAGGCAGAUCCACCCAGGGAGGAGUGUAUCAACUUGAUAUUAAUAUGUUGCACUUGAGCUUGAGGUGUCCUUUGGCUCCAGCUCAUUCAAAAUAAAUACAUGUGCGGUCUGUCGCUCGCAUUCUGUCAGAGAUCGGGCGGCUCGCAGUCCUCGCAGUCAGUCAUCUAGCUACUCCUAGUUCUCUGCAUCAGGACCUCCAUUGAGGUGGGCUCCUAGACCUCCAGUAUGUUCUGGUUCGACCGAUGGGCGGGCAAGACCCCCUUUGUUGCCCUCUUCCCCGACCUGUUUGCUAUCGCAGUAGACCCACAGAUUUUCGUCAAGGUGACCCUUAUUGACUUAGGGCGCCUGGCUUUCCCUAGGCCAUUUGGACCCGCGAACACCGUCGCAUGUCACGAACUCCUUGCGACCGUCGCCCUGCACGAACCGGACAUCGACCAGUCUGCCAAUCGCACUUUGUGGCAUCUAGAGUCUUCGGGCAAGUUCUCCGCCAAGUCUUUAUACCAGACCAUCGCUGCCAAUCCCGCUCCGGAGCCCUUUGAGAUGAUUUGGAAAACCAGGCUCUGCCGGAAGAUUAGGAUCUUCAUGUGGCAGUAGAUACGCGGACGGGUCCCAUCAAGAGUGGAGGUGCUCAAGCGACACGGCCCGGGAGACGGACAGUGCCCCCUUUAUGGGAUUGCAGUGGAUUCCAGCCACAUCUUCUUCUCGCACGUUUCCGCGCAAUUCCUCUGUUCCUGCAUCCACGAGACCAUUGGGGGCCUUUGGUAUUACACCAACUUCACCGACCUAUGUACCGAGAUCCAGGCCUCCCCUUCUUCGUGAGGGCACAUUAGAUUGCUGGUUAUUGGUGUCCUCGUGUGGACGCUCUGGACAAUCCAAAAUAAGCUUGUUAUUCAACAUGUGCCUCUUCAACGGGCAACUGAGAUGCAGCUCUGGCGGCUGCUUAGCCAUCAACGGGACUAGGACGACAUCAACUCCAUCAUCGCAGACCUCCGGACCAUGGCCAUCCGCUUGAUGCCGCAGCUACCCCACCACCCCCGAGACGGAUUAGCUUUUGCAUUCACGGUCUUUUCCACAUGUGUGUUGUUUUGUUUUUUAGGGCUUGUUGAGCCGUGCCCUUAGCAGAACCCCUAGUACUUGUUGUCAUGAUACCCUGGUGUGUGUGUGCUUGAAUUUGAACCUAUGCUUGUACUCGUGGUUUGGUGGUUGCUUUAUAUAUAAAGCAGGACGAAAGCCUUUUUCGGUAAAGCACACUAAAUUAUAUCAAGUGAAUUUUCAUGAGAAAGUCAUGUUUCAGGUUUGUUCUAUUUCCUACCAAAUACCUUAUUUUUGAGGUAUUUCUUCUUGUAUUUCAAAGAGCAGCUCACCUGCUGACUUGCUUGGUAGUAUAUAAUGAUACUCAUAUCAAUUAAAUCAAGAUUCUUGACUUCUCCGCAAACAAUUAGUACUCCCUCCGUAAAGAAAUAUAAGAGUGUUUAGAUCACUAUUUUAGUGAUCUAAACGCUCUUAUAUCUCUUACAUCGCGGUGCUAAAUUUGUCACAAAUAGUAUUCCAAUUAAGUUGACUGGGAUCAAAUACAUAUCCAACAACAAAGUAAAAGUAUUUGCUACAGCAGGAAGUUGAUGCUGUCUAGACAAAAAAAAUCUUGGGACGUCUUGGGUGUUUCCUUGCUGCUUCUUUCCACGUAUGCUUUGUGUCACCACCCACUUCACGAUCAAGAGCUAUCUCCUCGAUAUGUCUAAAGUACUUGAUCGCCGAUGAGCCACAAAAGCCAUUUAGAAUUUUACAUAGCAGUCGGGUCAACUUUGUUGGCUUUUGAAUCGUAGAUGAAAUCACUACCGAAGCUAAUACACGUGUGUAAAGUUGACCCGAAAUAAACAAGCAAGCAAGCAGGUUAAUGGAUUCGUAACCUGGCUUGCUAGCUAGCUCUCAAUCGGAUCGAUCAACGAAGGCGUCGGUGACUGCUACAGGCUCGUAUCUAUUGCUUUAUUGCGUUUUGAUCUUUUUUAUCUGAUAUUACAAAAGCUAGGGUAAACGCAUAUAUAUAUGCUAAGCAUUGGCUACUGCUAAUCCUACUCGGUUUGCAAUACUACUACUAAUCCUACUCGGUUUGCAAUACUAAUCAAAUUAGGACACAUGUGUACGUUUGGACUACAACUAGGUUAAUUACUACAUUCACCUCCUUAACCUUGUUGAUGUGUCUUCAUUGCUUGCACUCCGACUUUCUUCCUCAUCUCGAUGAACUUCUGUCGACCGAGGGACUUGGUGAAAAUAUCGGCAAGCUGGUCUUUCGUAUUCACGUGCAGAAUUUCGAUCAUCCCUUCCUCAAUGCACUUCCGGAUGUGGUGGAACCGGGUAUCUAUGUGCUUGCUCCUUUCGUGAUGAACCGGAUUUUUGCACAAUGAGAUUGCAGCUUGGUUGUCAAUCUUCAAUGACACCUUCUGCACCUCCCGCUUUGCAAGAAUAGCUAGGAGUCUUCUCAGCCACACUGCUUGACAAGCCGCCGUGCUUGCCGCUAUGUAUUCUGCCUCGCAUGAAGACAGUGCCACCACCUUUUGCUUCUGAGAAUUCCAGCUAACCGGAUUCGGGCCAAGGUAGAAAAUCAUGUCCGUUGUGCUCUUUCGGUCAUCAACAUCACCUGCCAUGUCACUAUCUGAAUAUCCAUGAAGGAUCAAUCCUUCCUUUCCCUUUCCGUACGUGCAAUCAAGAUUAAUGGUUACUUUUACAUAGCGCAAGAUUUGAUUGACCGCGCCCAUGUGCUCGGUUGUCGGAUUCUCCAUGAAACGACUGAUGAUCCCGACUGAGUAAGCCAAGUCAGGUCGGGUAUGCACCAAGUAUCUUAGGCUGCCCACAACGCUUCGAUACAUUGUGGUGUCCGCCGGCGGAUUUGAGCUACGCUUGCUCAACUUGUGACGUUGGUCCAUUGGAACUUGUGUCUCGUAGCAAUCUGACAUGCCAUACUUGUCCAAUAACUUGACCGCGUAGGCCGAUUGACAUAGGGAAAUCUCUCCGGAGCUUUGCUUCACUUCGACGCCCAAGUAAUAGUUGAGUAAUCCCACAUCACUCAUGCUAAACUUGUUCUUCAUUUGCGCCUUGAAACGUUCAAUUUGUUGUAUGCUAUCUCCGGUGAUAAUCAGAUCAUCGACAUAAACUCCAACUAGCAGGUUUGAGCCUUUGGAGUUCUUUGUAUAGACUGCGUGCUCGAGGGGACAUCUCUUGAACCCGAGCAAGACCAUACUUCGGUCUAACUUUGAGUUCCAAGCUCUUGGCGCUUGCUUCAACCCGUAAAGUGCCUUCUUGAGCUUGUAAACUUUCCCUUCUUUGCCUUUCUUCUCGUAGCCGAGGGGUUGUUCCACGUACACUUCUUCUGUGAGAUCGUCGUUGAGAAAAGCGGAUUUAACAUCCAUAUGAUGAACCUUCCAAUCCUCUUGUGCUGCCAAAGCUAGGAGCACUCUCACCGUCUCGAUUCGAGCAACCGGUGCAAACACCUCAUCAUAGUCAACUCCUUGACGUUGAACGUAGCCCUUUGUAACGAGUCUUGCAUUGUACUUCACAAUGGCACCCUGUGUGUCCUUCUUUAACUUGUAAACCUACUUCAAACCUAUCGCCUUUUGGUUUAGAGGACGGGUUACCAAAGUCCACGUGCCAUUGCUCUCCAUCGCCUUCAUCUCCUCAUCCAUGGCGUGCGUCCAACUACGGCUUUUGCUCGCCUCUACGAAGUUCGCCGGCUCCUCAACUCCGAACAGACAUAGUCCGGAGUACUCGAGCGUAACUAGCUUUGUGUACUUGUAGACUUUCUUGAGGGUCUUGUAGCGACGAGGCCCUGAGGAGUCCGUUGUGGCUUGCGAAGGAGGAGACACAAAUUGUGUCGGUAUUGAAGCACUUGAGGAAGACGGCUGAGACCGUGGUGUGUCAUCGACAUCCACGUCGUCGACGUAGUCGUCGUGACCGUGACCAUCAUCUUGAUUGUCGUCGUCACUAUGCGCCUCGUUGUCGAUGUUGUCGUCGAGAUCUCCGCCUGUGUCGUGCGCGGCGUUGUCGCUAUCUCCUUGCGACCUAUGCGCAUCGUCGUCGGUGUCAGCACCAUGAUGAUCACUACCAUUGUGGUCACCUUGGUUGGGCGUCUUGCUAACCAUCUGGGCAUCCUCCCCUACAUCAUCAUCAGUUGGAAAUUCAACCGUGAAUAUGUUACCGUUUGAAGCACCGUCGGCUGCUGCACUCCAAUUCCACACUUUGUUUCCUUCAAACACGACGUCGCGUGAAAUCCGUAGACGCUUGGUUUGUGGAUCAUAGAAGCGGUAUGCCUUGGUGCCGGAACUCCUCUCGUAUCCGAUGAACACCAUCUUGGUGCUACGAUCGGCAAGCUUUGAGAGGUGCGGCUCCGCCGUCUUCACAUGUGCCACGCACCCGAAUGUCCUUAGAUGAGACACAUUCGGCUUACGUCCGUAAAUUGCUUCAUACGGAGUCUUGCCGAUCGAUCACCGCCUUCGUUGGAGCCCGGUUGAGAAGAUAGACCGCCGUCGAGACAGCUUUUCCCCAAAAAGUCCCCGGCAGGUUCUUGCUCUUGAGUAAACUCCUUGCCAUGUCAACGACGGUUCGAUUGCGCCUUUCAACGACCCCGUUCUGCUGCGGCGUGUAAGGUGCCGUGAGGAACCUCUUUAUGCCGAUCUUCUCGCAGUAGUCGUUGAACUCAUUCAACGUAAACUCUCCGCGACGAUCUGUCCGUAGAGCGCGAACCUUCAGCUUGUGUUCCAUCUCCGUUGCAGCCUUCAGCUUCUUGAACGCUUCAAACGCCUCAUCUUUAGACCGUAGGAGAACGACCCACAUAUAUCUCGAGUAAUCAUCUACCACAAGGAAGAAGUACUUCUUUCCUGCUUGAAGUUGCCGGGGUGAUAGGGCCACAUAGAUCACCAAGGAGCAGCUCGAGUGCAUCACUCGCACGAUAGGUAGACUGAGCAGGGAACGGCCUGCGGUGCUGUUUUCCAACCAAGCACCCGUCACAUACUCGAUCAACAUGGUCGAUAACUGGCAUCCCAGAUACCAUCUCCAUCUUUGACAUCUUCUUCAAGGCGUAGAAGUUCACGUGUCCAAAUCUAGCAUGCCAUAACCAUGAAUCGUCAUCACUCUUGGCAAGCCAACACUCCGGUUGAGAUUGAUCAAGGUUGAGGAUAUAGAGCCUAUUCCGUGUGCGAUUAACACGAGCUAGCACGUUUCGGAGGUUGUCGAAGAUCGUCAUCACUCCGUUUUCGAUAUUCACCUUGCAUCCAUUCUUGUCAAGCUUCCCAAUAGAGAUGAUGUUGUUGCGAACCCGCGGGAUGUAGUACACUCCGGUGAGUAUGCGAUGUUCGCCUGUGAGACCCUCGAAGAGGACAGAUCCUUGCCCGCAAAUCUCCACAGCCGAACCAUCACCGAACUUGACCGAGCCUUCAACAUCGUAUUCCAUCUCGAGGAAUUUCUCCUUGCACCACGUCAUGUGGUUACUGGCACCCGUGUCAAGAUACCACGACAUGUUCUGAUCACCGGAUAACUUCGGUGUCACUUUCUUCGCAUGAAGCAGCACCUUCCGGCUUGGUUUCACCACCACCGUUUCAGCGAGAUCACAAACUUCGGCCAUCAGAAGACCUGGACCUUCGUCUUCCUGCUUUGCCAAAUUUGCCUUGAUCUCCCGCUUGUUAGGCUUCGGACAAUCCUUUGCAAAGUGACCCAUCUCGUUGAAGUUAUAGCACUUAACCUCGGAUAAAUCCAAAUUCCGUGGCUUCCGCACUUUAGAUUGGUCCGCCUUACCACGACCUUGUGGCUUGCCUUUUCCUUUGCCUUUUCCGGUUUGUCUGUCGCGCUUCACAUUGCUUGAGCCUUCGCCACCAUCACACCUUCCUUUGUUACUUGGGGCCUCCCAAUCUGCGCGCGAGUACAUGAGUUGGUCACUACCUCCUCCUUUGCCUUUCCGACAGCCACGAGCAUUCUCUUCCCAUGUCCGUAGGCGUCCGAUUGUUGGAAUUAUGCCCUAGAGGCAAUAAUAAAUGUAUAGUUAUUAUUAUAAUUCCUGUAUCAAGAUAAUAGUUUAUUAUCCAUGCUAUAAUUGUAUUGAAUGAAGACUCAUUUAAAUGUGUGGAUACAUAGACAAAACACCGUCCCUAGCAUGCCUCUAGUUGGCUAGCCAGUUGAUCAAUGAUAGUCAGUGUCUUCUGAUUAUGAACAAGGUGUUGUUGCUUGAUAACUGGAUCACGUCAUUGGGAGAAUCACGUGAUGGACUAGACCCAAACUAAUAGACGUAGCAUGUUGAUCGUGUCAUUUUGUUGCUACUGUUUUCUGCGUGUCAAGUAUUUAUUUCUAUGACCAUGAGAUCAUAUAACUCACUGACACCGGAGGAAUGCUUUGUGUGUAUCAAACGUCGCAACGUAACUGGGUGACUAUAAAGAUGCUCUACAGGUAUCUCCGAAGGUGUUAGUUGAGUUAGUAUGGAUCAAGACUGGGAUUUGUCACUCCGUGUGACGGAGAGGUAUCUCGGGGCCCACUCGGUAAUACAACAUCACACACAAGCCUUGCAAGCAAUGUAACUUAGUGUAAGUUGCGGGAUCUUGUAUUACGGAACGAGUAAAGAGACUUGCCGGUAAACGAGAUUGAAAUAGGUAUGCGGAUACUGACGAUCGAAUCUCGGGCAAGUAACAUACCGAAGGACAAAGGGAAUGACAUACGGGAUUAUACGAAUCCUUGGCACUGAGGUUCAAACGAUAAGAUCUUCGUAGAAUAUGUAGGAUCCAAUAUGGGCAUCUAGGUCCCGCUAUUGGAUAUUGACGAAGGAGUCUCUCGGGUCAUGUCUACAUAGUUCUCGAACCCGCAGGGUCUGCACACUUAAGGUUCGACGUUGUUUUAUGUGUAUUUGAGUUAUAUGGUUGGUUACCGAAUGUUGUUCGGAGUCCCGGAUGAGAUCAUGGACGUCACGAGGGUUUCCGAAAUGGUCCGAAAACGAAGAUUGAUAUAUAGGAUGACCUCAUUUGAUUACCGGAAGGUUUUCGGAGUUACCGGGAAUGUACCGGGAAUGACGAAUGGGUUCCGGGAGUUCACCGGGGGGGGGGGGGGGGGGGCAACCCACCCCGGGGAAGCCCAUAGGCCAUGGGGGUGGCGCACCAGCCCUUAGUGGGCUGGUGGGACAGCCCAAAAGGGGCCUAUGCGCCAAGGAUAAGAAAUCAAAGGAAAAAGAAAAAAAAGAGGGGGGAGGUGGGAAGGGAGGAGGACUCCCUCCCACCAAACCUAGUCCAACUCGGUUUGGGGGGGGGGAGAGUCCUCCCCCUUGGCUCGGCCGACCCCUUGAGGGUCCUUGGACCCCAAGGCAAGGCCCCCCUCCCUCCUCCUAUAUAUAUGGAGCAAUUAGGGCUGAUUUGAGACGACUUUUCCACGGCAGCCCGACCACAUACCUCCAUAGUUUUUCCUCUAGAUCGCGUUUCUGCGGAGCUCGGGCGGAGCCCUGCUGAGACAAGAUCAUCACCAACCUCCGGAGCGCCGUCACGCUGCCGGAGAACUCUUCUACCUCUCCGUCUCUCUUGCUGGAUCAAGAAGGCCGAGAUCAUCGUCGAGCUGUACGUGUGCUGAACGCGGAGGUGCCGUCCGUUCGGUACUAGAUCGUGGGACUGAUCGCGGGAUUGUUCGCGGGGCGGAUCGAGGGACGUGAGGACGUUCCACUACAUCAACCGCAUUCUCUAACGCUUCUGCUGUACGGUCUACAAGGGUAUGUAGAUCACUCAUCCCCUCUCGUAGAUGGACAUCACCAUGAUAGGUCUUUGUGCGCGUAGGAAAUUUUUUGUUUCCCAUGCGACGUUCUCCAUCAGUGGUAUCAGAGCUAGGUUCAUGCGUAGAUGUCUUCUCGAGUAAAACACAAAAGUUUUUGUGGGCGGUGAUGUGCGUUUUGCUGCCCUCCUUAGUCUUUUCUUGAUUCCGCGGUAUUGUUGGAUUGAAGCGGCUUGGACCGACAUUACUCGUACGCUUACGAGAGACUGGUUUCAUCGUUACGAGUAACCCCCUUUGCUCAAAGAUGACUGGCAAGUGACGGUUUCUCCAACUUUAGUUGAAUCGGAUUUGACCAAGGAGGUCCUUGGAUGAGGUUAAAUAGCAACUCAUAUAUCUCCGUUGUGGUGUUUGCGUAAGUAAGAUGCGAUCCUACUAGAUACCCUUGGUCACCACGUAAAACAUGCAACAACAAAAUUAGAGGACGUCUAACUUGUUUUGCAGGGUAUGAUUGUGAUGUGAUAUGGCCAAACGAUGUGAUGUGAUAUAUUGGAUGUAUGAGAUGAUCAUGUUGUAAUAGAAAUAUCGACUUGCACGUCGAUGGUACGGCAACCGGCAGGAGCCAUAGGGUUGUCUUUAUACUAACAUAUGUGCUUGUAGAUGCGUUUACUAUUUUGCUAGGAUGUAGCUUUAGUAGUAAUAGCAUGAGUAGCACGACAACCCCGAUGGCAACACGUUGAUGGAUGAUCAUGGUGUGGCGCCGGUGACAAGAAGAUCGUGCCGGUGCUUUGGUGAUGGAGAUCAAGAAGCACGUGAUGAUGGCCAUAUCAUGUCACUUAUGAAUUGCAUGUGAUGUUAAUCCUUUUAUGCACCUUAUUUUGCUUAGAACGACGGUAGCAUUAUGAGGUGAUCUCUCACUAAAAUUUCAAGACGAAAUUGUGUUCUCCCCGACUGUGCACCGUUGCUACAGUUCGUCGUUUCGAGACACCACGUGAUGAUCGGGUGUGAUAGACUCAACGUUCACAUACAACGGGUGCAAAACAGUUGCGCACGCGGAACACUCGGGUUAAGCUUUACGAGCCUAGCAUGUGCAGACAUGGCCUCGGAACACAUGAGACCGAAAGGUCGAUCAUGAAUCAUAUAGUUGAUAUGAUUAGCAUAGGGAUGCUUACCACUGAAACUAUACUCGACUCACGUGAUGAUACUUGAGAUAGUGUAAGUGGAUCAUGAACCACUCAAAUGACUAGAGAGAUGUACUUUUUGAGUGGGAGUUUAGCAUAUAAUUUGAUUAAGUUGAACUCUAAUUAUCUUGAACAUAGUCUAAGUCCACUUUGAAUAUAUUUGUGUUGUAGAUCAUAGUCUAAGGGUCGCUUCAGUAUUAUUCCCUCCGAUUCUAAAUAUCGUAGUUUCUAUGACCAGCUUUUGCUGGAUAGGAGCUAACAAUCGUAGUUUCUUUAACAAAUUGACUAAACUGUCCACUGUUAAUUUCUUUUAUACAAUUGUAAUUUCUUAUGAAAAAAGAAACUCCUUGCUUGGACCAAUAAACAAAGACCUAACUGCUACUCAUGGACAAUUUUAUUGCCCCUGCCACCUUGCGUAGAAAACACAUUAUGUUGGCCAAGGACUACAUUAGAGAACAUUAAUAUACUGAUAUUUGUUUUUACCAAAAAGUUGUAGAAAUAUUCAGAUGUAAACUGGUAGAGAUAAAAGCACAUAAAUGGCUCUGUCGUAUGUUACGAGAAAUAUUUUUGGAUGGUUGAUGAGAAAUAUUUAGUUGGUAACUCCCUAAGACUGUCUUAUAAUUUGAAUGGUAGGCAUUAGACCUAUGAAGACCAGGGACAUCUCUAACCACAACCAGUUUUCUGGAGUUCUUUUUACCCCAUUUAUUUUGUAGUCAUUACAUUUAUUACACAGCUAGGUUGUUCCGCGUUGAAACCUUUUUUGUUAACUUUCAAAAAAGGAGUCGCUAAUGUAUAAAAUGUUGGAUGUAGCUAUUUUUUGUACCUUUUAAACUAAAAUGUAUCAUAUCAUUGACUUGUGGAAAUAUAGUGUAUAUUGUGUAUCUUCCAUGUGAAUAAGAGAGAACAUAAUUAAGCAAUGAUUUGUGGAAAUAUAGGAUCAGAUAAUACAGGUUGACCAUGGAGUUUUUCGCUACUAACUAUAAAAUAUACAUGUUUCCAAAGUAAAAUUUCACAUGCAUAACCAGUUAUUUAAUUUUAAUAUAUUUCUAUUCCUAUAAAUUGAAGCAACAUUUCAUCAAAAACUAGCCCGUGCAGCUGCACGGGUUAACGACUAGUGUUAGUAAUUUUGCUGGCUACUAAAUGGGAACACAUUUUAUUUCCACAUCCAAGUUUCCAGUUGUGUCUGGAUUGCAUUGCAAUGCAUCACUCUACAUCCACAGUGAUAUGUCACGACUAAGGCCCUUCCCAGUGCACCGGUGCUAAGGGUGUCACGUAGGUAAGAAAGUUACAUGGCAAAGCCAGUAAAGAUGAGAGAGCAUUAUGAUGAUCCCAGGAAGAGAUGAUGCUAAACGCGUGAACCUAUGUAAAACGAUUACCAACCAAUGCAUGAAGAAGUUUAAUUAUUAAAUAAUUCCAUGCGGUAACCUUAGCAACUAAAGCUAAGCAUCUAUGACCCUGUUUGGAUACUCUAACUCGGUUAAAAGUUAGAGUUAGAUUCUAAUCAUCCACAGGAAAAAGAACAUUCAUCGGGCGUCUCUGUGCCCCCCGCGUCGCCCUCUCGAGCGAGGCGACCGGGGCGGUUCCCCACUCCUCCCCCUUCCCGCGAGUCGCCGCCCCCUUCCCCCUCGCCGCUGUCGUCGGCGGGCGUUGCCCGCGAGGCGCCCCGCAUUCCGGCGGUGGCGGCCCCCAUUCUUCCCCCGUCGCUGGACCCCGGCUCUAGCGAGCGGUCCUGGCGGCGAAGCCCUUCGCCCGGCGCCGUUCCGACGCGGAUCUGGAUGGCGGCGGUGACGGCCCAUGGCUUGCGGCGGCCUGCAGCGCCUGGGUGACUCAGAUCUAGGCCCUAUGGGCCCGAUCUGGGUCGGGGCAGGCCUGCUGGGGGGCUGCGCUCGGUUGUUCUCCGGUGGUUCUCGCGAGCUCCUCGCGACAGGGACGGCGGCUACUAUGCCGCGACUGUUGCAGCUUGGCGGCGGAGCUUCACGGGCCGUUCUAGGCUCGGCCGGACAUCUGGUCUGGUGUGCCUCUGCUGCUAUGCCCGGUCUGCUACCGCCUAAGCCGGUGGAGGUUGUUCCCUCCCUCGUGGCUGCGGUGUUGUCGGUCCUUGUCUACGGGUGUCUCGUUUGGAUCCGGCGGCCUCGCUUCGUUGGCCGUGGUGAGACGAUGGUGGUGUCCUCGUGACUGUGUUGGCGCAUGUUGAUGGGCGGCGGGUGUGGUGGAGCCAAAGGUUGGUCCUGGGUGGCGGGGUGCGAGGGGCCGGGAGAAAUCCAUGUCGGGUGUUGUCGGCACCAACAUGUUCUUGAAGGGCGUCGGGUGACCCUCUCCCCCCACUAUCCUCCGUCUACCGGGAGAAAUCCUAGGAUUCGUCCGGGCAGCAGCGUCGUCAUCGUCGCAUUUUUUCUUGAAGAUGGUACUUCGUACACGGCAACUCGAUGGCUUUGGAGUCUAACUCAAACCAUGGAUCUAAAUAGGACCUAUGCAUUGGGGAGACUAGUUGCUAAGGUUGUUUUUAAUGCACACUUAGCACCUCAUCUCAGCACCCAUGCAUUCCACGAGGCCUAAGCCCUAUUGAAUGAUAGCAUCGCCAAUUUGGAGUCAAUGCAAAUGGAAAGUUGAUCCUCACUGCAUGCUAAACUGACAAUUUGAAAUAAACUACAAAUGCAACGCCGGCUGCUUGGACCAAUGAGACUGAUAACGGAGAGACAAGGCGUCAAAGGUCCAGAGUUCAUUAGUGCAUCAAAUGUAAUAUUUUUCUCUUUCAAAUUGGCAGGAACGCAGUGUGCAACUGCUAUGUUAAACUAGUACCUGUGCUGCUUGGAUCAAUGUGGUGGAGAAACAGGAGAUAAGUUUAGGGGGUGUUUGUUUCCAGGGACUUUUUGGUGUAGGGACUAAAAAAGUCCCAAAAAGUUCCAUGUGAAACAAACAGGAGGGACUUUUAGGGAUUAAAAUGGGGUAUUUGAGACUAUUUGGAGAAGUCCUUGUAGGAGGGUCUUUUUGAAAUUUUUUAACACUUUUUCCAACAAUGUCUCUAUUUUUACCAUGUCAUUUAAUAACUACUACUACAUUAUUAAGGGUAACAUGGUCUUUUUGCAUAUCAUUUAAUAACCUCUAGUCCUUAUUUAGUCCCUGAAAACAAACAGAUAGGGACUAGAGACUUUUAAAUUGAGACUAAAAAAGUCCCGGGACUUCUCAAACAAACAGGGCCUUAAAAACUCCGGGGACAGCUUUCGAGAUUGAGGAUGCUCGCGUGCUUUAGUAAUUGAUUAGUGAACUCUAAGCCGCCCCCAAUUCUUUAUGUUUACCUCACGUCCCAAGGUUGCAUCUGAGCAUCAGUUGUCUACUGGCGGUAUCAAGGGCAAUGCAAAAGCAUUACUAUACAGUGAGUGCACAGUGCUUUCAAUUCAGCCUCCUAACUGGUCUAGGUAGCUUACCCCAACUUCAUUCCUGCCAUGGACUUUGUCGUCCUCGCCGGUCGAUGAAAACUCCAUGAUGUGAUCUUGCAACCAAACAAACACAUACACACAGAGAGUGAGAGAGAAAAAAGAGAGAUGGAGGCUGUGGUGACUGUCGUUGCCACCUCAUUGGUGGAGUGGAUGGUGCCGAAGCUCUUUGAUUCCUUGCUCACUAAGCACGAGCUCCGGACGAACCUCAAGGUUGACAUCGAAUGCAUCAAGAAUGAGUUUGCUAUGAUUUCUGCCGUCAUCCAGGAUGAUGAUCGCCGUGGUGGCUGCCGCGGUGGCAGUGAAGAAGCACAUAUGGUGUGGAUCAAUAUUGUGCGUGACCUGGCGCACGCCAUAGAGGACUGCGUCGACCGCUUCAUGCACCAGGUCACCAUGGCCGACACAGCCACCGGGAAGCUGAGCCGGGCUGUCCACCGGGUGAAGACCGUGAAGGCCCGUAACAAGUUUGCUGCCGAGAUCCGGGUGCUGAAGAAAAGAUCAGAAGAGUCUUCGAAGCUAAGAGAAGCAUACAGCAACAACAAUAGCGGCAAUUCUUCACCAGAGUGGCCGACGGCAGUUGAGGGGGACGUCGACGAUGACACCUACUAUUCACCGGCAUCCAUCGCUGUGCCUGUGGGUAUGGACGGUCCCCGUGAUGAGCUUCUGGAUCUAAUCCAGCAGGAGCAGCAGCUUAAGGUGAUUAUCAUUGUGGGGUUCCAUGGUAUGGGAAAGACUCUCCUUGCCAAUCAUGUGUACAGGGAAAUUAAGAGCCCAUAUGAAGUACGGGCAUGGGUCCUAGGGGGGAGGAGGACAGCAGCGGAUGUUCUCAAGGAGAUACUCCAGCAGCUUGGCCACGUCGUUCCCCUGCCAACCAAGGGCAGGCUCACUCUCACCUCGCUUCACGCAAGCAUCGCAGAGUGCAUUGGCAAGAAGAGGUAACUCAUCCAUUCAGUUCCCCAUCUCUUUGUCUCAAUCUGCUAGCUUCAUCUAUCGUCUGAUUAAUUUGCCAUGUUUAAUUAAUUUGGUACCAAUCAGGUUCUUCAUUGUAAUUGAUGACCUGCGGACAACAUCACAUUGGCACAACAUAAAAGCAGCCUUUGUGGGUUUAACCGGCAGAUUUCUGGUGACGACCGCCAUUCAGCCCGUAGCAAAUACCUGCCGCAGCUCAUCUGUUAAUGAUCAUGUAUACACAAUGGCAACUCUUACCAACCAAGACUCAAGAACAUUGUUCUUCAAGGAAGCUUUCCAAGACGAUGAACCGCCGCCGCAUGUGCAGGACCUCAGCUCUGAAGCGCUCAAGAAAUGUGAUGGUCUUCCCCUUGCUCUUGUUACCACCGCAAGGUUCUUGCAAAGCGCAGGUAAUCCAACACCCAUGAUAUGGGCAAAAUUAUGCGCCGACCUGGGUACACAUCUGGAGAGUGAUGAUCUAUUUGCAAGAAUGAGGCGUGUGCUUGUCCAGAGCUACACCAGCCUUGAUAGCCAGGUUGCCAGGACAUUCUUGCUCUAUUUGGGUACCUACCCAAGUGGUCGUCCUAUCAAGAAAUCAAGCUUGUUAAGGAGAUGGUUAGCAGAAGGGUUGUCCCCAGGAGACAAUACAUGUAGUGAUGUUGAUGCCGCCAUUAGAAAUUUCGAUAAGCUUGUCGAACGGAGUAUCAUCCAGCCUAUGGAUGCCAGCGGUAACAGCACAGAGGUGAAGACAUGCCAUACCCAUGGCAUGAUGCUGGAGUUCGUCCUGCGCAAGUCCAUGUCUGACAACUUUGUAACUGUGUUAAGCAAUCGGCAGUCUUCCCCAGGCCUACCCAGUAAUAUUCGUCGGCUUGCUCUGCAUCAUGCAAUGCCCAGAAAAGUGCAAGGUUUAACUUUUGUCCGGUCACUGACAAUCUUGGGCAAAGCGCACCAAUCUGUCCUGGACUUCUCCAAGUAUGAACUGCUGCGAGUUUUGGAUCUGGACGAGUGCGAUGUACCCUUGGGGGAUAGCCAUCUCAAGUUGAUAUGCAGAAAACUGUUGCUGUUGAGGUACCUAUGCCUCGGGAAAGCUCUUACUGCGACGGUGCUUCCACAGGAGAUCAGCAAGCUUCAAUUAUUGGAUACACUGGAUGUAAGAAGGACACGUAUAGAGAUUCUGCCAACACAAGUCCUGGAGCUGCCACAUUUACUUCAUAUAUUUGGGAAGUUUAAGCUCGAACAAGAUGUAGGAGACCGGAGAAUGAGUAAGCUACAGAGUUGGUUGUUAGAGGAGAGCGAAUUGAAAACACUGGCAGGAUUUGUUGUGGACAGCACCAAGAGCCAACAAUUUGCACAGCUCAUGGAUCAUAUGAAUUAUCUGACAAAGGUGAAAAUAUGGUGUGAGCCUACCACCGAUGUCAGCAGCUCAAGUCAUCUGGCAAAGGCCAUCAAGGGGUUCAUUGAGAGAAGCACCGUGUACACCGGGACACCUUCACUCUCACUCAGUUUUGAAGGCGAGUCGACCCCAGAAAUGCUGGAUUUCUCUCUAGAGAAAGGAAAGAAUUACCGCUGCUAUCUUGGCUCGCUCAAGCUGCACCUGCAAGGAAGCAACAUAUGCAGCCUGCCCCCAUUUGUUGCCUUUCUGGGUGGUCUCACUAAGCUAGGCCUUUCAUCCCCGCAGCUGAACCUGAGCCAAGACUUCCUUGCUGCCCUGAGCAAAGUGCCCCGCCUGGCAUACCUGAAGCUGGUUGCAACUAGCCUGGGCAACCUCGUCAUCACAGAAGGUACGCUUGAGAGCCUGACACGCCUAUCCAUCGUGGUGGAAUCCGUCAUUUUUCAGCUGGACAUCCAUGUGGGAGCUCUACCUCGCCUCAAGUCGCUGCAGCUGCUAUGCAAAUAUCUAGAUGGUUCAAUUUCUGGCAUGUCAACGGUCCAGUCUCUUCGGCAUCUCGACCAGAUUGCUCUCCUUCGUGAUGUGGGAGAUGAAACAAAAAAUGAGUGGAAAGAAGCAGCAAAGAACCUCCCAAGUCCACGUCCCAAGAUCUUGUUUCUCUAGACACCAUCAACGCACAUCCAGGUAAUGAAUCGUGAUUUACUUGCCUUGCAAUUGUUUCUCCUGACCUCUCCAUGCACAGUUCAGAUCCUGGUAAUGAAACUUUAUUAUUAUUUUGCAGCAGCACAAGUAGCGAGUUGCUAAUGGCACAUCAUUGCCGCAUGCUGCUAAUUGGUUGAUGGCUAUUCAUGGACAAGUGUGUCUCGUCAACAAGAUCAAGUCCGUUGAAUAAGUUACUCCUCUUUGCUCUCGUGUCGAUUUCCUGGCUUCCCCGCCGUUCGUACUUUUAUUUUGUGUCACCACUAGGAUUUAUUUAUUUGUAACAGAUCGAAGUUAAUGGUCUGUUAAGCGGAGCAAACGAUUUUCUUUUCAAGAAAUAUGGUGACUUCCUGCUGUAAUAAAUAAGCUUACUCUGUUUGUUGUUGGACAUGUAUUUGGCUAUUUCAGGCCUAGUCAACUUAACUGGCUUCUAUUAUUUCUCAUAAAUUUAGCACAACUAUAUCCUAGCACUUGUUUGGGAUAAAUUCUGGAAUCUCAAUUUACUUGAUGUGAGUGAUUUUAUAUAUUCUCUCUGUUCCAAAAUAAAUGUCUCAACUUUAACACUUAUUUUGGGACGAAGGAAGUAUAUAUAUAACGGCCAAGUGAGCACCUGGUAACUGGUGUGUUCAGUGGAAGCAGACCGUUGGAAUCAGAUGAAGAAAAAGAACGCUAUGAUCCAUGGGAACACCCAUGAGAGGGUGCAAAAGCUAAUUGCACAGGCCCCUGAUAUUAUUUUCUUUAAGAAGCCAUCAGUAUAGGUGAGGUUGCUCAUCAAAUUACCAAAAGAUAGUGUUUGAUAAAAAAUAAAAGAGAAGAAAUAGAAAUGUCUGGAAUAUGAUGAUGAGCCCAGACAAAAAACACUUGAUAUAACUUCCUUUCAAGAAAAAACAAAACACUUUAUAUAACUUAUUACUUUCUUUUUUCGGUUUACAGUGCAACAUUUUAUUAUCAAGAUGGUACCCAGUAGUCCCUGUCCUGGUGGAUCUACCGCCUCUCUGGCCCUGGAAGCGGCCCGAUGACCCUCGGCAUGGCGACCUACAUGCUCAACCUUUCUGAGACACUAGUAGAAAAUGAGGCCUCCGCAGUCCGAAAUCACAUUAGCCCCGGGUCAAAAUAAAGCUGAGAUAAAUGCCGGGCAUUGGUCCCGGUUCGAGCUGCCAGGGCCUCGCGGGGCAAAAGUUCCGGUUCGGUUCGACGCAUUAGUCCCGGUUCGUGCCAAAAACCGGGACUAAAGAUCCAGCGACUGACACGUGGCGUGUGACGGAGCAUUAGUCCCGGUUGGCGGCUGGAACCGGGACUAAUGGUUAGUCUUGUGUCCCGGUUCUGUUCAUUAACCGGGACCAAAGAGAUGCCUAUAUAUACCUGUCCACCCUCUCCUCUAAUUUUUGGUUGUGUGAGGUGUGCAUGUCAUGCUCUUGCCACCCUUCUAUGCAUGCGCAUGAGGUGUUCGAUGAAACGCCUGAGACACACUUAAGCUUUCUCCUCUCGAAGCUCGACAUCUCCAAGCUCCAUUUUCCUCAAUAUUUGUCUAGGUUUGACGGUGCACCAAGUACACAAGUGUUCUAAAUGUUAGCUACUUCCUUUCAUCUCUCACUGCUAGUUUAGCUUAUUUCAAAUGCUCUAGAAAUAGAGUGGUUUGUGGAUUUUAGUGUAGUAGUGUAUGUGGGAGUUUUUUUGAUUUAGAUGCAAAAUCUGAGCUCAAAUUAACUUCUUAGAGUCUGCACACGUGUAGAGCACCGUCCCAUGCCCGUCCUCACCGUUGUCGAUCGCCCGCGCCGAUCUCGUCGCCAGAACCACCAUGGUGAGCCUCUUGUUCUUAUCUUCUUUUUAAAAGAAAAAAAAUCUUACUUGUAUGAUUCAGAUAGAUACUUGUAUAAAUUACUUAAUUUUAUUAUUUUUGUUAUUAUAUAGUGCGAUGGUUUUGGUGAUCUAAAAUUCUCUCUAUGUAAGUGGUGAUCUAAACACUCUUAUAUUUAUUUGCAGAAAGAAUAUCAUUUUAGACAGCUUAAUUUGUUGCUUCUAUUACAAUUUAAAGUUCUAGCCAAGACAUCAAGCGUGCACACCUUACAAUUAAUUAUUAAUAAGAAUAAAACAAAAUAAAUGACAGCAGACAAGCGAUAAGCAGAACACUACAAGAAUCAACAAUACCAACCACCGCCCUUGAUAACACAUUGAGAGGGAGGGAAUGAGUGACGGAGGGAGGGAGGGAGAAAGGGAGAGAGAGAGAGAAAGGUUCUUCAAAAUGAAUGCCAAAAGCUCCAUUUUCCCGAAUCAUCGCCUCAGCUUGUCGGAUCACGGGCACCGAGCGUGGAGUAGCUCGGUGCCCGCUCUCUGUUUGCCGGUAUGUCUCAACUGUGUGAGAUGGCGUAUUACGACACGGUCCCACGGACCAUUAGAUGUUGCAUUGCAGAUGGACCACGACGGAGGGGGAGGCUGAGAAUGCUAUGAAGACACGCCAGUGGAUGACUCGGAGAAGGACAUGCAUGCCCAACCGGGCCCUCAGCCGAGUGCGUAGUCUGACACAUACACCCAGCACUACGACUCGUACGGUAGGCAGCCGAAGCAGGACAGCGACGACGACCUUGAUCCGGAUGAAUGGUUGUCCGAUCCAAAGAAAAGGGGGUAGAGAAGAAUGUUUCAACAUGUAGGAGAACGAAUUCCUUCAAUACUGUUGGCAUCGGCAAUGUGGAAGAAUCGGGUGAUCCAGCCGAUCCAACAAAAGAUAUGCCCAAGAAAGUUAGAAUGGGGUUCCAUUGGAAGAAAGGGAAUGAGAUCAAGAUUUAGUGACAAGGGGCGGAGGUUAUAAUGACAGAGAGGCUCAAGGACAUCUAGGCGAAGAAACAUGAGUCAUAUGUCAAGCACUAUAACGUGAAAGAGAAGAAGAAGGCAGAGAAGUUUACCCUCUUGAUGGCGUCGAUUGUGAAGAAGAUCAAGCUCUAAGAGAGGAAGGUCGAGUUUGCGACCACUUCUGUGGAAACCAAGAUGUUAACCAUGAGGGUGGACGAGUAGGAUAACGAUGUGGUGUUCGUGUUAGGAGGUUGAAGCGCUUUGGCUUUCGAUCUGGUCAUAGAGGAGAUAGUGGCUGGUGAGGAGGACUCUGUGGCAGAGUAAGCGAGGAGGCUCGAAAAUCAGUGUCAGAGUUCUAUGAAGCGUCUCAAACCCCCAUACAUGGGAGCCCGCAUAUUUAUAUCCUCCUUUUUAAAUCUCUAUCUAUCUCUAUCUCCUCCUUGUUAAAUCUCCUCUCACCGGUUGAUCUCUAUAACAACCGGUGCUCAACUUGUACCUCAAGCUAAGAUCUAUCUAUAUAUAUAUAACAGGAAGGAGAUAGAGAUAGAUAGAGAUAAGAUACAACAGGUUUAAACUGAAUAACUAUCUCCUAACAGCUCCUUGGUACUUAGGAUAGGCCGAACCUGGUGGGGCCAAUACUUCAUGUUUAACACCCUCCCAUAAUCAUAACUUGAUCAAGUUAAGAUUACGCUUGAACUCCUCAAAAGGCCUUGUAGGCAAUGCUUUUGUAAAUUCAUCUAUAACUUGAUCCUUUGAAUGCACAAACCUAUAUCCAAUUCUUUAUUGGCAACUAUCUCAAAAAAAUGAUAAUCAAUCUCAAUAUGCUUGGUUCUGGCAUGAAAAACUUGAUUAGCUGACAAAUAUGUGGCACCAAGAUUAUCACACGAAAGACUUGGAGUUUGUAUAUGUUUCAACCCAAGUUCCUUAAGUAUUGACUUAACCCAAAUAACUUCAGUUGUAGCAUUUGCUAAAGCUUUGUAUUCUGCCUCAAUGCUGGACCUGGACACAAUUGCUUGUUUUCGUACGCACCAUGAUAUCAAAUUUGAUCCAAAAAAUACUGCAUAACCACAUGUUAAUCUUCUGUCAUCUACACACCCUGCCCACUCUGAAUCAGAGAAAGCACUAACAAGCGUGGAUGAAGACUUGCUGAAAUGUAUGCCCAUACUUAAGGUAUUCUUAACAUAUCUGAGUAUUCGUUUAGCAGCAGUGCAAUGCAAUGAAAUGGGAGCAUGAAGGAAUUGACAAACUUUGUUUACGACGAAGGAAAUAUCAGGCCAGGUCAGAGUCAAAUAUUGGAGAGCACCUACCACACUUAUGUAUCUGGUGCCAUCUUCCUGAUUCAGGAUUUCCCCUUCGGCAAGAGACAACUUCUCUGUGCUAGAGAGAGGUGUUGAUGAUAGUUUACAAUCCUGCAUACCUACUCUCACUAGUAGAAAAUAGGGCUUUGGUUCGGGCCUGGCCAGCCCAUUAGUCCCGGUUCUUCAUGAACCGGGACCCAUGGGGGGCAUUAGUCCCGGUUCAUGAGCCCAAGGGGCUGGUGUGACAGCCCGAUGCCGACGUUCCAGAAGAUUUCCCUUUUCUUUCCGUUUUCGUCGUGUGUCUAUAUUCUUUUGUCGCAUCAUCAUCGCAUCAUGCGCAUCAUCUACAUUGCAUCGGCAUCUUCGUUGCCGCCAGUUUUCAAAAACUUGCAUCCACUAGUAGUUGCCGGUUCUCGUCGUUGUCCGUUCUGAGUCCGACCGCACACACACACGCCCGCGGCACCGUCGAACCUUGUUUUAAAAAGUGUGCGUAAAACUUUCUCUGAUCGGGUUGAGAUUUGACGUGCGAUCUUAUUUUAAUAUAACUAGGCCGCCUGUCGAAUUUCGUCGCGAUCGGAGUCCGUGUGGUACCCGAACGGUCGACCGUAGCAGCACCGUAUUCGGUCUACCGUCGGACGUUUUUCGAUGUUUUAAAAUCGCGUUGUCGCGUCGCCCGUUUUCCCUCUCAUCUCCGGAUAUCCCCUCUACACGGCCGCAUACCCAUUCCCGCGUUCAGAAUCGUCCGAAUCCGACCUCACGGUUGGAUCCGGAACGAAAUUCCGGGUAACCUAGCCCCCCAUAUGUCUAUAAAUACCCUCCGGUGCAUUUUAGACAGCUCCCUCACCCCUUGUGCCUCAAAAUCCAUGCAGCCCCGAAACCCUAACCCUCAGCCUCUCUUCCUCCUCCAGCCACCAGCCCAUGGGGCCCGAUCUGAGCCCGCCCGAGCCCAUCUGGGCCCGGCCAAACCCAUCCCGCCGCCGCCUUGCCCGAGGAGCCCGAGCUCCUGCCCCGAGCUCGACAGGAGCCCUCCUGCGCUCGCGAGCCCCGCCUUCCAGCCACCUCCCGUGCCUGCCCGCGCUUCCUCGUCGAGGCGCCGCCUCCUUCCGUCGUCUGCCCGGGUGACCAGCCCCUGCCGUCGCCGGAGGCCGCCGCGCAGACCGGAGCUCCGGCCACCUCCAGCAGUUCUGUCGUCUUCCCGAGCCACGUCUACCCGAGGGCCGGCCGCAAGCCGAGCCGCCGUCGCCUAGCAGGCCGCCUCGUGCCCUGCCCGCUCCCAUCGGCCGCCCAUGCACCUGCCGGAGCCGCCAGCCGCGCCAGCUGCCAGAUCCACGCCGCCAUGUCCCGAGAUCGACGAGGAGCAGCAACCGCCGGCCAAGCAUCCACCCCGAAGGCCUCUGGUGAGACCCCUCUCCCCAGCCUAUUUUUUCGCCCUGUACAUAAUUUUGUUAGGAUGCGCCUGGUAGGUCCAAUAGGUAAUUUAGGGUUUUUCCGAAUUUAGUUCUUUUCAGGAAAAUAGACGUAUAUUUAGAUACCCGUAUCUUUUUAUCCGUAAGUCGAAACGAAGCGAGUAAUAUAUGUUUUUCGCGUAGUUUCUCGUGUAGAAUACGUUGGCGCAACUUGCAUAUUUGCUUGACGACGUCUAGCGUGCCGAAUGCAUCGUUUGGCGUGCUGUCCCAAUAGGUUUAGUCGCGUAUUUAAUUUUCCGCGCAUGUUCGAAGUGCUCGAAUGCCGUAUUAGAAAUGCCCAUGUUUUAGGAACCAUUUUUCCAUGAAUUUUAGAGCGGAUAUUUGUAUUUUUGCGUGUAGGGAAUUGCCUCUAGUUUAUUUUCCCGUAUAUAGGUUAUUUUCCCGCAUUUGUGUGUGGCUUUAUUUUUGUUGUGCAACCCCACAUAUUUUAUAUGUUUUCGGGGUAGAAAAAUCCAUGGGAUUUUUCUGUGCAAUUAGUUUUAGCUUUUGAGCAAAUUAGUUCGCGCGAUAUUUUGCCAUGUUGCCCUUUUGUUUAAUUCAUAGGAUUUAUUCCGUGCUUUGUUUGACAAAGUUGUCAACUAGAGAGUUGAUCUUGGAUGUUUUGUCUAGCCCCUGGUAUUUUUGGUUGCAAUAGAAAUGCAUGUUUAGGUGUGGUUUGAUUGCCGUCAAGUUGCUAGAAUAGUGCUGAUUUGGAGGUGCUGAAAUAUUUCUAAGUCUGAAAUCUGUUAUAUUUUGUUGCUGUUUUGUUUUGCUUCUAUUUUUAGAUCUGUAGCUCUUUUGAGGUUGGUCCAAUGGAGUAAGUUGUAGCCCUUGUGUUUCUCUAGCAUGCUGUGAAGUUGCAUUCCAUUUGGAGCCCUGUAGCUAUAGGUUUUGCUGCUGUCAAUAUAGCUUCAGAUCGAAAACUGCACUUUCAUGAGGUGUAAUUUUCACCAAGUCUGAAAUAGUGUGUGAGAUGCCAUUUUGUGUCUUAUUUUCAUAGUGAUCCAUGAUGCCAUGCUAGUUGUUGUUAGUUGUUUGUAGUAGUGCUUCUUGCCCUCUUACGUAUCAUGCCUUGCUUGAGUUUAUUGGAGAUGAGUAGCUCGUAGUUGUGGGGUGUAGAAAAUGCUAUGUGGCUGAUUUUGGCAGAUUGUAGUCAUUUCUUGUUCUGCUCGUAGAUUUUGAACCGUAGCUCCGAUUUGAUCGUGUCCUACAUGAAACUUGCUUAGAAUCUCGUGUAGUUUCAUUUUUCCUUGCUGUCUGUAUGUUUUGAAGUGCUCGUGACCGUCGUUGCACACAUAUCGCAUUUAUGCCAUCAUAUCUUGCGGUGCUUGUAUGUUUUGAACCGUAGCUCCGUUGGAGAUGUUCUUUAUGUGUAGGUUGCUUGAAAUGUCGCGUAGAAUCACGUGAACCUAUUUUUUAUCCUGUUUAACAACUAAUUAAAUGAAUAAGUUCAGAUCUGGACAGAAUUGUAAAUUAACAUGUGAGGUCGUCUCAGAGGUGCUAUAUGUCAUUUCCGACCUUAUUUAAAAUGCAUAGAUAGGUAGUUUAAUUAAGCUUCACCUCUUGCCAUGUUUAAUCACAUUUAAUAUUGCCGUGCAUCUACUCGGGAUAGAACUAAAUAAUUAAACGUGGAGUUUCUUCAAUAUGCAACUCGUUGCAUAUUGAACUUCACUUAAUGUGUAGUGUUUGAUUGUGUGAAUUGUCAUGCCGUGACUUGCAUAUAUUCAGCUGCUCAUGUAUCAUAUGUGUUGUGCAUCGCGUGGUGAAUAUCAUGUUUUAAUUUUUGUUUCCGGUUUCCUUCGUCUCGAUAAAGUUCCGCAAGCGUGUCGGAUUAUGAGGACCCGUUCGACUACGUCGGUUCGUCUGCUUCACGGAGACAUUCUUCUUCCAAGCGGGAUCUCAGGCAAGAUGACCAUUUCCCCAGAUACCAUUACUAUCAUUGCCAUGCUAGUUUACCGUUUCUAUCGAAUAUGUCUCGUUGCCUACCACAUGUUAAAUAUCAGCCUCUUAACAAUGCCAUGAAACCUUCAACCUGUUCAACCUAGCAAACCACUGAUUGGCUAUGUUACUGCUUGCUUAAGCCUGUUGAGAGCGUUGCUAGUUGCAGGUGCAGAUGCUUCCAUGUGAAAGCAUGGGUUCCUUGUUAUAUCACCGUAUUUAAAUGCUAUUUAAUUUAAUGCACCUAUAUACUUGGUAAAAGGUGGAAGGCUCGGCCUUUCUAGCCUGGUGUUUUGUUCCACCUUUGCCCCCUUAGUUUCGACUACCGGUGUUAUGUUCCAUAAAUGAGCGCUCCUAACACGUCGGGGUUGUUAUGGGGACCCCCUUGAUAAUUCGUUUUAGAUUAAAGCUGGUCUGGCAGGGCCCAACUUUGGUACUACAUUUGCCUAAAGACCUAAUAAAAUUACAUAGGGACUUUCCGGACCCCGAGGAUAAUUUAAUCAACCCCCGGGCCAGUGCUCCUCAUGAGUGUUGGCCCCACCUGAGUGAUGUCCGGCGCCCAUAUGGUCACCCGGAGGUGUAGCGAUCCCGACGUUUAGCUCAUCCGUCGUGUCCUGAGAACGACGUACGUGCCUCCUAUCAGGAUCGUCGACACGUCGGGCGGCCUUGCUGGAUUAGUUUUACCUUUGACGAGAUAUCUUGUGCAUCGGGAUUCCGGUGACGCUUUGGGUAAUCUCAGAGUUGAGGUUUUCCACUAGGGAAUCCGACGAGAUCGCGAGCUUCGUGAUUGAGGAUUUCUAUGCGGCUUGUGGUAAUUUAUGAUGGACUAGUUGGAGCACCCCAGCAGGGUUAAAUCUUUCGGAAAGCCGUGCCCGCGGUUAUGUGGCAACGUGGAAACUUUGUUUAAUACUGGUUCUACAUAACUUGAAGUUAACUUAAUUAAAAUAUGCCAACUGUGUGCGUAACCGUGACUGUCUCUUUCGUGAGUUCUUUCUUCGAUCGAGGACACGGUGGGGUUAUGUCUGACGUAGGUAGGUGUUCAGGAUCAUUCAUUUGAUCAUCAGUACUCACGUCCGUUAUGCGUAGAUCAUCCCCCUCUUUAUUCUUGUACUCAUAAGUUUAGGCACCAAAUAUAUGCUUAGUCGCUGCUGCAACCUUACCACUUAACCAUACCUCACCCAUUAAGCUUUGCUAGUCUUGAUACAUUUGGAAAUGAGAUUGCUGAGUCCCCUGUGGCUCACAGAUUACUACAACACCAGUUGCAGGUACAGGUAAAGUUUACUUGAUGCGAGCGCGUUGAUUGUUCAUUUGGAGUUGCUUCUUCUUCUUCUUCUUCUUCAUCGAUCUAGGAUGGGUUCCAGGCCGGAAGCCUGGGAUAGCAAGGAUGGACAUCGUUCUUCUUUUGUCGUUUAUUUUCGUCCGUAGUCGGACCCUGUUCUUACUCUUGAUGUUUGUGUAAUGUACUGUUGUGACUCUGAUGUAGCUUGUGGCUAGUGUAAGCCAACUCUUUAUGUAUAACUCUUCUUUUCAGUACAUGUACUUGUAACGAUAUCCAUUAUUGCGACACGACGAGAUGCGCUUCUAUCCCUGAUGAGGCCUUAGUGCCAAAUUGAGGAUAGGGUCGCAUCUUGGGCGUGACAGCUGGCCGGGGCCUCGUGGCCAUUGGUCCCGGUUCGUCUGGACCCAUUUGUCCCGGUUCUAGGCACGAACCGGGACCAAUGGGCCGUGCUCCUGGCCCACAUCCAUUGGUACCGAUUCAUGCCUUGAACCGGUAUAGAAGGGGGGGGGCGUUAGUCCCAGUUUAUGCCACGAACCGGGACAAAUAAUUUGCCUAUAUAUAACCAUCGCCGCGGUAGAGCACUCUGUUGUUUCUGGCCGACGAGGGGAGGGCAUUUGGGUGCUCUAGCUCACCUCCUAUGCACAUGAGGUGUUCGAUGAAAUGUCCGAGCCACACUAGUUAAGCUUUCUCCUCUCGAAGCUCGACCUCGGAGCUCCAUUUUUCCCAAGAUUUGUCUAGAUUUAGCGGUCCAUCACGCCCCGUCCCCGUUUUCAUCGCCGUUGAUCGCCCGCGUCGAUCUCGUCGCCGGCACCACCGUGGUUAGCCUCUUGUUCUUAUCUUCUUUCUGAUUUUCUUAGUUUAGAUAGAGACUUGUCUAAUUUUCUUACUUUAGAUAGAUACUUGUCUGAUUUUCUUACUUUUGACACACAUAAUUAUAUAUAAUGCACGCAGAUGAACCGACAAUGGAUGUAUGGUGACAGACACACCUCCGAGUACAUUAAGGGCGUGCAUAAUUUUCUCAAAGUGGUUGAAGCAAAAAAGAGGAAUGGUUUUAUGUGUUGUCCAUGCCCUAAAUGUGGGAAUACGAAGUCUUACUCUGACCGCAAAAUCCUUCACACCCACCUGCUUUACAAGGGUUUCAUGCCACACUAUAUUGUUUGGACAAGGCACGGAGAAAUAGGGGUUAUGAUGGAAGACGUCAAAGAAGAAGAGGAUGAUGACAACUAUGUUCCCCCUGAAUACCGUGAUGCUGCAACGGGGGGAGCUGCUGAAGAUCAAGAGGAACCAGACGAUGUGCCCGAUGAUGCUGCAACGGGGGAAGCUACUGAAGAUCAAGAGGAACCAGACGAUGUGCCCGAUGAUGAUGAUCUCCACCGGGUCAUUGUCGAUGCAAAUACGCAAUGCGAAAGUCAAAAGGAGAAGCUGAAGUUCGACCGCAUGUUAGACGAUCACAAAAAAGGGUUGCACCCCAAUUGCGAAGAUGGCAACACAAAGCUGGGUACCGUACUGGAAUUGCUACAGUGGAAGGCAGAGAAUGCUGUGCCUGACAAAGGAUUUGAGAAGCUACUGAAAAUAUUAAAGAAGAAGCUUCCAAAGGAUAAAGAAUUGCCCGACAGUACAUAAGCAACAAAGAAGGUCGUAUGCCCUCUAGGAUUGGAGGUGCAGAAGAUACAUGCAUACCCUAAUGACUCCAUCCUCUACCGUGGUGCGUAUAAGGAUUUGAACGCAUGCUCGGUAUGCGGUGCAGUGUGGUAUAAGAUUAGACGAGAUGACCCUGGUGAUGUUGACGACGAGCCCCAUAGGAAGCGGGUUCCUGCGAAGGUGAUGUGGUAUACUCCUAUAAUACCACGGUUGAAAUGACUGUUCAGAAACAAAGAGCAUGCCAAGUUGAUGCGAUGGCACAGUGAGGACCGUAAGAAAGACGGGAAGUUGAGAGCACCCGCUGACGGGUCGCAGUGGAGAAAAAUCGAGAGAGAGUACUGGGCUGAGUUUGCACGUGACCCAAGGAACGUAUGGUUUGGUUUAAGCGCGGAUGGCAUUAAUCCUUUUGGGGAGCAGAGCAGCAAUCACAACACCUGGCCCGUGACUCUAUGUAUGUAUAACCUUCCUCCUUGGAUGUGCAUGAAGCGGAAGUUCAUUAUGAUGCCAGUUCUCAUCCAAGGCCCUAAGCAACCCGGCAAUGACAUUGAUGUGUAUCUAAGGCCAUUAGUUGAAGAACUUUUACAGCUGUAGAAUGAAAACGGUGUACGUGUGUGGGAUGAGCACAGUCAUGAGGAAUUUUACGUGCACGCGUUGCUGUUUGUAACCAUCAACGAUUGGCCCGCUCUCAGUAACCUUUCAGGAUAGAAAAAUAAGGGAUACCACACAUGCACACACUGUUUUGCUGACACCGAAAGUAUAUGCAUGGAGAAAUGCAGGAAGAAUGUGUACCUGGGCCAUCGUCGAUUUCUGCCGACAAACCAUCAAUGUCGAAAGAAAGGCAAUCAUUUCAAAGGCGAGGCAGAUCAACGGAAGAAGGCCGCCAUGCGUAACGGUGAUCACAUACUUGCUAUGGUCAAUAAUUUAAAAGUAAUCUUCGGAAAGGGUCCCGGCGGACUAUCUGUUCCGAGUGACGUUGCGGGACACACACCCAUGUGGAAGAAGAAAUCUAUAUUUUGGGACCUACCCUACUGGAAAGACCUAGAGGUCCGCUCUUCGAUCGAGGUGAUGCACGUCACGAAGAACCUUUGCGUGAACCUGCUAGACUUCUUGGGCGUGUAUGGGAAGACAAAAGAUACAGCUGAGGCACGGGAGGACCUGCAACGUUAGCAUGAAAAAGACGGCAUGCCUCCAAAGCAGUAUGAAGGUCCUGCCAGCUACACUCUUACCAAAGAAGAGAAGGAAAUCUUCUUUGAAUGCCUGCUUAGUAUGAAGGUCCCGACUGGCUUCUCGUCGAAUAUAAAGGGAAUAAUAAAUAUGGCAGAGAAAAAGUUCCAGACCUUAAAGUCUCAUGACUGUCACGUGAUUAUGACGCAACUGCUUCCGGUUGCAUUGAUGGGGCUUGAUACGUCUCAAACGUAUCUAUAAUUUUUGAUGGUUUCAUGCUGUUAUCUUGUCAACUUUGGAUGUUUUAUGUACCUUCUAUAUCUUUUUUUGGGAUUAACUUAUUAAUUCAGUGCCAAGUGCCAAUUCCUGUUUUUUCUGUGUUUUUGACUCUUUUCAGAUCUGAUUUUGGAACGGAGUCCAAACGGAAUAAAAUCCCCGAAAUAAAUUUUUCCAGAACGGAAGAAGAUUAGGGGACUUGAGGGCCAAGGCAGGAGAGCCACAGGGGGCCCACAAGCCCUGUAACCACCACCAGGGGGGAGGCGGCUACCAGGCUUGUGGCCUCCCUGGCGCCCCCCUGACCUAGCUUUUUCACCUAUAUAUUCCCUAAAAUGCAGAAAAAAAUGAGGGCAUCCACGAAAACACUUUUCCGCCACCGCAAGCUUCCGUUUCCGCGAUAUCUCAUCUGGAGACCCUUCCCGGUGCCCUGCAUCAACAUCAUCUCCUCUCCAAUGACUCGUGAGUAGUCUACUUCAGACCUACAGGUCCGUAGAUAGUAGCUAGAUGGCUUCUUCUCUCUCUAGGAUCUUCAAUACAAAGUUCUCCAUGAUCUUCAUGGAGAUCUAUCCGAUGUAAUCCUCUUUGGCGGUGUGUUUGUCGAGAUCCGAUGAAUUGUGGAUUUGUGAUCAGAUUAUCUAUGAAUUAUAUUUGACUCUUUGCUGAUUUCUUAUCUUCAUGAUUUGAUAUCCUUGUAAGUCUCUCCGAGUCUUGGGUUUUGUUUGGCCAACUAGAUCUAUGAUUCUUGCAAUGGGAGAAGUGCUUGGUUUUGGGUUCAUACCAUGUGGUGACCUUUCCGAGUGACAGAAGGGGCAGCAAGGCACGCAUCAUGUUGUUGCCAUCUAGGGUAACAAGAUGGGAUUUUAUCAUAGAUAUGAGAUUGUCCAUCUACAUCAUGUCAUCUUGGUUAAGGCGUUACUCUGUUCUUUUGGACUUAAUACACUAGAUGCAUGCUGGAUAGCGGUCCACGUGUGGAGUAAUAGUAGUAGAUGCAAAAAGUAUCGGUCUACUUAUUUUGGACGUGAUGCCUAUAGAUAUAAUCAUUGCCUUAGAUAACGUCACGACUUUGCGCGGUUCUAUCAUUUGCUCGACAGUAAUUCGUUCACCCGCCGUCUACUUGCUUUUAUGAGAGAAGCCACUAGUGAACACUACGGCCCCCGGGGCUAUUCACAACUAUCGUUUCCACUUUCACUUUUACUUUGCUCUGUUUACUCUUUGCUUUCAGUUCUCACUUUGCAAACAAUCUAUAAGGGAUUGACAACCCCUUCAUAGCGUUGGGUGCAAGCUCUUUGUGUUUGUGCAGGUACUUGUGACUUGACGAGACCUUCCAUUGGUUCGAUACCUUGGUUCUCAAAACUGAGGAAAAUACUUACCGCCGUUGUGCUAUAUCACCCUUUCCUCUUCAGGGGAACACCAACGCAAGGCUCCAAGGCCGCGGGAAAAUCCUUUGCAUAUUUGUCAAGGAAGUCCCUAAGGGUGUAGCCGUAGCAGCAGGAUUCCUGGCGCCGUACCAGGGAAGGUCUGUUGUCGCAGUAGCAGGGCUUCUACCGGAAAACGUCCGAUUAGCCAUUGUGAAGCUAUGUGCAUUCCUCAAUGCAAUCUCUCAGAAGGUGAUCGAUCCAGAAAUCAUACCAAGGCUAAGGAGUGAUGUGGUGCAAUGUCUUGUCAGUUUCGAGCUGGUGUUCCCACAAUCCUUCUUCAAUAUCAUGACGCACGUCCUAGUUCAUCUAGUUGACGAGAUUGUCAUUCUGGGCCCUGUAUUUCUGCAUAAUAUGUACCCCUUUGAGAGGUUCAUGGGAGUCCUAAAGAAAUAUGUUUGUAACCGCGCUAGGCCAGAAGGAAGCAUCUCCAUGGGCCAUCAAAUAGAGGAUGUCAUUGGGUUUUGUGUUGACUUCAUUCCUGGCCUUAAGAAGAUAGGUCUUCCUGAAUCGGGGUAUGAGGGGAGACUGACUGGAAAAGGCACGCUUGAAGGGGACUCAAUAAUAUGCAGGGACGGAUAUUAUUGGUCUCAAGCACACUACAUAGUACUAAUGAACUCUACCUUGGUGACCCCGUAUGUCGAUGAACACAAGAACAGUCUGCGCUCCAAACACCCGGAGCAGUGCGACGACUGGAUUACAAGUGAACACAUCAGGACUUUCAGCAGUUGGUUGGAAACACGUCUCAGAGGUAAGAACACUGUUUGUGAUGAGUUGUACUCAUUGUCCAGGGGACCAUCUUCAACUGUAUUGACUUACAAAGGAUACGAGAUAAAUGGGAAUAUAUUUUACACGAUCGCCCAAGAUCAAAAGAGCACCAACCAAAACAGCGGUGUCCGCUUUGAUACAGCAACCGAGAGGGGAAUAGACACAUAUUAUGGUUACAUAGUGGACAUAUGGGAACUGGAAUACGGACAUGAUUUUAAGGUCCCUUUGUUUAAGUGCAAAUGGAUCAAUCUGUCAGGAGGCAGGGUACAAGUAGACCCACAGUACGGAAUGACAACAGUGGAUCUGAACAAUCUUGGGUACACUGACGAACCGUUCGUCCUAGCCAAUGAUGUGGCACAUGUUAUCUAUGUGAAGGACAUGUCUACCAAACCGAGAAAAAGAAAAGAUAAGGAACCGAAUACAUCAUACGAUGAGCCAAAGCGCCACAUAGUUCUUUUAGGAAAAAGGGACAUCUUGGGAGUGGAGGGCAAGAUAGACAUGUCCAAAGAUUAUGAAAAAUUUCAUGAAAUUCCUCCCUUCAAAGUCAAGGCUGACCCCAAGCAUCCUGAUAAAUGAUGAAGAUUAUCCAUGGUUACGGCGCAAUAAGGAAAGGACACAAGCGAAGAAAAAAUGAAGACUUUCUCCACAACUAUUAUGAUGAUACCAUGCCAACUUUCAACAUUUUCGUAGUUCAUUUGAAAUGCCUGUUGUAAGAGACAAGUUUCUGUAUGAAAUCCUGAUACUUCGAAACAGAUUAUCCGUUUUGUACACGAAGUGCAUCUAGUUUUUGUCGUAACCCUCUCAACUUUCUUGCAUAUGCUAUGUGGUUGAAAUGAUGAUACCAUGCCAAAUUCCAACCUUUUCAGAGUUCAUUUGAAAUGCUUUUCAAUUUCAGGGUCUUAUAGCUUAAAAUAAUCAGUAAAUGCAUGAAAAAGAACAUAUGAAGUCAGAAAGGGAUGAAAAUUAAUGAUGUAAGUAGAAACCAAAUAAAAUAAAAUAAACUUUAAUAAAACAAGAAGUCCGGAUUAAAAGAAUUAUCAUAAAAGAAAAUAAAUAAGUAAUUAUAAUUUUGUUACAAACUUUAAUAGCAAAAAGAAUUAUCAUAAAAGAAAAUAAAUAAGUAAUUAGAAUUUUGUUACAAACUUUAAUAGCAAAAAGAAUUAUCAUAAAAUAAAAUAAAUAAGUAAUUAGAAUUUUGUUACAAACUUUAAUAGCAAAAAUAAUUAUCAUAAAAUAAAAUAAAUAAGUAAUUAGAAUUUUGUUACAAACUUUAAUAGCAAAAAGAAUUAUCAUAAAAGAAAAUAAAUAAGUAAUUAGAAACAAAAAAGAAAGCAAAAAUCUAGAAAAAAAUUAAACAUAGCACCGCACCGAGCCACCACACGGCCUUUGGUCUUGGUUAGUGUCAAAAAACAAAAAAUUAGUUGUAAGUAGAAACAAAAGAAAAAAAUAAAGCAAAAAAAAAACAAAAAUAAUGGAAAAAAAUAAAAAAAUAUGUGAAUUUAUAGAGAAAAUUCAACCUAAAUUCAAAGUACUAGUUAGCUUAACUAGCUAACUAGCACUUUGAAUUUAGGUUGAAUUUUGUCUUUAAAUUCAAGCUCGAUGUUGCACCCAUGGCGGAGCUUAUAAACAGGUUCGGGAGCCUUUCGCUUGGCGAGGUGGGACUAAACAUCCAACUGCACCGCGGCUGUGGCAGGCACAUGCCUUUAGUCCCGGUUUGUGGCUUAAAUCGGGACCAAAGGCCUCUGCUUCCCGCCCUUCGGGCUGCUGAAAAGAGACCUUUGGUCCCGGUUGGUGGCUCCAACCGAGACUAAUGCCCCCUUUAGUCACGGUUGGUGCCACUAACCGGGACCAAAGGUCUCUGUUUCCCGCCCUUUAGGCUGCUGAAAAGAGGCCUUUGGUCCCGGUUGGUGGCACCAACCGGGACCAAAGGCCUUUGCUAUAUAAGCCAACACUUGAAAUUUUCAGAUUGGUAUCGCCACCAUUGCCCCCCACUCGACGAUGCCGCAAGCUCAUCCACGGCGCCGCCAGGCUGCCCUGUCGCUCAUCGCCCGCCGCCAUUGCCCGUCGCCCUCCGCCCCCCGAGCCCACGCCGUCGCCCGUCGACGUCGCCCUCUGCCCCCCGCCGUCGCCCUCUGUCACCCUCGAUCCAUCGCCCAUCACCGUCGCCCUCGCCCUCCGCCCCCUGCCACCGUCGCCGUAGCCCUCGCCGCCCACGCCGUCGCCUGGCCGCCCCCGAUGUGAGCCGCCGCCGCCACGACUCUGUUCUUAUUUUUAUUUAUUGUUUUUCAUUUUUGAUUUAUAACACAACAAUUUGUUGAUUAGAAUACAAAAAUACAAAUAAAAAUACAUAUUUUUGGAUACAAUUUUGUACUAAAAUGAGUCUCUCAAGUGUCCAUCUUAUUCGAGAAAAGGCUUGGAAAUUCCACACCCACAUAAGAAAAUGAAGUCUUCAUAUACUUUAUUUCCUUGUUACCCAAUGGAAAAAUUCACGACCAUUCGAUUAUCUAUUUUCUUAGAUUAAGCAACUAGUCUAUAACUGAUUAUUCUUGAAUGAAGUAGCAAGCAAUACAAUGUUUGUUUCUAGGAAACUAGAAAUGCAAUGCUAAUGUACCAUUUUCUUGGAACUCUUGACUAUAGUUAUUGCGUAUUAAAGGCACAAUAUGUUUGAAAAAUAUAUAAAAAAAUCUCCCAAAAAUGAAACCAUAUGUUUUGUGAAUCUGAUGGACCCCUUUUCAUAGCCUUACCCUAACCAAUAAGUCAUCAUAAGCAUCAUCACCUAUAUUGUGAAAACAUUCAUUACAUUUGUGUUGAGAUACAUUUGUUAUUUAUUUUUAGAAGCGCGCUGAUAUAAGAAGGAUUGUCCAAGGUUUUAUCAUAAAAGACUAUGUCCAUGUCUCAAAAUCACGUAUUUUAAAAUGUGGUGAUGUGGUAGUCCUACAACCAUAUGCCUAUAUAAUAUGCCUAUCCCGCAUAGAACUAGUUUAUUUUUUAGUUCAUUUUACGAUGAUAUAAUAUGCCUAUACCGUAUUUUAAAAUGUGGUGAUGUGGUGAUGUGGUAAUUAUUGAUUUAUUUUUACAAGCACGCUGACGUCAGUUGUGCUUCCCCGGCAAUGGCGCCAGGAAAGUGCUGAUCCUGCAAUCUCUAGUGUUAGCUAGACGAAUGCUUAUGACAACGAACCUUCUCCUGCAACGGCACCAGAAGAAUGCUGCUAGCACUCCCCGGCAAUGGAACUCGAAGAAUGUUGUUGAUGGCCCACCAGCGCGUGGGUUCGCAGCAGUUUUCGAGGGUAGAGUAUUCGACCCAAAUUUGUAGAUCCCCUAAGGGAGGUGAGAGAAUACUAUCGAGUAUUAGCAGCUGAAUUUGUCGGAUUCAACCACACCUGAAAGAUUAGUAUCUGCAAGCACAGUAGUAAUAACAAAGUAGUAUGAUAAGAACGGUGUAAGAAACGUUCUGUUGACAGCAGACUAUUCCUAACAAUUGUAUCAAUGGCGCUUUCGUUGCCGCGUUGACGGAAGUUGUCAGUUCCCGUCAACGUCCGGUGAACCAACAGUGUAACAUGUAGCAGCAGUGUAACGAGUAAUAGCAGUGGCAAGGAACAACAGUAGUGACGAAAGUAGCAAGUAGCAACAGUAGCAAGAGACAGUAAUAGCAACAGUAGUAGUAGCAGAAGAGCAAGACAAGUAACAGCAGUAGCAACAGUAGUAGCAGCAGAGCAAGACAAGUAACAACAGUAGCAACAGUAGGACAAACUCGUAGGCAAUGGGUCGGUGAUUUGUUUGGAUGAUAUUCAUCAUGCAACAGCUAUAACACGGAGAUAUAAGUGGCUAGCUUCCGUUCGUCAAUGUGAUGUAGGCAUGCAUUCUAUGUGUCAUCAUACGUGCUUAGGGAAAAGAACUUGCAUGACAUCUAUUGUCCAUCCCUCCCGUGGCAGCAGGGUCCAAAAGGAAACUACGGGAUAUUAAGGUUCUCCUUUUAAUAAAGAACCGGACCAACGCAUUAGCACUUGGUGAACACAUGAACUCCUCAAACUAUGGUCAUCACCAGGAGUGGUUCCAGUUAUUGUCACUCCGGAGUUGCCGGAUCAUAACACAUAGUAGGUAACUACAACUUGCAAGAUCGGAUCUAAAACACACAUAUAUUGGUGACAACAUAAUAAUUUCAGAUCUGAAAUCAUGGCACUCGGGCCCUAGUGACAAGCAUUAAGCAUGGCAAAGUAGUAGCAACAUCAAUCUCACAACAUACUGGAUACUAGGGAUCAAUCCCCAUCAAAACUAACUCGAUUACAUGAUAGAUCUCAUCCUACUCAUCACCGCCCAGCGAGCCUACGAAUAGAUUACUCACGAGCGACGAAUAGCUUCAUGGAAUUGGAGAGGGAAGAAGGUUGAUAAUGACGAUGGCGACGAUUUCCCCCCUCCGGAGCCCAAGACGGACUCCAGAUCUGCCCUCCAGAUGAAGAACAGGAGGUGGCGGCGCCUCCGUAUCGAAAACGCGACGAAAACUUCCUUUUUUAUUUUUUCUGGGACGAAAGGCAACUUAUAGAGCUGGAAUUGGGGGCGGCAGGUGCCUGUGGGCCCCACAAGCCUGCCCACCGCCACCAGCGGGGGUGGUGGCGGAGCAGGGGCUUGUGGCCCACUGGCCCACGGCCUGAGGUGGAACUUGGCGCAGAUAUUUUUGAUAUUUUCCAAAACUUCUCUCGGUAAAUUUUCAGGACGUUUGAAGAACUUUGAUUUCUGCACAAAAAUAACACCAAGGAAUUCUGCUGAAAACAGCGUUAGUCCAGGUUAGUUCCAUUCAAAUCAUGCAAAUUAUAGUCCAAAACAAGGGCAAAAGAGUUUGGAAAAGUAGAUACGUUGGAGACGUAUCAACUCCCCCAAGCUUAAAACCUUGCUUGUCCUCAAGCAACUCAGUUGACAAACUGAGAGAGAAAGAAAAACUUUGACAAACUCUGUUUGAUCUUGUUGUUGCAACUAUGUCUAACUCAUAACCAUAAUUUCAGCAAGAUCACAAGUUAGCCACAUAAGCAAAUGACACAAAGGUCUCACGGUAAACUAAUAUCAAUGGCAUAAUCAGCUAACGAGAAAAUAAUAAUGAGUUUCAAAUGCCAACACUUCAAUCAAAACAAGCAUGAAACAUUAUGAAUAGGUGGUAUCUCGCUAGCUCUUUCUAAGACCGCAAAACAUAAAUGCAGAGGACUUUCAAAGAUCAAGGGCUGACUAAACAUUGUAGUUCAUAGCAACGAAGAUCCAGUCAUAGUCAUACUCAAUAUCAAUCAAAAGCAAAGCAUAAAAAUGACAGAGGUGCUCUCUAAUUGGUGCUUAAAUAAGAAGAGGAUGACUCGACAGGAAAAUAAAUAAACAAGCCCUUAGCAGAGGGAAGCAUUGAUUUGCAGAGGUGCCAGAGCUCAAGCUUUGAAAACAGAGAUAAUAAUUUUGGGUGGCAUGCUUUCAUUGUCAACGCAAUGACCAAGAGUUCUCAAUAUCUUCCAUGCUACUCAUGCUAUAGGUGGUUCCCAAACAGAAACGUAAAGUUUUAACUCCCCCACCACCAAUCAAUCACACUCCAUGGCUAGCCGAAUCCUCGGGUGCCGUCCAUACUAACAUCAAUCUAGGGGGAGGCUUGUUUUACAGUUAUGUUUUCGAUUUAAGCAUGGAACUGGGCAUCCCAAAUACCGGCCCCUUUCUCGUGAAUGACUGUGAAUAAACACAUGUCGAGGAUAACACUCCUAGCAUGGAAGAUACCAAUAGCCCUCUGUCACCUCAUGAGCGGUUCGGGCAUGCAAAACAGAUUAUUUCUUGAAGGUUUAGAGAAUGGCACAUGCAAAUUUACUUGGAACGGCAAGUAGAUACUGCAAAUAGGUAGGUAUGGUGGACUCUCAUGGAAAAACUUUUGGAUUUAUGGAAGUGGAUGCACAAACAGUAUUCAUGCUUAGUACAAGUGAAGGCUAGCAAAAGACUGGGAAGCGACCAACUAGAGAGCGACAAGAGUCAUCAAGAUGCAAUGAGUUGGACUAACAUUGAAUGCAAGCAUGAACAGGAUAUAAAUCUCCAUGAAUACGGACAUCAUAGAGGCUAUGUUGAUUUUGUUUCAACUACAUGCAUGAACAUGCGCCAAGUCAAGCCACUUGAAACAUUCAAAGGAGAAUACCAUCCUAUCAUACUACAUCAUAGUCAUCUCAAAAUCUAUGUUGGCAAUCAAGACAAACCAUUAUAAGCUCUCAGCUAAAUAAGCAUGGCAUCAGAAACUAUGAUCUCUAAGUUGUCAUUACAAACAUGGUUCUCUCACAACAAAGCAAAAUCUGGGUCGACAAGCUAGUCAUAUUUACUAAAACAAAAUAGAUAGAGUUCAUACCAGCUUUUCAGUCUCAGUCACUUCAUCAUAUAUCAUCAUUGUUGCCUUUCAUUUGCACGAUCGAACGAUGAAAACGAUAAUAAGCGCAUUGGACUAAGCUGAAUCUGCAGGCAAACACAAAGGAGAAGACAAAAUAAUAUGGCUCUUUGAAAGCUAAACAGGUAAGCAUGUAAGAACCACUAAGCAUUGUAACCAAUAUCUUCUACCUUGACACGAAGAAAAAGAAAGCUAUUUACACGGGAAAGCUCCCAACAAGCAAAAGAAGAAAGAAAAAUCUUUUUGGAUUUUCUCAAAAGGACACAAAACAAGAAAACAAGAAAACAAAAAGAAACUAGCAUGGAUAAUACAGUGGCAAAGUGUAAACAUCGGCAAACAGAGUGAAAGCAUAAACAUGAAUGUAAAGUCGGUGAGAACACGUACUCCCCCAAGCUUAGGCUUUUAGCCUAGCUUGGCCUACUCCCAUGGUGGGAAAUAACCAGCUCCAGGAUACUCCGGAGCAGACUGCGGAUGCCACUGCUGUGUGAGCUCCUGUGGCUCCCACUGAUAAAAUGGCGUCUGGUACUCGACUGGAGGCUCGGGCACGGGCGCCUGUGGUUUGGCCAACCCCCAAUAUGCGUAGAUGUCCGCGAGCAUAAUAGUGUACCUACCUGCAUGAAGAUCAAACAAAGAAGGAGCAGGCAAAGUAAUAGUCUCUCGAGUACCCUGACUAAACACCAGGUUAUAAAUCAUCCGUCUACUAGCAUCUCUGUCCAGAAAAUCCUAGCGAACCAUGCUAUCAUAAUCCAUAUAUCUCUCAGGGAGAAGCAUCUCUCCUUCCUCUCCCAUUCUAAUGGGUAUCUCAAAGCACUACAAGAAAUAUGCUCAUACAUGAUGUUUUUUAAAAUGUCGUUGAUGAAUUCGUCAUAAAUCUAUGACGAUUUCAUCCGAGAUUGUCGUAACUUUUACGACGAUGUGAGUCAAAAAUGUAGUAACCGCAUAAGAUGAGAUCGUCAUAACUUUAUGACGAUUAUAAAAACAUCGUAACAUGUUCUAACUAUGUUGACAUGUCACUCGUGGGUCCAUUCUAUCCCACCUCAUCCUAGUUUGUGAAAAUAUCCCAAAUCACAUUGUUUUCAUACAAAUUCUGUUUCACACAUUCUAUUUUCACACAAAUUAUAAGAAAAUGAAAAUAUCCCAAAUCACAUUGUUUGUCAUCCCAAAGUAGACACAUAUGCAUAAUAUUGAUUAAUUUUGACAAACUGUAUGUUUACCCUGAAUAAUAGGAUGAAAAAUAUAAGAGAAACAAAAGAAAAAGAGAAAAUUACACAAGCUUAAAUCUGAUUGGUGGAAUGAGUUUUGACAUGGAUCGGUGACGUGGCAAACAUCCGGCCAUCCAUCCACCCGCAGCAAACCUCACCCAACCCAUCAUGCCCUCCUCUUCCUCUCUCUGCGCUAACCCUAGCCGACGCCUCCCUCUCUCCCCCGAUCCCACCCGAUACGGAUCGCCCAACCCUAGCCGCCACCGUGAUCUGACCAGGGGUAGCCGCGAUGGCGACGCGGAGAGGAGUGCCGCCCCGUAGAGUGACCGCUUCGUCUGUGUAUAGGCCGACACCCAGGAGGGCAACGACGCCGGUGGCAUAGUGGCCACUGCAGAGGGCGCGGUGCGGGCCAGCCUCGACACCGACGAGCUCAUGGCGCUCAUGCACGGCUCAAGGGCACGCCGAGUGGAGGAGGGGGAGGGGAGGGGUGGGGGAUUUGGUUUGUGAUUUUUGGAUUUUUGGUCCGAGCGGCGAUGGGGUUGCUGUCGCGGUCGGAGGAGGUGGCGGUGCUGGUCAGGCUCAAGGUGGCGGCGGGGCCGAUCAGGCGCGAGAUCUCGCCUAAGAUGCACUGGGCCUUCGCCUACGAGAUGCUCCACCGGGUCUCCUGCAGCUUCGCGCUCGGACUCGAGCUCCGCAAUGCCGUAAGCGCUCCUUCUCCUCCCUUUCCCCCCUUCAACCCCAGAUCCCCUCCGAUCCCUGGAAUCCUUGAGGCACUCACGGCCGCUAAUUUUGACCCUUCCUGGAGGUGUGCGUCUUCUACCUCGUGCAAGGUCUGGUUCUGAUUCCGCCAUGGAUUCGAUUCCUUGGUGCUCGUUUGGGGAUCCGAUCCGGUCUGGUCUCUUGUCUCCUCUCCUCUUGCUUGGAUUCGGUUCGAUUGACCACCAUUACUAUGUAUGUAGAUCUUGCUAGAGAUUUUCGCAUCUACUGUUGCUAGUUGGAUUCGUAGCUGUAUUGCACAUACUACUACUACUAUCGAUUGAUCGAUUACACAUUCCUUUGUUCUUUCUUAGAGCUACUAGUACUACUCCUACCAUAUACCAGUGUUAAUAUAUUGAGAUUGAUUCUGGUAGUGUUGGGUAGCCAGUAGAACUUUUAUGAUGUAAGUUAAAAGGGUACUGUGUGACUAGACUGAAGAAAUUGUGUUGACAAAUUCUCCCGCACCACCUUAUUUUUUCACUAGACUGAAGAAACUUGACUGCAGAUGCACCAGUUGCUCAUUUUUAAAUAGUCCUAGUGUUAAAAUGGCCAUGUUGUAUAAAAUUCAUGUGGAUAUGUGUUGAAAAUUCAGUUAAAUUGUCUUCACAGAAACUUUACUGAAAAAUUCAGUUAAGUUCAAUCACCAUUCUGAAUUUUGACCACAUGAGUACAUGACCAAGCUUAAGAGUUUAAAACAUUAUCCAAAUAAUCAUGUCCCACAUUAUUGCCAGGGCAAGAGUAGUAGCACGAGCAGGAUUUUGCAAACUGAAUGAAAAAGGAAGUCAUUCUUUGCUUCUACUGCCUGAACAAAGUCAUGUCGGCUGCACCAUGGCUCUUCUAUACUCCUGAAGUAUCAGUUAGUAAACAAGGAUAAAAAUGAUGGGGACUUUGCACCUUUGAUAAAACUGUAGGUGGUUUACCCACUGCAAGCAUGUUAAGGAAGCAAAAUGUUCACAGAGUUUCCAGUAGAGUGGCAAUUUUUGAAUGGCACUUCACCUAUGAAAUUCAGAGCAAGACUUCCUGUUUUGCUGUGGAGUUUAGACGUUCAGCUUAUCAUUCAAGACUUAUAUGCAUGCGUUUCUAGCUGUAGAAUUCAAAGCAAGACUUCAUGUUUUUCUGAAAUUUAACAUUUCAGCAUCAUUAAUCUUGUCUGACUGAAUGUUUCCAAAAUUAACAUGAUUGAGUGUUUCCAAAAUUAACAGAAUCUUGCCAUUUCCCGAUUGAAUGUUUCCAAAAUUAAAAGAAUCUUGUCAUUUCCUGAUUAAUUUUUUUUGAUUAAAUGUUUCUAAAAUUAAAAAAACCUUGCCAUUUCCCAAUUGAAUGUUUCCAAAAUUAACAAAAUCUUGUCAUUUCCUGAUUAAAAGUUUCCUGAUAUUUUUUUCCCAAUACAAACAAAAUCUUGCCAUUUCUUGGUCGAAACAGCAGCAACAACAGAUGACAGGGAAAGGAUAGGACGCUGCGAGACGUCGGUGUGACAGCCGGGUGGCGGCGUGCAAUGGGCUGGGUGGUUGCGUGUGGUGGCGCUGGUCGCUCUGACCACCGUGCGGAAUCUAGGGUGGCGUGCGAGGGCUGUGGCGGCGAUGCGCUCUGAUCCGGGGCCACGGAAUGUGCUAUCGGUGGUUGAGGUGGUCGCGGCAGGAGGAGACGAGAUCGCAUUGGGAGGGAAUCGCGGAGGUGCAGAUCGUGGGCAGCGGAGGAGCAGGUUGACAGGCGGAGGAAGAAGAAAGGAGACAGGAUCUAUCUGUAACAGAUUUGAUGGUACGAGGGGGUUUUGGCAAAAUUUCCAUUACACUGUGGAUGCGACAUUAAUUUCGGGAUGGAGGGAGUACUAAUAUAUUGUUGCAAGCACUGGAAUUUCCAUUCCAUCUGUAUAAAACUGUAUGUGUAGUGAUUGUUGUAUUUUGUUGUGUUCACUAUUCAGGUUAGGAUUGCUCGGCUCUUUACCACCUAUGGCCCGCGCAUGUGCAUUGUCGAUGGCCGUGUUGUGAGGAACUUUGUUGCUCAGGUAAACACACAACGCUGUUGCUCUGCUAGUUUAAAAACCGCAAGUUUCUUUUCAUUUCCGAACUAACACUUGAAUGCUCUAUGUUAAUAUAAUGGCAGGCGCUAAGGAAGGAGCCUUUGACGGUUUACGGCGAUGGCAAGCAGACCAAGAGUUUCCAAUGCGUUUUUGAUUUGGUAGGUCAUCUCUAACCAUCAAUGAACAAUAAUUAUGGCUAUGCUAUCUGGAAUGCGCUUUCUAAAAUAGCACUCUUCCAAGUUGAGGGGUUGAUGAGGCUGAUGGAAGGUUAUCACAUUGGGCCAUUCAACUUGGGCAACCCCGGUGAGUUCACCAUGCUGGAACUGGCCGUUCAACUUGGGCAACCCCGGUGAGUUCACCAUGCUGGAACUGGCCGUUCAACUUGGGCAACCCCGGUGAGUUCACCAUGCUGGAACUGGCCAUUCAACUUGGGCAACCACGAUGAGUUCACCAUGCUGGAACUGGCCAAGGUUGUCCAGGACACCAUCGACCAUGAUGGUGAGUUCAAUAACACUAUUAUGAUGAUGGUGUGCUGAGCAGAGGAUGUGAAACAUUUAGACCACAGAGACCUUUUUUGGUCUUUGAUGUAUCUAAAAUCGAGCUUUUUAAAACUGAUGCUAGGCAUGCCAUCACUAUAUAUAUUGUUGUAGAGAUGCUUGAGGUGGUUCUGUUAUAGUGGUACACAAUGGAGUUUGUCAGCUAAGCAUAUGAUGUUACUAGGAGAUGCUAGUGAGAUGUCACCCAUCGUUGAAGUAUCUUAAACCGAACUUUUUAAAACUGAUGCUUGGUUUAGCUAGUGCUUGUAGAUUAGAGUGAGUAUUGCUUAUCUGCUUGUCAAUCGAAAUCCACAACACACUGAAUUUAGCAGUGAGUAUUGCUUAUUGCUUAUCUAUUUGUCUUCUUAAAAAGAAUGGCAUGUUGAUUGAGGCCAAACAUUGAUGGGAAUGCCUUAGCUUUUUCUUUUUCUGCUGGAAACCUUUUUUUUGCUUCAGAUUUCUUGACUGGUCAGCCUGGCAUCUUACCUUAUUAACUAUAGCAACAUGUUUUACUCUUACUUUAAUUGAAGUAUUCUGCAGUAUGCAAAUCAAUUCUUUAAAUGUUGCAUUAUUGGCAACAUGGAGACAAACCUUAAACUUAUAUCGGUUAAACUUGGUCACUUGGACGGCAGACUGAGCCACCAGCCUACCACAUGUCCAUAUCUAUACAAGUUUAAUUUGUUUUCUUUUACUGUCAGUGUGAACCGCAUCAUUGGUUGUUGGGUACUGGACUACGGUGGCAUAUCCUUCCAUGUAAUUUUUUAAAGGCGAUGGAUGCAAAUCUAGUUGCAUUAGUAUACUCCAGUACACUCAAUUUAAUUGUCAGCUUGCCAAACGAGACGUAGUAGUUGAAUCUAACCAUAUAGUAGUAGUAAUAAAAAAUACUAUACGUUUUGGUGUGGCCAAACUGCUGUACAUUAUGUUUUUAGUAAGGAUCUCAAGUUCUUAACACAAACUUGCUAAGUUUUGAACACUAACUCUAAUAUUUUUUAUAUUUAUUUCCGUUUUUUUGAUUCAUGUGCAGUGUAAUGUUCUUGUAGGAUGGCAAGUUGUCGCAUCUCGAGCAUGUCUCAUAGGAGAGUGGAAUGAAGUCCAUUGUACUGUUGGGAUAGUAGCAGAUGUGUCAUUUCUAUUGUGUAAUUCUGUCCGUUCUUGCUAUAUUCAUUUGUAAGGAAAUGUAUUCAUGAGAUGAGUUAUUGUGUUAUGUAAACCUGGGAGAUGUAUUAUGUGAUGUUAUAUGAUGGAUGAUUUUAAUUUGACUUGGAGUUUUCUUGAUUUGAAUAUGAAAUAUAGUUGGAUUUAAUAUUGGACAAAUAAUUGGGUUGAAAAGGCUCAACAAAUACAAAUGAAACCAAAUUCUGAAACAAAAAGUUGCUGAAUUCAAAAAUGAAAAAGGUCAAAACUGAAACUGGACCAAAUGUAUUUGGGCACUAAAAGGCCAGGGCCCAAAUUAUAAUGAUAAAAAAAUUCUAAAAAAAUACUAUGAUUGUAAAUAAGCUAAGGCCCAAAAAGAAGCCCAAUAAGAAAAAGCCCAAAAAAAUAAAACCAGCCCAUGUGAUCAAUUGAAAUGGGUUGGGCUGAUUUCAACCGUGAUGUUUUGAUUUCAUCGUAAUUUUGCCACGUAGGACUGGGUUUGAUUGCCAACGACGAUUUAGGAUCGUCGUAAAGGUUACGACAAUCCAGGAAUCGUCGUAAAAGUUACGACGAUUUUGAUCAAAACAUCGCUGCUGUUCAUUUGUGACGCUCCGUUUUCGAUGCUUGGUUUCUCGUCAUGAGAUCGUGUAAAAUAAAAACCGUGAUGAUGUAGCGACGAAAAAAUAGCGUCGUGUAUUAGCAUAUUCCUUGUAGUGAAGUGUCUGGCAAGACGGGUAGCAUAGAUACCUCCAUAGACGACACCUUAAAACGGUUCAGGUUCAAACGUUGAGCUACUAUAGCGCCCAAGCUAUAAGUCUUAUCGUUAUAAAGGCCUUCGGGUAGAACCGCAAGGUCUCGAGAACAAAGUGAUCCAGCCUCCCCACAGCCAAUCAAACAUUUUCCCACAAAUAGUGAGAAGUACCGAAGCACGGGAAAAUGUAUGCUAGCAAUUCUAGCGCGAGACACUCCUCUCUCCUCUCCAACAACAAUAGAACCAAUGAAAUCCUCCAAGUCCCGUGGACGAGGGUCACGGAUAUCCCCAAUAUAAGGUAAUUUGCAUACAUUGCAAAAAUCCUGCAGCGUCAUGCACUUGGGGACAUCGUAUAUCAUGAACUCAACCAUGGGAGGAUUCUUCCUCGGAUAAAAGUUGAAGCUUUGAACGAAAAUAUUGGCGAGGAGGAGAUAUUGUGGGCACUUAUAUUCAACGAACGCAGUAAGAACUGCGUUCUCCACAAAGUAAUAAAAGUCUUCAUAAAGUCCGGCGGCGCGCAAAAAUUCAUCACUUGGCCACUCGCACGAUCGAACUUCUGUGACUCGAGGGACUGCGUACUUGGGGUGGUUCUUCUCAUCCUCCUUGGGGUUACGGCUUGAAGAGCCUCUCAAGAACCUCCUCAUCUUUUCCUUUUUAUAGCUCUGAAAUUUUUUGAAACUUUUCGAGACUUUGAAAGAAAAGUGAAUAAGGAUUAACCCAACUUGUAGCAACUACUCCUACUAGUGCCUAGAGACCGUAUCACGCGCUAAAACUACUUGGGACCAGCUAAAAUCAACCUUUCAAGCUCAAGAACAGGGUCACCAAGGUAGCAAGAAUCCGCGAAGGAUAAAGCACUAGAGCAAAAACUAAUUGGACCAAUGGAGGAGUCACUUACCAAGGAGUAAUUUCCCCAAAACAGUUCGUAGAAUGGUGCUUUGAGCAAGGAGAUUGAAAAUCACAGCCAAAUGAGCAAGAACACGGGUUUGAGCUGCGAAACAAUUUUUUCUGGAGGUGGAAGAAGAGGCUGAGAGCUGGAAUGAGUGGAGGGGAUGCCUGUGGGCCCCACAAGCUUGCACCCCGCCACCAGGGGGUAGGUGGCGGUGGGGGGGCUUGUGGCCCACUGGUUAGGCCCCCUCACCACCUCUCAGGCCUAGAAUUUUUCAAAAAUUCCAGAAAAAAUCAUACUAAAUUUUCAGGACCAUCGGAGAACUUCUAUUUUCGAGGUAUUUUCUCCGGGACGCUAAAACAGAAAACGAGAAAAGCUAAAGUAAUUCUAUCAUUUUUUUUCUAAGCCACAGAAAAUGAAGACUCAAAACAGAGGUAUGUGACUCUUUGAUUCAUCCGUCUCAUGAUCAUCGAAAGAAAUCCGUCAAUGAGAUUGAUCAAGUCCUUAUGACAAAACUUUCUCGAAUUACAAGAGAGAACGGAGAAUUUUCGAAUAGCCACUAAGUCACCUCAAUGGGGAUAUGAAUCUCCCCAACAAGAAAAUCGUAAUUCAUCUUGACACGAGGAAUAGGGCAUUCAAAGCUCCCAAUGAGAAUCGAUGAAGUGUUUUCGAUAGCAUUGAUGCAAUAUACUGGAUAUCGUUUCUUCGGAAAGUGCAUGGUGUGCUCAUUACCGUUGACAUGGAAAGUGACAUUGCCUUUGUUGCAAUCUAUAACAGCCCCUGCAGUGUUUAAAAAGGGUCUUCCGAGGAUGAUAGCCAUGGCAUCGUCCUCGGGAAUAUCCAAGAUAACAAAGUCUGUUAAGAUAGUGGCAUUAGCAACCACAACUUGCACAUCCUCGCAAACGCCGAUAGGGAAAGCAGUUGAUUUGUCGGCCAUUUGCAGAGAAAUUUUAGUGGGUGUCAACUUAUCCAACUCAAGUCUAUGAUAAAGAGAGAGUGGCAUGACACUAACACCGGCUCCAAGGUCACAUAAGGCAGUUCUUACGUAGUUUCCUUUAAUGGAGCAAGGUAUAGUGGGCACUCCGGGAUCACCAAGUUUCUUAGGAGUUCCACGUUUGAAAGUAUAGUUGGCAAGCAUGGUGGAGAUCUUAAGAUCUGGUAUCUUCUGUUUAUUAGUCACGAUAUCUUUCAUGUACUUGGCAUAUGGAGACAUCUUGAGCAUAUCAGUUAACCGCAUCUGCAGAAAGACGAGUCUUAUCAUCUCAACGAAGCGCUCAAAAUCCUCAUCAUCCUUUUUCUUGGAUGGCUUAGGAGGAAAGGGCAUAGGUCUCUGAACCCAUGGCUCCCUUUCUUUACCAUGCUUCCUAGCAGUGAAGUCAUUCUUGUCGUAUCUCUUAGGUUGUGGAUUAUCAGGAUUAACCAUAAUUUCAAUCACCACAUCCUCAUCAUUGCUAGGUUGAGCAUUAUUAUGAACAUCACUGUCCAUAUUGUCACCAGGUUCAUGUUCAUCACCAGAUUGUGUUUCUGCAUCAGACGUAGAAAUGUCAUUAGGUUCUUCAGGUGUGAUAGUAUUUAGUGAACUGGCAUGUAGGUUUUUAUCAUCCUUCGUCUUCUCCUUAGGAUGACUAGGUGUAUCAGCAUUGAUUCCUUGAGAAUCUUGAUCAAUUCUCUUAGGAUGACCUUCAGGAUACAAAGGUUCCUGAGUCAUCUUGCCUCCUCUAGUAAUGACUCUGACAGAGUUGUCAUUUAAUUCAUUGAGCAAGUCAUUCUGAGCUUUAAGUACUUGUUCUACCUGAGUAGUAAUCAUAGAGGCAUGUUUACUCAGAAGCUUCAGAUCAUUGACAUUUCUGUCUACACAAGCACUUAAAUGGCUAAGCAUACGAGCAAUUUGUUCCAAAUGUCUGCUAACAUAAUCAUUGAAACUCUGUUGUUUGGCAACAAAGUUGUCAAAUUCAUCAAAGCAUAGGCUAGCAGGUUUAUCAAAAGGAAUAUCACUAUCAUCAAACAUACGCAGAGAAUUCACUUCCACUACCUGUAUCGGGUUAUCGAGACCAUGGAUCUCUUCGAUAGGUGGUAGAUUUUUGACAUCUUCAGAUCUAAUGCCUUUCUCUUGCAUAGAUUUCUUGGCUUCUUGCAUAUCUUCGGGACUGAGGAAUAGAAUACCUCUCUUCUUAGGAGUUGGCUUAGGAGGUGGUUCUGGAAUAGUCCAAACAUUAUCGUUGAUCAAGAGGUUAUUCAGUAGGGUCUCAGCUUGUUCUACAGUUCGUUCCCUAAAAACACAACCGGCACAACUAUCUAGGUGGUCUCUAGAGGCAUCGGUAAGUACGUUAUAGAGGAUAUCAAGUAUCUCGUUCUUCUUAAGAGGGUGAUCAGGCAAAGCAUUCUGUAGCUGGAUGAGCCUCCCCCAAGCUUGUGGAAGACUCUCUUCUUGGAGUUGAGCAAAGUUGUAUAUUUCCUGCAAGGUAGCUUGAUUCUUAUGGACAGGGAAAUAUUUCUCACAGAAGUAAUAGACCAUCUCCUCGGGACUACGCACACAUCCAGGAGAAAGAGAGGUGAACCAGGCUUUAGCGUCUUAAGGAUAUAGUAGUGGCGGAUCUUCUCCUCAUUAGUGAAGAGGUUGGCUAUUUCGUAUAGUUUGGCAAGAUGGGCUAUGACCGUCUCAGACUCAUAACCGUGAAAAGGAUCAGAUUCGACAAGAGAGAUUAUCUCAGGGUCGAUAGAGAAUUCAUAAUCCUUAUCGGUGACAAAGAUAGGCGAAUGGCAAACUUCGGGUCAUUUUUCAUCCUAGGUUCCCGAGAUUUUUCCUUCCACUCGAGAAUUAAUUUCUCAGAGUCAUAGGCAUCCUUACAUGCAAGAAUAUCCUCAGCUAUCUCUCCCUCCAUAACGUAACCCUCAGGUAUAUCAGGCAAUUCAUAUCUGGGAGAGCUAGAUCUAACAGGAGCAAAAGCAGGUUCUAUCUCAAUAGUAUCGGUAGUUUCAGAAGCAUCACGAGCAUUGGCAGUAACUCUAGCAAUGUCAAGCAUAGCAUCAUCAGGAAAAAUAGCAUCUCUAGCAGUAUCAAGCAUAGUAUCUCUAGCAGUAUCAAGCAUAGUAUCAUCAGGCAUAGUAUCAAGCAUAGCAUCAUCAGGCAUAGUAUCAAGCAUAGUAUCAAGCAUAGUAUCACAAGCAUCAUCAAGCACAGGCGACAUAUCAAGAUUUCUAGCAGGAGGUGAUGUCGCAAACUUACUCAUAACUGAAGGUGAAUCAAGUGCAGAGCUAGAUGGCAAUUCCUUACCUCCCCUCGUAGUUGAGGGCAAGACUUUGGUCUUUGGAUUCUUCAUAGUGAUCAGCAGAUAUAAAUCCCAAGUGACUCAGAGAAUAUAGCAAUACCUCCCCGGCAACGACGCCAGAAAAAUGCUGACGUCAGUUGUGCCUCCCCGGCAACGGCGCCAAAAAAAUGCUGACGUCAGUUUUGCUUCCCCGGCAAUUGCGCCAGAAAAGUGUUGAUCCUGCAAUCUAUAGUGUUAGCUAGACGAAUGCUUAUGACAAUGAACCUUCUCCUGCAACGGCACCAGAAGAAUGCUGCUAGCACUCCCCGGCAAUGGAACUGGAAGAAUGUUGUUGAUGGCCCACCAGCGCGUGGGUUCGCAGCAGUUUUCGAGGGUAGAGUAUUCGACCCAAAUUUGUAGAUCGCCUAAAGGAGGUGAGAGAAUACUCUCGAGUAUUAGCAGCUGAAUUUGUCGGAUUCAACCACACCUGAAAGAUUAGUAUCUGCAAGCACAGUAGUAACAACAAAGUAGUAUGAUAACAACGGUGUCAAAAACGAUCAGUUGACAGCAGACUAUUCCUAACAAUUGUAUCAAUGGCGCCUUCGUUGCCGCGUUGACGGAAGUUGUCAGUUCCCGUCAACGUCCGGUGAACCAACAGUGUAACAUGUAGCAGCAGUGUAACGAGUAAUAGCAGUGGCAAGGAACAACAGUAGUGACGAAAGUAGCAAGUAGCAACAGUAGCAAGAGACAGUAAUAGCAACAGUAGUAGUAGCAGAAGAGCAAGACAAGUAACAGCAGUAGCAACAGUAGUAGCAGCAGAGCAAGACAAGUAACAACAGUAGCAACAGUAGGACAAACUCGUAGGCAAUGGGUCGGUGAUUUGUUUGGAUGAUAUUCAUCAUGCAACAGCUAUAACACGGAGAGAUAAGUGGCUAGCUCCCGUUCGUCAAUGUGAUGUAGGCAUGCAUUCCGUCUGUCGUCAUACGUGCUUAGGGAAAAGAACUUGCAUGACAUCUAUUGUCCAUCCCUCCCGUGGCAGCAGGGUCCAAAAGGAAACUACGGGAUAUUAAGGUUCUCCUUUUAAUAAAGAACCGGACCAACGCAUUAGCACUUGGUGAACACAUGAACUCCUCAAACUAUGGUCAUCACCAGGAGUGGUUCCAGUUAUUGUCACUCCGGGGUUGCCGGAUCAUAACACAUAGUAGGUAACUACAACUUGCAAGAUCGGAUCUAAAACACACAUAUAUUGGUGACAGCAUAAUAAUUUCAGAUCUGAAAUCAUGGCACUCGGGCCCUAGUGACAAGCAUUAAGCAUGGCAAAGUAGUAGCAACAUCAAUCUCACAACAUACUGGAUACUAGGGAUCAAUCCCCAUCAAAACUAACUCGAUUACAUGAUAGAUCUCAUCCUACUCAUCACCGCCCAGCGAGCCUACGAAUAGAUUACUCACGAGCGACGAAUAGCUUCAUGGAAUUGGAGAGGGAAGAAGGUUGAUGAUGACGAUGGCGACGAUUUCCCCCCUCCGGAGCCCAAGACGGACUCCAGAUCUGCCCUCCAGAUGAAGAACAGGAGGUGGCGGCGCCUCCAUAUCGAAAACGCGACGAAAACUUCCUUUUUUUAUUUUUUCUGGGACGAAAGGCAACUUAUAGAGCUGGAAUUGGGGGCGGCAGGUGCCUGUGGGCCCCACAAGCCUGCCCACCGCCACCAGCGGGGGUGGUGGCGGAGCAGGGGCUUGUGGCCCACUGGCCCACGGCCUGAGGUGGAACUUGGCGCAGAUAUUUUUGAUAUUUUCCAAAACUGCUCCGUGUAAAUUUUGAGGACGUUUGGAGAACUUUGAUUUCUGCACAAAAAUAACACCAAGGCAAUUCUGCUGAAAACAGCGUCAGUCCAGGUUAGUUCCAUUCAAAUCAUGCAAAUUAUAGUCCAAAACAAGGGCAAAAGAGUUUGGAAAAAUAGAUACGUUGGAGACGUAUCACACGCUGAUAUAAGAAGUAGUUUAUUUUUGACAAGAAAAUUAAUAGAACUAGUUUAUUUUUGUAGUCCAUUUUACGAUGCCUAUCCCGCAUCCUCGUCGUCGACUCGGCGGAGGACACCUGCUUGAUCAGAGGGGCCAUGUCCGGCACUGGGCUCCGCCCGGCUGGUAUUGGGAGGUGCUACCUUCCGGGGGGCGUAAGUUGGUGAGGAGUCAGCCCGUUGUUGACCCAAUCCUUGUUUGGUGGCAGUCGCGUGGGCUAGUGAUGGUGUCGAGGCUUCCGGACACCGCGGAGGUGGUACGUCGCCGUGUCAGCGAGGAGGACGAGCACGUCCGUCGCUACAUGGUUGCGUUGGAGGGCAGGUUCGAAAAUACCUGGCAGGUUCUUCAGGGAUCUCACUGGAGCUAUGAUCCUGUGAUGGUUCCUUCUCUUUGGGUGUCCACCGCCCGCGACGAUACCCGUCGGGCGAUACGGUUCUAGCUGUAUUAGUGAUGCUAUAUGUAUGACAAGAGAUGAUGUAGUUUUGCUUAUAAUUGAAUGCAUGCUAAUUUGAAUACUACUUUAUUUUACGAUUUGGUUUUUCUUAUUGAAUGCUCAAAUUGGAAAAGUACUCCUACUUUGAAUGCUAAAAUUGGAGAGCACUAUGCAGAAAUCUAGGAGCCCCCUCCAUCAUCCACGCCGUCGUCCCCGUCAUCGACCCCCCUCCGACCUCGAGUCAGGGUCUAUAUUGUUUUAUGCUAUUUUACCUUAAGGAGGGUAUUUAAUUAGGUACUACCUAAUACUGAUGAUCAUGUUGCUGUAAAUGUUGUAUGACAACGUUGUAAAGGGUAGUAAUUGGUCUCUUCAACUGCUUUCCAGAGAUGGAAUUCUUCACGAUUCUACUUGAGAAAUCCUCCAGCAGGCAGGUGCUGCCGGAUAAUUUUGUGAAGAUGCUGGACGACCAUCGGCCACAGAACAUGAAGCUGAGGCAGGCCGGCAACGGGCUUCACAAGCUGUGGGACGUGGAGGUGGUGUUCGACACUGAUGGAAACAUGUACCUAGAUCGUGGCUAGAAGCAGUUCAUCCGUGCCUACGACCUGUGGCACGGGUACUUCCUUGUCUUCAGGUACGACGGCAACUCCACGUUCGCCGUGAAGGUGUUCGACACGACUAUGUGUCGGAGGCGCUACCAGGACGACGACGAUGCCAGUACACUCUGUCUCUUCUUCCGCUCCAUUAGGCUAUGUCUCACACCCUUUUUUUUAAAAAAAAUUGCAUUUGGCAAGGCAAUGGGAGCAGGAGCAGUGAGUACUGCGACAGGUGCUAUGUUUACGGCAGCAGCGACUCUCGCUACAGCAAAAGUAGCAGCGACUCUGGCUACAGCAAAAGUAGCAGUGACGAUGGCCUCGCGAUGGUGAUCCCACAGCUGGGCGAUAGGGCCAUGCCAAUUGUGGUAGAGGAGUACAUCCCACAGCCUGGCAUGGGGCUUCGCCGCUCUAAGCGCAUCAGGAUGAUGAAGGAGAAGGUGAAGAAGCAGGAGUGAAGAUCUUAAGAACCUGAUGGAUCUUUAAUCUUUAUAGUGUAAACCUUUUAAGUACGAUAGUGUUGAACUGCUACUGCACUUUUAAGUAUGAUGGUGGUGUGCCUGAUGAAAUUUUGUGCAUGCUCAUGGAUGCUCAUGGAUGAAAGAUAAAAUUAUUUCUUUUUGUGCUUGCUCAUGGAUGCUCCUUGGUUGGUGUAUAUAACAACCUAAAUUAACCCCUAAACCAGCCCCUUUCAAAAAAAAAACUCAGCUUCAGCCAAGUGCUGAUGCGUGGAUGCCUUUUGGUCCUGGUUGGUGUCACCAACCGGGAAUAAAGGCCCCCAUGCCUGGCCUGACCGCAGCGGCCACGUGGAGGCCCAUCUGUCCCGGUUGGUGUAAGAACCGGGACUAAAGGUCGAGGGCAUUAGUAACGACCAUUUAAUCCCGGUUCCAAAACCGGGACAGAAGGCCCUUACGAACCGGGACAAAAGGCCCUUUUUCUACUAGUGUCUUUUCAAAAGAUCGGUUGCAUACUUCUCUUGACAGAUAUGAAGACCACCUUCUCUAUCUCUGUUAACCUAAAUACUGUUGGGGAACAUCACAUGGAAAACAAAAAAAUUCCUACGCGCACGAAGACCUAUCAUGGUGAUGUCCAUCUACGAGAGGAGAUUUGGAUCUACGUACCCUUGUAGAUCGCACAGCGGGAAGCGCUAAGAAACGCGAUUGACGUAGUGGAACGUCCUCACGUCCCUCGAUCCACGCCGCGAACCGUCCCACGAACCGUCCCGCGAUCCGUCGCAUGAUCCGCUCAGAUCUAGUGCCGAACGGACGACACCUCCGCGUUCAGCAUACGUACAGCUCGAUGACGAUAUCCAACUUCUUGAUCCAGCAAGAGGGGGUGGAGAGGUAGAAGAGUUCUACGGAAGCGUGAUGGCGCGCCAGUGGUGGUGAUGAUCUACUCCGGCAGGGCUUCGCCUAAGCUCCGUAGAAAUACGAUCUAGAGGAAAAACUGCGUGGUAUAGGGUCGAGCAGCACGUGGCAAAGUUGUAUCUCGAAAACCCUCAAUACCUCUAGUAUAUAUAGGAGGGAGGGAGGAGAGGAGGCAGCCUCAAACCCUCAAGAUUUGGCCGAAAUUGGAGGUGGAGGAGCCCUACUCCAAUCCUACUUGGAGUAGGAUUCCACCUUCCCACUUGGAAACUCUUUCCACCUUGUGUUUUUCCUUCUCAAACCUUAUGGGCCAUAGUGGGAACUUAUUCCAGCCCACUAGGGGCUGGUUUAUCUCUUCCCAUAGCCCAUGAGACCCCUUGGGGCGUAACACCCCUCCUGAUGGUCCCCGGCACCCCUCCCGGCACUCCCGGUACACUACCUAUGAGCCCGAAACUUUUUCGGUGACCAAAACAGGACUUCCUAUAUAUCAAUCUUUACCCCGAGACCAUUCCGGAGCUCCUCGUGACAUCCUGGAUCUCAUCUGGGACUGCGAACAACUUUUGGUUACCAACACCUAUAAAUCAACUAUACCGAAACGUCACCGAACCCUAAGUGUGCAGACCCUGCGGGUUCGAGAACUAUGUAGACAUGACCCGAGACACUCCUCGGUCAAUAUCCAAUAGCGGGACCUGGAUGCCCAUAUUGGAUCCUACAUAUUCUCCGAAGAUCUUAUCGGUUGAACCUCAGUGUCAAGGAUUCAUAUAAUCCCGUAUGUCAUUCCCUUUGUCCUUCGGUAUGUUACUUGCCCAAGAUUUGAUCGUCGGUAUCCGCAUACCUAUUUCAAUCUCGUUACCGGCAAGUCUCUUUACUCGUUUCGUAAUACAAGAUCCCGUGACUUACACUUAGUCGCAUUGCUUGCAAGGCUUGUGUGUGAUGUUGUAUUACCGAGUGGGCCCCGAGAUACCUCUCCGUCACACGGAGUGACAAAUCCCAGUCUUGAUCCAUACUAACUCAACGGACACCUUCGGAGAUACCGGUAGAGCGCCUUUAUAGUCACCUAGUUACGUUGUGACGUUUGAUGCACACAAGGUAUUCCUCCGGUGCCAGUGAGUUAUAUGAUCUCAUGGUCAUAGGAACAAAUACUUGACACGCAGAAAACAAUAGCAAUACAAUGACAUGAUCAAUAUGCUAUGUUCAUAGUUUGGGUCUUGUCCAUCACAUGAUUCUCCUAAUGAUGUGAUUCCGUUAUCAAGUGACAACACUUGCCUAUGGCCAGGAAACCUUGACCAUCUUUGAUCAACGAACUAGUCAACUAGAGGCUCACUAGGGACAGUGUGUUGUGUAUGUAUCCACACAUGUAUUUGAGUUUCCAAUCAAUACAAUUCUAGCAUGGAUAAUAAACGAUUAUUAUGAACAAGGAAAUAUAAUAAUAACUAAUUUAUUAUUGCCUCUAGGGCAUAUUUCCAACAGUCUCCCACUUGCACUAGAGUCAAUAAUAUAGUUCGCAUCACCAUGUGAUUUUAACGAAUCCAACACCCAUAUAGUUCUGGGGUCUGAUCACGUCUUGCUCGUGAGAAAGGUUUUAGUUGACGGUUCUGAACCCUUUCAGAUUCGAGUGAGCUUUACAAAUCUUUAUGUCAUCUUAUAGAUGCUGCUACUAUGUGCUAUUCGGAAAUACUCCGAAUAUCUACUCUACUAUACGAAUCCAUUUCACUACUCAUAGUUAUUCGGAUUAGUGUCAAAGCUUGCAUCGACGUAACCCUUUACGACAAACUCUUUAACCACCUCCAUAAUCGAGAAAAAAUCCUUAGUCCAUUUAGUUACUAAGGAUAACUUUGACCGCUGAUCAGUGAUUCAAUCCUGGAUCACUCUCUGUACCUCUUAACAGACUUCCUGCAAGGCACACAUCAGGUGCGGUACUCAGCAUGCCAUACUUUAGAGUCUACUUCCAAGGCAUAGAAGACGACCUUCGUCUAUUCUCUUUAUUCUGCCGUGGUCGGGUUUUGAGUCUUACUCAAAUUCACACCUUACAACACAGUCAAGAACUCCUUCUUUGCUGAUCUAUUUUGAACUCCUUCAAAAACUUGUCAAGGCAUGCAUCUUGUUGAAACUUGUAUUAAGUGUUUUGAUCUAUCUCCAUAGAUCUUGAUGCUCAACGUUUCAAGUAGCUCAAUCCAGGUAUUCCUUUGAAACACUCAUUUCAAACAACCUUUUAUGCUUCACAGAAAUUCUACAUUACUUCUGAUCAACAAUAUGUCAACCACAUAUACUUAUCAGAAAUUCUAUAGUGCUCCCACUCACUUCUUUGGAAAUACAAGUUUCUCAUAAACCUUGUACAAACCCAAAAUCUUUGAUCAUCUCAUCAAAGUGUAUAUUCCAACUCUGAGAUGCUUGCACCAGUCCAUUGAAGGAUCGCUGGAGCUUGCAUACUUGUUAGUAUCCUUAGGAUCGACAAAACAUUCUGAUUGUAUCACAUACAAUCUUUCCUCAAGGAAACCGUUGAGGAAACAAUGUUUUGACUUCCUAUGUGCAAUAUUUCACAAAUAAUGCAGCAACUACUAACAUAAUUCCAAUAGACUUUUAGCAUCUCUAUGAGUGAGAAAGUCACAUCAUAGUCAACUCUUUGAUCUUGUCGAAAACAUCUUUGCGACAAGUUGAGCUUUUCUUAAUAGUGACUUAUCACCAUCAUCGUCUGCCUUCCUUUUAAAGAUCCAUCUUUACUUAAUAGUCUUACUACCAUCAAGAAAUUCUUCCAAAGUCUACACUUUGUUUUAUACAUGGAUUCUCUCUCAGUUUUCAUGGCCUCCAGCCAUUUGUCAGAAUCAGGCCCACCAUUGCUUCUCCAUAACUCGUAGGUUCAUUGUUGCUCAACAACAUGACCUCCAAGGCAGGGUUACCGUACCGCUCUGCAGCAGUACGCGACCUUGUCGACCUACGAGGUUUGUAGUAACUUGAUCCAAAGCUCAAUGAUCACCAUCAUCAGUUUUCUACUUCAAUUGGUGUAGGCGCCACAGGAACAACUUCGUGCGCCCUGCUGGUUGAAGUGACGGUUCAAUAACCUCAUCAAGUUCCACCACCCUCCAACUCAAUUCUUUCGAGAGAAACCUUUCCUCGAGAAAGUAUCCGUUUCUUAGAAACAAACAUUCUGCUUCCAGAUUUGAGAUAGGAGAUGUAUCCAACUGUUUAGGAUAUCCUAUGAAGACACGUUUAUCUGUUUUGGGUUCGAGCUUAUGAAACUGAAACCUUUUCACAUAAGCGUCGCAGCCCCAAACUUUCAAGAAACGACAACUUAGAUUUCUCUAAACCUCAAUAUAUACUGUGUCAUCUCAAUGGAAUUACGCGGUGCCCUAUUUAAAGUGAAUGCGUUGUCUCUAAUGCAUAACCCAUAAAUGAUAGUGGUAAUUCGAUAAGAGACAUCACAACAUGCACCAUAUCAAAUAGGUCGCGGCUAUGACACCAUCACACCAUGGUGUACUUGGUGGCAUGAAUUGCGAAACAACUUCCACAUUGUCUUAAUUGUGUACCAAAACUCGCAACUCAGAUAUUCAUCUCUAUGAUCAUAUCGUAGACAGUUUAUCCUCUUGUUACGACGAACUUCACUCUGAAACAGAAUUGAACUUUUUUCAAUAUUUCAGACUUGUGAUUCAUUAAGUAAAUACUCCUGUAUCUACUCAAAUCGUACUUGAAGUAAGAACAUAAUGAUAUCCACUGCGCGCCUCAGCACCCAUUGGACUACAUACUUCAAAAUGUAUUACUUCCAACAAGUUACUAUCUUGUCUCAUCUCAAUGAAAACAAGGCCUUGCUCAUGUGGUAUGAUUUGCAUGUCACAAGUGAUUCAAAAUCACGUGAGUAUAAAGAUCCAUCAGCAUGGAGCCUCUUCAUGCAAUUUAUACCAACAUGACUCAAGCGACAGUGCCACAAGUAAGUGGUACUAUCAUCAUUACCUUGUAUCUUUUGGCACCAAUAUCAUGAACAUGUGUAACACUACGAUCGAGAUUCAAUAAACCAUUGAAGGUGAUUAUUCAAGCUAAUAGAGUAACCAUUAUUCUCUUUAAAUGAAUAAUCGUAUUGCAAUAAACAUGAUCCGAUCAUGUUCAUGCUUAACGCAAGCACCAAAUAACAAUUAUUUAGGUUUAACACCAAUCCCGAUGUUAGAGGGAGUGUGCGACGUUUGAUCAUAUCAACCUUGGAAACACUUCCAACACGUAUUGUCACCUCGCCUUUAGCUAGUCUCCGUUUAUUCCGUAGCUUUCAUUUCGUGUUACUAAUCACUUAGCAACCGAACCGGUAUCCAAUACCCUCGCGCUACUAGGAGUACUAGUAAAGUACACAUUAACAUCAUGUAUAUCAAAUAUACUUCUUUCGACUUUGCCAGCCUUCUUAUCUACCAAGCAUCUAGGGUAGCUCCGCCUCAGUGACCGUUCCCCUCAUAACAGAAGCACUUAGUCUCAGGUUUGGGUUUAAUCUUGGGUCUCUUCAUUAGUGCAACAACUGUUUUGCCGUUUCACGAAGUAUCCCUUCUAGCCCUUGCCUUUCUUGAAACUUAGUGGUUUUACUAACCAUCAACUAUUGAUGCUCCUUCUUGAUUUCUACUUUCCCAGUGUCAAACAUCGCGAAUCGCUCGAGGAUCAUUGUAUCUACCCUUGAUAUGUUAUAGUUCAUCACGAAGCUCUCACAGCUUGGUGGCAGUGACUUUGGAGAACCAUCACCAUCUCAUCUGGAAGAUUAACUCCCACUUGAUUCAAACGAUUGUCGUACUCAGACAAUCUGAGCACACGCUCAACGAUUGAGCUUUUCUCCUUUACUUCGUGGACAAAGAAACUUGUCGGAGGUCUCAUACAUCUUAACAAGGGCACAAGCAUGAAAUCACAAUUUCAUCUCUUUAGAACAUCUCUUAUGUUCCGUGACAUUUCAAAACGUCUUCGGCGCCUUGCUUCUAAGCCAUUAAGUAUUUUGCACUGAACUAUCGCAUAGUCAUCAGAAACGUGUAUGUCGGAUGUUCACAACAUCCACAGACGACGCUCGAGGUGCAGCACACCGAGUGGUGCAUUAAGGACAUAAGCCUUCUGCGCAGUAACGACGACAAUCCUCGGUUUUACAGACUCAGUCCACAAAGUUUGCUACUAUCAAUUUUCAACUACAUUUUCUCUAGGAACAUAUAAAAACAGUAGAGCUAUAACGCAAGCUACAUCGCAACUCGCAAAGAUCAUUAGACUAUGUUCAUGACAAUUAGUUCAAUUAAUCAUAUUACUUAAGAAGUCCCACUCAAAAAGUACAUCUCUCUAGUCAUUUGAGUGUACAUGAUCCAAAUCCACUAUCUCAAGUCCGAUCAUCACGUGAGUCGAGAAUAGUUUCAGUGGUAAGCAUCUCUAUGCUAAUCAUAUCAACUAUAUGAUUCAUGCUCGGCCUUUCGGUCUCAUGUGUUCCGAGGCCAUGUCUGUACAUGCUAGGCUCGUCAAGUUUAACCCGAGUGUUCCACGCGUGCAACUAUUUUGCACCCGUUGUAUGUGAACGUUGAGUCUAUCACACGCGAUCAUCACGUGGUGUCUCGAAACGACGAACUGUAGCAAUGAUGCACAGUCGGAGGGAACACAAUUUCAUCUUGAAAUUUUAGUGAGAGAUCACCUCAUAAUGCUACCGUCGUUCUAAGCAAAAUAAGGUGCAUAAAAGGAUUAACAUCACAUGCAAUUCAUAAGUGACAUGAUAUGGCCAUCAUCACGUGCUUCUUGAUCUCCAUCACCAAAGCACCGUCACGAUCUUCUUGUCACCGGCGCCACACCAUGAUCUCCAUCAACGUGUCGCCAUCGGGGUUGUCGUGCUACUCAUGCUAUUACUACUAAAUCUACAUCCUAGCAAUAUAGUAAACGCAUCUGCAAGCACAAACAUUAGUUUAAAGACAAUCCUAUGGCUCCUGCCGGUUGUCGUACCAUCGACGUGCAAGCCGAUAUUACCUAUUACAACAUGAUCAUCUCAUACAUCCAAUAUAUCACAUCACAUCGUCGGCCAUAUCACAUCACAAGCAUACCCUGCAAAAACAAGUUAGACGUCAUCUAAUUGUUGUUGCAUGUUUUACGUGGUGACCAUGGGUAUCUAGUAGGAUCACAUCUUACUUACGCAAACACCAUAACGGAGAUGUAUCAAUUGCUAUUUAACCUCAUCCAAGGACCUCCUCGGUCAAAUCCGAUUCAACUAAAGUUGGAUAAAACGACACUCGCCAAUCAUCUUUGAGCAACGGGGUUGCUCGUAGCGAUGAAACCAGUCUCUCGUAAGCGUACAGUAAUGUCGGUCCGAGCUGCUUCGAUCCAACAAUACCGCGCAAUCUAGAAAAGACUAAGGAGGGAAGCAAAUCGCACAUCAGGAAUGUUGUGUUCUACUCGAGAUGACAUCUAUGCAUGAACCUAGCUCAUGAUGCCACUGUUGGGGAACGCCGCAUGGGAAAUAAAAAAAUUCCUACGCGCACGAAGACCUAUCAUGGUGAUGUCCAUCUAUGAGAGGAGAUUUGGAUCUACGCACCCUUGUAGAUCGCACAGCAGGAAGCGUUAAGAAACGUGGUUGAUGUAGAGGAACGUCCUCGCAUCCCUCGAUCCGCCCCGCGAACCGUCCCACGAUCCGCUCCGAUCUAGUGCCGAACGGACGGCACCUCCGCGUUCAGCACACGUACAGCUCGAUGACGAUCUCCACCUUCUUGAUCCAGCAAGAGGGGGUGGAGAAGUAGAAUAGUUCUCCGGAAGCGUGACGGCGCGCCGGUGGUGGUGAUGAUCUACUCCGGCAGGGCUUCGCCUAAGCUCCGCAGAAAUACGAUCUAGAGGAAAAACUGCGUGGUAUAGGGUCGAGCAGCACGUGGAAAAGUUGUGUCUCAAAAACCCUCAAUACCUCUAGUAUAUAUAGGAGGGAGGGAGGGGAGGAGGAAGCCUCAAACCCUCAAGGUUUGGCUGAAAUUGGAGGUGGAGGAGUCCUACUCCAAUCGUACUUGGAGUAGGAUUCCACCUUCCCACUUGGAAACUCUUUCCACCUUGUGUUUUUCCUUCUCAAACCUUAUGGGACUUAGUGGGAACUUAUUCCAGCCCACUAGGGGCUGGUUUAUCACUUCCCAUAGCCCAUGAGACCCCUUGGGGCAUGACACCCCUCCCGAUGGUCCCCGGCACCCCUCCCGGCACUCCCGGUACACUAUCGAUGAGCCCGAAACUUUUCCGGUGACCAAAACAUGACUUCCUAUAUAUCAAUCUUUAGCUCCGGACCAUUCCGGAGCUCCUCGUGACGUCCUGGAUCUCAUCUGGGACUGGAACAACUUUCGGUUACCAACACCUAUAACUCAACUAUACCGAAACGUCACCGAACCUUAAGUGUGCAGACCCUGCGGGUUCGAGAACUAUGUAGACAUGACCCGAGACACUCCUCGGUCAAUAUCCAAUAGCGGGACCUGGAUGCCCAUAUUGGAUCCUACAUAUUCUCCGAAGAUCUUAUCGGUUGAACCUCAGUGUCAAGGAUUCAUAUAAUCCCGUAUGUCAUUCCCUUUGUCCUUCGGUAUGUUACUUGCCCGAGAUUUGAUCGUCGGUAUCCGCAUACCUAUUUCAAUCUCGUUACCGGAAAGUCUCUUUACUCGUUCCGUAAUACAAGAUCCCGUGACUUACACAUAGUCACAUUGCUUGCAAGGCUUGUGUGUGAUGUUGUAUUACCGAGUGGGCCCCGAGAUACCUCUCUGUCACACGGAGUGACAAAUCCCAGUCUUGAUCCAUACUAACUCAACGGACACCUUCGGAGAUACCUGUAGAGCACCUUUAUAGUCACCCAGUUACGUUGCUACGUUUGAUGCACACAAGGUAUUCUUCCGGUGCCAGUGAGUUAUAUGAUCUCAUGGUCAUAGGAACAAAUAUUUGACACGCAGAAAACAAUAGCAAUAAAACGACAAGAUGAAUAUGUUACGUUCAUAGUUUGGGUCUUGUCCAUCACAUGAUUCUCCUAAUGAUGUGAUCCCGUUAUCAAGUGACAACACUUGCACAUGACCAGGAAACCUUGACCAUCUUUGAUCAACGAACUAGUCAACUAGAGGCUCACUAGGGACAGUGUGUUGUCUAUGCAUCCACACAUGUAUAUGAGUUUCCAAUCAAUACAAUUCUAGCAUGGAUAAUAAACGAUUAUUAUGAACAAGGAAAUAUAAUAAUAACUAAUUUAUUAUUGCCUCUAGGGCAUAUUUUCAACAAAUACCAAGGAAAAAAUGCAAAUCUCCUAGAUCUUUGAGUGCAAAUUCUGAGUUUAAAUCUUUCAACAAAGCUGUGCUUGCAUCAUUUCGUGAGCUUGUAACAAUUAUGUCAUCAACAUAUAUAAAAACAAAUAUAGAGGUAUUUGACUUAUUAUAAAUGAACAGUGAUGUAUCUGACUUUGAAGGAUUAAAACCAAGUGUUUGGAGUUUUGAGCUUAACAGAGAGUACCAUGCACGAAGAGCCCGCUUCAGUCCAUAAAGAGAUUUGUCAAAUCUGCAGAUGUGGUUAGGUUUAUUCUUAUCCUCGAAACCAGGAGGUUGUUUCAUAUAGACUUCCUCUUCCAGAACACCAUGAAGAAACGCACUCUGCACAUCUAACUGCCGAAGGCUCCAUCCUCUAGAUACAACAAUGUUGCUGUAUAAAACAAGAUGAAUGGUAGCAGCCUUGACAACAGGACUGAAGGUAUCCUCAUAAUCAAUGUCAUACCUUUGCUUAAAACCUUUAGCAACAAGUCUAGCUUUGUACUGAUCUAUUGUGCCAUCUGACUUUUUCUUGAUUCUAAACACCCACUUACAGUCAAUUAGAUUGUUACCUUGAUGAGCAGGAACGAGAUGCCAAGUCUUAUUUUUCUGAAGUGCCUGAAACUCUUCAUCCAUGGCCUUUCUCCACUUUGGAUCAGCAUUGGCUUCACAAAAAGUGCUAGGUUCUCCUGUUGAACAAGUUAAACCAAACUUAAUUUUAUAAUUUAUGGGCGCAAUUACCCCUGCUCGAAGACGUGUGCGCGGUGGAGAAGGCAUCUGCUGAAGAUCCCUAUGCUGUGACGGAAGCUGGUGCUGGAGAAGUUGUAUGAGCCGUCGACGAUCCAGGCAGGCAAACAGAACCAGCUCGGUUUUCUGUGUCUGCAGCAGCUGGUGCAGAAGAGGUACGCCUAGUGCCCUCGAAGGCACAACGGAUCUUAGCACGGAGUUUCCAGUAGAGGACACGCUCUCUGAUGGAGACACGGGGAGCAUCAAUGGCGAAGCAUGUCUUCUAGGAAACAUGUAAUCGAAUGAUGAUGUUUAUAAGGUCUACAUUUCUUUGGAAAAAACAGAUAAGAAACCUAUGUUAUCAAUAAUGUAACAGUUCACACAAACAACAACACGCACGCAGAUUAUAAAUACCGUUAUUACAGUUAUGUCUUACAAGUAAAGAUAAUUCCCCACUAGCGUCUCCACAAACUGAUCUGUGCAUGGGUCUUACCAUUUCCUCUAUGCAAGCGAAAACUAGGACACCAAUUUCUGCUGGACCAGACUGAUUAUCUAUUUAUUUAUAGCAAAGACUUAAUCACCCACCUGGACUAGUAUUCCUUGAAUCAGAUAUCAUAUAAUUAUCUUAUCUGGUAUUUCCCCCAAAAUCUCAUCUGUGGUUGUUAUUUCGACCUCAGUGUUUUCGUCACCAUAGGAACCAGAACCCGCUAAUUGCACGUCAAUUAUAGGAUUGCUCAGAUGGUUACUAACUAUGCCAAUCCUCGAGACAUACUCCAGAUCAGCAGCUGCACCCCCAAAUUUUGUGAAGAUCUCUCUAAGGCCUAGCAUGUAAUCGAUGCUGAUUAAUGCCGUACCAUGUCCAUUUGUUUUCCACUGUUGGUCCAUUGGGGGGAUGGCAUCGAAAACUAGCUUGAGUUUCCAGAGAUUAGGCAUUGCAUCCGCCUCAAAUUUUACCAUAGCUAUACCCCGCAUGAACGUAAACAUGAAGUACUUGAGAACUGAGAACCCGACCUUGUCAAAGAUGAUCUUGUUAUCAGGCGGUGUCUCCACAUACAACGAGAGGGUAGUGAGGGCGGGCAAUCCUCUGAGAUUAUCCACACAGUGUGUCAGCAAUCCCCUCACUGCAAUCUUCAAAAUGCAUAGGUUGUCAAGUUUUCCAACCCACGAAGGUACCUGUGAGAAUAUGCAGCUGGUGUGUGGCGAGAAUUCAAAUCUCUCGAGAAGGGGCGGAGGCUCCAUACAAUCCCAUAAAAUGUUUGUUUUUGAAGCUGCGGUAUUUGUAGCCGACGAGGCAUGAGCCACUGCAAUGGUUUUCAGGUUGCCAUGACCUCCGAGUAAAGAACCGAGAGCUUCCAUGUUUUUAGCCACAUGCUGGAAAGUAGACAGUGAAGAAAUGGUAAGAUGAAGCUCCUGCAGGUUGUUUAGUUUGCCAAGGCUCAUUAAACUGGGGGACCUUAUUCUGUCUAUCCCAUCCAGCAGAUCUCUCUGGACAGGAAGACUCAGGUGCAAGUGCAGCAACCGUGGAAAAUUCACAUCCCAUGGAACAGGAGCAAAUCUUGCAUCCGUAAUAUCAAGUGUUCCCAGGUACUGUAGCACAUGGUUCGGCAGUUUGAUGCAGACAUCACAUGCAAUCUGCAAAUAUCUCAGUUGAAGCAUUUCUGAGAUCCCACUGAGGUCUGCCAUAUCAUCAUCACGGCGGCCUUGACCAGAUAGUUGAAGGUUUAGGACACGAACAAGCUUGAACUCUGUAAGACAAGGCAUAGACUCAAGUAAUCCAGAAAAUCUAACUGACCGAACAUGUGAUUUUCUGAUGUUUGCUGGUGUCUUGGCAUACCUUGCGUCCCCAAAGACAAGCGAGAGUCGACGGACUUUGUGAGAAAGUGACACAUUCUUUCGACAUCUGUAGUCUAUUGCCACGAUGAAAUUCUCUUCUGCAGACUUGUGCGCAAUAAGGUCAUGUAUCAUGUCAUGCACUUGACAGGACAACACCUCCUUGUUGUAGCUCACACAUAUCGGCUGGAUGAAGCUUCUUCCAAUAAGUUGAUAGAGAUAGCACUUUCUCGAUGUCUUGCCCUUCUAUUGCAUAAAUCAGACCUUCGGCCACCCAUUGCUUCACCAAAUCAUCCUUUAAGAAUGUGUAGCCCUCUGGGUACAUAUUAAGGUAGAGCAGGCAUGUCUUCAAAUAACGAGGAAGAUUAUUGUAGCUCAGAUUCAGUGCUUGUCUAGUUCUUUCAGAAGUAGGCACUGCAGAGAAACAAGAGAUUAAAGACUGAUGGAUGUAUGUGAAGAGAUCAUUUGACAUGAGAGGCUGGCUUAGUAGAAGACUAGCUAUGCAGAUUGUGGCUAGCGGCAAACCAUCACAUAUUUCAGUAAUUUCAUCACAAACUUGUUUCAGUUCAUCAGGACAAUCACUUUCAGAGCCAAAGAGUCUGUUAAAAAAUAGCUUUUUUGAGUGAUCAUCAUCCAGAGGUUGCAUUUCAAAGACAUGCUCCGACUGAUAACAACAGCAAGCUAUUGCUACGUUUUCAAUCUGUGUAGUUGUUACUAUUCUGCUGCCUUGACUACCCUUGGGAAAAGCUUGAUUAAUUAAAUCCCAUACUGAUGUUUCCCACAAAUCAUCAAUAAUAAUCAGAUACCUGCAACAUGCCAAAAUUGAGGGGGCAUAUUAAUUAGGGUUUUAUGGCGACAUUUCGUAGAAGGAAAAACAGUAGUACCUUUUGUUUUGUAGGUAUUUCUUGAUACUAUCAAUGAGGUCAGUCUCCUUAAAAUCCCAUGGGUGGUCCGGAAGCUGUAGUUGCGAGGAAAUGUCACAGAAAAUCCUCUUCAUAUCGGGUUUCUUCGACACCCGAACGAAAGCACGACAAUGAUAUUGCUUCCCAAUUCUGCUGUACAACACGUUGGCAAGUGUAGUUUUACCCAGACAUGAAGGUCCAAGAAUAGAUACCACCUUGAGCUGCUGAUCCUCCCCAACGUUCUCCACCAAUGAGUUGAUAAACUUACUCAUCCAGCCAUCGAUCACGAUGUGCGAUGCUUCUUCAUCAUACUGUGUUGGAAUUGGAAGCGUAGGGCCAACGGGCACAAGCCUACGCUUCAACGUGCUGUAAGAAUGAAGAUUGUAUCUCUGGUGCCGUUCAAUUGCCUCAAGGACAUACAUCCUGAAUUCUGAUAGCGUUUCCGCAAUGCUAACAACCUGAGUCUUGGGAGUCUUGGCAUGACCCAAGAAUUUGAGGCAGAGUCUGAAUUUGAGGCUGGACCUUGUGGUCUUGAUGUUGUCGGGAACAAGGGAUGGAUUCUCAGGCCCCACAAAUAUUAAGCUGUCAAUGUAAUCCUCCAUGUCAUAAGACAGAUUGCGUGCCUCAUUCAUCCAGCAAUUGGCUGCCAGGGGAGGGUCCUCCACCUCUGACAGCUGAUCAAGGUAGGAGCCCAUCUUUUGAACGUCAUCUUUGAGGAGGCCUAUCCCGUCCUCGACCCUCUUGAACCUCUUGGAGUUGGAGCAUCGACGUAAAAGAGGAGCUUGCAGCAGCAUAUCCAGCUUUCCAACAAGGGGUCUCAUGGAACCCAUCAAAGCACUGAUUGGGGCCCCAAUCUCUCUGCCUCGGAUCGAAACAUCUAAACACACAAAACAAAGGUAUAAUUAAUCAACAAAUAAUGAAUGUUACUGUCAAAAAUAUAAAAUAACAACAGACAUCCACAUCACCCUCUUCCUCAUUGACCCAUAUUAGAAGAAGGUGGGAGAUUAGAAGCUGUGUCCUCAUUUUUCAUGGAAUUGGUUGCUGGGUUACAGGGUUAGAAACGGACCCAUAUUUUUUGCAGGGGAAAUUGUAAGCAAUUAAUAAUAGUACAUCUUUUUUAGCUGUAAGCAGUCAUUAGCAAGUAAAGUGAGAUGAGCCUGAUCUUCGGCUAACCUCUGGUAGAAGGACCUGGAUCAGAGAAGGCGAUGUUGUCCACUUGAGGAAAUUCCUCGGCCUCCUCCUCCUCAUCUUCCUCGUGCUUAGGAGGAGAUGGUACCUCCACCUGCUGCUCAAGGAGAGGUUUGAUCUGCACCUCCUCCUUCAACUCUCGCAGCAUCAAUCAAUCAAGAAUUAAUCAGAUCCCACUCUUCUCACAGCUAGCUCUGCCAAAGGUAGCCUGCAUCAGAUCGGGGCAUGUGAGAAGCAGGGGGACAGAGUAUUGGGGGAAUGCAAUUAAUUAACGCAAACAGAUGCUAGAAUAAAAAAAUUAAAGAGAUUCUCGAUGGAGUGGACUGCACUGCACGAGGCUAAGAAAUAAAGAGAUUCUUAGUAGACUGUACAACUGCAAGAGGAUAAUAAAUAUAGUAAUCCGCAGGGCCGGUUUGGCUCAUGACUCGACUCGGGGAUGUAUAAUUUGAAUUAUACUCUCGACUAGAUGUUUCGUUCUUUCGAUAUUAUAAUCUACUCCCUCCUCCGUUCCUAAAUAUAAGUCUUUAAGAGAUUUCACUAAGUGACUAUACACAAAGCAAAAUUAAUUAAUCUAUACUUUAAAAUAUGUCUAUAUACAUUCGUAUGUAGUCCACUAGUAAAAUCUCUAAAAAGACUUAUAUUUUGGAACGGAGGGGUAUGUUGGCUUCAUCAGCUUUUGCUAAUAAAGCUGUACCCAUCUCCUGGCCUGGCCUUGAUCCAGCCAUUGCUGCUAACUAGGGUAGCUGUUAUGGUCAUGGCGCUUCGGAAGGAGCUCCUGAAGCCGAUCGCAACUCAACUUCCCUAUGCAUCAUGGUAAAAGUGAUAACUGAGAUGGAAAUCCAAGAGGGAUCUCUCCCGCGUCUCAAGUCCCUGGUAUGUCUUAAUUAAAGAGGUGAGCGACGAAACAAAAAAGGAGUGGAAGUGUGACUCCGGAUUUCCCAAGCUCUUGUUUUUCACGAAGAAAGAACUGGUUGAUGAUGUUUAAAGUCUAUAGGACGUCCAUAUCAAAGAUUCUACAGAUUUUAUAUUUACUAGUCAUCAACCCGUGCAUUCGCACGGGCUAGUAUAUUCACAAUACUAACUUUGUACAAAUUUAAAUAAUGAAUAUAAUUAAGAUGAUAUUAAUUGAUGGCUUUGCAGUUACUUUACCAUUUUAUUUCAGGGCCAAAUAUUUAUUUAUUUAUUUAUGGCAUGCCACUGUUUUUCGUUUACCCGUUUGUGGCAGCACACACACCAAUGGAUUUAGAUAUUCGGUGUUAGAAUUGUUCACAGCAGGUAAACUUGCAUAUAAAAGUUAGAUUUAGUGUACUAUUUGAAAUGUGGCCGAACUCUAGGAUAUGCCAAAAACAUUAAUAUAUUUUUAUCAUGGGAAGUUUACUUGCUAUUUUCUCCAGGGGCUAAAAUAGGUGUCAUAUCCUUUGCUGAGUUUUCCGUUUAUAUCGAUCUGAUUGUUAUAUCAGUCCAUCUCAGUCUGCAUUUUCAUUCGCCUAUGUAGGUCCACUUCUUCUUGCUCGAUAGUGUGGCCAAUUCUAGAAAGCCAUUUGAAGCUCUUACUUACGGAAGAUGUUCCAGUGGAUUCCAAAUCCAAUCUCCUCUCUCUAUAUGAGCAUAAGAUUGAAUAGGAUAGUACUUUUGGAAACAAAGCUACUUUUGGAACUCUAUGUUGUUGUGUCCAUCUUUAUCAUGUUGCAAAUCAGAUGGGUGGAGGAUGUCGUUCAGUGGUGAAUAUACAUGAGUCAUCUGGGAGAAUUCUAGAAUCUUAACUGGUAUUUAUUUUCCAUAUUAUGUUUGACUCGGCAGAAGGUGGUUUGAAAUCUAUAUUUUAUGAGCAUUGUCUUUCUAUACUUGUUGUUAUGUUCCUUUCAUAUAUUUUUAUACUUGUUUGUUCUUUUAGGAAUGUAAAUUACACGGCGUACGCACAAAAUUAAUUUUGGUCUUUCCUCAGUGUUAAGGGUUUAUGUUAUGGGAACAUAUUACAUCGGCUAAUUUCAAGCAGAUGAAGGAAUGAAAAGAGAAAUAUGAUCACCGUACUAUGUAUAUAUGCUACAGCAAGAUACCUUGUAAUUUAUUCACUCUUUAGUUGCAACAGGAUGCAAGUUUGUUAAACAAAGCAUAACUAACAGUUCUCAAAGAAGUUGUUAGGGGAGAGCUUGUACAAACUUAGAAAUCUAUGUUUUUGAGAAUAUUAAUCUUUUAAGAAGGACACGAUGGGCAACAAAAUGCAAUCCAACUAUUAUACCUAACAUUAACCAUCGGUAUCGUAGCAAUAAUGUUAUUUCCUCUCACGUUAAACAUAGUUUUAAUUCAAGAUUAUGAUGCAUUUACCAGGGAAUGGUUUUUUAUGUCUGGAACUGCAGUAAAUUAAGACCAAAUUGAGUUAUCUUUCUAUGUUUUUCUUGUCUAUCCAAUGAUUGGAUUGUUUGAUUAAGUGGAAAUUUAUGGUAAAAUUAUCACCACCAGAACACCAUAGAAAUCACAAAACUAUGGUUUGCACUGCAGGGUUGUUCUAGAUAUGUACAGCAAGUGUCAUUUGAAACAUCGACAAUAGAAUCAUGGAUUUUAUUGCAGCAGGACAACUACAACAUAUCGUUUCUUCAUACAAAUUUUAGUUAUCACACCUAAUGACAGUACGUAUGGCCAAAAUUUCUGUCCUAUAGAGGUUAGCCUGAAUGUAAAUUCUUGCCUAACAAAAAUACUCCCUCCGUCCGGUGAAAAUUUUACAUACUGACAUUUUAGGACAAAUUAUGAAGUGGAGUAAAAAAUGCAUUGGAAAGGUGCAAGCCAUCAUCUCUCUCCUCUUUAAUUACCCAACCCCAGUGAACUAACCGCAUGUAAAAAUUAAGAAGACUAUGUGUAAAAUGUUAUUGUUCUUGAUUACCGUGUGAUAAGAAAGAAGCGUUUUUUUCUAUUUUAAAGUGCAUUCGAAAGAUAAAAUACACUCUUUUGUGGAAAAAUUGUAAGGCCAAACGUAAACUCUUCACCGGACGGAGGGAGUACAUCGGAUGUGUUCCAUCCAAUCUUAGGGGGAUAGGGUAAAGGCAUGUACCACCCAACUUAGUGUCAACACAAACAAAACAGGAGAGGAAACCCAUCUAACCUAUAUUCCAUCAAACAUGGGAUUCUUCUGCAAUCGGACCAUGCAUACCACUUGGUCACCAUGAAAAAUCUGGAGAUGCGUGGGAGGAGAAAACCAUAGCUAGCCAGUGUAUAUUCCAUCAAACAUGGGAUUCUUCUCCAAUCGGACCAUGCAUUCCACCAUGGUCGCCAUGAAAAAUCUGGAGAUGUGUGGGAGGAGAAAACCAUUGCUAGCUAGUGUAUAUUCCAUCAAACAUGGGAUUCUUCUCCAAUCGGACCAUGCAUUCCACCUUGGUCGCCAUGAAAAAUCUGGAGAUGUGUGGGAGGAGAAAACCAUUGCCUAGCUAGUGCCUGAAAAUUACGUGUGAUUGUAGGUGCUGCUGUAUUGGCCUGUAUUGGCUAUGGCGAGAGUUGAUAGCACAUUGAAGAUCCGAUGGAGGACACGACCAAGACAUUAGAAAGCCUGGGUUGGAGCAUUGUGAGCGUCAUGGAGACAUCUCUGAUUAGAAGUACAUAGAGGUAGGGUUGAGAAAUUAGAAACGGAUCUACAGUUGUAUAGAUACGAUGCCACUCUGUUUUAGUUUUGGAAGAGGCUGUGCAGGACAAGCAUCUGUUUAUUGGGUGGAGGGACGUGAAGCUUUUUUGACAUGGGAUUUUUUUUCUUCUGUUUACACGAUCUGAGAAAACUGUUUUUUGGCUAGUAAAAUCUAAUUAACGUGGUAAUUUCUAAGGAGUCUAGAAUUAGUAUAAGUAUAGAUUUAUUUUUGGAAAAGGGAAGUUAAACCUCCGGCUUCGCAUCAAUCGAUGCAUGCAGCCAUCUAUAGAUUUUAUAUGGAUUGUGGAAGUGUGACUCUGUAAAUUAAAGAUGUCAAAUGGUUGAAUCAACUUAGUGUAUAAAUGAUACAGAAAGGUUUUCGUGCCACAAUUUGCCAACACCAAAUGACAGUUUUUUUUCGAGAAAAGUCCACAUUUCUACCCUCAACUAACCACGUGGUUUGAUUCUCAACCAUGAACUUCAAAACCGGUCGGAUUCAACCCUCAACUUGUCACAGGGUCCAGAUGACAACCCUCGACUUAGUUUCAAGCUGGUCAAGCGGUUUUGACCGAGUCAAAGCUGACUGGACAGCCCAGUCAGUAAGCCACGCACACAUCAAAUCAAACCCAAUCCCCAUCUCUCUGUUUCAUUCACAGUCACACCCGACCCAGUCCACCCCGCCGCCGCCUUAGUUGUGAGGAACGCUGCCGCCUGUGCCCACAACCUCCACUGCCGGCAAUGGGCGGCGCCGCCACACCUCCGGUAGGUACUUCUCUCUUUACUCACUCUCUUCCCGUUAGGCUUCUACUGCUGCUAACCCUAGCGCCUUGUUGCUACUUGUUGUUGCCGCUGACUAGCUCCUGUUGCUUCUGUCGCCCCCGCCGGCAAGCUGUUGGUGGUGGCGCCGCUGGCUAGCUGCUGCUGCUAACCCUAGCCGGCCUAUUGUUGAUGCUGCUAACCCUAGCCGACCUACUGUUGGGGAUAGGAUUGGAUUGAUGUGUGUGUAGCAUGCUGACUGGGCUGCCUAGUCAGCUUUGACUCGGUCAAAACCACUUGACCAACCCGAAACAGAGUCAAGGAUUGUAAUCUGGACCCUAUGACAAGUUAAGGGUCGAAUCUGAUUUUUUUAGAGUUCGGGGUUGAAAAUCAAACCAUGUGGUUAGUUGAGGGUUGAAACGUGGACUUUCCUCUUUUUCUUACAUCAAGCGAUUGCAGGGAAGCAAGGAAUUAAAAGCACACUUUCAUGCAUAACACUUUUUCCUGUCAUAUCACUUUAGAAAUGAAAUGUUCAAGCUGGAUCAGCUUGCCAAAUAACCAAGGUUGAGAUUGGGAGGGGAGAAAAAUUGCACCAAAUGCGGUCGGCUUACAGUACUGUGCUUGUCGGGGGUUCAUGGUAAUGCGAAAGCACUACAUGCAUCGUCAAUCUCCAUGUACAUUCAUAAGAUGCCUCUAUAGUUCUUCUCCACUGCUGCCGUGCGUGUUCAUAGGCUUUUAAGCAUCAGCAAACACACUGUCAUGCCCGGUCACAUGCUGUGAAAUUGUUGAAGUUAUCUCCCGUUUCUUCACCUCCUCGAUCCAGUUAGCAGCCAACAGUGUCCAUUAGUUGAACCUGACAGUUUGGCACACUUUCGACCCGUGCCCAACUGCCCGUUUGACAUAAAAGCUCUAAUAUUAGUUGAAUUGAUCAACAUUAAAUAUUUCAUGCCUUUUUGCCUAAUCAUCCAAGCAGUUAGCGUUGCAUCAGUUUACUUUAACUUUGCAUUCACUCAAGGCAAACACAGGAUGAAUGAACUCACAUAAGUCUUACACGCUAGUCAUCCAAAGCAACAAUUUCACCGAAUUAAAAAGAAUCAUGAGCCCUCUGAUCAGGACUGGUGUAGGAACAUAAACACGGGGAGCUUCAAGGCAAAAUAGUAAUGAGGAGAAGGAAAAAGAGGGAGUGACAAGAAAACUCAAUAGUAGCAAGGAGUGGACGAUAUCUUGAUGAGUAGAGGAGCAAAUUAAAAAUAAGAAACACGAUGGGGGCGUUUGUCACUCUCGGUGUUUCUAAAAAGUGUUUCUAGACUUUGAUCAAUCUUCCAACAUUUUUGUACUGAAAUGGAUGCUCGAAAGUGACUAAUUGCAAGGGAGUACAUAUGGACAGAAUCUUAAAACUUGACGCAAUCCAAAAUACAACAAGUACGAUAAAAUAUAAGAAACAUAUUUUAAGCAAGCAAAGACUGAGAUGGGACCUUGGGAGGGGAGAAAAAUACUCAGAUGCGGCUUAGAGUACCGUGUCAUGCUUAAUUAACCUAUAUAUGUAAACUAAAGCACUACAAGCGUCUUCAAUCUCCAUACAUUAAGUAAACAAAGGUGUACAAGUAUUUUAAGCAAGCAUCGGGAAAAACACUCCGUCGUGCCCGGUGCCUGUUUUGCGGAUUGUUAAACAUAUCUUCUGGGUUAAAAUGAGUCUGCUGUGAAAAUUAGCCCUACGGCAACUGUUACUCAUACGAAGGCCCAAGAGGUUUGUUGGAAAGGCAGAAAAUGAACUUACAGAUAAUUUUCUUGUACUAAGAAAAUGCAGAGAAUUUUAAGAGCCGCGACACCGCCUACUGACUGAUACGACAUUAUUAGUGACACCGCAUCCUGGUGCCAUUUUGACUGGCAUAUAUGUGCAUAUUAUUCUACUUUGGUUAUUUCUUGUGGUGUGUUGCGUUGUAAAUAAACUCUCUCUACACAAAGGCAGGUGACAUUUUUUAUUUCUUACUCUGCAGAACCGGUUGAUACUUUUGAAAUGGGAAUUGAGCUUCGUGCGGAAAUCCCUAUGGCACCAGCUACUAUUGAUAAUACGUUGCUGCUGGUGAAUCAUGAAACUUUUGCUAAUACACAAGAAUAUCUGGUUAUUAAGUGUUGUAUGUGCGUCUCAUUUUUCUUAAUUGAUACAUUGGUUAACUCUUGGGGUGUGUUAAGUUGUAUAUAUGCUCUCUCUUCAGCGGGCACCUGCCAAUUUUUGUUUAACUUUUAGUCGUGCACUACAGCUUGUUACUUUCGAGAUGGGAAGUGUGGUGGCUGCCAAAAUCCAUGUGGUGCUAGCUACUACUGAUAUAUAAUACAACGUUGUCGGUGAAUCACGUCGCCUUUGCUAGUGCACAAGAAGAAUUUGGUCCAAUCACCAACAUUGAAAGUUUUAAAAGGCAGGUGGAAGGGGUGGCGGUUUGAGAAAACCAACAGAUGGAAGAAGGCACGAAGGUAAUUUACACAAGCUAAUAACUGUCUUAAUUUCUUCCAAUGCUCUCUAUCGGGGUAACUAGCUAAUUUACACAAGCUAAUAGCAUCGAUCAUCAUCAAUCCGAUACAAACGCAUAUCACCACAGCGCACACAUCCAAGACAGGAUACAAAGGCGCUGAGCGCAGCAACAUCACCCUAGCACUAUGAAGGUAACCAGGGAUUUCAACCGUAAACACGCCACCGUGAAGAGAUGAAGCCGCCUACGGUGAACUCUGGGCUCGAGGCGACACCUUCAGGAAGGUUACGAUGCCGUAACGCCGCCGCCGCCCGAUUUAAGAAUCAGAGUUUCCCCUGAAGCCACACGACGGGCACUGAUAGCUGCGACAAUGCAUUCAAGAAGGGAACGAUCUUCGCCGCCGCCGAUCCAUCGAAGAUAGAACAUGUUUUCACCCCAGCCAACACUCACCGUCACCGAACGCCACAUCCCCGCUACCACGUCGCCCACAUGACCAUGGCCACCGGGCAGCACCAAGUCACAGCCUCCGCCAAAGAGCACCACGCUACCGCCACUAGAGCCGCCACCCCGACAUCCAAGACGUCUGGACACCACCUCACCAGAGACACGUCGCAACUCCCAACCAAAGAGACGGGCGAAAUGUCCCACCUUUCGCACCCCUGGGAGACCCCAGCGCCGAGACCCAUUAGGUCGGCCAGCGCUGGCCCCCAUCGACCCGUCCUGUAGCCCGGAGCACAAGACGAGCUCAAUCCUGCUGCAACAUCAGGGGGACGAGGUCAUUCCUGCUGCACCAUACGCGAGACAAGCUCGAUCUAGUCGCACGAUGCGCGAGACGACCUCGGUCCUGCUGCACGGGGCGUGAGACGAGCGAUGGACCGCAGUUGGGAGAGGGCCAGCCCUUCGACGAAAGAAAAGGCCGGACGACAAGGGAAGGGGUUGAAGGCCGACAUAGACCGCCUACAGACGAGCCGAUGCUAGGAUAAGCUAGCCAUCACCGCAGCCGAUCUGCUACCACCACAGCAUCAGCGCCUCCACGCCCUGGCCAGAGCCACCUGAAGCUCCGCCAUCCCGCACCGGAGUAGCGAUGACACCAGCCACAUCACCACUACCUUAUGAGGGCCGUCGGCCACCCCAACCACCGCUUACCAACACCAUCCACCGGAUCUGAGCAGGGGAUCCCAGACCCACACCCCCGCUAACCACCUCCAACCUGAACAUGACAGGAGGCGAGAUCGUCCACCAGCCCGCCCCAGGACACGGAGCCCCGAGCCGUGGCCGAUAGAGGGGAGGGGCGGCGUCAGUGGCCACCGAGCACCGAGAGGAGGGAGGGAGGCGGGGCAGGGUCGGCCCGACGCCCGACGCCACAGGGCAGAGGGGAGGCGCCCCGCGAAGCCCCUCAUCUGUGCACACGAGAAAGCACCCCGCCACCGCUAACGCCACGCGGCCUUCGGCCGGCGACGCCCCCGGCGGCGGCGAGCGGGGAGGGACAGGGGAGAGGGGGCGGGGGGCGCUAGGGUUCCUCUCGGGGGCGCCCGUGGGAGCGCCUCAGGGAUAGGAGGGGGAGGGACCGGCUCGGGUCUGCUAUCGAGGUAACUAGUAGAACUGAGAUGAAUAAAUAUGUUCAAGUGGCAAGUGAUACGGAAGCUGGUAGAUCAGGGUUUUUUGAGCCGGGAAGAGCGAAAAGAAUCCAGCACGAGGGCUCACUCCCGCGACAGGCGACUAGGGUUCUGCCCUCCCCCCUCCCGCCGUCGUCGGUCACUGGCCGCCGGUCAAGCUCCCACCUGAUCAUGUCAUCUUGCUUAAGGCGUUACUCUGUUCGUCAUGAACUCAAUACACUGGAUGCAUGCUGGAUAGCGGUCGAUGUGUGGAGUAAUAGUAGUAGAUGCAGAAAGUAUCGGUCUACUUGUCUCGGACAUGAUGCCUAUAUGUAUGAUCAUUGCCUUAGAUAUCGUCAUGACUUUGCGCGGUUCUAUCAAUUGCUCGACAGUAAUUUGUUCACCCACCAUGAUAUUUGCUAUUAUGAGAGAAGCCUCUAGUGAACACUAUGGCCCCAGGGUCUACUCCACACCAUAGUUUCAGCCUUAUACUUUUUACUUCGUUGCACUUUCCACCUUCAGAUCUCACUUUGGAAACAAUCUUGAAGGGAUUGACAACCCCUUUGAAGCGUUGGGUGCAAGCUUGUUUGUGUUUGCGCAGGUACUCUGGACUUAACGAGGCCCUCCUUCUGGAUCGAUACCUUGGUUCUUAAACUGAGAAAAAUACUUACUGCUCCUGUGCUGCAUCACCCUUUCCUCUUCAAGGGAAAAACCGCCGCAAACCAGAGAAGUAACAAGAAGAAUUCCAGCGCCAAAGAAGGACUUUUGUUGCCGUAGCAGACCCGUAGGUCUAUGGUGAACUACUCACGCAUCAUCGGAGAGGUCAUGGUGUUUAUGAAGAAGCCCUCCGUAUCCGAAUCCCCCUCUGGUAGGGCACCAGAACGUGCCCCAGAUGGGAUCUUGCGGAGACAGAAGCUUGCGCAGCGGAAAAGUACUUUCGAUGAUCUCCUGAUUUUUCAUGGAAUUUUAGGGAAUAUAAAGGCGCAAAACCUAGGGCAAAGGAGCCUCAGGGAGCCCACAAGCCAGGGGCGCGGGCCCCCCUGGCCGCGCCAUGAGGGCUUGUGGGGUCCCUGGUGGCCCCCUGCCCUGAUUCUCCAGCUUCCCGAUCUUUUUCUGUUCCGAAAAAAAAUCUUUUUGGCAGUUUCAUUCCGUUUGGACUCCGUUCAAAAUCCUCCUCUGAAAGGGGUCAUAAACAUGGCAAAAAUAGGAACUGGCUCUUGGCACUGAGUUAAUAAGUUAGUCCUAAAAAAUAUAUAAAAGGCAUGCAAAACAUCCAAAGUUUGACAAGAUAAUAGCAUGAAACCAUCAAAAAUUAUAGAUACGUUGGAGACGUAUCAAGCAUCCCCAAGCUUAACUCUUGCUCAUCCUCGAGCAGGGAAGUGAUAAAGACUGAAUUUUUGAUGUCGAAUGCUACCUAGCAUAGUUUUCCUUUGAAACUUCUUUCACGUGACAUGAAUGUUCAGAUCCGUAAUAUUCGAAACAAUAGUUUGCUAUUGACAUGAAAACAAUAAUACUUCAAGCAAACUAGCAAGGUAAUCAUGAACUUUCAAAAUAACAAGGCCAAUGAAAGUUAUCCCUACAAAAUCAUAUAGUCUGGCUAUGCUCCAUCAUCCUCACACAACUAAUGUAAAUCAUGCACAACCCCGGUAUUGGCCAAGUAAUUAUUUUCGCACUCUUACUUUCUCAAACCUUUUAUAACUAUCACGCAAUACAUGAGCGUGAGCCAUGGAUAUAACACUAUAGGUGGAAUAGAGUGUGGUGGUGGUUGUGAGACAAAAAGGAGGAGAUGGUCACAUUGACUCGGCGUAUCAAAUGGCUAUGGAGAUGCCCAUUAAUAGAUAUCAAUGUGAAUGAGUAGGGAUUUCCAUACAAGGGAUGCACUAGAGCUAUAAGUAUGUGAAAGCUCAAAAGGAAAACUAGUGGGUGUGCAUCCAACUUGCUUGCUCACGAAGACCUAGGGCAAUUUGAGGAAGCCCAUCAUUGGAAUAUACAAGCCAAGUUAUAUAACGAAGAUUCCCACUAGAAUAUGGUGGUGACAAAGCAAGAAGCUCUCAAUCAUGAAGAACAUGGUGCUAUUAUGAAGCACAAGUGUGGAAAAAGAUAGUAGCAUUGUCCCUUCUCUCUUUUUUUCAUUUGGGAUCUUAGGCCUCUUCUUUUUUCUCUUUUUUUGGGCUCUUUGGCCUCUCUUUUUUUUAUUUCCUCACAUGGGACAAUGAUCUAAUAAUUAUGAUCAUCACACUUUUAUUUACUCAAAUCUCAAAGCUUAGAACGAUGAUGACUCUAUAGAAAAUGCCUCCGGCAGUGUACCGGGAUGUGCAAUGAUCUAGCUUGGCAUAUGACGUUGUAACAUCUCGCUAGGUAUCUUACGAUCAUGCAAUGACAAUAUGAGAGUGACGACACAAGUCAUGAGACGGAACGGUGAGAGUUGCAUGGCAAUAUAUCUCGGAAUGGCUAUGAAAAUGCCAUAGUAGGUAGGUAUGGUGGCUGUUUUGAGGAAGGCAUAUGUUGGGUUUGUGCACCGGCAAAAGUUCCGCGGCACUAAAGAGGCUAGCAAAGGUGGAAGGUGGAAGUGCAUCUAUACCAUGGACUCACAUUAGUCAUGAAGAACUCAUAUACUUGUUGUGAAAGUUUUUAUUAGUAAUCGAAACAAAGUGCUAAACGCAUACUCCUAGGGGAAGGGUUGGUAGGUGUUAACCAUCGCGCGAUCCCGACCUCAACACAAAGGAUGACAAUCAAUAGAUCAAUUAUGCUCCGACUUCCUAACAUAGCGGUUCACCAUACGUGCAUGCUACGGGAAUCACUAACUUCAACACAAGUAUUUCUAGAUUCACAACACCCUACUAUCAUAGCUCUUAAUAUUACCAAAUCCACGUCUCAAAACUAAUUGAGAGGAAUCAAAACUUCUCUUUUUACUCAAUGCACAUGAAGAUGGAGGUUUUUGCAUCCUCUUUGGGUACAUAUCACCUUUGGGACUACUUUCAUUGCAUAAGCCAACUACCAAGUCACGCACCGCCGUGCUCUAAAAGAUAUAAGUGAAGCACAUAGAGAAAAAUUAUCUAGCUCAAAAGAUAUAAGUGAAGCACUAUGAGCAUUGUAGCAAAAUCACGAUGAGUGCAUGUCUCUCUCUCUCUCAAAAAGGUGUGCAGAAAGGAUGAUUGUGACACAACAAAAAGAAAAGACUCCUACAAUACAAGACGCUCCAAGCAAAACACAUAUCAUGUGGUGAAUAAAAAUAUAGCUCCAAGUAAUGUUACCGAUGAAUUGAAGACGAAAGAGGGGAUGCCUUCCCGGGGCAUCCCAAAGCUUAGGCUUUUAGGUGUCCUUGAAUUUGGCUUGAGAUGCCUUGGGCAUCCCCAAGCUUGAGCUCUUUCCACUCCUUAUCUCUUUGUCCAUGAGAACAUCACCCAAAACUUGAAAACUUCACAACACAAAACUUAAACAGAAACUCGUGAUAACAUUAGCACAAGAAAACAAACUACCACCUCUUUUGGUACUGUAGCAAACUUGAAUUCUAUCUAUAUUGGUGUUAUUAUACUGUAUUCUCACUUUUUCAUGGCUAGUACCCCCGAUACUAACCAUAGUUUCAUCAAAACAAGCAACCAACUCAAUAAAAAUAGAAUCUGUCAAAAACAGACCAGUUUGUAGCCAUCUGUAUACUUCGUAUACUUCUGGUACCUCAAAAAUUCUGAACAAUUACGACUUACUGGGAAAAAGGCAUAUAAACCAUAAGCAAAAAGAAUCAACUCAAAAUCUCUUUCUGAAUAGAAAUGAAAAAUCAUCUCGUGAGCGAAAAGUUUCUGUCUUUUUCCUGCAGGAUCAAACAACCAUCACCAAGACUAGUCAUAAAGGUUUUGCUUGGCUCAAACACAAAAAUAAACACAAAAAACACAAUCACAACAGAAUUAUGAUGGUGUGGACACAACAAAACAGAAAUAAAAAGAUAAAUUCAUUGGGUUGCCUCCCAACAAGCGCUAUUGUUUAACGCCCUUAGCUAGGCAUAAAAGCGAUAGAAUCACGUAUCGUCGUCUUUGGUGCUCAAACCAUAACUGGCCCUCAUCAUGGAUUCAUAAGGUAAUCUUAUUUUAUUUCUAGUAAAGUGUUCCAUGCCCUUCCUUAAAGGAAAUUGAAAUCUAAUAUUCCCUUCCUUCAUAUCGAUGAUAGCACCGAUAGUCCUUAGGAAAGGUCUACCAAGAAUAAUAGGGCAUGUAGGAUUGCAAUCAAUGGCAAGCACAAUGAAAUCCACAGGUACAUAGUUCCUAUUUGCAAUAAUAAGAACAUCAUUGAUCCUUCCCAUGGGUUUCUUGACAGUAGAAUCAGCAAGAUGCAAAUUAAGACAACACUCUUCAAUCUCAUUAAAACCCAGAACAUCACAUAAAGACUUUGGAAUCGCGGAAACACUAGCACCCAAAUCACACAAAGCAUUGCAUUCAUAGUUUUUUAUUUCGAUUUUGAUGGUAGGUUCCCACUCAUCAUGAAGCUUUCUAGGGAUAGAGACUUCCAAUUCAAGUUUCUCUUCAAGAGAUUUUAUCAUAGCUUCGACGAUAUGAUCGGUAAAGGCCUUGUUUUGGCUAUAAGCGUGUGGAGAGUUCACCAUGAAUUGCAUCAAGGAAAUGCAUUCAAUCAAGGAGCAACUAUCAUAAUUGAAUUCCUUGAAAUCCAUAGUAGUAAUUUCAUUAAUACUCAAAGUUUUAAUAUCUUCUAUUCCACUUUCAAUGCUUUUAGCAUCAAGAUAGAUGGACUCCAAAUCAUUGGGGCACUUUUCAACCAAAGUGGAUUCAUAUCCAACCCCAUCAUCAUUAGGUUUGACACAAGAAAACAAAGAUUCAAUGGGAGUCACACCAAGCACUUUAAGAUCUUCGUGAUUCUUAUCACGAGAACACGCCUUUUUAAGCCAUUCAUGUCUAACACAAAUUUGGGCGGUUCUUUCUUUGCUCUCAAUCAUGGAAACACGCAUAGCUUUCAAAGUUUCAUCCAUGUUGAUCUUGGGAGGAGCACAUCUAACUUUCAAAGCAUCAACCUCACUAGACAUUCUAUCAACGCUCUUAGCCAAAUCGUCAAUUUUGAGUAGUUUUUCCUCUAUGGAUGCAGUGAAAAUCUUUUGAGAGUUGAUGAACUAUUUGAUAUUAAUCUCUAGAUCAGAGGGUAAUCUAUUGUAAUUUCCAUCAGUAUAUUUGUAGGAGUUUCCAAAGUUAUUAGAGGAAUUACUAGGAAAAGGCCUAGGAACAUAGUUUUCUCUAAAAUCAUUGUUGUUACCAAAAUUAUUCCUACCAACAAAAUUAACGUCCAAGCUAGCGUUGCUACUCUCAAUCAAAGAAGACAAGGGCAUAUCAUUAGGAUCUAAAGGAGCACUUCUACUAGCAACCAAAUUCAUUAACUCGUCCAUCUUAGCAAUCAACGAGUUAAUUUCUUCUAUAGCGUGUACCUUCUUAUUAGUAGGUGACCUUUCAGUGUGCCACUGAGAGUAAUUCGUCAUGAUAUUGCCUACGAGCUUUGUGGCUUCCCCUAACGUGAUUUCCAUGAACGUUCCACCUGAGGCGGAGUCCAAGAUAUUUCUAGAAGCAAAAUUCAAGCCAGCGUAAAAGAUUUGUAUAAUCAUCCAAAGACUCAAGCCAUGAGCCGGACAAUUUCUAAUCAUCAAUUUCAUUCUCUCCCAAGAUUGUGCAACAUGUUCAUGAUCAAGUUGCUUGAAAUUCAUGAUAUCAUUACAGAGAGAGAUAAUCUUAGCCGGCGGAAAAUACUUGGAUAUAUAAGCAUCUUUUCACUUAUCCCAAGAAUCGAUACUAUUUUUGGGCAAAGAAGAAAACCAAGUUUUUGCGCGAUGUAAAAAAGCUUCAAUUUAAUCACAUCAUUAUCCACAUCUUUCUUAUUUUGCAUAUCUCAAAGCUCAGUGAAGGUAUUGAGAUGGGAUGCGGCAUCUUCACUAGGAAGGCCGGAGAAUUGCUCUUUCAUAACAAGAUUCAGCAAAGCGGCAUUGAUUUCGUAUGACUCCGCACUAGUGGCGGGAGCAAUUGGAGUACUAAUAAAAUCAUUAUUAUUAGUAUUCGAGAAGUCACAAAGUUUGGUGUUUUCAUUCAUGGUGACUUCAGCAAGCAAGCAAGCACACAAGAGAACAAAGAGCAAGCGAGAAAAAGGUCAAACGAAAAGGCAAACGAAAAAGGCAAACGAAAAAAGGCAAACGAAAAAAGGCAAAUUGUGAAGUCGGGGAGAGGAAAACGAGAGGCAACUGGCAAACAAAGUAAAUGCAAGAGAUGAGUUUGCGUCACCUACUUGGAUGAGUUCUUGACUUGAUCCUCCCCGGCAACGGCGCCGGAAAUCCUUCUGCUGCGGCAACAAAAGUACUUCACUGGCAAUGGUGCAAGAGAUCCUUCUGUCGUAUCUUGAGCUUGCGUUGGUUUUUCCCUUGAAGAGGAAAGGGUGAUGCAGCACAGGAGCAGUAAGUAUUUCCCUCAGUUUGAGAACCAAGGUAUCAAUCCAGUAGGAGAAUCUCGUCAAGUCCAGAGUACCUGUGCAAACACAAAAGAGCUUGCACCCAACGCUUUAAAGGGGUUGUCAAUCCCUUCAAGAUUGAUUGCAAAGUGAGAUCUGAAGGCGGAAAGUGCAACGAAGUAAAAAGUGUAAGGCUGAAAAUAUGGUGUGGAGUAGACUCGGGGGCCAUAGUGUUCACUAGAGGCUUCUCUCAAAAUAGCAAAUAUCACUGUGGGUGAACAAAUUACUGUCGAGCAAUUGAUAGAACCGCGCAAAGUCAUGACAAUAUCUAAGGCAAUGAUCAUACAUAUAGGCAUCACGUCCGAGACAAGUAGACUGAUACUUUCUGCAUCUACUACUAUUACUCCACACAUCGACCGCUAUCCAGCAUGCAUCUAGUGUAUUGAGUUCAUGACGAAUAGAGUAACGCCUUAAGCAAGAUGACAUGAUGUAGAGGGAUAAACUCAAACCAAUGAUGAAAACCCCAUCUUUUUACCCUUGAUGGCAACAACAUGAUGUGUGCCUCGCUACCCCUUCUGUCACUUGGUGAGGUCACCGCCCGGUAUGAACCCAAAACCAAGCACUUCUCCCAUUGCAAGAAUCAUAGAUCUAGUUGGCCAAACAAAACCUACAACUCGAAGAAAAUUACAAGGAUAUGAAAUCAUGCAUAAGAGAGAUCAGAAGAAAUUCAAAUAAGAUUCAUAGAUAAUCUGAUCAUAAAUCCACAAUUCAUCGGAUCUCGACAAACACACUGCAAAAGAAGAUUACAUCGGAUAGAUCUCCAUGAAGAUCAUGGAGAACUUUGUAUUGAAGAUCCAAGAGAGAGAAGAAGCCAUCUAGCUACUAGCUAUGGACCCGUAGGUCUAUGGUGAACUACUCACGCAUCAUCGGAGAGGUCAUGGUGUUGAUGAAGAAGCCCUCCGUAUCCGAAUCCCCCCUCCGGCAGGGCACCAGAACGUGCCCCAGAUGGGAUCUUGCGGAGACAGAAGCUUGCGGCGGCGGAAAAGUACUUUUGAUGAUCUCCUAUUUUUUUAUGGAAUUUUAGGGAAUAUAUAGGCGCAAAACCUAGGGCAAAGGAGCCUCAGGGAGCCCACAAGCCAGGGGGCACGGGUCCCCCUGGCCGCGCCAUGAGGGCUUGUGGGGUCCCUGGUGGCCCCCUGCCCUUGUUCUCCGGCUUUUCGAUCUUUUUCUGUUCCAGAAAAAAUCUUUUUGCCAGUUUCAUUCCGUUUGGACUCCGUUCAAAAUCUUCCUCUGAAAGGGGUCAAAAACAUGGAAAAACAGGAACUGGCUCUUGGCAGUGAGUUAAUAAGUUAGUCCCAAAAAAUAUAUAAAAGGCAUGCAAAACAUUCAAAAUUUGACAAGAUAAUAGCAUGAAACCAUAAAAAACAGGGACAAAUGGGUCCAGAUGAACCGGGACCAAUGCCCACGAGGCCCCGGCCGGCCCCCUGGGCUCAUGAACCGGGCUAAUGCCCCCCAUGGGUCCCGGUUCGUAAAGAACCGGGACUAAUGGGCUGGCCAGGCCCGAACCAAAGCCCUGUUUUCUACUAAUGAGACUAAACUAAUACACAGCUUGGAUCAAUGGGGUGGAGACAUGGGAGAUGAGUUAGAAAACCUAUGAACACGCGCUGCAGCAGUCCACAAGUAAUAUCUUUUGUUGGUAACUGUGAACUUACAUGGAGACUCAGAGCAAAUACAAUAAGGUAUAAUCAGCAGGCUGUAAGGAUUAUAAUUUUUUGUCUAAACAGCAUCAACUUCCUGCUGUAGCAAAUGCUUUUACUUUGUUGUUGGAUAUAUAUUUGUUCCCAGUCAACUUAAUUGGAAUAUUUUUUGUCACGAAUUUAGCACCUCAAUGUAAGAAAUAUAUGAGCGUUCAGAUCACUAAAAUAGUGAUCUAAACACUCUUAUAUUUCUUUACGGAGGGAGUAUUAAUUGUUUGCGAAGAAGUCAAGAAUCUUGAUUUAAUUGAUAUGAAUAUCAUUAUAUACUACCAAGCCUGGAAUACAAGAAGAAAUACAUCAAAAAAAGUAUUUGAUAGGAAAUAAAAGAGAGGAAAUAGAACAAGCCUGAAACAUGACUUUCCCAGGAAAAUUCACUUGAUACAAUUUAGUGUGAUUUACCGAAAAAGGUUUUCGUUCCGUUUUAUAUAUAAAGCAACCACCAAACCACGAGUACAAGCAUAGAUUCAAAUUCGAGCACACACACUCUAAGGUAUCACGACGCCAAGUACUAGGGGUUCUGCUAAGGGCACAACUCAACAAGCCCUAAAAGCAAAACAACACACAUGCGGAAAAGACCGCGAAUGCAGAAGCUAAUCUCACUCGAGGGUGGUGGGGUAGCUGCGGCGUCAAGCGGAUGGCCAUCGUUCGGAGGUCUGCGAUGAUGGAGUUGAUGGCGUCCUGGUCCAGUUGACGGCUAAGCGACUGCCAGAGCUCCAUUAAGCCACACAUUUUGAACACCACGUCAGUUCCCCGUCGAAGAGGCACACGUUGAAUAACAAGCUUGCAUGCNNNNNNNNNNNNNNNNNNNNNNNNNNNNNNNNNNNNNNNNNNNNNNNNNNNNNNNNNNNNNNNNNNNNNNNNNNNNNNNNNNNNNNNNNNNNNNNNNNNNGCUGCUACGGAUCAGCGGGUGCCACUUCAGCUCCGGCGAUGUCGCGAUGAGCCUCCGGCGACCGCUGCUACGGAUCAGCGGGUGCCACUUCAGCUCUGACGACGCCGCGACGAGCAGCGGGUGCCACUUCAGCUCCGACGAUAGCGCAACGAGCCUCCGGCAACCGCUGCUACGGAUCAGCGGGUGCCACUGCAGCUCCGAAUACCACUGCUGCGGAUCAGCGGGUGCCACUACAGCUCCUGCGACGCCGCGACGAGCCGUUGGCGACCGCUGCUACGGAUCAACGGGUGCCACUUCAGCUCCGACGAUGCCGCGACGAGCCUCCGACGACCGCUGCUAUGGAUCAGCGGGUGCCACUGCAGCUCCGACGACGCCCCGACGAGCAGCGGGUGCCACUUCAGCUCCGACGACGCCGUGACGAGCCUCCGGCGACCGCUACUACGGAUCUGCGGGUGCCACUGCAACUCCGGAUACCGCUGCUGCGGAUCAGUGGGUGCCACUACAGCUCCUGCGACGCCGCGACGAGCCACCGGUGACCGCUGCUACGGAUCAACGGGUGCCACUGCAGCUCCGACGACGACGCGAUGAGCCUUCGGCGAGCGCUGCUACUGAUCAGCGGGUGCCGUUGCAGCUCCCCCGACGAUGCGACGAGCCUUCGGCGACCGUUGCUACUGAUCAACGGGUGUCACUGCAGCUCCGGCGACGCCGCGACGAGCCACCGACGACCGCUGCUACGGAUCAGCGGGUGCCACGAGCCGCCGGCGACCGCUUGCUACGGAUCAGCGGGUGCCACUGCAGCUCCGGUGACGCCGCGACGAGCCUUCGACGACCGCUGCUAYKSAACUACUACGUCUCGUUUGGCAAGCUGACAAUUAAAUUGAGUGUACUGGAGUAUACUAAUGCAACUAGAUUUGCAUCCAUCGCCUUUAAAAAAUUACAUGGAAGGAUAUGNNNNNNNNNNNNNNNNNNNNNNNNNNNNNNNNNNNNNNNNNNNNNNNNNNNNNNNNNNNNNNNNNNNNNNNNNNNNNNNNNNNNNNNNNNNNNNNNNNNNUGCUUAGAAUCUCGUGUAGUUUCAUUUUUCCUUGCUGUCUGUAUGUUUUGAAGUGCUCGUGACCGUCGUUGCACACAUAUCGCAUUUAUGCCAUCAUAUCUUGCGGUGCUUGUAUGUUUUGAACCGUAGCUCCGUUGGAGAUGUUCUUUAUGUGUAGGUUGCUUGAAAUGUCGCGUAGAAUCACGUGAACCUAUUUUUUAUCCUGUUUUGAGAGAGAAGAGGAGUAGAACUAAAUAAUUAAACGUGGAGUUUCUUCAAUAUGCAACUCGUUGCAUAUUGAACUUCACUUAAUGUGUAGUGUUUGAUUGUGUGAAUUGUCAUGCCGUGACUUGCAUAUAUUCAGCUGCUCAUGUAUCAUAUGUGUUGUGCAUCGCGUGGUGAAUAUCAUGUUUUAAUUUUUGUUUCCGGUUUCCUUCGUCUCGAUAAAGUUCCGCAAGCGUGUCGGAUUGUGAGGACCCGUUCGACUACGUCGGUUCGUCUGCUUCACGGAGACAUUCUUCUUCCAAGCGGGAUCUCAGGCAAGAUGACCAUUUCCCCAGAUACCAUUACUAUCAUUGCCAUGCUAGUUUACCGUUUCUAUCGAAUAUGUCUCGUUGCCUACCACAUGUUAAAUAUCAGCCUCUUAACAAUGCCAUGAAACCUUCAACCUGUUCAACCUAGCAAACCACUGAUUGGCUAUGUUACUGCUUGCUUAANNNNNNNNNNNNNNNNNNNNNNNNNNNNNNNNNNNNNNNNNNNNNNNNNNNNNNNNNNNNNNNNNNNNNNNNNNNNNNNNNNNNNNNNNNNNNNNNNNNNAUCAGUGGGUGCCACUUCAGCUCCAAUCGAAGCCGCGACGAGCCUCCGGCGACCGCUGCUACGGAUCAGCGGGUGCCACUUCAGCUCCGGCGACCGCUGGUAUGGAUCAGCGGGUGCCACUUCAGCUCCGACGAUGCCGCGACGAGCCUUCGGCGACCGCUGGUAUGGAUCAGCGGGUGCCACUUCAGCUCCGACGAUGCCGCGACGAGCCUUCGGCGACCGCUGCUACGGAUCAGCGGGUGCCACUGCAGCUCCGACGAUGCCACGACGAGCAGCGGGUGCCACUGCAGCUCCGACGACGCCGCGACGAGCAGCGGGUGCCACUGCAGCUCCGACGACGCCGCGACGAGCAGCGGGUGCCACUACAGCUCCGACGACGCCGCGACAAGCCUACGGCAUCCGCUGCUGCGGAUCAGCGGGUGCCACUUCAGCUCCGAAUACCGCUGCUGCGGAUCAGCGGGUGCCACUACAGCUCCUGCGACGCCGCGAUGGGCCAUCGGAGACCGCUGCUACGGAUCAGUGGGUGCCACUGCAGCUCCUACGACGUCGCGACGAGCCUCCGGCGACCGCUGCUAUGGAUCAGCGGGUGCCACUUCAGCUCCGACGACCGCUGCUACGGAUCAGCGGGUGCCACUUCAGCUCCGACGAUGCCGCGACGAGCCUCCGGCGACCGCUGCUACGGAUCAGCGGGUGGCACUUCAGCUCCCGCGACCGCUGCUACAGAUCAGCGGGUGCCACUGCAGCUUCCAAUACCGCUGUUGCGGAUCGGCGGGUGCCACUACAACUCGUGCGACGCCGUGACGAGCCUUCGACGACCGCUGCUACGGAUCAGUGGGUGCCACUUCAGCUCCGACGAAGCCGCGACGAGCCUCCGGCGACCGCUGCUACGGAUCAGCGGGUGCCACUUCAGCUCCGGCGAUGUCGCGAUGAGCCUCCGGCGACCGCUGCUACGGAUCAGCGGGUGCCACUUCAGCUCUGACGACGCCGUGACGAGCAGCGGGUGCCACUUCAGCUCCGACGAUAGCGCAACGAGCCUCCGGCAACCGCUGCUACGGAUCAGCGGGUGCCACUGCAGCUCCGAAUACCACUGCUGCGGAUCAGCGGGUGCCACUACAGCUCCUGCGACGCCGCGACGAGCCGCUGGCGACCGCUGCUACGGAUCAACGGGUGCCACUUUAGCUCCGACGAUGCCGCGACGAGCCUCCGACGACCGCUGCUAUGGAUCAGCGGGUGCCACUGCAGCUCCGAAGACGCCCCGACGAGCAGCGGGUGCCACUUCAGCUCCGACGACGCCGUGACGAGCCUCCGGCGACCGCUACUACGGAUCUGCGGGUGCCACUGCAACUCCGGAUACCGCUGCUGCGGAUCAGUGGGUGCCACUACAGCUCCUGUGACGCCGCGACGAGCCACCGGUGACCGCUGCUACGGAUCAACGGGUGCCACUGCAGCUCCGACGACGACGCGAUGAGCCUUCGGCGAGCGCUGCUACUGAUCAGCGGGUGCCGUUGCAGCUCCCCCGACGAUGCGACGAGCCUUCGGCGACCGUUGCUACUGAUCAACGGGUGUCACUGCANNNNNNNNNNNNNNNNNNNNNNNNNNNNNNNNNNNNNNNNNNNNNNNNNNNNNNNNNNNNNNNNNNNNNNNNNNNNNNNNNNNNNNNNNNNNNNNNNNNNCCGCGACGAGCCACCGGUGACCGCUGCUACGGAUCAACGGGUGCCACUGCAGCUCCGACGACGACGCGACGAGCCUUCGGCGAGCGCUGCUACGGAUCAGCGGGUGCCACUACAGCUCCGACGACGCUGCGACGAGCAGCGGGUGCCUCUGCAGCUCCGACGACGCCGCGACGAGCCUCCGGCGACCACUGCUACGGAUCAGCCGAUGCCACUGCAGCUCCGAAUACCGAUGUUGCGGAUCAGCGGGUGCCACUACAGCUCCUACGACGCCGCGACGAGACGACGACGACCGCUGCUAUGGAUCAGCGCGUGCCGCUGCAGCUCCGGCAACGUCGCGACGAGCCUUUGACGACCGUUGCUACGGAUCAGUGCGUGCCACUUCAGCUCCGACGAAGCCGCGACGAGCCUCCGGCGACCGCUGCUACGGAUCAACGGGUGCCACUUCAGCUCCGGCGACCGCUGCUACAGAUCAGCGGGUGCCACUUCCAACUCCAACGAUGCCGCGACGAGCCUCCGGCGACCGCUGCUACAGAUCAGCGGGUGCCACUUCAGCUCCGACGACGCCGCCACGAGCAGCGGGUGCCACUUCAGCUCCGACGACGCCGCGACGAGCCUCCGACGACCGCUGCUAUGGAUCAGCGGGUGCCACUUCAGCUCCGACGAUGCCACGACGAGCCUUCGGCGACCGCUGCUACGGAUCAGCGGGUGCCACUUCAGCUCCGACGAUGCCGCGACGAGCCUCCUGCGACCGCUGCUUCGGAUCAGCGGGUGCCACUGCAGUUCCAACGACGCCGCGACGAGCAGCGGGCGCCACUUCAGCUCCGACGAUGCCGUGACGAGCCUCCGGCGACCGCUGCUACGGAUCAGCGGGUGCCACUGCAGCUCCGACGAUGCCGCGGCGAGCAGCGGGUGCCACUGCAGCUCCGACGACGCCGCGACGAGCCUCCGGCGACCGUUGCUACGGAUCACCGGGUGCCACUUCAGCUCCGGCGACCGCUGCUACAGAUCAGCGGGCGCCACUUCAGCUCCGACGAUGCCGCGACGAGCCUGUGGCGACCGCUGCUACGGAUCAGCAGGGUGCCACUUCAGCUCCCACGACGCCGCGACGAGCAGCGGGUGCCACUGCAGCUCCGAGGACGCCGCGACGAGCCUCCGGCGACCGCUGCUACGGAUCAGCGGGUGUCACUUCAGCUCUGAAUACCGCUGUUGCGGAUCAGCGGGUGCCACUACACCUCCUGCGACGCCGCGAUAAGACGCCGACGACUGCUGCUUCGGAUCAGCGGGUGCCACUGCAGCUCCGGCGACGCCGCGACGAGCCUUCGACGACCGCUGCUACGGAUCAGUGGGUGCCACUUUAGCUCCGACGAAGCCGCGACGAGCCUCCGGCGACCGCUGCUACGUAUCAGCGGGUGCCACUUCAGCUCCGGCGACCGCUGCUACGGAUCAGCGGGUGCCACUGCAGCUUCGACGAUGCCGCGACGAGCAUCGGGUGCCACUGCACCUCCGACGACGACGCGACGAGCCUCCGACGACCGCUGCUACGGAUCAGCGGGUGCCACUGCAGCUCCGAAUACCGCUGUUGCGGAUCAGCGGGUGCCACUACAGCUCCUGCGACGCCGCGACGAGACCGNNNNNNNNNNNNNNNNNNNNNNNNNNNNNNNNNNNNNNNNNNNNNNNNNNNNNNNNNNNNNNNNNNNNNNNNNNNNNNNNNNNNNNNNNNNNNNNNNNNNGGGUGCCACUUCAGCUCUGACGACGCCGUGACGAGCAGCGGGUGCCACUUCAGCUCCGACGAUAGCGCAACGAGCCUCCGGCAACCGCUGCUACGGAUCAGCGGGUGCCACUGCAGCUCCGAAUACCACUGCUGCGGAUCAGCGGGUGCCACUACAGCUCCUGCGACGCCGCGACGAGNNNNNNNNNNNNNNNNNNNNNNNNNNNNNNNNNNNNNNNNNNNNNNNNNNNNNNNNNNNNNNNNNNNNNNNNNNNNNNNNNNNNNNNNNNNNNNNNNNNNNNNNNNNNNNNNNNNNNNNNNNNNNNNNNNNNNNNNNNNNNNNNNNNNNNNNNNNNNNNNNNNNNNNNNNNNNNNNNNNNNNNNNNNNNNNNNNNNNNNNNNNNNNNNNNNNNNNNNNNNNNNNNNNNNNNNNNNNNNNNNNNNNNNNNNNNNNNNNNGGGUGCCACUGCAGCUCCGAAGACGCCCCGACGAGCAGCGGGUGCCACUUCAGCUCCGACGACGCCGUGACGAGCCUCCGGCGACCGCUACUACGGAUCUGCGGGUGCCACUGCAACUCCGGAUACCGCUGCUGCGGAUCAGUGGGUGCCACUACAGCUCCUGUGACGCCGCGACGAGCCACCGGUGACCGCUGCUACGGAUCAACGGGUGCCACUGCAGCUCCGACGACGACGCGAUGAGCCUUCGGCGAGCGCUGCUACUGAUCAGCGGGUGCCGUUGCAGCUCCCCCGACGAUGCGACGAGCCUUCGGCGACCGUUGCUACUGAUCAACGGGUGUCACUGCAGCUCCGGCGACGCCGCGACGAGCCACCGACGACCGCUGCUACGGAUCAGCGGGUGCCACGAGCCGCCGGCGACCGCUGCUACUGCCACUGCAGCUCCGGUGACGCCGCGACGAGCCUUCGACGACCGCUGCUACGGAUCAGCGGGUGCCACUGCAGCUCCGGCGACGACGUGACGAGCCUUCGACGACCGCUGCUACUGAUCAGCGAGUGCCACUGCAGCUCCGGCGAUGCCGCGACGAGCCACCGNNNNNNNNNNNNNNNNNNNNNNNNNNNNNNNNNNNNNNNNNNNNNNNNNNNNNNNNNNNNNNNNNNNNNNNNNNNNNNNNNNNNNNNNNNNNNNNNNNNNAAAGACCUAAUAAAAUUGCAUAGGGACUUUCCGGACCCCGAGGAUAAUUUAAUCAACCCCUGGGCCAGUGCUCCUCAUGAGUGUUGGCCCCACCUGAGCGAUGUCCGGCGCCCCUCUGGUCACCCGGAGGUUUAGCGAUCCCGACGUCUAGCUCAUCCAUCGUGUCCUGAGAACGAGGUACGCGACUCUUAUCGGGAUCGUCGAUACGUCGGGCGGCCUUGCUGGAUUAGUUUUACCUUUGACGAGAUAUCUUGUGCAUCGGGAUUCCGGUGACGCUUUGUGUAAUCUCAGAGUUGAGGUUUUCCACUAGGGAAUCUGACGAGAUCGCGAGCUUCGUGAUUGAGGAUUUCUAUGCGGCUUGUGGUAAUUUGUGAUGGACUAGUUGGAGCACCCCUGCAGGGUUAAAUCUUUCGGAAAGCCGUGCCCACGGUUAUGUGGCAACGUGGAAACUUUGUUUAACACUGGUUCUAGAUAACUUGAAGUUAACUUAAUUAAAAUAUGCCAACUGUGUGCGUAACCGUGACUAUCUCUUUCAUGAGUUCUUUCUCCGAUCGAGGACACGGUGGGGUUAUGUCUGACGUAGGUAGGUGUUCAGGAUCAUUCAUUUGAUCAUCAGUACUCACGUCCGUUAUGCGUAGAUCAUCCCCCUCUUUAUUCUUGUACUCGUAAGUUUAGGCACCAAAUAUAUGCUUAGUCGCUGAUGCAACCUCACCACUUAACCAUACCUCAGCCAUUAAGCUUUGCUAGUCUUGAUACCUUUGGAAAUGAGAUUGCUGAGUCCCCUGUGGCUCACAGAUUACUACAACACCAGUUGCAGGUACAGGUAAAGGUUACUUGACGCGAGCGCGUUGAUUGUUCAUUUGGAAUUGCUUCUUCUUCUUCUUCUUCAUCAUCAUCGAUCUAGGAUGGGUUCCAGGCCGACAGCCUUGGAUAGCAAGGAUGGACGUCGUUCUUCUUUUGUCGUUUAUUUUCGUCCGUAGUCGGACCCGGCUCUUACUCUUGAUGUUUGUGUAAUGUACUGUUGUGACUCUGAUAUAGCUUGUGGCGAGUGUAAGCCAACUCUUUAUGUAUAACUCUUCUUUUCAGUACAUGUACUUGUAAUGAUAUCCAUUCUUGCGACAUGACGAGAUGCGCUUCUAUCCCUGACGAGGCCUUCGUGCCAAAUUGAGGAUAGGGUCGCAUCUUGGGCGUGACAAGUUGGUAUCAGAGCAGUACCGACCUAGGAGCCCCUUUGAUUGAUCGAACUUGGCCGAGUCGAGUCUAGUGAAAAACUACUUUGAGUCUAGUUAUAUAUCGGAGAGUAGGAUUCUUUUUUUUCAUCUUCUAUGCUCUGGUGAGGAAUCUUGACGUAAUAUUUUAGUUCUACUCCUCUUCUCUCUCAAAUUUUUUUAGGAUCACGCGGAUAUUUUUGAAAUCUAUAUGAUGCCGAUGUGACGGAGUUCUGUCUUGGUGCCUCCUAUCUGCUUUAAGUUUCAGGGGAGUUGAGCUCCAGGGGAUUCUUGAGCACAUCGUUAUCAUUCAGAUUUCUUAGUAUCUCUGAACGAAGGAUGUUCGUAAUUGCUUCAAUACUAGUAGUGGCGAGAUCACCCCGAUGUCCCCAGUACUGGUGCAAAUUGUUCGGGAGUACUGCCAUACUUUGUAUCGUUGUGAUCACGAGGGUCUGUAGUAGAUGAAGGUCCGAGAUUCUGGUCGUGUGUUGACGGAUGUGAUACAGGUGACGGGUUAGUAUAGGAGUUGUGUGUUAUUACUCCUUGUAUCCGUGUACCAGAUUGCAUGACCAGAAAUUUUGGGAAUUCGUAGGUGGGAAUUCAAGUAGUUGCUUAUAGGAGAAUCUUCCAACAAAUGCAUGAUGUUAGGUUGGGGUUCGACAUCUAGUGGAUUCCUGUCCAUGAAAAUAUUGGACGAAAUCUUUCUCAUGAGUUUGUUCUGGCUAAUUGCAAGCCGCACCCUUUGUUUUGUUGAAUGUGGUAAUUUGUGUUGCUUCGAUGUCAAGUGGUGAUUUCAAAUCUUUCCUAAUCUGUGUUCCCAUAUUUUUAUGUGAGAGUGCUACUCCUUUUUCUCAAUCAAUUGUCUCAUCAAUUUUGUCAACCGGAGUCGUCAUGUUAAUUCCUUUCCAACCGGUGUGCUUCUCUUGAGUAAAUUCAAUCCUCUUUAAUAAUUGCAAGAUCAUUCUCGCAUUUUAUUACGGAGUUCAUCUCAUCCGUCUGAAGUUGUUUUUGUUUUUCCCCGCCCUCCCGCCCUUUUCUUCAGUGUUUGGAUUUCAUCCAAGUGCCUUCUUAUUUAGUGAUGCUUCCGCUAUCUCUUCUUCCUUUUUGUAGCAGGUGAUUCAUUGUUGUGAACAUUCUCAGGAGUCGAGUUCAUCAUUUCUUCAUUUUGUUCCUUCCCGGUGAAUUUAAUUCAUUAUCUGUGUUCACAUAUUCUAUUCAUCCUUGUAAUUUUUUCCCAUGUUGGAAAUUCUCAUCAGUCUUCUUAUUGUCAUUUCUCUCUAUUCCAUCAGGAGUGCUGAAGUUAUCUGAGAGGUUCUUGUUUCCAAUUCUUUUAUUUAUUUCCAGGUGCUAACCUCAUCUAGUUCUCUUCAUACCGGUGCAAUAUCAAUCUUUCCAGCAAUCUUUUCUAAUGGUGGUUUCUUUGAAUGGGCCCAUAACCCAGAGGUUUUUCCCAGGAUCUUACCUGGCUCUUUUAAUCUUUUCCAGGGACCUUUAAAUCUUUUCAACUAUGACGUAAGUAUGAUUUCCAUCAGUCAUAUCCCUUCGUCAAGAUCUAUUUGAAUUAAUUCUCAUAUUGGUUCAACCUUUCAUUCUUCAUUAGUCUGGAGUGUCUCAGUAUUCUUGGUGUUGUUCUCGUCAUCAUUCUCAGCUUCCAAUUAGAAGGAGUGUUUCUCUCAGUCUUGUUCCAUUCUUGUGAAGACUGUCAUCUCAGCAUCGUGUACCCUCUCAUUUGUUGUCAAUCAUGAGUAAUCCCUUUCUUGCUAUCCGGUCCGUUUCUGAGUUGUUUUUAUUUCUCGUUCCUCCGACGGCCAUCAUUUCAGAAGACUCUUCGUUCUCAGCUUUCAGCUUUCAUCCUCAACUCUUCUCAAUUGUUGUCUCUUCGUUCGUCUCUCGGUUAUUCCGGCGCUUUGUUCAAGGUUUUUCUCUCAGGUGGCUCAUGAGCUCUUCAUUUUCAUGUAUCUUCAUUAAUUCGUGGUGUUCCCAUUCAGUUGUGAAUUCUUACCUGUACGUCCGUCAAUUAUGCCUCAAGUGGUGCUCAUCUCUCUGCCUCUUCAAGAUUCAUUUCUAGUAGAAUAAGUGGUAUGCUAAAUCCGUUGCUUGUCAUCAAUUAAUCUUGAUGAAGGAUAAGCAUAAUAUAAUUCUUAUUCUUGUUCUUCCUUCUUCCAAGAGAUUUCAAUUCUUCUUCCGGAGUGGCUCAUGAUAUCAAUUCUUUUCUCAAGUGCCUAUCUUUCUUUUCCGGAGUUCCAAGUUUUUUUUAGUAUCUCUUUGUGAGGCUUCAUCUAAAUCCUGGCAAGGUCAUAAUCUUAUUCUUUUCUACCGUGAUAUCUUUGCAUCAUUCAUUCGUAUACGGUGGUCCUUCAUGGUGGUUCAUCAAGGUUUCAAUCCAUUCUCAAGUGUUCUUCAAGAUUCCUGUUGGAGUACCUCAAGUAUCCUUCCUCUUGCAUUUAUAUGUGGAGUUGUUCUUCCUUUAUCCUUUGAGGUGGUAUUAUAGCAUUCUUGUUAGUGUAGGAGUCUCGAAGAGAUUUUCUUUCAGGAAUGAGAUAAUUAAACCCACCAAUUCUAUGAUCAUGAGAUAUUUUCAACCCAUGAUUCCUUGAUUGAGCUAUCUUGGUUUCGAUUUCACCUAAAGCUUUUCCUAUGGUUUUUUGCAAUCAUGGUGCUUGUCAUUAAUCCAAGUUCUCUAUGUAUCCUCUUGGUGUAAGAUUUGUUCAUAUCUUUGCUUUCAUCUAUCCUUGGUUCUUGUACUGGUUGGUUGUCACCUCAUAGAUGUUGAGAUGAUUUUCAUAAGCCCACUACUAUCUUAUUCUUUUCAUUGUUGUUUUUCCAACAACUCCGUUCAGUUCUUCUUGCAAGAAUGCUUGCUAAGUUCAUUGGAGUUACUAGUUGUCAUUCUCUCUUCAUUCUCUUCUUCCGUAUGAGUUAGUUCCUAUUCUAUUGUUCUGGAGGCAUUGUGUUGUUGCUCUUUUGGGUCUAUUAUGUUGUUCUAUCAAGAUCUUGGUGUACCCUUGCUCUAUUUACUUGUUGGUUGUGAAUAUUGUCUAUUUCUUCCACGUUUUCCAAUUUUUUGUCCCAUUUUCCUACCGAAGUGCUGCCGAAAUUUUCCGUGAAUUCUUGCUUCUUUCUGAUAUCAUUCCUCAUCGCUUUGCAACCUUCAAGGAUCGUUGGUUUCACUCGUUUGUCAAAGAAGCGACUAAGUUUUACCUCUUGUUUUCUCAUCCUCUCCCCCUUUCUUUCUUGGAUCUCGGGGCGAGCCUCUUGUAGUGUAGGAGAGUUGUGACAGCCCGAUGCCGACGUUCCAGAAGAUUCCCCUUUUCUUUCCGUUUUCGUCGUGUGUCUAUAUUCUUUUGUCGCAUCAUCAUCGCAUCAUGCGCAUCAUCUGCAUUGCAUUGACAUUUUCGUUGCCGCCAGUUUUCAAAAACUUGCAUACGCUAGUAGUUGACGGUUCUCAUCGUUGUCCGUUCUAAGUCCGACCGCACACGCACACGCCCGCGGCACCGUCGAACCUUGUUUUAAAUAGUGUGCGUAAAAAUUUCUCUGAUCGGGUUGAGAUUUGACGUGCGGUCUUAUUUUAAUAUAACUAGGCCGCCUGUCGAAUUUCGUCGCGAUCGGAGUCCGUCUCGUACCCGAACAGUCGACCGUAGCGGCACCGUAUUCGGUCUACCAUGAGAUGUUUUUCGGUGUUUUAAAAUCGCGUUGCCACGUCGCCCGUUUUCCCUCUCGUCUCCGGAUAUCCCCUCUACACGGCCGCGUACCAAUUCCCGCGUUCGGAAUCAUCCGAAUCCAACCGCACGGUUGGAUCCGGAACGAAAUUCCGGGUAACCUAGCCCCCUCAUAUGUCUAUAAAUACCCCCCGGUGCAUUUUAGACAGCCCCCUCACCCCGUGUGCCUCGAAAUCCGUGCAGCCCCGAAACCCUAACCCUCAGCCUCUCUUCCUCCUCCAGCCACCAGCCCAUGGGGCCCGAUCUGAGCCCGCCCGAGCCCAUCUGGGCCCGGCCAAGACCAUCUGGGCUUGGCCAAGCCCAUCCCGCCGCCACCUUUCCCGAAGAGCCCGAGCUCCUGCCCCGAGCUCGACCGGAGCCGUCCUGCGCUCGCGAGCCCCGCCUUCCAGCCACCUCAUGUGCCUCACCGCGCUUCCCCGUCGAGCCGCCGCCUCCUUCCAUCGCGUGCCCGGAUGGCCAGCCCCUGUCGUCGCCGGAGGCCGCCACGCAGACCGGAGCUCCGGCCACCUCUAGCAGUUCUAUCGUCUUCCCGAGCCAUGUCGACCCGAGGGCCGGCCGCAAGCCGAGCCGCCGUCGCCUAGCAGGCUGCCUCGUGCCCUGCCCGCUCCCAUCGGACGCCCAUGCACCUGCCGGAGCCGCCAGCCGCGCCAACUGCCAGAUCCACGCCGCCAUGUCCCGAGAUCGACGAGGAGCAGCAACCGCUCCAGCGCUGCCCCGUGGGCCCCGCGCCGGCCCAGCAUCCGCCCCGCAGAGGCCCAGCUCGGUCAGCCAGGCCGAGGCCUCCACCCCUGAUGCACCAGGCCAGCCCGAAGGCCUCUGGUGAGACCCCUCUCCCCAGCCUAUUUUUUUUGCCCUGUGCAUAAUUUUGUUAGGAUGCGCCUGGUAGGCCCAAUAGGUAAUUUAGGNNNNNNNNNNNNNNNNNNNNNNNNNNNNNNNNNNNNNNNNNNNNNNNNNNNNNNNNNNNNNNNNNNNNNNNNNNNNNNNNNNNNNNNNNNNNNNNNNNNNCCAAACCGAGUUGGACUUGGUUUGGUGGGAGGAGUCCCCCUCCCUUCCCACUUCCUCCCUCUUUUUUUUCUUUUCCUUUGAUUUCCUUCUCUUGGCGCAUAGGCCCCCUUGGGGCUGUCCCACCAGCCCACUAAGGGCUGGUGUGUCUCCCCAAAGCCUAUGGGCUUCCCCGGGGUGGGUUGCCCCCCCCCCCCCCCCGGUGAACUCCCGGAACCCAUUCGUCAUUCCCGGUACAUUCCCGGUAACUCCGAAAACCUUCCGGUAAUCAAAUGAAGUCAUCCUAUAUAUCAAUCUUCGUUUCCGGACCAUUCCGGAAACCCUCGUGACGUCCGUGAUCUCAUCCGGGACUCCGAACAACAUUCGGUAACCAACCAUAUAACUCAAAUACGCAUAAAACAACGUCGAACCUUAAGUGUGCAGACCCUGCGGGUUCGAGAACUAUGUAGACAUGACCCGAGAGACUCCUCGGUCAAUAUCCAAUAGCGGGACCUGGAUGCCCAUAUUGGAUCUUACAUAUUCUACGAAGAUCUUAUCGUUUGAACCUCAGUGCCAAGGAUUCAUAUAAUCCCGUAUGUCAUUCCUUUUGUCCUUCGGUAUGUNNNNNNNNNNNNNNNNNNNNNNNNNNNNNNNNNNNNNNNNNNNNNNNNNNNNNNNNNNNNNNNNNNNNNNNNNNNNNNNNNNNNNNNNNNNNNNNNNNNNCCAAACCGAGUUGGACUAGGUUUGGUGGGAGGGAGUCCUCCUCCCUUCCCACCUCCCCCCUCUUUUUUUUUCUUUUCCUUUGAUUUCUUAUCCUUGGCGCAUAGGCCCCUUUUGGGCUGUCCCACCAGCCCACUAAGGGCUGGUGCGCCACCCCCAUGGCCUAUGGGCUUCCCCGGGGUGGGUUGCCCCCCCCCCCCCCCCGGUGAACUCCCGGAACCCAUUCGUCAUUCCCGGUACAUUCCCGGUAACUCCGAAAACCUUCCGGUAAUCAAAUGAGGUCAUCCUAUAUAUCAAUCUUCGUUUUCGGACCAUUUCGGAAACCCUCGUGACGUCCAUGAUCUCAUCCGGGACUCCGAACAACAUUCGGUAACCAACCAUAUAACUCAAAUACACAUAAAACAACGUCGAACCUUAAGUGUGCAGACCCUGCGGGUUCGAGAACUAUGUAGACAUGACCCGAGAGACUCCUUCGUCAAUAUCCAAUAGCGGGACCUAGAUGCCCAUAUUGGAUCCUACAUAUUCUACGAAGAUCUUAUCGUUUGAACCUCAGUGCCAAGGAUUCGUAUAAUCCCGUAUGUCANNNNNNNNNNNNNNNNNNNNNNNNNNNNNNNNNNNNNNNNNNNNNNNNNNNNNNNNNNNNNNNNNNNNNNNNNNNNNNNNNNNNNNNNNNNNNNNNNNNNCGGAGGCUCGUCGCGGCUUCGUCGGAGCUGAAGUGGCACCCACUGAUCCGUAGCAGCGGUCGUCGAAGGCUCGUCACGGCGUCGCACGAGUUGUAGUGGCACCCGCCGAUCCGCAACAGCGGUAUUGGAAGCUGCAGUGGCACCCGCUGAUCUGUAGCAGCGGUCGCGGGAGCUGAAGUGCCACCCGCUGAUCCGUAGNNNNNNNNNNNNNNNNNNNNNNNNNNNNNNNNNNNNNNNNNNNNNNNNNNNNNNNNNNNNNNNNNNNNNNNNNNNNNNNNNNNNNNNNNNNNNNNNNNNNNNNNNNNNNNNNNNNNNNNNNNNNNNNNNNNNNNNNNNNNNNNNNNNNNNNNNNNNNNNNNNNNNNNNNNNNNNNNNNNNNNNNNNNNNNNNNNNNNNNNNNNNNNNNNNNNNNNNNNNNNNNNNNNNNNNNNNNNNNNNNNNNNNNNNNNNNNNNNNNNNNNNNNNNNNNNNNAUCCAUAGCAGCGGUCGCCGGAGGCUCGUCGCGACGUCGUAGGAGCUGCAGUGGCACCCACUGAUCCGUAGCAGCGGUCUCCGAUGGCCCAUCGCGGCGUCGCAGGAGCUGUAGUGGCACCCGCUGAUCCGCAGCAGCGGUAUUCGGAGCUGAAGUGGCACCCGCUGAUCCGCAGCAGCGGAUGCCGUAGGCUUGUCGCGGCGUCGUCGGAGCUGUAGUGGCACCCGCUGCUCNNNNNNNNNNNNNNNNNNNNNNNNNNNNNNNNNNNNNNNNNNNNNNNNNNNNNNNNNNNNNNNNNNNNNNNNNNNNNNNNNNNNNNNNNNNNNNNNNNNNNNNNNNNNNNNNNNNNNNNNNNNNNNNNNNNNNNNNNNNNNNNNNNNNNNNNNNNNNNNNNNNNNNNNNNNNNNNNNNNNNNNNNNNNNNNNNNNNNNNNNNNNNNNNNNNNNNNNNNNNNNNNNNNNNNNNNNNNNNNNNNNNNNNNNNNNNNNNNNNNNNNNNNNNNNNNNNNNNNNNNNNNNNNNNNNNNNNNNNNNNNNNNNNNNNNNNNNNNNNNNNNNNNNNNNNNNNNNNNNNNNNNNNNNNNNNNNNNNNNNNNNNNNNNNNNNNNNNNNNNNNNNNNNNNNNNNNNNNNNNNNNNNNNNNNNNNNNNNNNNNNNNNNNNNNNNNNNNNNNNNNNNNNNNNNNNNNNNNNNNNNNAGGCUCGUCGCGGCUUCAUUGGAGCUGAAGUGGCACCCACUGAUCCGUAGCAGCGGUCGUCGAAGGCUCGUCGCGGCGUUGCCGGAGCUGCAGUGGCACCUACUGAUCCGUAGCAGUGGUCGUCGGCGUCUCGUCGCGGCGUCGCAGGAGCUGUAGUGGCACCCGCUGAUCCGCAACAGCGGUAUUCGGAGCUGCAGUGGCACCCNNNNNNNNNNNNNNNNNNNNNNNNNNNNNNNNNNNNNNNNNNNNNNNNNNNNNNNNNNNNNNNNNNNNNNNNNNNNNNNNNNNNNNNNNNNNNNNNNNNNUUUUGCUGCCCUCCUUAGUCUUUUCUUGAUUCCGCGGUAUUGUUGGAUUGAAGCGGCUUGGACCGACAUUACUCGUACGCUUACGAGAGACUGGUUUCAUCGUUACGAGUAACCCCCUUUGCUCAAAGAUGACUGGCAAGUGACGGUUUCUCCAACUUUAGUUGAAUCGGAUUUGACCGAGGAGGUCCUUGGAUGAGGUUAAAUAGCAACUCAUAUAUCUCCGUUGUGGUGUUUGCGUAAGUAAGAUGCGAUCCUACUAGAUACCCUUGGUCACCACGUAAAACAUGCAACAACAAAAUUAGAGGACGUCUAACUUGUUUUUGCAGGGUAUGAUUGUGAUGUGAUAUGGCCAACGAUGUGAUGUGAUAUAUUGGAUGUAUGAGAUGAUCAUGUUGUAAUAGAAAUAUCGACUUGCACGUCGAUGGUACGGCAACCGGCAGGAGCCAUAGGGUUGUCUUUAUACUAACAUAUGUGCUUGNNNNNNNNNNNNNNNNNNNNNNNNNNNNNNNNNNNNNNNNNNNNNNNNNNNNNNNNNNNNNNNNNNNNNNNNNNNNNNNNNNNNNNNNNNNNNNNNNNNNNNNNNNNNNNNNNNNNNNNNNNNNNNNNNNNNNNNNNNNNNNNNNNNNNNNNNNNNNNNNNNNNNNNNNNNNNNNNNNNNNNNNNNNNNNNNNNNNNNNNNNNNNNNNNNNNNNNNNNNNNNNNNNNNNNNNNNNNNNNNNNNNNNNNNNNNNNNNNNNNNNNNNNNNNNNNNNNNNNNNNNNNNNNNNNNNNNNNNNNNNNNNNNNNNNNNNNNNNGAUGAUGGCCAUAUCAUGUCACUUAUGAAUUGCAUGUGAUGUUAAUCCUUUUAUGCACCUUAUUUUGCUUAGAACGACGGUAGCAUUAUGAGGUGAUCUCUCACUAAAAUUUCAAGACGAAAUUGUGUUCUCCCCGACUGUGCACCGUUGCUACAGUUCGUCGUUUCGAGACACCACGUGAUGAUCGGGUGUGAUAGACUCAACGUUCACAUACAACGGGUGCAAAACAGUUGCGCACGCGGAACACUCGGGUUAAGCUUGACGAGCCUAGCAUGUGCAGACAUGGCCUCGGAACACAUGAGACCGAAAGGUCGAUCAUGAAUCAUAUAGUUGAUAUGAUUAGCAUAGAGAUGCUUACCACUGAAACUAUACUCAACUCACGUGAUGAUCGGACUUGGGAUAGUGUAAGUGGAUCAUGAACCACUCAAAUGACUAGAGAGAUGUACUUUUUGAGUGGGAGUUUAGCAUAUAAUUUGAUUAANNNNNNNNNNNNNNNNNNNNNNNNNNNNNNNNNNNNNNNNNNNNNNNNNNNNNNNNNNNNNNNNNNNNNNNNNNNNNNNNNNNNNNNNNNNNNNNNNNNNCAGCUCCGACGACGCCGUGACGAGCCUCCGGCGACCGCUACUACGGAUCUGCGGGUGCCACUGCAACUCCGGAUACCGCUGCUGCGGAUCAGUGGGUGCCACUACAGCUCCUGCGACGCCGCGACGAGCCACCGGUGACCGCUGCUACGGAUCAACGGGUGCCACUGCAGCUCCGACGACGACGCGAUGAGCCUUCGGCGAGCGCUGCUACUGAUCAGCGGGUGCCGUUGCAGCUCCCCCGACGAUGCGACGAGCCUUCGGCGACCGUUGCUACUGAUCAACGGGUGUCACUGCAGCUCCGGCGACGCCGCGACGAGCCACCGACGACCGCUGCUACGGAUCAGCGGGUGCCACGAGCCGCCGCCGACCGCUGCUACGAAUCAGCGGGUGCCACUGUAGCUCCGGCGAUGCCGCGAUGAGCCGCUGACGACCGCUGCUACGGAUCAGUGCUACCUCUUGAGCUUGUGUUGGUUUUUCCCUUGAAGAGGAAAGGGUGAUGCAGCACAGUAGCAGUAAGUAUUUCCCUCAGGUAUCAAUCCAGUAGGAGUAUCAAGACAAGUCACCAAUGUACCUGCGCAAAAGCAAACAAACUUGCACCCUACGUUAUAAAGGGAUUGUCAAUCCCUUCACGAUUAUUUGCAAGGUGAGAUCUGAAGGUGGAAAGUGCAACAAAGUAAAAGUGUAGAGCUGAAAAUAUGAUGUGAAGUAGACCCGGGGGCCAUAGUAUUCACUAGAGGCUUCUCUCAUGAUAGCAAGUAUUACGGUGGGUGAACGAAUUACUGUCGAGAAAUUGAUAGAAUCGCGCAAAGUCAUGAUGAUAUCUAAGGCAAUGAUCAUACAUAUAGACAUCACGUCCGAGACAAGUAGACCGAUACUUUCUGCAUCUACUACUAUUACUCCACACAUCGACCGCUAUCCAGCAUGCAUCUAGUGUAUUAAGUUCAGAACAAACGGAGUAACGCCUUAAGCAAGAUGACAUGAUGUAGAGGGAUAAAUUCAUGCAAUAUGAUAUAAACCCCAUCUUUUUACCCUUGAUGGCAACAACACGAUGCGUGCCUCGAUACCCCUUCUGUCACUCGAUGAGGACACCGCACGGUAUGAACACAAAACCAAGCACUUCUCCCAUUGCAAGAAUUAUAGAUCAAGUUGGCCAAACGAAACCCACAACUCGAAGAGAAUUACAAGGAUACGAAAUCAUGCAUAUAAGAGAUCAGAGGAGACUCAAAUAAUAUCCAUAGAUAAUCUAAUCAUAAAUCCACAAUUCAUCGGAUCUCGAUAAACACACCGCAAAAGAAAGUUACAUCGGAUAGAUCUCCAUGAAGAUCAUGGAGAACUUUGUAUUGAAGAUCCAAGAGAGAGAAGAAGCCAUCUAGCUACUAGCUAUGGACCCGAAGGUUUGUGGUGAACUGCCACCGGUGCAGUUUAUAGCAAAUGGUCAUACAUACAACUAUGGUUACUAUCUUGUGGAUGGCAUCUACCCAAAGUGGCAAACAUUUAUGAAGCCGUUGAAAAAACUGGAAGGUAAGAAAAAUCUUGAUUUUCACAAUGCUCACGCGGCGGCUAGGAAAGAUGUUGAGAGAGGUUUUGAGAUUUUCCAAGCCCAAUUUGCUAUUGUGAGAGGACCGGCUAGAUUUUAGGAUCAAAAGAUCCUUUGAUACAUCAUGCACGCUUGUGUGAUUAUGCAUAACUUGAUCAUUGAGAAUGGGUAUGGCCAAGAUUUAGACUACUUUCAGUAUGAGCUCUUGGGACAUCCCGUGCGAGUGCGGUGGAGGGCUGCGAGGGUCGCCCAGUUUGUUACCUUCUAUCAUGACAUUCGACGUAGCGAAACACAUGAUGAUCUUCAGAAGGAUCUCAUUAAGGAGUGAUGGGUAUGGAAUGGACGACAAAACACAUGAUGAUUUCUUGUCUUGAAAGAUAAACUAUUUAUCUGUGUUUUAAUAAAAUUAGACUAUUUAUUGUUGAUUAUUUUUAUUUGUUUGACCUUCUUGGUUUUAUUUAGAGUGUAUAUGUUGUUUAUGCUGUUCCCGCGCCGUUUAUUUAUAGCGCCUGUUGGAGCGGCUCGCGCGCCGCUCGGGUGCGCGUAAAAACCGACUAUUUCAAAGCUCUACACGCGGCUGUUGGAGUCUAACUGGCGGGUGACUGCCAAUUAGCAUCGCCAGACCAGGAGCUUAACCUUCUCUUAUCAACAGAUAAAAAAGGAACUAGAUCAUCUAUCAGCUGGCAAAAACCGUGCGUAAUUCUCAGUCAAUCCCCCUUUGUGGCCAGUAUGGCACGCUGAACAUUUUCCGAAUAAAUAUAUAUACCUCGAAAAUAUAUACAAAUCUUGGACUGAGUUUAUGCACAAAUUCAAAUCCUAGAAAUUCCCACUUGUCUGCACACAGAGAGAUCAUAUUGUCUAUCAACAACUGCUAUUCUCCCUGGCUCGAAGUUGGAAAUUCAGAAGUGCCUUUUUUUGUGAAAUUCGGUAGAAUAUUUUUCCUUCAACUUCUCCGGUGUACACCUUGGAGAGAUCAAGCAAAAUCAGAGGCUACAUACUUGACUACACUGUGAUUUUGCCUUCCGCUGUACAAACGAAACUCGAUUUGUAGCGAGGUUUCAUCACUCUGCAGAACAUACAGCAUGAAUCUUAGGCAAGCCCUACCAGUUCAAAUAGCAUCCUCCAUCACACAAUCCUUUACUAACCUUGCUAUGUCUUAUGCUCCAGCAGACUAUCCCAGCGGCUUUUGAGGAUCUCGUAAGCGUCUGGACAGGGAAGAGCUAUUACAGAGGAGGAGCUGCCGUUAGUUGACAGCUCGACCACCAGACCCAACCGCAGCAGCGUCUCCAUAGCUUUGUCGAUAGGCAUUUCAAUCUACAAGGACAUAAGAACCACACUUAAUGAUUUCAUGACAACCGGAGAAUACAUGGAUAGAAGGUGUCGACUCCCCACCUUCGCAUUAAAUUUCUCAUACAUAAACUGCUCGCACAUAUCUCUGAUGCUUGCGCGAGAAGACACCUGCACGGAUUUAAUCAGCCAAGGAUUCUGUAAAUUAAAUGUGACAAAUCUUGAGUACUAAAAGCAGCAAGACAUACCUGAUACUUAUUUCUGCCGAGUAACAUAGCAUAUGCCAAGAGUGCUUCCUUAUACUGUACAAAAAGAGAUGGCGAGGAAGUUUCCAGACUCAACUGAGUGAAAUGCGCCAAAAUUUAUGGUUUUGACUGUGCACUGAACGUGUUACCUGCUGUUGCUCCGAUGCAUCUAGAAGAAAGUAAACUGAACCAAAGCCACUUGCUAACGUCUUCUCAUAAAGGGUCUUAUUGACCAGAAGCUGGAGAGGGGAUAUUGAUGUCAAAUAAACUAUCCUCUGUCGUACUGAAAAGUACUUGAAAUCUAUAUCUACCGCACUUCGGAAACUGAACUAUAUAAAGAAUUUCAUCAUCAUGCAAAUAUAGAGAAACAUAAAUAAUCUACCUGGUAUCUAUCCCUGGUCUGUUUGUAGCCGAGCGUCACACGGAACACGAGUAUUGCAAGAGCAGUAAAAGCAGCUAGAUCAAGAAGGAAGGCUGACCUGCAUUACAUACCAUGGAAGAAAUGCAAACAAUGUUACUUUGUUUUGUGAAAAUAAGAAAGUAUUCCCUAAUAUUACUGAUGCAAAUUACAUACUUACGGCGAUGAGGCUAAACUCUCAAAUUUGUAGUUGACAACAUAUGCCAACAAUCCUAUUACUGUAGCUAUAUCCAGCCUUACCUGUAUUUUUGAAGGAAAACAGUAUCAACACACCAAAACCCAGGAAGAAGAAAAGAGAAAGAAAAAGAGUUCAAGAGGGAAUUACUGUAUCAAGGAUGCGGAAGGAUAACUUUUUGUGAGGAAAAACCACCUGCAGACAAGGUUCAUAUGGUAGUUACUUACUAUGGUAUUUGGCAAUAUUCUCUUAAUGCAGAAGAUAUGCAUCUCUCUUGUGUUUUACGAAACAGAAAGUACUAUGAUGCUAAAUAUAUUCUGAAAAGUGCAUAGGCUUUUGGAUGCAACUUCGGUAUUGAAAUAUGCAUCGAAAUUUUUUGGCCAAUUUUUUCAUCUUAAUAACCAUAGUAGAUAGGGAUUAUGAGCAAUGUAUUGCAGAUGUAGGUAAACCAAAUGCGUCCAUGAGACUGAUGCACUUACUGGCAAAUCUGGGAUGGGUAUUUUCUGGUAAAUUUUCAACUGCGGCGGCAGCAUCUGCAUCUCAGAGCUCUCCUUCUCAUUACUUUGAGCAGAAUCAUCAGAAUAAAGUAUGAUGAGUUCUUCAAAUGCUGGUUCCUGGCAAAUAACAUAAUGGAAUUAUGUAUCUUCUUUGUAUACUAUUUUGGAUAAAGUAGCACUACUGUAGCUUAUGAGCAUCCAUAGUAACCAGAAAAAUAAUAACAGAUAAUCAUCUGAAUAUUGUUAGUUUCCUGUAAAAUCAAAAUAUGUCUCGGGUAAUUUGGGCAAAGGUUUUGUCCAUCAUAUGUUUGUUACAAUUAUAUUGUUUCUUAUGCUUCACUAUCCAAGGUGUUUAAUGUCCGUAUAUAUGUAAGACUACAGAGUGCACACCAGUUCUAUAUAAUAAUGCUCAACCAUUUCACACAAACUACUUUACCCUCUCUUUUCAGUUUCGCACAACAUGGCGAAUACUUCACAAUCAUAAAUGGACAUUUAUAUUCAUCACCUACUGAUAAGAAAGGUGUGUUAAAAAAUCAAAUCCCAGCAUACCUGCAGAGUAGACUGGGCAAAUAGAAUGCCAAAAGAAGCUUUCACUAUCUCCCAAACAUUGUUGUCACAAGAUUCUCUGCUUGCUGGCUCCCAUAUAUUUGCAAGCGUAAUUCUAGGCAGAAAAUUUGGCCUGAAGAGAAAGCAGAAUAUACUUCUUAAAUUCACCUAUAUUCAAUGAUCAAGUAUGGAAGUAAGCAGAACAAAUUAACAAGUGAAACACUAUUCAUAUAUACUAAGCAAUAAUUUUAAUAGAGAUAUAACGAACUUCUUUCAAGGAUUAUAUUUAAAAAAUGAUAAAUAAGGGCGACAGCAGUACUUAUGGAAUGCUGAUGAGUUGCAAGGAUGUACGCAAAGAAAAAUGAGAAUGUGGAAUAGGCUUCGAAGAAUGUGCAAGUUUGCGGUAAGCACAUGGUUAAGGCAUUCUCAGUGAAACCAUGGGCUAUUACUAGCGUGGAAACAGAUUGCCAAAGAUGAUGUAAAAGUUAGAUGUGCCCCUAAAAUAGCAUAUGGAAACCAGCAUCUACUCGGAAUCUAACCUCACAUAGCCUUCAGAUUGUUUUGUUUCAGUAUCAGAUUUCAGCGUUGCUUCUGGCAAAGAUGGAAUUAAUCCUGUCCAUGUAAGCACUCUCCUUAGGAGUCUGCCGCGAGGGCCGACAGGUGACAGAAAUCCUUCAUAACGCGAGACUGCCCUUUGUGCAGCAAUCCAAAUAGGAAGGUCUGCAUCUGGUAAUUGAUCUGGCGUAAGUUUGCCCCUAGAAUAGUUUUCUAUCAACAGCAGUGAAUUCUCUGCAUAAGUUUGCUCUUUCAGCCAGAGCUUCAAUUUGUCAAUCCAGAUCUGAAAUCCCGGGCUCCCUGUUGAUUUUUUCAAAGCCUGGCAUGAACUAAAAUAAUCACAUACAAUUAGCUAAGAGUGGUAUAGGCAUGCUGAACCAUAGAAGUAACAGGUCUAGCACUCAUUAUGAGCUCAGACAAGAGAAUAUAGUGUGAAUAUCAGCGCAUUCGGCGUUUCCUAGUCAUGUAGGAAACUUCACUACACAAAUUACCACUAUACGUUUAUGCUAGCCUAACUUGAAUAUUCUUGACAGUUCAGUUCAUAACAAUCUAAGAGAGUACAUGUAUAAGUGAGUUCAGUCAGAGACAGAGCGUGACUAAACGAGGUACGUCGGAAUGCGAUUAAAUUUGAGGUGAUCAAGACAUAAUAAAUGUGCUCAAAUGGACUGUCAUGAGGGGACUGACCUCAUUGGUCCAUUUCCCCAGUUUCCCCAAGGGUUUGGAAAGGCUGAAGAAAAUUUUCUGCAACAACUUGGACUGUAGGUAAUCAAGUUUUUCUACCAGUAGUAGGCCUUUCUGGCUCUCGGUUGAGUACCCACGCCUGCCAAGGUCAAGAGUUAGUUGUAUCUGCGGCCAUAUGGGCAGUAGAUAAUCCAGGACCAAACUAAAAACUCACCGGAAUAUGAUGGCGUUAGACUCGGCUGCCUUUUUCCAAUCGACGUAAACCGGCAGCGUCAGGAGGUAAUCGCUGUUGAGGGAGUAUGUGAGGAGCAGGUCCUGUGCGGAGAGCUCCUCAAACUGAGCGUUGCGCAGGAGGCUCAUGAAGGCGCGCUGGAAAUGAGUCGCAAAUGCAACCCUUUUUGUUAUCAUCACACAAGCGAUGGACCAUGGUUAGCUAAGCUAGCUAGUAGCAGUUGUACCAAUUUCAAUUGGUUGGCCAAAAGAGAAUCAGACUGGGUUUCACUACCUGGUUGGAGAAACAGGGGCGGGGCCCGGGGAUAGGCCGAGCAGAGUCUUCCAGUCCAGGCUUCUGGACAGAAAUGACAUCCUGCCGUCGUCGUCGUCGCCGUCCUGGGACAUGCCAAAGAGCCCGGAGCCCCUGCCGUUCACUGUCGGCUGGGCACCGCCGGAGGCCGCUGAGGAGGUCUGGCCUUGAGCCUGCUCGUCCUCGUCGUCCCGGAGCAUGUAGUAGGCGCGCAUCUGCUCGAGCGUCUCCUUGUGCUCCGCGUGCAGGACCGCGUCCAAGCACCUGCAGCGCACGACCAAGAUUGCGUGAGUUUCCCCAUUCCGUACCUGCCGAUUCCAGAAUCGUAUCAUGUGGAGGUAGAGGGGGAAGGUGCUGGCCUCGCGAAUCUCCUGAAGUCCUCGGCGGCGGCGGGCUGGGCGGGGAAGAGGGAGAGGGCGGCGUCGAGCAGCGCCGCCUUGGGGACGGCGAUGUAGCGCUGGCGCGGCACGUUGAUGCCGCCCUUCUUCCCCUCCUGGUCGUCCUCCUCCUUCCCGCCGUGCUCCUUCUGCGGCUGCGGCUUCGUCUGGUAUUGAUCCUCGCCGUCGGCGGUGGCCGGGCCGGCCUGGAAGAAGUCGGGGUCGGGGUCGGCGUCGGCGUCGGCGUCGGCGCGGAGGGGCUCGAACUGGACCGGCGAGAGGUUGCCGACGGAGCAGCGGGCCGCAGGGGAGAAAGAGGACCUGUUGGUAGCGUAGGCCGGCGUCGUCGCGGCGAAGAAGGAGGAGAUCGGGACGGCGCUGGCUGCCGCCGGCGCCGGGCUGGCGCGUAGCAGAAGCAUGGUCGUCUCGUGGGUCGCGCGCGAAGGGAAAGGAACGGAACGGGUGGCGCGGCAAGGAUAACGCCCCCGCGGUGGCGCGGCCCGCCACGUGGGGCAAUUCCUCCUGCUGGGCCUCGGCCCGUGGGCCCAUCGCAUCCGCACGAAAGGCCCGAGUCCAGGGGCACGAUCCACUGAGUCCACACCCACAUCCGCCUCCUCCUCCUCCCCUGCUCUGGUGAUCUGCGCUGCUCCGGUGGUCUUCGCCGCCACGGUAUGCGCCCCUUCCCCUUCUCCUCGACUGCUCCGUGCCCCUGCCGUCCCGUCCCCUCCCCGCUUCCUCCUCACCUCAACCAGCCGCGCCGCACUCUCAACCCUGCCACGGUCGCCGGUUUCGUCUCCGGCGCGGUGGCCGCGCGCUCCUCUCCUUGCCCCUCGCCGCCGUAUGCGGUCGCCGGAACCUACAAGAACUAGAGCACAGGGCCCGCUGCCCUCGGCCAAGGCGCCGACCGGAUCUGUAGCUACCUCCUCUGCUCCUGCUAUGUGCACUGCAUUACCGCAACCGAUUGCUAGUGACUACUCUAUAAACGAGUCCAGAAUUAGCCCAUUUCCCUUACUGAUUACACACUUCGCUCGCUCGCUUGCUGUAACAUUGCCAUCACCACGGACAACACUGCCAAUUCUAGAAUCAGACCGCACAGUUUCCAGUACAGCGUACAUCUCUAAUUUGGUUGCAAUGUCGGCUAACUGAACCAAGCUUCAGGAUCUCAAAUAGAGCCCCACAUUUUCACACGUUCCACAGCACAACUUUUAUUCAGGCCAGUGCUACAUAUUACACUCAUACCCUGUUAUAGGUGAAUCAUAUCUUUUCUUAGACUGUUAGGCCAAACACAAUCAGGCUGUAUGCUUUGCUUGCCCGUUUACUUUGCCAGUACCUGUCCGGCUGUUCCUUUUACCAAUCCUGUCAUGCAUACAUCUGGCGUAACGAUGGUCUGCAUUUCCUCUUUGCUGCAGUGUCUUAUACACGCCUGGAGCGGAACUCAUGAGCGGGGGCACCGCAGUUAGUGCCAGCCUGCGGACAGCCCUGUCGUACUGCGUCCAGCAGGUCCGGAGCUAUGACUACCACAACUACCUCUGCCUGCUCCACCUGCCGCCCGCGAUGCGCAAGGCCGCGUUCACCUUCCGGGCCUUCAACGUCGAGACGGCCAAGGCCAUGGACGUCGUCUCCGACCCCCGCAAGGGCCUCAUGCGCCUCCUCUGGUGGAAGGAUGUGGUCGACAAGGUCUACGCCAACAAGACGGUCGAGCACCCUGUCGCCCUCGCGCUCUCCUCGCUCCUCUCCGAGCAGAAGGUCAGCAAGCACUGGCUCAAGCGGUCGCUGGAGGCAAGGAUAAACGACGGGAACCGGGACGACGACGCCAUUCCUGAGAACAUCCCGGAGCUGGAGAGGUACGCGGAGGACACCCAGUCGACCAUCCUGUACAUGACGCUGCAGGCUGGUGGGAUACAGUCCACUAUUGCUGAUCAUGCCGCCUCGCACAUCGGUAAGGCCAGUGGGCUGCUGCUGCUGCUCAAGGCGCUGCCUCACCAUGUGAGCAAGCAAGGGAAGAUACCGUACAUCCCGGCCAGUGUGGCCGAGGAGUGCGGGCUGCUUGCACGGGAGGGUGGCCGGACAGAGGUCAGGAUGGGCGAUGCGCUCCCGGAUGCAGUUUUCAAGGUUGCGUCUGUUGCCGAAGCUCACCUGCAGAAGGCACGGGAGCUGGCAGCGUCUGUGCCAGCAGAGGCGGUUCCCGUGCUCCUUCCAGCCGUGCCGGCCCAGGUCCUUCUGGACUCCCUGAGGCGCCGAGAAUUCAACGUCUUCGACUCGCGCUUGUCUAGUGGAGUCCAUGGCAUAUCCCCUCUGUGGUACCAGCUAAAGCUAAACUGGCAUGCGUGGCGAAACAAGUACUGAAUUCAUCCAUACUGUGCGAACCGUGUUUGUUGAAAGCGCAGGUCAGCGUGCGUUUUAGCUCAGACUGAACCCAGGGUAUCCAUUUACUGGAAUGUAAUAAGCUUGAUAAUGAAGAAAGGCUCUGCUGCCUGCUCCAACUGGCUGUUUCUGAGCAAUUUUGAUAAUUGAUAUAGCUUCCUUUUUCAUUGGAUACAUGCAUUGUUGGGGGUUGUUUGUUUUGUUUGUAUUCGAGUAUAGACAUGAGGUGGAUGAAUGUUAUCUGUUGCAUUUGUCCUUUCAGUUGUUGCUUGUCCAGACUGUUCCAAUACAAGGGGGGGUCGAUGGAUCAUCUGGAUGUGGGGCUUGAGUUGUUGCACUGCCAUAGUUCAAUAUUCAGUGACCUCUGUUUCAGGAAAAUAACCCAAGAGAGAAAGGGUUUGGCAUCUACACUGAGAUGAAUUGACAAGGAUAUGAAGCUGAUACUUUAACUCCAUUUGUGCAAGCUUCAGAUGUGUGGAGCCCACUAUGAAGGCAUAAGGCAGAAGUCAUGAUCACCUUCAUUUUGAUCUCGGGUUUUCAGGUAAUGAAGAUAUGCGUGGCUAAGGAUCUACUCAUAUGUCUUGAUUGCCGUAUUGGUACUGUGAAUUCUGUUAUAAGAUAAUCAGGCUGGCUAACAUUUUUUAGCAUAUUAAAUACUGGUUGCUAAUGAUUUGGUAUAGAAAAUUGUUGCAAGCAAUGUACAUACAUAAAGAAAACAAGUUCCUCAUUGUACCAAAAACUAGUGCCUAUCUCAGCUUCAUAUUUGGCUUUCGGCAACUGUUUUUUUUUUUUUGACUUCCUUAUGUUAGUCACAGUUAGGUAGGGUGGCACAUCGUGCUUUCUUUCUAUGUUUUUUCUGUUUACAUGUUAUUAUACUCCAAGAGGAAAGAAACCUAAAUAGAAGCAAGUUUGGCUCGUGGUCUGAUCAUGCUCCUUGCACUGUGCUUCAACUGUUGUUGGAUUCAUUGCUCCCCUGUUUUUCUUACUACUUCUUAUCCCUUCUCUGGUGACUGAAUUUUUACAGAUUGGUCCAAAGUCCAAAUUUGCAAUCAAUUAAUACUUUACUCUUGCUGCAAAAACCUUAACAUUGAUGUUUCAGCAGCUGCUUGACCUGCUGUUUAUUGCCUCCUUUUUAUGCAGCCUUUCUUGACGACAAAAGGAAUUCCCACCAUUAUUUACAUUGCAGCUUUUCGCUUCUUUUCAUGACCAGAACCGCUGUAAAGUUUGACAGUUAUAUUACCAGUCAACAGGAUAUGUCUUAAGAAACUUGGCAGAUAAGUGACCUGAGCAAAUUCUUGCAGUUCAUGAAUUUAGCUGCAACAAAACUCAGUUUUGCAAUGCUCGUGGGAUAUUAUAUUUUUUGCAGAAACUCUAAUUUUAACACGUCUAGUUCAGAAGAUGCUUCUUAAUUAUUUUAUUUGAUAUCUCUUGGCUAUAUUCUUCUUCUGAAGUUGAAAAGGCUAUGCAUUCUAGCUUUUGGCAUUUGGCAAGGCAACUGAAAUAAACAACUAGCUAUGCGACCACAUCUUAUUUGCCACUUUGAGGUUUGGAUAAGCUCAGCACUAUGCACGAGAAGUCAACAAAGUAAGUAGGCAAGUUGCAAACCUUGGGGUUUUAGGGACAAACACCUGUGCUCAAUGCUUAAAAGUAACUCAACAUAGCCCUUUUUCCAUUGGGACCUUCACCCCUGCUUUUAUUCUGGGUGUUUGGUCCCUGGUGGAGUAAACAGCAAUCACUGGAGGAAGAAGCAUUGUCCCCUUGCUUGCUGGUUGGCUCCACUCCACAUGCAUAUGCUUGCUUUGCCCCUGCCUUAGUAGUAGCAAUAGCAGUAUAUUAUUGCUUGCUUCUGGCUGGGCAAUGGCCUUCAUGUGUGGUUGGGUCUAUGCCCAGCUCAACUCAUGAGUAUACUGCAUUUGCUGCCUGGUCCUGGGUGCUGUAUGUAGGCAUGCCAUAGUAAUUUGAUUUCCUGGCAAGGAACAAAAGGCAAUUAUUGUUGCAUUUGCUGCCACUGUAGAUGGUAGCGGAGUGCGAUGUUCCCGAUCUCGGCAGCCUGGUUUCGACCUGGACGAAUCACUGAGAGAUUUUUCUUUACAUGGUAUUUCAGCCUGUGCUGUUUUGAAUUAACCCAUCCAUGAAUCUGAUCUGGCGUCAAAUUUCAGGUUAACUGACGAAGCUUUCAGAGACCCUGAUAAUAGCAAACAAUAAUUUUUGCAAUAAUAUAUUUUAUGUGCAAAUAUAUAUACCGUUUUGAUAUGCUGUACUCAAUAUUUUCCUGUAGUGUGUCACAUCAGGAAACACAUAGGAAAUGUGAUGUGUACUCACGCAGGCAUGCAGGGCUUGACAUCACCCAGGAAAAAGUAGAAAUGGAGUAUGCUUGCAGUCUGGUAGCUUCUUCCUUAAGCUUCGGUCAAAAGGUUAGGGGAACAUGUGCUCAUAAGCUCAAUCAUUGCACUAGGUUAUUAGCUUGGAGUUAGGACUAACCUAAGCUAAUGGCAUUUGGAAAGGAUCACCGGUAGUCCGUAGUUCUUCUUUGGCUUAGCUCGGUCCACAUGCCCCAUGUAGAGAACAGAUUGAGUUGAACUUUUUGUCUUCUCUGUUUUUUCUAAGUUGUAAUCUGUCGAUGAUUCUUGAACCAGACUUUCCAAUAUUUCAUUCAUUUUUGUUGUUCUGCAGAUGUAAACUACAGCUGUUUCGCCGCGACAAGUAAAAAUUAUGUGAAGCAAGCUGGACAAUAGCAAGGAGCGAAAAUGGCAUCUUGAUCUGAACUGGGUGGCCUGCCCUGUGGAUCUCAGUGCUUCAAUUAAUUACCGAGACAGGAGGAAUAAAACGGGGCGGUCUUGGCAAAUGGUGGAUCUGCCGCAUUCAUCAUUCCGUGAUACACAUGGGAUGAGCACAAUAAUGAUGUAAGUACCUGGAUCAUUUUAAUUCCCUUUCACUGCAAUUGCAUAUAGCUUCUCUAUUUGUUUUGCUUGGGAGCAAAAGGCCAUAUAUAUGUGCAUCAUUGUUGAGAUACUAUUAUAUUUUGCACGCGAGAGAUAUGCAGUGUGAAAACAGCAUAGUAGAAGCAAAGAUUAGUUAGGAAGAUCCGUAGAAUGGCUGCAUGCAUGAUGGGUCCUCACAUGAGAGCUUUCACGCAGGCAUCAUUUUAUCUUCCUCUGCAAACAAACAUCACCAUCUCCCAUCUGUCCCUCCCUCCUCACUUAAUUAUUCGCCCCCCGCCCCCCUCAUCUCAUCCUCUCGAGUCCCUGCCUUUUCCACACCAUCUUUUCAACCUCAUACACGCGCGCAUAAUUAUAUCAUAUUGUGUUCCCCCCGGCUUUCUUCUCCUCUGACAUUCCGGUCAGUACGCUUCAUGCAUGUGUUCCAUCAUGCCCGCUGCUUCGCACAAGCUGAGCAGCACUGAGUGGUGAGAGGUGAGAUUGCGGUGCGUGCAUGGCUUGCGGUCAAGUAUAGGGUUCGUUCUUGCAUGCACUAUAUAAGCCAGGCAGUCGGCCAGCCGGAAGUUAAGUUGGUGGGAGGCAAUGCAUGUCAUUGCUGCUCUUAUGCGUGUUUGCCAUCCUCUUAAAGCAGUGGCUGGGAAGCAUGCAUACAUCCCCUGCUUCGCCGGUACCACGCACUCAGGGCCGUAAGCGGUCGCUGUCGAUCUCAUCUCGGGCUUUCUGGCUUGUCUCUAAUGCUGCCAUCUACAUGGUGCUUCAGCAUCAUCCUUGAGCCAUAAUCACCAGCUUGUUAUAUGUGGUAGGUGAGUUCCGUAUAUGCAUUACUGUUCUUCCCUUAUUGCCACGUCGUUAGUUAGCCUGGUUAAUAUGUGUGGGCUUGUGGUUGACAUUUCCUCUCUUUUUUCAUUCUUCUCCAGACAGUCAUUCCUUUACCUCUAGCUCUUUUUGUCGAAAAACACUUCGCCUUUGUGGCUCAGUAUACAACCAGCCCAGGGCCCUAUAGAUUAUAUGCUUUGCUUUUUAAACCCAUUUGUUACCUUUGUAAGUUGCUGUUUGAAUGUCUCAUGAAACAAGAGCGACUGUUUUCCCUGAGUGGUAGAGCUACCUUGUUCCUAUUAACAUAAAGUACGUGUGAUGUAGAUAACUAGUUGGACUUGGACAGAAGAUUUUUAGUACCUGUCAUUCCAGGCUGAGCUAUAUAUAUCUGAAGACAUUAUCACAGAUAAUUUCAUAGUAAGCAGUUCUAUAGGUCAUUCCUGUCAAAUAUAUGAUGUCAAGUUUAGUUAGUUUUCUUCUCUCUAGCAUACCUAUCCAACAUGAUAUAACGGGACUGUUCUGUAUCAUGAUCUGGAGAAAUUCUUCCAUGCAUGUCUGUUUUCUUCUCCAGUAUGUUCCUUAUGAUUGAACUUAACCGCCUCGCUGAUCUAAGUCGUGUGUUUCUUUACUCAUUCCCUGCGACUAUAACGCCAUGUUGAGUUUCUGUUGUCUACAUGCUUUUGGCGUCAGUUAUUUGCUAGUACCCAGAAGUAGCAGAGACCUACAUUUCGUCGCUGAUUCUGUGAGUUAUUUCAGGACUUUGACAUAUAGAAUGUUUGAUCUAUAAGUGUUUAUUUAUUUAUUUAGGUACGAUCGUAGCAAAGUAGAACAUAGCCUGUAUCAAACUAGCUAGAUAAAACAAUGUGAAGAACAUGUGGGACUAACAUUUCAGGCCCAUGCAUUACUAACUGUUGAAGUUAAGACUUCAUAUAAUAUAUGCACCCCAGGGACCUAGAUAAUUUUCUUGGUGGUCCUCGUGAACACACUUUUUUUAAGCAAGCUAGCUACCAUUAUACGUAUAUAUAAUCAAAUAUACAGCAUGCAUGUAAUCAUAAAUACUUCAUCCCAUAGCCCUUUGUUUCUGUAAAAGAAUUAGCUGAUGAUGAACUAAAUGCAUACUCAUAUGCACCCAUAUAGAGAAGAAUGAUGGCUCACCCUUCAGACCACAGAGGGAGAAUGAUUAGUCAUACUUAUUAAGAUUAAGUAAGUGUUUACGUUAUUUACAUCUUUGCCUAAUUUAUUUGAAUGUAAUAUUGGUGUCUUAUGUGAUCUAGUUAUUCUGAACAAUCUUUGCUAAAUUAACUGGAAGAUCUUCACGUUGUCAUUUGUACUUGUUAUUGUGAAAGUACUAGAAACAUGUAAGGCUAAACAUCUUCUUAGCAGUCUGCUGAAUAUUUUUGUUCUCUGACAUGAGGCUUAUAGCAACGGGCAACAAAUGUAGAACUAAAUGUCAUGUUAUAAAAAUGAGCACAGUUGGUGUUCGAGCAUAUAUAUUGGCACAACUGGGCAUAUGGCUAUCAAGUUCGUUGAAAUACCAACAGAUUAAAAUUCCAGAAUUGAACUGCGUUGCCUUCUACAAAUCAUAAUUCAUGAAGCCUUUAUGUUCUCCAUGAUAUUAUUUCAUAUAUAUAGCAACACAGAGAUAUGUAAUUGUAUAUUUAGUACAAUGUCCCCUGAAGCACGUAAGCAGCACAACACUACACACAGCAUAUGUAAUAGUCUUAUUUACACGGCGUUAUGUAACUCAAAAUACUUAUCUGUCCAAUAAUUGAUAUAUGAUCAUCAUCCUUAUUGUAACUCCUUAAUAUAAUAAUUAUAGAUGGGAUGCUAGUAUAUCCGAUUGGUGCUGCUGCUCAUCACUUCCAUGGAUCAACUUGACUGCUCGAUGUUGAGGUCGACGCGUAAUCAGUUGCUACCUCUUGCACCUUCUCGUUGAGCUGAAGAAUGUCUCCUUCAUGAGCAUAAUCGACACCCUUGGCUGCAUCGUUACUAAGCUGAGAUGCAACGAACUUGUCCAGAACUCUCCAGUCGGUGGCAGCUUGGUCGUCGACGGCAUGGUCAAUAAGUUGAACAUGGUGGUGCUGGGCAUGGUGCACAUUGAUCUGGUGAUCGUCUUGCGAUACCAAAAGAGAGUGGAAGGAAGAAGGGCUCUCUAGCUCGUGAGGAAUGGUGUUGAGAACAUGAUGAUGGUUUGGCAUUUGGUACUGUAGCUUCAGCUCUCUCUUGUAGGUGUUGUUGAGCAUCUGGAGGUGCUGUUCUUGCAGCGCCAUGCUGUGAUGAGGCGGCAUUCNNNNNNNNNNNNNNNNNNNNNNNNNNNNNNNNNNNNNNNNNNNNNNNNNNNNNNNNNNNNNNNNNNNNNNNNNNNNNNNNNNNNNNNNNNNNNNNNNNNNNNNNNNNNNNNNNNNNNNNNNNNNNNNNNNNNNNNNNNNNNCCAUUCCUCUCAUCGGAGAAUUUAGAUCAUGCAUGAAGGGCCCAUCGUCAUCAACAUACCAGCAUGGUGCAUCAUGGUCUAAAUCUCUUCUUGUUGUGGGCAAUCUCUUCUUGAACACCCUGCAUACUACCCAUCCUUCCUCCUGAAAUUUACAAAAUUAAUUAGACUAUAUUAAUCUGUUGAGUAGCAGCUUGCAGGGUUUAUAUUCGAGUCAAGAUUGAUGGAACGAGAUCGAUGUAUAUAAAAUGGAGAAGCUAUAGACUUACCUGUGGAGGGCCAUUCUCAUUGGUCUCGAGGCGGUACUCGUGCAUGAUCCAAUCGGAUUUCUGGCCAUUGGGAGCUCUGCCCUUGUAAUACACCAGGGUCUUCCUCAUGCCAACCAGACAGUGCUUUGCAUAGAUGGGCUUGUCCCUCCCCGUCGCCUUCCAGAACCCCGCCGCGGUCGCACGGUUCGUCCUGGUCCCGGUCGGGUACUUCUUGUCCUUGUGGCUGAAGAAGUACCAGUCGCUCUGCUCCUCCUCAGGCCCUAUCCUGCAUUUCUCUAUACACAAAUGAAUGUAAGCUAAAUCGGCAAAACCAUAUUCGAAAAUCCAAUUCGGCUCUUGGGAGCAUAUGCCCUGCGUACCAAACAUAUUAAUAUUUUUUGUCAAGACUCAAGACUACAUUAAGUUGUCGUUGCUCACUGGACUGCAUUACUAUAUUAUUGUGUGUGUNNNNNNNNNNNNNNNNNNNNNNNNNNNNNNNNNNNNNNNNNNNNNNNNNNNNNNNNNNNNNNNNNNNNNNNNNNNNNNNNNNNNNNNNNNNNNNNNNNNNNNNNNNNNNNNNNNNNNNNNNNNNNNNNNNNNNNNNNNUGUGUGUGUGUAAUAUAUACCUUGGCUGCAUUUUUAUAUUAUUGUGUGUGUGUAAUAUAUACCUUGGAGAUCCCAUGGCUCUAUCUUGUAGAGAUCAACAUCCUUGAUGACGUUUAGGUCGAUCCUCCUCGAGGCCACCUUCUUGCGGAGGUAGUAAUCCACAAGCUCCUCAUCGGUUGGGUGGAAGCGAAAACCCGGAGGAACCUGUGGUUGUGUGCUGCCACUCAUGUCGUCCGAUCGAUCGGUGUAUAACUAAACCUGCAAGGUGUAUGAAAAUCUAGUUACAGUCUAAUUAAUUGUAUUAUUGUAUUAUUGUGCCAUGUGUGUAGAAAUGAAGCAUGCAUGCAAUGCAGAUGACAGCAAAAGAUCAGAUCAGGAAACAUAUUGCCCAUCUAUACACGUAGGCAUGCAUGCCUGUGUUAAUUUAACUGAAUUCGAUGGAGAUCGAGCAGGCAAGCAUGCCUAGAUGUGUCUUGUGUGGGAAGCGUGCAUGUGAUAAUGGACGGGUGAAAAGUAGUGGUAAUGCUGGGAGAAAGCAUGAUCAUUUGUGUGACGCAUGCAUACUACACAUGCUGAGAGGCAUCACUCAUUGCACCUUGUGGAAUGUUCCCCGGCUUCUACUGCUCAAAGGUAGAUCUCAUCAUGCAUGCAUGUAUGUAUGUUUGUCCCUGAUCUAGCUAACUACUUGUAUAGUGAACUUAUAUAUGUCUGUGCUACUUGUAUUUGCACUUGAAUUACUUUGUACAUAUAUAGUUGGGUAAUAUAUAAGCACUUGUAUUAGCUUAGGUCCCAGUCAAGGUGCUCAUGGAUCUAUGAUCAUAUGUGCUAGCUAAAUAGCUAGCUGGUGGGCAUGAUUUAUACUUGGAUCAGAUCUAUUAAUUUGGAGGAGGCAUUUAGCACCCAUGGUGCAUGGAUGUAUAUGUAUAAUGUUGUAAGUCCGCAUACACAUGGUCAUGUGCAAGGGAACAUGCAUGCAUAUACUCCUUCCGCUCCAUAAUUCUUGUCGUGGUUUCAGUUCAAAUUUGAACUAAAACUACAACAACAAUUAUAGAGCGGAAGGAGUAUAUCCUUAUUCAUUUAAUUACAAACAUUUCUAGUUUAAAUAAAGUAGGCAUGCACACACAUCAUCUCGACAUGCAUGUACUUACAAGAGAUACAUCGAUCAGUGUGUUAUAGUAUAUGAUAAUACGAUUCCUUUCCAGAAGAAUUUACAUGUAUAUGUAUGUACUUCUCAUCACAAAGGAAUCUUAAGCAUAGAUUAUGUAGCAAAGCAAAACACAUCAUAUCCAUUCUCCACAACAAAAUAAAACAUACAGACAAACUAUAUCCAUCCUCCACAAGAAAAUAGAACACACAAACACAGUAGCUCGUAGCUGAUCACACAAAUUUUGUAAUCAAAUAUGUAAAUGAUAUCUAUAUAUGCAUGUGCGCUAGAUUGAACUUGGAUUUCGUCAACACAAAAAGUUAACAAAUAAAUUACUCAUAUGUAGAUAUAAGUUCCGACAAAUGAUAAGUCCAUAUUGAAGAAGCAGAUGCAAUCCAUUAAAUGUAUGAAACUCUUGCGUAUGUAGGCACCAUGUAUUAAUUCUACUCCCUCCGUUCCUAAAUACUUGUCUUUUUAGAGAUUUUUCACUGCGGACUACACACGGAUGUAUAUAGACAUAAUAUAGAAGAUAUGUUAAUUCAUUUUGCUCUGUAUGUAGUCCGUAGUUGAAUCUUUAAAAAGACAAAUAUUUAGUAACGGAGAGAGUAUGAAUUAAUAUUAGUGUGCUAGUAAUAUAUGUUGCAUCUGUGAUCAAUUUUCGCGUACUGAUCGAACAUAACAUCUCUACUUAUCUCCCUAUCAUAUAUAAAUAAGAGUUGCUUAUAUCGAUCUAGGGUUCCAGGGAAGACAUGUUUUCAGGAUAACUCAAUAUAUGUCUAGGUUUUAUUUAUACCUCUGUUUGAUCAGUCGAAAUCAGUGAGACGCGUGAUGGAACCUUGUAGAGAAAAACCCAGAGAUCUGUCUAGCUAGCUAGCAGGAGCAGGGAUAUAGUAGCUAGUAGACAGGGAUGAGCUUUUUGUCUCCAGGCUUGUCUCUCUGAUCUGCCUUUCUGAUCCUUAACUCAUUGUCUGGCUCAGAUCCCAAGAAGAAUGUCGACGACGACCACAGAGAAGAGCACGCGCACACAACACAAACAAUAACAAACAACAUCAGAGAGAGUUCAAGAACCUUGAAGGACAACAAGACAAACUAAUUAAGAGCAACAAGAGCUGAGAUGCAUCUAGGUUAGCUAAGCCAGCUCCUCUCCAAAGUACAUGAAGAAAAGAACAUCAUCAAGGCUGAGCUCGAUCGUACAUAUACCUGCUGCCUAGCCUCGAGUGUUCGUCGUCGAUCGUGCGAUCUGCGUGCACCCUCCAGAAGAGUUCUUGGCUGCUUCUUCCUCCUCUGCCGCCUCCCUCCCUUGAUCCUGCUCAGAAGGUAGCUGCUGCAGAGAGGAUGGAGGGAGAGGGUUUGCAGCUUGGUCGAGGAGAGAGAGAGAGAGAGUGGGGGAACGGGACGGGAACGGGGUUGAUAAAUGUAUGGGGGCAGAACGGGAUAGGAUGAUCAGAGGAAGGAAAAGCUUAGCACAAGGAUUGAAUAAUCUAUGGCCGCCAUGGAUCGAUCAGUUGACAGGCAUGCAGGCAGCUAAAGGUAGCUAGUAACAAGAUUAAUAUCCAACCAUCGGGGCUAGGCAGGGAUCGAUCCGAUGAACCGCGGAGGAUCGAGCCGAGCUGCCUGGCUAGGGUGAAAGGGAGGGCAAUGGUGGUGGUGGCGAGUGAGUGAGGGAGAGAGAGAGAGAGGGUCGAGGUGGAGAAGAAGAAGACGUAGGAGAACAGCGACCCCCUGUGGCCCACACGCAAUGCUAGAAAAGAAAGAGGAGGGAGGGAAAGGGACCCGACCACCCACCAAACAAAUCCCUCCCGUCCACCCUUGUUGCCUCGCGCCAUCAUUCCCCUCCUUUCCCAGUUUCUUUUCAUAAAAAACUUCCUCCUCCAAAAGGCCAAUGCCAAUUGCGACACUGCUCCCCUCCUCUCUUCUAGGGUUUGUGGCUAGCUUGAUCCCUCCAUCUCCCUAGAACAAGUGUGAUGGAUACUACAGGUAGCUAGUACCAUUCUACUUCCUAUGGCCAUAAACCGUAAGGCGCUCUUAUAUGCUGAGGUUCGACUUCCACCGUCAGUUUGUAGUUCAACAAUGUGUAGGUUAUAUAUGUGUACCACCAAAUUUAAAUUGGUGAAUAUGCAUUAAUUUGGGAAAAAUUUCAAUGGUAUGAUCGACUGGAUACGCAACCUUAUGUUGUGGGUUUAACCGCGAUGGGCAAAGUUAAAUCCCGAAACUCGAUAUUUUAGGGUAGGGGAGUCCAAACGUAGUAUGAAAAGAAUUGGAGGAACGUAUCUUAAGGGUAGGACUUAGCUAUACCUCGACCAACAUGGGUAUGUAAGUCUAUUCUUUGCAAGAUAAUGACAUUUAUACUCCUAUGAUGAUGAGCCCGACUUUCGCCCGCCGUAGACCGAUCCCUCAAAAUACUCGUGUGAUGAGUACUCGAUCCGCCGCGCGAUCUCAUGUCUGCACAAUGAAAGAGAUGUUUUCGCGCCUUUACCGUGAUCGAGAUCCCUUUCUUAAUUACCCAGAUCUUUUGUUUGAAACCAACGCCUCGAAAUUUCUUUUUUAUGCAUAACAUAAAGUUGAAAAUAUCGUUGUUAGCUUGACUCCAAUAUCUACGACUAUCGGCAUUGACAAUUGAUGAUAUAUAUGGUUAUUUUUAACAAGAGUCUAAUAUAACUGCAUGAUUCAUAUACAUGCCAAGUAGAUAGAAAGCUAGGCAUGCAGGUAGCAAUCUCAUGCGUGAUAAGUGUUCAUGUCCCUCCUCAUUACAUCCAUCGUCGUCUCUGGGUAUAGCCCCAUCGUCAUCCCACGUACCUGCCCUACCUAGGCUGUAUAUGUAGAGCAUAAUGUGUGGGUCAAGCUUAGCCUGGGGGAUGUAAAUAAUCAUGUGCUUGUCCCUAUGCAUGACACUGAUCAUUAGUGAUGAUGCAUGGUUCAUGAUCUACCGGGCCGGCCGGCAGGUGCAUUACAGCAUUAGUUUGUACGUACAUCAUCGGUAGAGUGAUAGGAGACGAUGAAGACCACAAAUGGCUAGAGCCCCAUGUACAUGGAUAGGCAUCGAUACCACAAACUUUGAUCAUAUAGAGUUGAUUGCCACUAUUAUUUCUAUCGAAAUGAAAUUAUCGCACCCGGUCUCCGCAUACACGCAGAGUGAAAUACUACUAGAACUGCAAGUAUUAUAACAGUUUAAUCUUCUCAAAUUUUCCAUUGAUUUUUUUAAAAUACUCCAUCCAUUUCUUUUUACUCCGCGUAUUAGAUUUAUCUGAAGUCAUAGUUUGUGAAGUUUGAUCGAAUUUAUAUUUAAAAAAUUAAUGACUACAAUCUCAGAUCAGUAUAAUAUAAAGAUAUAUUUUAUGAUGGAUCUGACAGUAUUGAUUUUGUAUUUUGAAUAAUAAUAAUAAUUUUGUAUAAAAUUGAUCAAACCCUGGGAAGUUUGACACCAUACAAAUCUAAUACGCGGAGUAAAAAGAAAAGAAGGGAGUAAAAACCAUCAUAUAUGUACAUAGAGUGUGCAGUGAAACAUAUGCCUAUGACUUUUUUAAUUAUGGUGAUUUACUGCCCGUGCUAAAACAAUUCAAUUAUUUACCUUAACUUUUGGACAAAUAGCGAAGAAUCAUACUAUGUACCAAAAGUUUAUGCUCAUGAUCUUCGCCCCAUAUAUUGCAUGCACGUGUGCUUUAUUUUUUAAAUAACGUAAAACAACCUUGUAGGGACAACAAUUUUAUCAUUCUAGAAACUAGUCGGCGGGUAAGGUGCUUCAAGAUAUGAUGUUUUUAGUGAAUUAAGUGGGUCCAAAAGAAUUUGAGGAGAAAUGCGAGCUAAGCCAGUAGCUAAGUUGUUGUACUACGGGUAAUUAACUCUAAGAAAACUCUGAAAUAAAAGAGAAGACAACUUUUCAUGAGAAAGCUAGUUUCAUCACAAGUUUUCCCCUUCUGAAAAUUGUAAGUGAUAGAUCGUGCACGCAGGCCCAGCUGGGAGAAGUGUGUAGGAGAAUACCACAUUCCUGGCUUGCAUCAAAAAGGUAUAAAAGCUGGUAUUUCUUACAAGAUUUUUUUGAAUAUGGAAGUGAUAGACCAUGCAUGAGAAGAGCAAGUGGGGUACUGCCGGAGAAGUGUGUAGGGGAAUACAUUCUUGGCUUGUGCGAGAAAGGUGGCAUGUUGCAUUCAUUCCCUCCAACACCGCCCCCAGGCCAUGACAGGCGUGAGCUUCAUCCGAUGAUUAGCCUCACCCGGUCAGCCACCACAUUCUUUAUCCCGCUGGCCCUCCCUCCUUUCGUUUUUUGCACGCCCCUUGUGCGCGUGAUGCAUCCUGGUGCGUGGCAUCUCCACAUUUUUGCUGCUGAGUUUCUACCCAACAUGAAGCUAGGGUGAUUACGUAUGUUUGAAUGUUUCUCUCUAUGCUCUUGUUUGUCCAACUCCGGGAAUGGGUCUUGCAAAGACUAGACUAUUUCGGAUCCAGAUUAUUUUGACAAAUGGGCAAUGAGAGAGAAAAAAAUACAGGCUAAUCAAAUGGAGUUUGGUUCAUCGCCCAAACGACCAAAAAGGUCUAGGUACACCAAACCUCGAGGUAAAAAACAACGCCUUGCUUAGUAAAUGGUUUUUCAAUCUCCUUAUCGAGGAUGGCAUGUGGCAAACCCUCAUGUGUAAUAAGGGCAUGUUUGGUUGCUCGUGUAAGAGCCAUGCAGACCCUGUAAAAAGGCUCGCACGAUCUUCAAAGCCGCCCAGAGGCUGGCAUUUGAGGAACGAUCGAAUCAACUGUUUCGAGCGAGCCACGAAAGGGCCUUGUAAUUCGUACCAGUGGCUCUGACGGGCGGGCUGGUCGGUGAUGACCCACAAGUAAAUGGAAUCAAUCGUAGUCCUUUCGAUAAGUAAGAGUGUUGAAUUCAACGAGAAGCAAAAAGAAUUGACAAGCGGUUUUCAGCAAUGUAUUCUCUACAAGUGUUGUAAGAUAGUUUUGACAGAUAACGUGAUAGUAUAUAACUGGUAGCAGGCAAAAAGUAACAAAAGUAGCACCACAAGUGGCCCAAUCCUAUGCAAUAUGCAGAUCAGACUCUUGUAAUAAAAGCACCCAUCUAAUCAACCUAGGCUUAGCAUCUUUCUUAUCCAUGAAAUAAUCAAUAGCACCAUUAUCGAUGUGAAAAGUAACUUUGAAAUCAAGGUCUGAAUUUAUCACAAGCAAACACUACAGCUAAAAAUUCUUUCUAAGUACGUAGUAGCAUAAUUUUUUUGGGCAUUGUCCAAGGUCUUACUAGCAUAAUGGAUAACAUUUAACUUCUUAUCAACUCUUUGACCAAGAACAGCACCUACAGCAUAAUCAUUAGCAUUGCACAUAAUUUCAAAAGGUAAAUUCCAAUCAGGUGGUUGGACAAUAGUAGAAGUGAUCAAUGCUUUCUUAAGUAUUCCAAAGGCUUCAACACAGUCAUCAUAAAAAAAACAAAUUGAACAUCCUUUAACAAUAAAUUGGUAAGAAGUCUAUAAUUUUUUUUAAAGUCUUAAUGAACCUUUCAUAAAAACCAGCAUGAUCAAGAAAACUUCUUAUACCUUUAAUAUCUUUAGGACAUGGCAUCUGCUAUUCCGAAAUAGCUACAACCCACUAGUUAUUUUCCUAGACAUGCAACUAUGGCACAUGAGCAAAUCAUGCAUGCAAAUCAUAUACAUUGUUUUUGCAUUACUGUAUGCAUGCAAGCAUGACAUCAUCAAUUCAUGCAUGUUAUUCAUAAGUUAUUUUUGUAUUAGAUUUUCGAUUGACAAUAUAUGUGUUGGUCACUUGCACCUUACCUAUGUAGUUCACAUUCACUUUUUUGUUUGAAAUGACAUUCUUUUAACUGCAAUUCAUUUAUUUAUUUUCUCUUUCUAUAGCCUUCGUAUUUUAUUUUCAUUUUUAAGCUAACAUUCUCUUCCCAUUGUUUAUAGAUGUUUCUGUAGAAAUUUUUAUGCAUUUGUAUAGCAAGUUUCCCGCACCAAAGCAUCGGGGAAUCAUCUAGUUUCAAAAUAUUCGUGCUACCCCUCAUCCUCUUGAGCUCUUAGCCCAAAAAUAGAAAGUGAGUUGUCUACUGAGCCUGCGGCACCACGUGGUACUCCAGGGCAUGAAAUGGAAGCAGCACGAUGGCUCCUCAUCCACAAAGAACCAUGUGUGUAUGUGUUUCUUGGACUUGGUAUUAUUUUAAUUUUACUAACCAUGUAUUUCUCCCUUAAGAAAACACUAUUUCUCCCUUAAGGACUUCUAGGUUUGUUCAUGUACUGUGUUAUUGGUCUGAAUCUUGUCCACACUUCGAUGAAACUGAACUAUUACUAGAAUUCAGAUUUGAGUUUCACUCUCCUGAUUUUGAAACAAAAUGUGUAGUUGUAAAAGGCGAAUAUUUAUUUGUAGGUACUCCCAUACAAUUUUCUUUUGAAGCAAAUGGAUGCAUGGAUUUCCAUACCUUGGCGGGGCGGCGUCAACGGGGCGGCGUCGGGCAGGUCGAUGUCGGGCAGAGAUGGGACGCGUCAGGCGGCGGCGGCGGCAGGGAUCAAGAGGAGCACGGGGCGGUGGAGUUGGGGAUCGAGAGUAACGACAAAAGAUAACUUUUUUUACUAUGACGGGCUGUUAAAACCGACUAGUGCUGGAGUGGACCUAAUGAGUCUAAAUGCGCAACAUCGGGCCUAAUGUGCAACUACAUCACUAAGAUAAUAGUUGUGGCGUAUGAAUUCAGCCCACGCCAACAUUAUUUGAAAAUAUUAAUGCUAGCGUUGGUGAGAAACGGCGCGCCACCAAUGUAAGUUGUGGUUAGCCAUUUCUCCACUAGUAUGUGUUUGUAUGUUUCAUUUGUAUCGGUUGUGGCUUUAUUUAUAAAGCGGGUUAAAGACUUUUGGGGUAAAAGAUACGCAGAAAGCUGAGUCGGCGAGUCCCCUUGGAGCCAUCUAUCACUCCAAAAUGUAGCGCGUUCACCAUUCCCAAUGGUGAUUUUUGUCCACACAAAGAACAACUCAUUUGGGGGGGGCUUCAAGCCAAUAACUGAGGUGUGCAAAGGUUUUCUCGGGCCUCACUAAUAAGAAAUAGAGCAAUACCCACUAUGUUUCCUUUAUUUUACUAGAGAGAGAAGUCCAAGCCUCUAAAUAUCUUGAUGGCUUGGUGUUGGAUCUAAUGGUUGAGCCUUUGUUCUUUGCGAGCCUUGUCUUUCUCUUUUUUGCUCUAUUGUGGAGUUCUUUGAUGGUAUAUCUUCGCACCUGGCGCUUCUUGCUCUUUCUUCCUUCCACCUUCUUUUUGUAAUUGACUCUUCCUCGAUCACUCCCCGACAAAGGCUUGCUCGUCUUUAUCAUAGUCCAAACUCUUUCUCAUGCGACUGUGGCACGUUCUUUCAGUCGAUUCUUUGAAAUUUAAGACAAUUAUCCUCACUCAAACUUCAAAAGGUCCUUUUAUCUUUUUUUGAUGUAAAUUCAUUCCUAACGCUAUUCUAGUCUCCUUCUUUCCACUCGACCUUGCUUUUUUUUCUUCUUCCUAUUGGUCCCAACGUCAAAGAAAUAGGUUCAGUGGUUCGACCUCCCAAAGAUAAAGAAAGACAUCGGUAUUAAGACCACUAUCAUAUGUAAUCCUAUCAUAUGAAUCAAAGGGUCAAUAUGUAUGAAAAAAUCUGAAGAAAUACUUUUUUGCGGGGAUUUCCUAAGGAUUUAGAUCCUCUAAAAAAACCUGUACGAUUCCUUUGAAUCAGAAGGGACCCUAAAUUUGGUUGAUAUUUAAUUAACCCGAUAAAAAAGAAAUAAUAAAUGCCAUACCUUCUUUAAAAAAAUUGUAAGUUGGAGUUUUGACGGCUCGUCGCGCGACCGUUGCAGUCAGUCCUAAAAGGGUGCGAAGUGAAACUAGUCAAGGAAUACGGUACAAAAACUUGUCCUCGAGGGCCCUCACGCUACCAAAUCAUCUUGCCGCUCAAGAUCAAUGUCUUCGUACAUAUUUUAUUAGAGAGUACAUACGAAGCAAAAUGAAUGAAUAUAUAUUUUAAAAUAUGUCUAUAUAUAUCUGUAUGUAAUUUGUAAUGGAAUCGAUUUACAACGUACUUCCUUCGUUUUUAAAUAUAAAUCUUUUUAGAGAUUUCACUAGAGGGCCACAUAAGAAACAAAAUGAGUGAGUCUAUACUCUAAGUAUAUCUAUAUACAUCCGUUUAUAGUCCCCCUAAUUAAAUCUUUUAAAAGACUUAUAUUUAAAAACGGAGGAAGUAUAUUUAGAAAGAGAGGGAGUAGUACUCGUAUUAAUUAGUAAGCGUAAUGGCGCGCAAAGCAGUCCGCGUAUCGGCGGAAUGAAGAUCUUCAUGUCAACGCUUCUCCAUCAAACUCCUCCUCCUGUCCAUGUCUUGCUUGCUUACUUACAGCAGUAGUAGUAGUAGGUGCAAAUCCUACGGCUACAGGUCGCUCAUCACGCCUUUUGACGGUGCAUGGUGGUCAGCCCUCCAUGGAUUUUCCCUGGUAAGCUGGAGGAAAGUCUCUGGCUUUACACUAAUCAUCAUCAUAAACCGCGUGAUCCCAUGAUGAUGACGACGAUGAUUCAACGGCUGCAGUAAUUACUUAUGUCGACCGCACCACCCUACGCUGGAGCACCUGUCCAACCUAAACUAGCUAAGGUUGUUUCAGACAGACAGCUUUUUUACCCCCACAAAUUCAGCAAAGGGUCAUUUGCACCUGGAGGUGUACAGACAUAAAGGUGGUUUCAAAGGGUCAUUUGCAGUUACAUCUGGCACGGAGAAUCAGAGUGAAAGUUGAAAGCCAUCACCAUCACUGUGCCUCUCUUGCUUGCUGCAAAGGUGGAAUUCUUAGCAUACCAAUGAAAUCACAGCCGUUCGUCCCUCCCUCCAUCCAGGAUGAACGGCCACGAUUCAACAGGUCAAUCAACAACUUCCCACCUUAAGAAUGGUUAGCAGGCCAUAAUAAAAGGUAAAAAAAUGGUCUUGCGAAUCACAGCUGACACGGCAGCAAACAAGUAUCCAAGUCUUGUUUCACAGGAACAGGACAGGGCUAGCUAAAAAUCAUCAUCCUCAAGGUGGCGGCACGGCGCCCCCAAUUGCGGGGUCACGGGCAGCAGUAAGUAAGUACCACGCAAACAAUUCGACGCGCACACAACUCUGUUAACAAGUUUCGACAAAUUCGCCGAUGCGCAAAUAAUGGCAGGACCUCUCCACCCAAUCGACGGAUCACCCCGCAAACUCAACCUACAUUCUCAAUUUCCUAAUAACUCACAAAUAGCAGCAGAUCACUUCACUUCAGUGUCCGACGACCGACAACAUGACCAGCGACACCAAGACAGCCAGCAGGUAGCGGCUCUGUCUUACCGCGGGGAAAGCCGAGCUCGACGAUGACCCAUGAGGCUUCUGAGCCCUACAGGACAACAACAACAUAAGACCAAGCAUCAGUUAGUAACUGACUGUGACCAUACUGUAACAAGGACCAUAAGCCGCAGCACACAGGCAAGUCCGCUUACUUUUGUUUUUCCUUGAGGAGGCCACAGAAGAGGGCGUUGUCUGGUAGCACCGAUUCAGUCACGUUAUAGCCUCCGUCAGGAUCCACCACCCUGAUGUACGUCUCCUGGCCGAGGUACCAGGUGUCCAGAUUCUCCGUGCGCACGUUCCAGAACCCCGGGCUGUCGAGCGACAACAGGACGGCGGUCCAUGCUCCAGGAAACACCUGCGGUGUGAGUGAGGCAACGUUAACACUAUCCAACACUUUCAGCAGCAGGUGUAAUACGUCAACGUUGAGUACAACUUGGCGUUUGCAUCCACUGUCUCAUAAGUAAAUAGAAAGUUAUAUACAGCUAUGAACAUCAGCAGCAGUGAAAGCAUCCUCAAACAUGAAGAAACGUUCUAUCCAAACCAUACGCUACUGUAGAAAUACCUGAGUGGUGCAACGGGAAACGCCGUCCCACUUGUUGUACGUCCCACGGCUGCUGUCGGUCCACUCACCAUAGUCCAUUCUGUUGGCAACGCGCAAACGGUUCAAGACACACGACUCAUAAGAAACCGGCUACUGAAAGAGAUGAAUACUUUGAAGCUGCGCUCACCCUACGACCCAGAAUGCAUAUCCAUCGAUAUGGUAGGUCUGAACCUUCGUGUCGUUGUUCUGAAACACAAUCUCCAUGAAGUUCUUGUACGUCGAGUUGAUGACAGAAGAGCCGAUCACCGGCGGUCCAUCAGAUGGCAUCAUUGGGAAGUCGAGUGUGUAGACUUCUUUCUUUUCGUAGAGAUCUGCAAGCCUCAAUGGAGUAGCAGGCGGUGAAUAGGAGAUACCGUUCAGUGUCGUCCGCUUUUUGCCAUUGAUGGUAACAGGGGGCAUAUUCCUCAACUUGUACACUUGGGUCACGUUGAUUUGCCCAUAGUGAAAUGAUCCUUGAGGAUUCGGACGAGCAGCACCAGUGGUCACGUUCAUCCUGACAAACAGAAGGUCUUUUAGUAGGCUUAAGUAUCCAUGACCAAUGUGCGCACAUGAGAAAAUGUAGCUACUGUCUACACAUAUUAUUAUUACCAAGUGUCCUUACACUUUACUAAUGGCCACAAAGCUUCCUAAAAGUCAUUGUGUUGGUAUGACAAAAAAAUUCAGUUUCCAAUUUCUGUAAGAAAUAUUCCUGGAAUGAAUGCUCAAGUACAAGGGCAAAUAUUUGAGCAGACAAUUUCCCAUAUGAGUACACAGUCAUAAUGUAAGAAAGGAGGCACCUAUCACAUUUAUAUCCAAAACAUCUUUUUCUCUCAGAAUUCAUAAAGCCAAGCAUACUUAGUCAACAUCUCUUAAAGAUCAACAUCAAACGAAAAGGUUCAUAAAAUGUUUUUUUGCGAUAGCCAAAAGCCCAAAAGAUCAUGGGAAGUUAAGGGGAGAGCAGAGCUAGAUUAUUUAUUUCAUACAAGAGUACUGCUUAAGUUUAGUUAGGUAUAGCAAAACACUAUUUUUUCAUAAAGUAAACAUCAUAGCACAUGAUGGGAACUGAGGAAUACGGGUCAGCACAUGAUGGCUCAGCAAUUUCUAACAUCAGGCUUCUAAAAUUUAUUAUAGAUUAGCGUGAAGAGAAAAUUUUGUCGGUGGUCAUUUGGAUGGUCAGGGGUCUUAGGCAAAAACAUUAGUCGUAGAUUGCUCUCUUUUAUGCUUGGUUUGAAAUGCCUUAAUGUGAGUGUAUUGGCUCUUUUAUAAGUAGUCGCACAUUUUUCUCAUUCAUAAUUCGAAAGCCAGGAAUAUUUAGUCAACAUCUUGUGAAGAUCAGAUCGGAAUGAAGAUGCAUAAAAUAACUCUGCGGGGUGACCAAAAAUACCAUGGAAAGUGAAGGGGCCAAAAAAAUAAAAUUGAUACAUUAGUUAUUUCAUACAAGAGUACUGCCUAAGUGUAGUUAGGUGUAGCAAAACAAUGUUGUCCUAAUAAUCUAUAAAGUAAACAUCAUAGCACAUGAUGGAUUGAUGGGUACUGAAGAGAACUAUUGUUAUUAUUACAAAACAGUCAGACCAUGAUGGGUCAACCAUUUCAAACAUCAUACUUAUAUAAAAUAAUAUCAGAAUUGCGUGAAGAGAAAAUUAAGCCAGUGGUCAUUUGGACAGUCAGAGCUUACGAAAAAAAGAAGAGUUGUUUUAUACAAACCUGAUUGACCGUGCCUGGUUCAUGGAGAAACUUUUGUCGUACUCAUCAUUCGGUGGGUCAGGAAGCGGACCAGAUGCGUUGCCCUUUGAAUUCGAGUAGUGAAGAAUUGCAACACCGGUAACCCUGGUCCAGAGCGACUCGUUCACGAACCGAGGGCUGGCCACGAUGUAAUAGUCACUGCUUGCAUUCUGGUCCAUGGUGACCAGAAAGGAGUAUGACUGCCCCACAUGGAUGUCGAGGUUGGUGAAAUUCUGCUUCAUCGUGUACGAGCCCUCUGUCUCCACCAUGGCCAUGUUGUGGCCCUGGAUCCUCAGGUUCAAGCUCGUCGAGACUCCCACAUUGUGGACUCGGAAGCGGUACGUUUUUCCUGUAGUGGAGCUGAGGCUGUCAGUUGCCACGAUUAAAGUGAUGUGCUAUAGUAGCAAUCAUCGUUCAAAGAAAUAUAUAGUUGGCCUUAUCAUGAAAGUAGGUAGUGAUUAAAUCAUCAACCUCAUCCCCCCAUUGUAUUAGAGAGAAAAAAAUGCUGUACAAUUGAGCAGUAACAUAUAAGCAUAUUUUCAGCAACAACAUUUGUAACCAACCAUGAUUAUUUCCUCGUUACCAUGCCCAGCAGAGGCAUUAUGAUUUCAGAAAUGGUGAUGCACUCUACAAUGAGAAGUAAUCACCUGGCUCAACAUCGAUGGUCUCAUACUCGAUCCCAGCCGGGACGAGGGAGUCAUUGUACCGAUACGGCCCCUUGCCAUUCAUCAAGACGCCGUCAGGCAUCCCAAGCUCCUUCCCAUCAUCGAGCAUCUUCCUCAGGUCCUGGCACACAAGAGAAAACCACAAUCAAACACCCUGACCGCAAACCCAGUGGGUGAUAGCACAUUUCUUCCACGGCGGCUGGCGACCGGGCUAGAGCGUACCGUGUGGUUCUUCUUGUACCAGUCGCCGAUGAAGAGCCUGAUGUCGCCGUCGGGGGUGUCAAAGGGGACUGAGAUGACGGCGCGGUUGUUGACGGUGAUGCCCCCGAAGCCGCCGGCUGCCCGCUGCAUUGAGAGCGGCGGGAAGUAGAAGAAGCUGCCGAUCUGGUCCUUGACCUGGAAGUUGAAGGUCCAGUUCCAUCCGGGCGGGAUGGGACAGUUGGUGCCGAGGACCCCGUCCUGCCAGCAGUUCUUCCGCUGCUGGAUGCCGUCCCUGCGCGAGUGAGCCAAACAAAAAAUGAAGAUGUCAGACCAACACUUGCUUGUCAUCACACUGAACAAAAUCAUCAGACUGAAGGAAACGAGUCUGCAAUGGCCACUGAAGAUUCGUUUAAGACUGAGUGGCGAGUGAGUGAGUGUGCAGACCAGGUGAUUAGGAGCGGCUCGUCGAGGCUGUUGAGGACGUUGACGGCGACGUUGUAGUUUGUGGUGACGUUGACGACGGGGCCCGGGAACUCCUUGUUGACUGCGAUCACCUGAAGAGAAAACAAAACAAAAAUUCAGAAACAGGCGGCUCAGGUUCAGGCUUUCAGGCACAUUGGGAAAUUCGUACAGUGCAAUGUGCAUCCAUCCUGGCGGUUAACUGGAAACCCGGCGGCGCGUGUUGAGAUCUCUGUCGGGAGCGCGCACGGGAACAGUGUGCCGGGGAGCGUGGGUGAGAUCUGAAGGCUGAAGGAUCGAAAUAAAUCGAAACUUUUUGGUUGAGCGGCUAGGUCGUCCGGGAGGGAAAAAAAUUCAAAAAUUUGGGGCGCAAUCUCGGGUCAGGUCCGGAAAUCCUGGAAGGAACCCAGGUGCUUCCUCCUCCCCCCGAAGGAAGGAAGGCGUGGAAGAAGAGGGUGAAAAAAUGAAUCUUGAGGGCAGGGCGAGCGGACAGCCGGAGGUUGUCGGGGAAACCCGAAUCUUGCGGCGGAGGGGAGGCGGUUGGCUGCGGGCGACCGGUGGGAUUGGAAAUGGAGGAAGGCAAGAGGGGAGGGAGGGAUGGACGGACCUUCUGCGGGACUCCGAGCGGGGAUCUGGUGAUGUAGGAGACGUCCCAGUCGAAGAAGGCGUAGGGGUCGGUCGCCCGCGCCGGCGCCGGCGCCAGGAGCAGGAGCGGCAGGAGCAGCAGCGCCGCCGGCGGGCACGCCAUUUCCGCUUCUCGCUCUCUCCGGUCCGGCGGAGUGGAGUGGAGUCCACGCACACACAGAGAGAGAGAGAGAGGGGCUGGUGGGAGCUUUUCUUGGUGAUUGUUGGGAUUCCGUUUCUCUGGCUAUUUGUGUCGGAUGGCGUGUGGAGAGUGGAGAGAGAAGAAUGGGGGUUUGGGAGGGUUUUGAUGAGGCAAAGCCAUCGUCGUGGACGCAACGGGCAACCGUCCACAGCUGUGUGUGAGCUCACUAGACGCUGACCGUUGCGACGUGGGAUGGAUGGAUUGGAUUGGAUUGGAUGGGCCGAGACGCGUCUCGAUGCGUCGUCUGCGUGAGGGGCCCCACGCGACCGGUCUUCAAUGCUAUCCUGUCUAUCCCCACCCCAUGUUAACAUCUCUACCCUGUAUGAAACCAUACCCAAAAUUCCCCAAGUACAGCCAAGACGACCCCGGUUGAUUAAUUAGAGCAUCUCCACCUGCGUCCCUAACAGGUCCUUCCUGAACUAUUCUUUUUCACGGGUAAGAAGAAAACGGUCAAGUCGCGUCCUCAGGAACCGGUUUUUCGUCGGUUAAGACCGAAAUUUGAACCCGGCAAUCCCAACCCGAACUUAGCGCGCUGGGUGGCGUCCGGGACGCUGGCGAAAGGAAAAAAAGACGCGUCGGGCCCCUUGUUAGGCGAAAAAAAAACUUUUCCUUCUCCGGAACCACCCCUCGCGCAUCACACCUUUCGCCACCGUGUCGAUUCCAGCGUCACCCACCUGCCUACCACAGCUACAGAGGUCAUCUCCCAGUCGACGGACGUAGGGUUCGCAGCGACUUCGCCCCCCUCCCCCGCCCCCCGCUUCUUGGCGAGUUUUCCCGGCGCUCCGGGCACGUACGCGGCCACACGUCCGCCAGGUGUUCGAUGAUUUGCCUGACCGAUGGACUCCGACGACCAGGAGGCGUUCGCGACGCUACUGGAGGAGGAAGCCAAUACCGACGCUCGGGAUGAAGAGCACCUCAUGGUCCUCCCCUCUCCGGCCGGCCUGUUCGCGAGCAAUGCAAAGCCACGGCGAGGUGGCUCGACGUCGGGCCGGCUGAAGGAAAAGCAGAGGCGUCGACUCGAAGGCUAUUGCUUGCUCUACGCCGACUUCUUCACCGACGCUCCUCUACACGGCGAUACGGUAUUCCGACGCCGUUAUCGUAUGAGCCGGAAGCUCUUCCUCGGGAUUGUGAAUUCACUCAAGGAGUCCGACAGCCACUUCAAGUGCAAAAAGGAUUGCACCGGCACACUUGGAUUCACCUCGCUUCAGAAGUGCAUGACAGCUAUGAGGAUGCUUGCGUACUGAGCUCCUGAUGAUAUUAUGGAAGACUAUGGACGCAUGGCCGAGUCCACCACCAUUGAGUGUUUCUACAAGUUCUGCAGGGCAAUGGUGGCAGUUUUGCGAUCACCCAAUGCUGAAGACACUGCUCGGAUCCUAGCACAGAAUGCAGAAAAAGGAUUUCCUGGGAUACUUGGAAGUAUCGAGUGCAUUCAUUGGAAAUGGAAAAAACUGCCCAUUUGCUUGGCAAGGGAUGUACAAAGGCGCCAAAGGAGGUUGAAGUGUGGUACUUUAGGCAGUGGCCACACAUGACCUCUGGAUUUGGCACUCCUUCAUUGAUAUACGAGGAACUCACAAUGACAUCAACGUACUGCAGUGCUUGAAUGUAUCUGCGAAGCUUGUUGAAGGUCAUGCUCCUCCGGUUUAACUACGAGGUGAAUGGGCACCACUACAACAAGGGAUACUACCAAGCAGAUGGCAUCUAUCCAAGAUGGUCCAUAUUGUGAAGACUAUCUCAAAUCAUGCACCAGGAGGCAAUCACUCCUAUUUUGCCAAGCGUCAUAAAGCUUGUAGGAAGGAUGUCGAGCGGGCAUUUGGUGUGCUUCAAUCUCGUUUUGCUGUUGUCCGGUACCCCGCUCACACCUAGUCAAAGAUCAAAUGCGGAAAGUCAUGACUUAGUGUGUUGUCUUGCACAACAUGAUCAUUGGGAGCGAGCAGGAGGAGAAAGUGUUUGACACUGAACCAUAUUAUAGGCAAGGUCCUGAUGACCCACAAGUAUACGGGAUCAAUCGUAGUCCUUUCGAUAAGUAAGAGUGUCGAACCCAACGAGGAGCAGAAGGCUCUGAUAAGCGGAUUUCAGCAAGGUAAUAACUGCAAGCACUGAAAGUAGAGGUAACAAGUGAUUGUGUAGCGAGGUGAAACGUAGCAAUCAAAGAGUAACAAGUAGUAGCAACGGUGCAGCAAGUGGCCCAAUCCCUUUUGUAGCAAGGGACAAGCCUGAACAAAGUCUUAUAGGAGGAAAAACGCUUCCGAGGACACACGGGAAUUUCUGUCAUGCUAGUUUCAUCAUGUUCAUAUGAUUCGCGUUCGUUACUUUGAUAGUUUGAUAUGUGGGUGGACCGGCGCUUGGAUACUGCCCUUACUUGGACAAGCAUCCCACUUAUGAUUAACCUCUCUCGCAAGCAUUCGCAACUACAAAAGAAGAAUUAAGACAAAGUCUAACCAUAGCAUUAAACUAGUGGAUCCAAAUCAGCCCCUCACGAAGCAACGCAUGGACUCGGGUUUAAGCUUCUGUCACUCCAGCAACCCAUCAUCUACUUACUACUUCCCAAUGCCUUCCUCUAGGCCCAAAUAUGGUGAAGUGUUAUGUAGUCGACGUUCACAGAACACCACUAGAGGAAAAGACAACAUACAACAUGUCAAAAUACCGAACGAAUAUCAAAUUCACAUGACUAUUAUUAACAUGACUUAUCCCAUGUCCUUAGGAACAAAAGUAACUACUCACAAAACAUAAUCAUAAUCAUGAUCAGAGAUAUAAUGAAUAGCAUCAAGGAUCUGAACAUAAACUCUUCCACCAAGUAAUCCAACUAGCAUCAACUACAAAGAGUAAUCAACACUACUAGCAACCUUACAAGUACCAAUCGGAGUUGCGAGACGAAGAUUGGUUACAAGAGAUGAACUAGGGAUUGGAGAGGAGAUGGUGCUGAUGAAGAUGUUGAUGAAGAUGCCUCCCCUCCGACGAGAGGAGUGUUGAUGAUGACGAUGGCGACGAUUUCCCCCUCCGGGAGGGAAGUUUCCCCAGCAGGAUCGUCCUGCUGGAGCUCUAGAUUGGAUCUGCUCAAGUUCCGCCUCGUGGCGGCGGCGAAACCACGAAAAAGCUCCCUCUUGAUUUUUUCUGGACCAGGACGCUUCAUAUAGCAAAAGAGGGGGGCUAGUGGGCCGUCAGGGAGCCCACAAGCCCCCACUCCGCCACCAGGGGGUGGCGGUGUCAGGGCUUGUGGCGCCCUGGCAGCCCCCCUUCGGUAGUUCUUUCGCCCAGUAUUUUUUAUAUAAUCUAGAAAAAAUCCACGUAACUUUUCAGGGCAUUUGGAGAUGUGCAGAAUAGUGGACUAGGAUUUGCUCCUUUUCCAGUCCAGAAUUCCAGCUGCCUGAAUUCCCCCUCUUCAAAUAAACCUUGCAAAAUAAGAGAGAAAAGGCAUAAAUAUGGUACCACAAGUAAUAUAACAGCCCAAAAAGCAAUAAAUAUCAACAUGAAAGCAUGAUGCAAAAUGGACGUAUCAGGUCCUCUUGCCCAAGUUGAUCACCCGCUAUCGGCAACCUGGACUGCCUUCUUCAACAUGCGUCAGGAGAUCCGAGACCCACACGUGCAUCAACAACUGCAGCACGAUUUGGUGGAGCACCUAUGGAGGCUGAAGGGCAACGUCUAGCUCGAUUUUUGAUUUGUAUUAACUUGUUAAACUAUUUCUUGAUUUGUAUUGAUUUCUGUGAUGAACUAUGUGAUAAAAAAGUAACUAUUGUUGUUCAAUUUAUGCUAAAGAAUGUCGAAUAUGGUCCAAAAGUGGGGCAAUUUUGUGCCAAAACUGGUCCAAUUUGCGCUGAAAGUGGGCCGAAAGCGGCGACUGGGGGCGCCCUUGGGUGGGCGGCUCGGAACCCGACCCCCCUACCAUUUUUUGCACCGGCGAAUCCCCAAGCAACGCUAUUUCAGGUGCAUGUGGGUCGAACGGCUGGAGAUGCUCUUAGCCACAAGAUUAAUUAGCAGCAUGGGCAGGUAGGAACAACAAGAUUGUCCAUUACUCUUCUUCUCCCUGCCUCUUGCGUUGCUCUCCUCUCCUUCGAUGCGUUGCCGGUCGCCUCGCCGUCCGCUGACCACCAUCAGCGUCGGCCAGAACCGCAUCCACGAGUUCUAGGUUGCUGGCUUGGCAAACUCCGGGGUGGACUUGAUGCGGGCUUUGCGGGCGUCGUCUCCGAUGUACACCAGGCCGCCACAUCCGGUCAAUGUAGUGUCGGCCGCUCCGGCGCCCCUGCCGUAUCCGGACCUCGUGGUCAUGGGUUCGGUGGUGCCAUUAGAGGGGGCGGCGAUCGCGUCGUUGGUCGGAAACCAUGUUGCAUUGAUUCCAAUCGAAUCGAAUCGAUUGGAUUCCAUCCAUUCUUGCGCGGUACUAUUCAUAGGCAGGAUAGUAGUGUUAUUGCUUGUUAGGUGUUUGGUGUGAAUACUUAGUAGUGUUCAUAAGCAUGCAAUAUUGUCGUGUGUUUCAUGUUCAUGCCUAGUGCGUACUGCUUAGUGCUCAUGAUGUACACAGUGUUCAUGGGCAUGGUAGAUCGGUGUUGUGUUCCCUGCUUAGUGUUGUUGGGGAACGUUGCAUGGGAAACAAAAAAAUUCCUACGCACACGAAGAACUAUCAUGGUGAUGUCCAUCUACGAGAGGAGAUUUGGAUCUAUGUGUCCUUGUAGAUCGCAUAGCAGGAAGCGUUAAGAAACGCGGUUGAUGUAGUGGAACAUCCUCACGUCCCUCGAUCCGCCCCGCGAACCGUCCCGUGAUCUGUCCCACGAUCCGAUCUGAUCUAGUGCCGAACGGACGGCACCUCCGCGUUCAGCACACGUACAGCUCGACGAUGAUCUCGACCUUCUUGAACCAGCAAGCAAGACGAAGAAGAGGAUGACUUCUCCGGCAGCGUGACGGCGCUCCGGUGGUGGUGACGAUCUACUCCUGGAGGGUUCCGCCCGAGCUCCGCAUAAAUACAAUCUAGAGGAAGAACUAUGGUGUAUAUAUCUGAGUUGCACGUGGCAAAAGUUGUAUCAAAUCAACCCUAAAUCACCACUAUAUAUAGGAGGGAGGGGGAGCAGGCUUGCCUUGAGGACAAAGUCCCCAAGGGUGCGACGGCUAGGAAGGGAGUAGGAUUCCUACUCCAAUCCUACUCAAAAUAGGAUUGGAAAGUGGAGUUCUUCUCUUCCUUCCCACCUCCCUUUUUUUUCUUUUUUUGGUUUUCUUCUUAUGGCGCCAAGGCCCUCUUGGGCUGUCCCACCAGCCCACUAAGGGCUGGUGUUCCACCCCUAGGGCCAUUGGGCUUCCCCCGGGUGGGUUGCCCCCCUCCCGGUGAACUUCCAAAACCCAUUCACCACUCCCGGUACAUUCCCGGUAAUGCUCGAAAACCUUCCGGUAACCAAAUGAAGCCAUCAUAUAUAUCAAUCUUCGUUUCCGAACCAUUCCGAAAACUCUCCUGAUGUCCGUGAUCUCAUCCGGGACUCCGAACAACAUCCGGUAACCACACAUAUAACUCAACUAUGCUAAAACAUCGCCGAACCUUAAGUGUGCAGACCCUGCGGGUUCGAGAACUAUGUAGACAUGCCCCGAGGCACUCCUCGGUCAAUAUCCAAUAGCGGGACCUGGAUGCCCAUAUUGGAUCCUACAUAUUCUACGAAGAUCUUAUCGUUUGAACCUCAGUGCCAAGGAUUCGUAUAAUCCCGUAUGUCAUUCCCUUUGUCCUUCGGUAUGUUACUUGCCCGAGAUUCGAUCGUCAGUAUCCGCAUACCUAUUUCAAUCUCGUUUACCGGCAAGUCUCUUUACUCGUUCCGUAAUACAAGAUCCCGCAACUUACACUAAGUUACAUUGCUUGCAAGGCUUGUGUGUGAUGUUGUAUUACCGAGUGGGCCCCGAGAUACCUCUCCGUCACACGGAGUGACAAAUCCCAGUCUUGAUCCAUACUAACUCAACUAACACCUUCGGAGAUACCUGUAGAGCAUCUUUAUAGUCACCCAGUUACGUUGCGACGUUUGAUACACACAAAGCAUUCCUCCGGUGUCAGUGAGUUAUAUGAUCUCAUGGUCAUAGAAAUAAAUACUUGACACGCAGAAAACAGUAGCAACAAAAUGACACGAUCAACAUGCUACGUCUAUUAGUUUGGGUCUAGUCCAUCACGUGAUUCUCCCAAUGACGUGAUCCAGUUAUCAAGCAACAACACCUUGUUCAUAAUCAGAAGACACUGACUAUCAUUGAUCAACUGGCUAGCCAACUAGAGGCAUGCUAGGGACGGUGUUUUGUCUAUGUAUCCACACAUUUAAAUGAGUCUUCAUUCAAUACAAUUAUAGCAUGGAUAAUAAACUAUUAUCUUGAUACAGGAAUUAUAAUAAUAACUAUACAUUUAUUAUUGCCUCUAGGGCAUAAUUCCAACAAUCGGACGCCUACGGACAUGGGAAGAGAAUGCUCGUGGCUGUCGGAAAGGCAAAGGAGGAGGUAGUGACCAACUCAUGUACUCGCGCGCAGAUUGGGAGGCCCCAAGUAACAAAGGAAGGUGUGAUGGUGGCGAAGGCUCAAGCAAUGUGAAGCGCGACAGACAAACCGGAAAAGGCAAAGGAAAAGGCAAGCCACAAGGUCGUGGUAAGGCGGACCAAUCUAAAGUGCGGAAGCCACGGAAUUUGGAUUUAUCCGAGGUUAAGUGCUAUAACUUCAACGAGAUGGGUCACUUUGCAAAGGAUUGUCCGAAGCCUAACAAGCGGGAGAUCAAGGCAAAUUUGGCAAAGCAGGAAGACGAAGGUCCAGGUCUUCUGAUGGCCGAAGUUUGUGAUCUCGCUGAAACGGUGGUGGUGAAACCAAGCCGGAAGGUGCUGCUUCAUGCGAAGAAAGUGACACCGAAGUUAUCCGGUGAUCAGAACAUGUCGUGGUAUCUUGACACGGGUGCCAGUAACCACAUGACGUGGUGCAAGGAGAAAUUCCUCGAGAUGGAAUACGAUGUUGAAGGCUCGGUCAAGUUCGGUGAUGGUUCGGCUGUGGAGAUUUGCGGGCAAGGAUCUGUCCUCUUCGAGGGUCUCACAGGCGAACAUCGCAUACUCACCGGAGUGUACUACAUCCCGCGGGUUCGCAACAACAUCAUCUCUAUUGGGAAGCUUGACAAGAAUGGAUGCAAGGUGAAUAUCGAAAACGGAGUGAUGACGAUCUUCGACAACCUCCGAAACGUGCUAGCUCGUGUUAAUCGCACACGGAAUAGGCUCUAUAUCCUCAACCUUGAUCAAUCUCAACCGGAGUGUUGGCUUGCCAAGAGUGAUGACGAUUCAUGGUUAUGGCAUGCUAGAUUUGGACACGUGAACUUCUACGCCUUGAAGAAGAUGUCAAAGAUGGAGAUGGUAUCUGGGAUGCCAGUUAUCGACCAUGUUGAUCGAGUAUGUGACGGGUGCUUGGUUGGAAAACAGCACCGCAGGCCGUUCCCUGCUCAGUCUACCUAUCGUGCGAGUGAUGCACUCGAGCUGCUCCUUGGUGAUCUAUGUGGCCCUAUCACCCCGGCAACUUCAAGCAGGAAAGAAGUACUUCUUCCUUGUGGUAGAUGAUUACUCGAGAUAUAUGUGGGUCGUUCUCCUACGGUCUAAAGAUGAGGCGUUUGAAGCGUUCAAGAAGCUGAAGGCUGCAACGGAGAUGGAACACAAGCUGAAGGUUCGCGCUCUACGGACAGAUCGUCGCGGAGAGUUUACGUUGAAUGAGUUCAACGACUACUGCGAGAAGAUCGGCAUAAAGAGGUUCCUCACGGCACCUUACACGCCGCAGCAGAACGGGGUCGUUGAAAGGCGCAAUCGAACCGUCGUUGACAUGGCAAGGAGUUUACUCAAGAGCAAGAACCUGCCGGGGACUUUUUGGGGAAAAGCUGUCUCGACGGCGGUCUAUCUUCUCAACCGGGCUCCAACGAAGGCGGUGAUCGAUCGGCAAGACUCCGUAUGAAGCAAUUUACGGACGUAAGCCGAAUGUGUCUCAUCUAAGGACAUUCGGGUGCGUGGCACAUGUGAAGACGGCGGAGCCGCACCUCUCAAAGCUUGCCGAUCGUAGCACCAAGAUGGUGUUCAUCGGAUACGAGAGGAGUUCCGGCACCAAGGCAUACCGCUUCUAUGAUCCACAAACCAAGCGUCUACGGAUUUCACGCGACGUCGUGUUUGAAGGAAACAAAGUGUGGAAUUGGAGUGCAGCAGCCGACGGUGCUUCAAACGGUAACAUAUUCACGGUUGAAUUUCCAACUGAUGAUGAUGUAGGGGAGGAUGCCCAGAUGGUUAGCAAGACGCCCAACCAAGGUGACCACAAUGGUAGUGAUCAUCAUGGUGCUGACACCGACGACGAUGCGCAUAGGUCGCAAGGAGAUAGCGACAACGCCGCGCACGACACAGGCGGAGAUCUCGACGACAACAUCGACAACGAGGCGCAUAGUGACGACGACAAUCAAGAUGAUGGUCACGGUCACGACGACUACGUCGACGACGUGGAUGUCGAUGACACACCACGGUCUCAGCCGUCUUCCUCAAGUGCUUCAAUACCGACACAAUUUGUGUCUCCUCCUUCGCAAGCCACAACGGACUCCUCAGGGCCUCGUCGCUACAAGACCCUCAAGAAAGUCUACAAGUACACAAAGCUAGUUACGCUCGAGUACUCCGGACUAUGUCUGUUCGGAGUUGAGGAGCCGGCGAACUUCGUAGAGGCGAGCAAAAGCCGUAGUUGGACGCACGCCAUGGAUGAGGAGAUGAAGGCGAUGGAGAGCAAUGGCACGUGGACUUUGGUAACCCGUCCUCUAAACCAAAAGGCGAUAGGUUUGAAGUAGGUUUACAAGUUAAAGAAGGACACACAGGGUGCCAUUGUGAAGUACAAUGCAAGACUCGUUACAAAGGGCUACGUUCAACGUCAAGGAGUUGACUAUGAUGAGGUGUUUGCACCGGUUGCUCGAAUCGAGACGGUGAGAGUGCUCCUAGCUUUGGCAGCACAAGAGGAUUGGAAGGUUCAUCAUAUGGAUGUUAAAUCCGCUUUUCUCAACGACGAUCUCACAGAAGAAGUGUACGUGGAACAACCCCUCGGCUACGAGAAGAAAGGCAAAGAAGGGAAAGUUUACAAGCUCAAGAAGGCACUUUACGGGUUGAAGCAAGCGCCAAGAGCUUGGAACUCAAAGUUAGACCGAAGUAUGGUCUUGCUCGGGUUCAAGAGAUGUCCCCUCGAGCACGCAGUCUAUACAAAGAACUCCAAAGGCUCAAACCUGCUAGUUGGAGUUUAUGUCGAUGAUCUGAUUAUCACCGGAGAUAGCAUACAACAAAUUGAACGUUUCAAGGCGCAAAUGAAGAACAAGUUUAGCAUGAGUGAUGUGGGAUUACUCAACUAUUACUUGGGCGUCGAAGUGAAGCAAAGCUCCGGAGAGAUUUCCCUAUGUCAAUCGGCCUACGCGGUCAAGUUAUUGGACAAGUAUGGCAUGUCAGAUUGCUACGAGACACAAGUUCCAAUGGACCAACGUCACAAGUUGAGCAAGCGUAGCUCAAAUCCGCCGGCGGACACCACAAUGUAUCGAAGCGUUGUGGGCAGCCUAAGAUACUUGGUGCAUACCCGACCUGACUUGGCUUACUCAGUCGGGAUCAUCAGUCGUUUCAUGGAGAAUCCGACAACCGAGCACAUGGGCGCGGUCAAUCAAAUCUUGCGCUAUGUAAAAGUAACCAUUAAUCUUGAUUGCACGUACGGAAAGGGAAAGGAAGGAUUGAUCCUUCAUGGAUAUUCAGAUAGUGACAUGGCAGGUGAUGUUGAUGACCGAAAGAGCACAACGGACAUGAUUUUCUACCUUGGCCCGAAUCCGGUUAGCUGGAAUUCUCAGAAGCAAAAGGUGGUGGCACUGUCUUCAUGCGAGGCAGAAUACAUAGCGGCAAGCACGGCGGCUUGUCAAGCAGUGUGGCUGAGAAGACUCCUAGCUAUUCUUGCAAAGCGGGAGGUGCAGAAGGUGUCAUUGAAGAUUGACAACCAAGCUGCAAUCUCAUUGUGCAAAAAUCCGGUUCAUCACGAAAGGAGCAAGCACAUAGAUACCCGGUUCCACCACAUCCGGAAGUGCAUUGAGGAAGGGAUGAUCGAAAUUCUGCACGUGAAUACGAAAGACCAGCUUGCCGAUAUUUUCACCAAGUCCCUCGGUCGACAGAAGUUCAUCGAGAUGAGGAAGAAAGUCGGAGUGCAAGCAAUGAAGACACAUCAACAAGGUUAAGGAGGUGAAUGUAGUAAUUAACCUAGUUGUAGUCCAAACGUACACAUGUGUCCUAAUUUGAUUAGUAUUGCAAACCGAGUAGGAUUAGUAGUAGUAUUGCAAACCGAGUAGGAUUAGCAGUAGCCAAUGCUUAGCAUAUAUAUAUGCGUUUACCCUAGCUUUUGUAAUAUCAGAUAAAAAAGAUCAAAACGCAAUAAAGCAAUAGAUACGAGCCUGUAGCAGUCACCGACGCCUUCGUUGAUCGAUCCGAUUGAGAGCUAGCUAGCAAGCCAGGUUACGAAUCCAUUAACCUGCUUGCUUGCUUGUUUAUUUCGGGUCAACUUUACACACGUGUAUUAGCUUCGGUAGUGAUUUCAUCUACGAUUCAAAAGCCAACAAAGUUGACCCGACUGCUAUGUAAAAUUCUAAAUGGCUUUUGUGGCUCAUCGGCGAUCAAGUACUUUAGACAUAUCGAGGAGAUAGCUCUUGAUCGUGAAGUGGGUGGUGACACAAAGCAUACGUGGAAAGAAGCAGCAAGGAAACACCCAAGACGUCCCAAGAUUUUUUUUGUCUAGACAGCAUCAACUUCCUGCUGUAGCAAAUACUUUUACUUUGUUGUUGGAUAUGUAUUUGAUCCCAGUCAACUUAAUUGGAAUACUAUUUGUGACAAAUUUAGCACCGCGAUGUAAGAGAUAUAAGAGCGUUUAGAUCACUAAAAUAGUGAUCUAAACACUCUUAUAUUUCUUUACGGAGGGAGUACUAAUUGUUUGCGGAGAAGUCAAGAAUCUUGAUUUAAUUGAUAUGAGUAUCAUUAUAUACUACCAAGCAAGUCAGCAGGUGAGCUGCUCUUUGAAAUACAAGAAGAAAUACCUCAAAAAUAAGGUAUUUGGUAGGAAAUAGAACAAACCUGAAACAUGACUUUCUCAUGAAAAUUCACUUGAUAUAAUUUAGUGUGCUUUACCGAAAAAGGCUUUCGUCCUGCUUUAUAUAUAAAGCAACCACCAAACCACGAGUACAAGCAUAGGUUCAAAUUCAAGCACACACACACCAGGGUAUCAUGACAACAAGUACUAGGGGUUCUGCUAAGGGCACGGCUCAACAAGCCCUAAAAAACAAAACAACACACAUGUGGAAAAGACCGUGAAUGCAAAAGCUAAUCCGUCUCGGGGGUGGUGGGGUAGCUGCGGCAUCAAGCGGAUGGCCAUGGUCCGGAGGUCUGCGAUGAUGGAGUUGAUGUCGUCCUAGUCCCGUUGAUGGCUAAGCAGCCGCCAGAGCUGCAUCUCAGUUGCCCGUUGAAGAGGCACAUGUUGAAUAACAAGCUUAUUUUGGAUUGUCCAGAGCGUCCACACGAGGACACCAAUAACCAGCAAUCUAAUGUGCCCUCACGAAGAAGGGGAGGCCUGGAUCUCGGUACAUAGGUCGGUGAAGUUGGUGUAAUACCAAAGGCCCCCAAUGGUCUCGUGGAUGCAGGAACAGAGGAAUUGCGCGGAAACGUGCGAGAAGAAGAUGUGGCUGGAAUCCACUGCAAUCCCAUAAAGGGGGCACUGUCCGUCUCCCGGGCCGUGUCGCUUGAGCACCUCCACUCUUGAUGGGACCCGUCCGCGUAUCUACUGCCACAUGAAGAUCCUAAUCUUCCGGCAGAGCCUGGUUUUCCAAAUCAUCUCAAAGGGCUCCGGAGCGGGAUUGGCAGCGAUGGUCUGGUAUAAAGACUUGGCGGAGAACUUGCCCGAAGACUCUAGAUGCCACAAAGUGCGAUUGGCAGACUGGUCGAUGUCCGGUUCGUGCAGGGCGACGGUCGCAAGGAGUUCGUGACAUGCGACGGUGUUCGCGGGUCCAAAUGGCCUAGGGAAAGCCAGGCGCCCUAAGUCAAUAAGGGUCACCUUGACGAAAAUCUGUGGGUCUACUGCGAUAGCAAACAGGUCGGGGAAGAGGGCAACAAAGGGGGUCUUGCCCGCCCAUCGGUCGAACCAGAACAUACUGGAGGUCUAGGAGCCCACCUCAAUGGAGGUCCUGAUGCAGAGAACUAGGAGUAGCUAGAUGACUGACUGCGAGGACUGCGAGCCGCCCGAUCUCUGACAGAAUGCGAGCGACAGACCGCACAUGUAUUUAUUUUGAAUGAGCUGGAGCCAAAGGACACCUCAAGCUCAAGUGCAACAUAUUAAUAUCAAGUUGAUACACUCCUCCCUGGGUGGAUCUGCCUCCUCUCUGCGCUGGAAGUUGCUUGAAUGGUCUACGUCGUGACUCCUUAGGGCAUCUCAAAUGGCAACCCGCAUUGUUUUUACAUCAGUCCGCGGACAGGGGUACUAAUCCGUGGAAACGGAUGCGGGAGACAACCAUCUAACCGUAGCCACAUACAUCCGGCCUUCCUCGUUUUCUUUUAAUUCUAUGCGAUUAAAUAGUCGCAUAAAAAUUGUACAUAAUGUUCAAAUAGUUGCAUGCAACACUUGUUCAAAUUAAAAAAAACAAAUAUUACAUCCAAACAUUGUUUUCACCAGCCAAAGAUGGUCAAUUAGAUCUUACUUCACCUGCUCGUGAGUUGGUCGCUGCUGAAUUAGUUGAUGCAUUUGGAUAAACUCUUUAAAUGGGGGGUCCGGAGAUUGGAUAUGAUCACCCAUGUUCUUAAAUUCUAGAGUUGCGGCAGCAUUGUCACCCUGAUGCUCGACAAUCAUGUUGUGCAUGAUCACACAACAUUCCAUCACCUCCCACAAGGUCUCCGGAUCCUAUUGUUUAGAAAAUCCACAAACAACCACAAAACGGGCCUACAUAACUCUAAAUUACCCUCUCGACAUCCUUUCUAGUUGCUUCUUGUCUUUGGACAGCGUGGGCCAUUUUUUGGCCAAUUGGGUUUGAGAUGGUGCUGAUAAAGGUAGCCUAUGGAGGAUAGCUACUGACCACCAGAUAGUAACCCUUGUUGUACUCAUGUCCAUUAACAGUAUAGCGGCAAGGAGGAGCUUUUCCUUCAGUCAGCCUCGCAAACAACAGUGAUCGUUGCAGCACAAUGAUGUCAUUGCGAAACCUGGGCAUGCCAAAUAAAGUGUUUCAAAUCCAAAAAUCUUGUGAUGCAACUGCUUUAAGAAUGAUCGUGGGAUUCUUAAUAUGGCCCCCAUAUUGCCCUUGUAAAGUGUUCGAACAAUUCUUCCAUUUUCAAUGAAUGCACUCAAGAGAUCCAAGCAAACCUAGCCACCCUCUUGCUUCUGAGACUGCCAAGAGCCUCUCGGCGCCUCCCACAGUUGGUUCUCCCAGGUACUGAGGCCCGAACACCUCGACCACGGCAGUAGAAAACCUAAACAUGGCAUCUCGGCAUAUGCUCUCAGACAUCCAUAGCUACUCCGUAAUCGUCUCAUGAAUCAGCGGUCGUGCACUUCUGGUAACCAGAGAACCCAAUUGUUCCCACAUCAUCCUUCUUUGGGAUUAAGUAGUCAUUGGAGGACAGGACGUCAUGGUACAAACGAUCGUAGACACCUUUGCUCAUCUGAAAACGCCGACGAUAAUGGGAGUGCAUUGGGGGUAGAUUAGUCGGCCAUCAGUGUCAGAUGUUCGCGCGCACGGUUGCGGUUGAGCACUCAGUGACCCUUGAUCGAGCCAUUGAAAUUGAGAACAUCCUCCUUUGCACAAUCCACAUACUCAUGGAGCGCCUGCAUCAUCACCCUCUUAUGAGAGUACUCCUCGUCCGACGAGCCGUCGGACGACUCAACAUAUUGCUCUUGUAUGUACUCCAAAUCGGAAUUCGUUGCUAGAAAGAAGAAGGGACAAGUGUUUUUCGCUCCGGCAAUUUAUCGAACUGUUGUUGAGCAAGGCAUGAAUAGCAGUAGUGGAUGGUACAUGGCAGGGCGGUUAGAGGACAGGGGUUGAACGGAGAUGGAGGAGAAGCAGGGAUGGAGCCCUGCUAGAGCAUCAAAGGUGACGAAAACAUAGAUGUUCGGGCGGGGGUUUGGCAUGGUGGUUGUGGGGGCGGGAGGGGGGUGGAGCGGCUACGAAGGCAAGAAAGAAAGAAGGAACAAGAGAAAAUGGGGAGGAUGAAGUUGCAGGUCCGGAAAUGGUUUCGGGUGGGCCAGGAGUGUCAAAUUCAUACGUUUGCUAUGUCCGGACUCCCGCAAAGUCCCCCGCUUUUGUCUUCGGUUUGUGAAGAAAUCGUGUCUGAAUUGCUUCGCGGACCGAUAUAGACCCCCGUUGAAUGGCUUUCAUGGUCCGGACGGAUGCGAGCGGUUUGCGGGUCCGCCUUGAUGACGCCUUUACCUAGAUUAUUUAUAGUGAUGUUUCCCUAAAAAGAAAAUAUUACUAUCUCUAUCACAGUUUAGAAGCCACAGUUAAAUUUACGUGCAUUUUCAUAAUAAACAAGGUUUAGGGCGCAUUGCAUUUACUCUUAGCAGCUAAUUAAUACUCCGUUGUACUACUUCUAUAUGCAGGUAUAGUGUGAAUGCUAUUUUUUAACUCAUCUCACAACCAAUCAAUAAUCACCUAGGUUACAGAGAAUUUCGAAACACGCCUUCUAAACCGUGACGAAGGAAGUAAUUUUUUCGUUGUCGGAUCUUUGAAUUUUGAAUAGUUUUAGGGUCUAAAAUGCACAUGGCUUCUAUAAUAACGGUGUGAAAAUCUAGACAGGACACCGAGCAUGUACAAAUUCAGGUUAUCAACAAAAACAAAAUAAAAGAUAUGACACCUAACUAGCGAUCAGCAGCAUGUCACGACAAUCAAAACAUUAAUUCUGGGCAACCUUUCCGGCAUGGUUUGUCAAGUGCUACUCCCAUGCAUGAGUCUUUGUCAGACUACCCAUAAUAAAAGUAGUAUCAUAAAUUCCGCCUAAAUAAAAAAUAUGAUGUGGCAACUAAUUAAUAAAAAGAAAAAGAAAUUGAGUAAUUUAGAUAGUUACUCAUACAAGGAGUAACAUAGCCCAUACCAAGAUAAGAUGAGUCUAUAAAAUAAUAAAUGCAUGUCUCAAUGUUACUAUCAAUAUGUUACUAUCCAUUAUGGAGGUAUUAACUUAGACUAGUAACACAUGCAUGUUACUACUCUAUGUUACUCCCAUUGUGAGUAGUCUCAUGUGCAUGCCACAUGUGUGGUGAAGGUGAGGCUGAUCGUGCCAUAUUGUCUCAUCCCAUGCACGCGUGGGCCGGCUGACACAGAGUCUCCUUGAAAACAAUAAUCAGUGGGGACUGAUAGGUGCCGGUGCGUCGGCCCAAAGAUUUGACCGGUCGAGCGCGGGCCGUCAGAUCCAGGUCGCGUAGACCGUCAGAUUUAGAUAAAAGCGAUUUGUUCAGAGCUCUCUUCUUCCUCGCGCAACGCCCUCAUCUCCUCCCCUGCAUCUCGCACACGUGCCCCCUUCCUCCCCGCAUCUCGGACAACUCGUCGGGGCACGCGUUACGCCCUACUGCACACCUUCCUCUGGUCGCAGCACCGCCCCUCCCCUCCCCUCCUGCUCCAUGCUAGUUCUCAUCGCCAGGAUUCGCGACAACCCCACACCAGCAUCUUGUUUUCGUGAUCACCGUUGCGCUUGAAGCAUCAUGGCCUCGUGAAUGGAUGCAGCAAAACACGUCGUUUUGUAGUAGCAAAAAAGCGAGGCAGUUGCAACAAAAAAUGUCGUCCUCAUCGUCGCCGGUCGCAUCUCGGUCAUAAAAAAGCACCAUGACCUCAUGAGUGGACGUAGCAAAUACAAAAGACAGUAGUAGCAAAAAAUGAGCCUGUUGCAGCAAAAAUGUCCGUCCUUGCAGCAAAAAUGAGUGGAUGUAGCAAACAGAAAGACGGUAGUGGCAAAAAAUAACGACGGUUGCAGCAAAAUACUCUGCCAUUUCCAGCAAAAGUUUUUGUCGUCGAUUGUGUAGCCUUUUUAUUUCGUAGUGGUUGAGUGGAACAUCUCUAUUUGGCAUAGAGUACUCCCUCCGUCCGGUAAUAAAUGCACAUAUAGAUAUUUCAAGACAAAUUAUGAAGUAGAGUACAAAAAUACAUUGAAAAGGUGCAAGCCAUCAUCUCUCUUCUGUGUAAUUACUCAACCCCAAUGAGCUAAUUGUACAUUCUUUAACGGACGGAGGGAAUACUUGUCUUUCAAAUCCGGAGCAGAGAAGAAUCCAAUAAAACUGUUCAAUCAGAUUCUAGUAUUUUGAAGUAAUCAGCGUGAGCCGGAGAGGCAAAGGAUUCCCUAAAAAAAGGUAACGCACCACUGGCAAUCGACAAAAAGGCAUUGCGUCCGAGGAAUUUGAUACUAAUAUAUAUAAACGCAAGGAAGCAGGCACGGCAGUAAAAGGCAUUACGUCCUAAUAAAUUCCUUUGCUUGUACUACUACAAGAGUAGGCAUCACUUGUUCCCUUCUCAGUCAUCUGCUUCCGCUCUCCUCUCGCCACUACGCUCUACUUCGGAUCGAUGAGGCCGCCGGACGGCAGCUCUUCGUCGUCCGGGCCGCACGGCAAGCAUGAGCUGCUGCAGCCGGAGGUGGUUCUCUACACGGCGUCUGCGUCGGCGUCUCGCCGCAGAGGGCGCGCCUCGGCCGACCUCUACGCCUUGCGCGCCCUGCUGCAGGGGUACGGCCUGACCAUGGACGAACGCGACGUGUCCACGAGCAAGGCGCACCGCAGCGAGCUCAAGUCGUUGCUUGCGGCUCGGGGGUGCGCCUUCUCCCUCCCGCAGCUCCUCGUCGGUGGACGGCCCGUGGGCGGCCCUGACGAUGUCAGGAAGCUGCACCAGUCCGGCGGGCUGCGGCCCCUCCUCGACGGUUCCCCAAGGCCGUGCCGCGCCUUCGUGUGCCAAGCCUGUAAGAGAGUCGGCUCCGAGCCCUGCUCAGAGUGCAGCGAGGCCCGCAACAAGAUGCUGGAUCAUGGCGUUAUGGAGCAGGAGGAGGAGAGGGUCGUCCUUUUUUAUCCAACCCAAGGUAAACACUUUUCUUUGUUUCUCUCCUUUCUUUUAUAUUUUCCGUAACCAGUACGUAAAAAGUUCAGUUGCACUUUAUUACUCUUUCUCAUCUACAUAUAACAUAUAUAGUCGGAUGCUGCAUUAUUUUCUUGACAAUUUUAUCAAGGACAUAACUCGUGCUGAACCUGAAACUACUGGCAGUAAUACAUCUACACUACUGUCCAUUUUUGGCAAGCAAUAGUUCAUGUGCUACGUAAGAAAACUCGCUGGAUGGAAACUAGUACCUUUCUUAUCUUAUACUUGCUCUGUUCAUGAAUAUAAGUUUUUUUUAAAGAUUCCACUAUAGUUUACAUACGGAUGCAUAUAGACAUACAGUAGAGCGUAGAUUCACUCAUUUUGCUCCGUAUAUAGUCCAUAAGGCCCUGCUCACAUCCAUGCAAUAGAGAUCCGCCUCCUCCUUCCCUAACCUAGUCGCUCAAGCGGGUCUUGCGAGGGUUGCCGGUCCUUCGCGGAGGAAGGAAGGAACGGGGAUCUAGCGCCGCCGCCGGGGCUGCUGCGGGCUCCGUUCGUGUCCGUUGCCAGCCGCCAGGAUAUGAGGCAAGUGAGAUAAGAGUGGAAGGGACAUCGCCGGCUCCCGAUCUGCCCGGCCCACGCUCCUCUAGUCCGGCGGCUCGCGAGCACGUCGCCGGCGCGCAUCCUCUUCGCGUAGAGACACGCACCGCGCAGCCAUCGGACCCCUCUCUGCCUCUCUCCCGCUUCGCCGUUGCCGGAGGGGGCGUCGGCGAAGCCGCGAGCGCUCCGGGGAUGGCGGCGGCGGGGCCCCUCGCGUCGGCCUUCGGGCUCUGACGACGGCGCCCCGCGUCGGCGGUUGCGGGAUCCGGUGUGAUCUCGCCAAUCGGCGGCGGUGGAGGGCGGAUCCGGGCCUCCAUGGCCGGAUCUAGCUGGGCGCUCGGCCCUGGUGGUAGGGAGCGGCAGCCAGGCGUGGCUGCGCUGGUCGGCUGGGCAUGAGCAGUGUCCAGGGCGCGCGGUGCAGUGGCCUUGGCUGGGGGUCGUGAUGGUGCGUGGCUGCCAUGCUCAGCGGUCGGUGGCGGUGGAUAUCCAGCGCAGCUCCAGGAAAAAUCCUUGCUCGGGUCUUUAUCGGAGCCGCGACGGCGACACCCGCGGGUGCCGCUAUCUUUCUUGGAAGCGUCGUUGUGAAGGUGUGUUGUUCCCCUUCGUCGGUCGCUGCUCGCACCGUCACCUGCGCCCCCCAGGUCCUGAUCGGUGGGCCUCUCUCCUGUGGAUUCUUGGCGGUGCCGACAUGGUUGCCGGGGCCCUUCCUGUGGGUGAAGUUGGUGGAGGAGAUUCGGAUUGGGGGAAACCCCUUGGUUGGCCCAGGUCGGCCGCGCCAACGACGACGCUUAAGGGCGCCGUUAUUCUUUUUGGAGACGACGGUAUACAUCUGCUCCUCUGCUCCCCUUCCUUGCCUCUCGGGUGAAAACCCUAACUCCGUUGGGCGGCGGCGGCGUCCUUGACGUCGUGACCUUCCUAAAGGCGUCGCCUUGAGGGCUGAGUGGUGGUGGGCACUGUGUGGGUCCUGAACGGUUGCUGGUGGUGGGCACUACUUCGCGGGAAACUCUAGGAUCUGGUCUUCCAGUUCGGACGAUGGCGGUACUGCGGUGCCGUUUCUCCCUUGGGAGCAUCGUUUGUGGAGCAGCGCUGGCAGACUGAGGCAGAAGGUGGAGCGGCUUCGUCUUGCACGGUAUUUCGGUGGAGCUGUCAAGUCAUGCUUGGCCGACAGGUGCUACGCUGAGUCAUGCCUGGUUGGCAGGUGCUACGCACGACAGGUCUCCCGGAGUCUUCGCAUCUGGACGGAUGAGCGCAGGGCGGUGGCGUCGUUGGGCGCCAUGGUAGUGUCGACGGAUGAUUGGACUGGCAAGGAUGAUGGGUCAGUGGUUCGAGGAUGAUGGCGGCUGGUAAAACGUGUGCGUGAGGUGUGCGUUUUAGGUGUGCUGCACCGACUGUUGUUCCCGAUACGUUAUGUGGAUGGAUUGGAAACAACACCGGUUGGAGUGAGAGCACUCCAUAUUAUCGAGUUUGUAGGUGUGAAUGGUGGCUUUGGAUGGAUUGAUGUAUACUCUUGUUAGACUUUUGUGGAAUAAUUAAUAAGGUGGCUGCAUGCAUCGAUUGAUGCAGAGGCCGGAGGUUUAACCUCCUUCUCUAAAAAAAAUAGCCUGUAAUAAAAAAAUAAAAAAAUUAUAUUUAAAAACGAAGGGAGUAUAUAAGAAUGAAGGCCUCUUCCGAGAAAUUGUGCGGUGGGGUCCGUAACUUCAUCUCUUGACGUGAGGUCGCUACAAAAAUCUAUGACGAAGGUGGACUCCAUAAGUGUGACCCACUAGCCCCUAUACUUUUAACAUUGUGGUGGAUGUGGAUACUCUGCUCGAACUCACAAAGGUUUUGGGCGAGAUUGUUGAAGUGAUGUCAUAUAUUGUGGAUGGUGGCCUUUCAAUACUAACAACGAUAUGGUAUCGUACAAGAUUUUUCCGUGCACGAUCUCCCUUGCAAGUUAAUUUCUCUAUCCCCUCUUGACGACACGAGGGUGAAACCUAGCGCUGCCACUACCCUCUCCCCUCCUAUUACCUCACCUUGCCACUGCUUGAGGUUGUCGUCUGCGAGAGUGUCUUCAUCUUUGCAGCGGGUGACUACAGUGGGUGCUGUUGGCAGACCCCCUUGGCCGCCAUGUGAUGUAAAACCUCAAAUUCCCCAAAUAUGGUGUAUCUAUGCUAUCUACUCGCUAUUCGUUAGUACUUCUAUUUUACGAAUUCUACUAAGGAAUUAAAACAAGAAGUUCCGAAUGCAUCUGGCACUAAAGAAAAGAGGAAACUGGGAUUUAAUUGCUAUUUUCAUGCAUUCAUUGUUUUCUGUUAGGUUGGUUGUAAUCGAUAGUAUCAUAUACUUCCUUCAUCUUAAUUUAUAAGUCCGGCACAUGUACCUAAGUCGUUAAUUUGACCAACUUAAUGAUAAACAUAUAUUACAAUAUACCAUUAAAAACUUUAGAUGUUUUAUUUUCUAAUGAUAUAAUUUUUAUAUUAAACAAUAGAUUUUAUAUAAAUUAAAUUGGCGACCUAGAUACACGUGCGUGCCUUUUAAACUGUGACGGAGGUAGUACUAGUAUCUAUGAUAUCAUAUCCGUAAUGUAUAGUAUCAUAGGGUAGUUUAUUUUUUUGCCAUGCAAGACACAUAAUAGCACAUCAUAUUUAAUAUGAUACGCUAUCAUGAUAUGAUACAUAAUCCUCUUUUUCUUCAUGUAAUUCUAUGCCAUCUCAUCAAAAUUGCCUAGUUGGCAUGCAUAAUACUACCUAUCAUACUCCCAUUACAGGCAGCCUUAGCGGCCGAGGGAGUCUGGGAUUAAGGGGUAACUCGGGCAGCCGGUUCAUUUCUUGUGGGCCGACUCGGUGGGCCGUGUUAUUAAAGGCUGGACUAUAUGACGACCUCGUACUCAGGAAGGAACAUUCGAAGACAGGCGUGACGUCGAAGUACAGUAGACUAGGUCGGUUGUAUGUAACCCUAGAUCCCCCGAUGAGUAUAUAAACCGGGGGGUCCUCGUCCAUGUAGACAGGUUGACUCAUCUAGGGUUUAGCUUAUAUGAUAUCGAGGUACAUCAACUCUGUAAUCAUCAUCCACAUCAAUAUAAUCAAGUAGGACGUAGGGUUUUACCUCAUUAAGAGGGCCCGAACCUGGGUAAAUACUGUCUCCCCCUCCUCCUGCAACCCAUCGAUCCAAGGUCCACAGUUCGGGACCCCCUACCCUAGAUCUGGUGGUUUUGACACCGACAUUGGUCCUUCCAAUGAGAGUUUCGUUGUUUGAUUGACCGAGAGAUCGAUGGCUCGCCUAAUCGUCAGCGAUCGAAUCAGCAAUGGGGACAUCUUCGUCCCCGGGCAGGUUUUCUCGUUCGGCAGUGUCACGCUGCGCUCAGACUUGACCAGCGGUCUGGCCAGAUCGGAGGUUUUGUCCCCGAUCAGCAGAUAAGGUUUAGGAAUCUUGGAUUCUCAACCGGGCCGAUCUGAUCCCCGCCAAGAUCCCGGCUUCGGUCAAUGAGAUCCAAAACCCCGAAGUCUUAACUUCGGGUCCCACAUCCGUCCAUGGCCUCGAACCCCUCUUCGCCGAAGAGUCAGCUUUUAGCUCGGACAAGGCCUCAGUGCCGAGACUACAGCAAACGGCGUUUGACAAACGCGCCUCCCUCACGAAGGCCGUGGAAGUCAACUUCAGAAAACACCCAACGCUGGAUCAGGACGAGCCCUCAGUGUUAAACGAGAUGAUCAGUCAGAUCCAAUCGCUACGCAUCUCAACCAGCCAGUGCCCGACCUGUUCACAAUUUGGCUCAGAGGCAGAAUAUGGGGACUUUUACGGCCCACCCACCACCCAGUUGGUAGCCACCGUCAAAGAUUUAACCGACGCGUUGUAUUAUGCCUCCGAGGAGUUGGAAGAUAUGGACGACGAGGAUGAUGACCCCAUUCCUAUAAAUACAGGGCGAUGGACAGCAACAUCCACUUAUGAUGUCUACAUGGUAGACACGCCCGAUAACAACGGCGACCUUACCCCCAAACCAAACGGUGACAAUUUCAGGGAGUAGCCACCAAAGCGCCGAAGGCAGCGUAAGCGUGCCAAGGCAAGCAAGGGAAAGAUUUCUGCACAGGGCACUCGAGAAAAUACAACCCCAGAGGACCGUGAUAACCUCAAGGUUCCAGAACAGCCACAAGAAGACCCGGACAAGCCCGAAGCACAGAACGACCCCGAUGACCUCAACAAAUCGGACGACGACCCAAAAAAGGAAGACUUUGCAAUUCCCGAGGACCUUGGAGGUCAGGAAGAGUUUAGGCAGCUUCUCAUAGCUACCGCCUGAAGCUUAAAAGGGAAGCAACGACAACCCCCGACCGAACAUGAUACCAUAAACAACAGGUGGACCAAGGUAUUGGCCGUCGAAGAAGAAUACGGUCAUGGAUAGCCGGAUCAGAAGAAGAGCUACCCACGUCGGCGCCUGCUGCCACAAUUCGACGAUGAGGCCCCAGAGCCCACGUCUCCAAAACGCACGGACUACGACGAGCCUGAUCGCCUACCUCGAUGGCGCGACAGAGCGGCUGGAGAAACCGAGUAUAAACCCGAGCCUCCUUGCAGAAAAGGAAAGGAACAAGUGCGCCCUAGGGGUGGUCAGGACCUGCGACGACCUGGAUAAUAGAACGGAUCCAAGAGGUACUCCCCGAGUUGAUGGAAUGGAGAACCGCUCGGAUUACCUACAACAACAGAUACCGGGAACCGUACCCGGCACAACCCAUGGCCGAUCUCCUCGGAUUACCUACAACAACAGAUACCGGGAACCGUACCCGGCACAACCCAUGGCCGAUCUCCGAAACAACAUAGCACGGGUCAAGGACGUCGCACACCCACUAUGGUUCACAAACGAGGUAAUGCAGCACCAAUUCCCGAAAGGGUUUAAACCCGUAAAUAUAGAACAAUAUGACGAGACUACAGACCCCGCCGUGUGGAUACAAGAUUUUCUUCUCCACAUUCAUAUGGCAAGAGGGGAUGAUUUCCACGCCAUCAAGUACCUACCUCUCAAGCUAAAAGGACCGGCGCGGCACUAGUUAAACAGCUUGCCCGAGGAUUCUAUCGGGAGCUGGGCUCAUAAUUCUUUAAGAGAGUUUGGAGAUUGACUUGCUUGACACGGGUGUGUCCUUCACGUGAGAAUCAAGGUAUCCCAUGCCUCUUUUGUUGUUUCUUUGACAAUUAAGUGUUGGUGGAGGAAAUCCAUCGGCAUCAUCGAGUAAAUCACCGACGCCAUCUGUCGAUCCUUCCGAUGCUCGGCUCCCUCCUUUUUGAAAGCUUCGCCUCCUAGAUCGACUGUGUUCCAAAACUCGUUUGCACGGAUACCACACUUCAUGAGGGCCUUCUAGACCCUGAAGUUCUUACAAUCAAAUCGUGGGUACUACGAACUUACCCGAGCAACAAAUAUUUUAGCCGCACCCAAAUACGCCGCGAGCUGCUUGUUCUCCUCGUCGUUCGACAUGACCCUGCUGUGAAACCAAUUGUUAGCAUAGAUCCCGAAUCUUGACAACACAGAUGUCGGGUUCUUCCAACAGAUUGCGCACGCACAAGCUGCAGCCGAUUAUGUCCGACUGCUUCAGCGGAGACGUGUAUGUACCAUAGUAAACAAGCAAGAGCAAGCACCUUGGUGGAUGGAUUAUCGUGUCUAGCUAUCUAGCACAUAUCAAGUCGCCAGAACACAAUACGCGAAGUCGUCGACUUAUGGCCACAGGACCGUAUCGGUCCUGAUUUUUCUUUGUACUGAUUUGAUCUGAUGGUAGUACAAAAUACAAGGGUAUACAGAUGUAUAUAUAGCAGCAACGAGAACCGAUCCGAUCUAAUCAAACUCGGCUAGAAAAUCUCAUCCUACUACAACUACAACUAGGAGAUUGAGCGUGUACAAACCGGACACGAAACGUGUCGUGGUUAUUUCCAACAGUAUUGCGUGUCCCAUCCAUUAGGUGUUUUCCUAGCAAAGGGGAGCAACUAGUUAGCGAGCACUUUUUCGGAAGUCUUCCAGUGAAAACUCCCGCGCGCCGUCAUUUGGCGUGUUCUCAAUCGACGCUACGUGUCGUGUUCUGAGCAGGGCCGAGCCAACUGUGGUGCCAAAUGUGCCACCUGCACAGGGCCCACAAUUUCGAAGGGCCCCAAAUUUUGUAUAUAAAACAAGCAAUAUUUCACACACAAAAAAAAGCAUACUCGUUGGAAUUGGGACUUAGUCGAUCAAAAGCUAGAGUUGGGCCCGAGUCAAGCCAUCAAGCACAGGUGCUUCAUCGAUAUUUCUUUAAAAAAAAGGAAACCGCUCGAUCGAUAAUAUGGAAGCGCUAAUGUCAGUCUAAAAAAGGUACGGUCGCUAUAGGGAACAUGAUCGUUUGGUCGCUUUCGUCUCAUCAGAUCAAUUGAAUUUAGACUGUUGUCGUUGUUGCCUUCGUACUUUUCUCUCCCGAAUUUUAAAUUCGUUGCCUCGUCAGGUCUAUCUGUGACCGACUCUAUCCUUCAAGUGCUUAGCGAGUCUCGCUUUUCGAUUAACUUAUGUUCCUAUUCCUAGUUUCGAAUUUUCUAGUUAACUUUUGACAAGGAUCGUUACUUCGUAGAAAUUGGUAUUUACCUCCUCAGUUAAAGAUUAUAGUGUAGCAGUUCAACAGGACAUGACCCAAAAUUAGGUAAGUUAAACGGAUUGUCUAAUAUCCAAACAUUGACGCAUGAUAUUCAAUUAAUAUAUGCUACUUUAUAAUUUAAUUUUAUCAAAUUUAGCUUUUUAUAUUGUGUUUCGGUAAUACAGAUUUGCAUUAUAAUGAAAAACAUUAGUCUGAUUUCUAUAGUUGCUCGUUAACUCAUUUUCUAAGUGAGAUAGGGCCUUAUUUUUUUAGUUUCGCACAGGGCCUCAGAUUUUGCCGGCCCGGCCCUGGUUCUGAGCGUUAUUUUGUAUUUUGCUUUUUUUAUUUUUUCGCACGUGUUUUCUACUUUUUGGAGUGGUUUUUUCGUGUUUUUUUCCUACGGCCGUGCCUCUCGAAAAGGGAAAAACGUGUUUUCUGCUCUAUUUUUUUCGUGUGAGGCAUGGUUUUGCUUCCGCGAGAGAAACGGUUUUGCAAUCGCGAGAGGCAUGGCCGUGGCUCUCAGAAAGGGAGAACAACGUGUUUUCUGCUCUCUCUUUUUUUCUGCGAGAUGCACGGUUUUGCUUCCCUGAGAGGCACGGUUUUUGCUAUCGCGAGAGGCACGGCCGUGCCUCUCGGAAAGGGGAAAAACACGUUUUUUGUUCUCUCUUUUUUCGCGAGAGGGACAGUUUUGCUUCUGCGAGAGGCACGGUUUUUCUAUCACGAGAGGUGCCUCUCGGAAAGGGGAAAACGUGUUUUCUGCUCUCUCUUUUUUCCGCGUUUUCUACUCUCUUUUUUCCGCAAGAGGCACGGUUUCAUUAUCGCGAGAGGCACGGCUGUGCCUCUCGGAAAGGGGAAAAAACGUCGAUUUGUGCGUCCGGUUUUUUUCAUGAAAAAAAAGUUUGUUAAAACCUAUCAACAUGGGAUCUAAUUUUGAAGAUCUCGAAAACCCAACGGUGAAAACAGUUCAAGAUUUGAACGCAUGGUUUAGGAGAUAAAACGUUUUGAAAAUACAGAUCUACGAAAAAAGGAGAAACUCCCCGGUUGCGACAAGUGACACGCAUGCAGUGCGUCACUUGCCAAUCUAGGGAGGUGGGAAUAAUCGUUGAAAGGUCUACUCUUCAACUAGUGAUUUCGGCAGUGAAGACUCCUCAUGGAGUUCCCAUUGUGAUCCAGGCUUGACCUGGGGCCUGUGGUUGGGGUCCAAUCCUGGCCUUGCAGGGCCUAUGGCGCGGCAGGCUUCCUGUGGAGGAGGGCAUGUGGGCCCAUUCCUGGCCUUGCAGGACAAGCAUGCGGUAGCAGAGCAUAACAUAGUUGGUGAGCGAACAGCCUGAUAUGGAGCCUGGCAAGGCUGCAUCAUCAGUGUUUCUUGGUUGCAGCUCCAAUUGGGUUGUACGGGCCAUGGCCAUUGUGUGGGACGACAUACAUUUUCUGCAGUUGGCACGACGACUCCUCCUGAUUGUUGUGUGGAGUGUUGGUGCACGGUUGUAGAGCCACGAGUUGUGUUGUAGCUUAACAAAGCUGUCAUAGUAGUGGUGGUGUUUGUGGUGGCCAUUACAUCUUUCUAUUCCUCCUGGUCUGGUUUGUUGUUGUCGCAUUUUUGCAGAAGUAAGGUUCACAGCGGCCUGGCGUCAACCAACGCCAGAAGUGGUGUGGAGGUUGUUGGAUAGGGUGAGCCAUUUCCGUGGUUCAGUGGGGUAGUUAUGCAAGGGUGUAGGAGAAAGAUUUGUCGUCUAGGUUGGGUGAUGCCGGUGACAGCGACAUACUCAGACGUUGUUUUUCUUUUUGAAGGUGUUGAUGACGAUCUUGCAUUCGACCUCUCUCAAAAGCUUGCAUACUAGGUGGUCGUGGUCUGCUUGGGUUGUCGUUCGUGGUUGUUCUUUUCUCUUUUCUUUCAUAGUUGUUGUCUUUGCCGGCCUAGUUCCCUUAUAAACCCGGUCACUCUGAAUAUUUUUUCCUCUCUUUUUGAAAUCGGCAGAGCUCCUGCCUUGCACGUCAAAGGAAAAAAACACGCUAUGAGAUCCUUGGCCCCUUCAGCUGCAGAGCUAGGCGUGUGCUCUGUUGUUAUUUACACGGUUAUUUCCUCCAAGUAGGAGGAAGUUUUAGUUCUUCAAUUUGGUAGUUAAUUGACAAACACCAACUCCAAAGCAACAUUUAAUCUUUUACUUUAUGACCAAUCAAAGUGUUACUCUAUGUCUUUUUGCAAUUUGUUCUCUCUCGUGUUUCUCCUGUUUCAAUGUGCUGGCGACAUAAUUUUUUUCUUUUUCGUCUAUCUUUCAUCCAGAUGUGUCAAUGGAAGGCAAACACGGAGACGUGGAGGCCCCCUUCAGUGUUUCAAUGGGCGCCAUGGGAUCCCUCCUUAACAAGCUCGACAUUAUGCUAGGUCCAAAAGGAUGCAAGCUAGCCAAGGGGCUCCAUGACAGAUUUCACCUCCUAAAAGAUAAUGUUGAAGAAAUAAGUGCAUACCUUGAAGAUCUGUUAGAGGUGGAGGACCCUCCCAUGGCGGUGAGGUGUUGGAUGAAAGAGGCACACGAGUUAUCCUAUGAUAUCCUUGAUUAUAUUGACAACCGUGUAUCCCUUGAGCUUAUGGAAUGCAGAUCUGUUCGCAAGAUGGGUCUUAUUAAGAUUGCCAAGAAGCUCAAGUGGCAGAAGAAAAUUGAGUAUGUCAUUCCUCAUGUGCUAGAACACGUUAUCCCCAAAAUCAUUUGUGUUGAUGUCAUUUGUGCUCCCAGAAGGCUCAAGUGGUACCAGCAGAUGAUUGGAAAGUUAUCAGAAUUCAGGAUCUAUGCCCUGGAUGCUAUCCGACGGUACGAGAGGUACCAAGUCCUCUAUUGUAGUACCUCGACGGCAUGUAGAUUUUCUGCCAUUGGGCCUAUAAUGCCAAUGCCUCCACCGCCUUGUGAGAAAACUUGUUCUGGCCUAGUAAUUGAUGGUCGGAUGAACAAGUUUAUCAACUCACAGCUGGCUAAUGAUGAGAAUGAGCAGCUCAAGGUGGUGUCUAUUCAUGGAUCUGGAUGUCUUGGUAAAACAAUGCUUGCGAAAGUCCUGUACAAUAAAAUUAGGAGAAAAUUUGAUUGCCGAGCUUUCAUCCAGGUGUCCAAAAAGCCUGAUAUAAAGAAGCUUUUGAAUGACAUGCUAUCACAAAUCCAUAGGAAGCAGCCCCAAGCAAGCCAAAAGGCUUCUGAUGAACUUCGCAUUACUGCUGACAAUAUCAGGAAUUAUCUACAUGGGAAGAGGUACUUAUUUUCCACAUGCAAAUAGUAUGUACUAGUUGUAUCCAUGAAUGUCCAGAAUCACAAGUACUCCCUCCGUAAACUAAUAUAAGAGCAUUUAGAUCACUAUUCUAGUUUACAAAGGGAGUAUUACAUAAAUUCCCUACAGGUUCCUCCUUUGUUUUUCACAAAAAAAAUAAGGCAUGAUGAUAUAUAGUCAAUCUUUUAAAGGCAAGCUUUAUAGUGAGCUAGAAAAGAAUGUACUUAUUUUUCACAUGGUCUAGAAUCGCAUGUACUACAUUAAAUCCCUACAGGUUGAUCUUUUUUUUCAAAAAAAGGCAUGUCAACUAGCGACAUUAGUUUUACUCUUCAAGUCAGCACGGACUAAAUAGUAAAUAUCUCAGUGUUGUUGCCAUUUGCCUGGCACAUAGAUGUGACAUGUGUGGACUUUCUUGGCAUGCAGGUAUCUAAUUAUUGUUGAUGAUUUAUGGGAUACAUCGGCAUGGGACGUUAUUAAUCAGGUUUUCCCCAAGGGUAGUCAAGGCAGCAGAAUAAUAACUACUACACAGAUUGAAGAUGUUGCAUUAGCAUGUUGCUGCGGUCACCCAGAACAAGUUUUUGAGAUGAAACCUUUGGAUGAUGGUCACUCAAGGAAACUAUUCUUUGGCAGGAUUUUUGGCUCUGAAAGUGACUGUCCUGAAGAAUUCAAACUAAUUUCAAGCCAAAUUGUAGAAAUAUGUGCUGGAUUGCCACUAGCGACCAUCAGCAUAGCAAGUGUUUUAGCAAACCAUCCUUCUGUAUCAGUGGAUUUAUUCACACACAUACAUGAUUCAUUAGUGUCUUGUUUGUCAUCAAAUUCAACUUCAGAAAGAACGAGACAUGUACUGAACCUCAGCUACAACAACCUUCCUCAUUACCUCAAGACAUGCUUGCUCUAUUUUAGUAUGUAUCCAGUGGGCUCCAUAAUCUUCAAACUUGACCUGGCCAGGCAAUGGGUGGCCGAAGGGUUUAUUGCUGCAAGUGAAGGGCAAGACACAGAGGAAGUUGCAGGAACGUAUUUCGAUGAACUUGUUGAUAGAAGAUUCAUCCAACCUGUGUCUAUCAACUUCAACAAUGAGGUGGUGUCCUGCACAGUUCAUGCCGUGGUGCAUGAUCUUAUUGUACACAAGUCUGCUGAAGAGAAUUUUCUUGUGGUAGUAGAUUGCAAUCGAAAGAAUUUGACGCUUUCUCAUAAGGUCCGUCGACUAUCUCUCCAGCUUGGUGAUGCAAAAUAUGCCAAGAUACCAGCAAACAUCAGAAAGUCACAAGUACGUUCACUUGGAGUUUUAUGAUUAUCGGAGAGCAUGCCUUGCAUUGAAGAGUUCAAGCUUGUUCGUGUUCUGAACCUUCAUCUAUCUGGCCAUCAUAAUGGCGACCAAGACCUCACUGGGAUAUGCGAACUGUUCCAUCUUAGAUAUCUGAAGAUUGUUUGUGAUAUAUGCAUAAAACUUCCGAACCGGAUGAGAGGGCUGCAGUGUUUGGAAACACUUGAUGUUAUGGAUACACCAAGGGGGACUUAUGUUCCAUGGGACAUUAUAUAUCUCCCACGCUUGUUGCACCUCAGUCUUCCUCCUGACACAAAUUUGCUGGAUUGGUCUGUCGGUGAUGAUAUGUGCCUUUGCAAGCCGAGCCACCUGCAGGAUCUUUGCAUUUCUACAUCGCCUUCUUCAGAUUCCGACCAUUUGAAGAGAAACAUGUAUGUUCUGGAUUAUUUAAUGUAUGAACAUGACAGCCUGAAAACUGUAAAACUGGUGGCUCAUGGAUCCUCGGUUAGCUAUGGUGACGCUUCAGAAGCAAGAGUUUUGUGGGUCUUGGAUAGACCUAUCCACCAUCUCCAGAGAUUCGAGGUCUCACCACACAGCCCCGUCGUAUUUUGCGAAAUGCAUAGGUGGAAGAUCCAACUUGGCAACCUAUGCAUUCUGAAGAUUGCAGUGGAUGGACUGUCAGUAAAUGACGUUGAUAUUCUUAGUGGGUUUCCUGCCCUCACUGCCCUGUCAUUGUAUGUGGACAAGUCACCUAAUGUUAAGAUAAUCUUUGGCACGGCUGCUGGAUUCACAGCUCUCAAGUACUUGAAGCUGAGGUUCAUGAGUGGAAUAGCUUGGCUAAGAUUUGAGGCGGACGCAAUGCCUAAUCUCUGGAAGCUCAGGCUUGUUUUCGACGCCAUCCCUCAAAUGGACCAACGACUUGAACUUUAUUCUAAGCGUGACCAGUGGAGACAAUAUCGACAUGGUAAUGCACUAAUCAGCAUCGAGCAUAUGACGGGCCUUAGAGAGGUCUCCGCUAAAUUUGGGGGUGCGGCUGUUGAUCUGCAGUAUGUCGCGAGGAUCGGUGUUGUUAGCAAUCAUCUGAGCAAUCCUAUAAUCGAGGUGAAAUUAGUGGAUUCCGGUUCCCAUGGCGAUAAAAGGUACUACUUUUGUUGCUGUUGUAAACUACUUUUGUUGAUGUUGAGUUAUUCGAUUAAACCUGAUUUGACUAUUCAUGCUCAUGCUCUAAAUGGUAGUUGUAACCUGCAGGGUAUCAUCGAGGUCACCAGAGUCCUGUUCACGCCUGAAUCCUCCAGGUAUGCUAUUCAGUCAACAGGAGUUCCAAUAGCUAUUAAUUACUCGUAGAAAUUAGUAAGACGAUGGAUGAGCUGUUGGCUUUUGUCAGGUGGAGCGCAGCAGACCGUGGUGUCGUGGAGCAAUACCAUUGAUGUGAUAGGUCGGGAGCUCUUCAUCCGUUGCCUCCACCUUGUGUCCAGGCGGGACUACGGCGCCUCCAUCGCCUCCCUCAACCGUGAAUUCAAUUCGGUGGUUCGCGACGGGGACAUCUACCGCCUUCGUCGCAAGAAUGGGGUGGCAGAGCACUGGAUCUACCUCUCCUGCGGUAAUAAUAAUCCUCCGGAGUGGGAUGCUUAUGACCCGUCCACCGGGCGCUGGAUCAAAGUGCCCAAGAUGCCACCGGCUCAAAGCAGAUUCUGGGA